GCUCCUGCAAUAUCAUUGCUGUGUAUUUGUUUUCCCCUUAGACAUACUCUACAUUGGUUCAGGGUAAAAAAGCUACAGCUUUUCCUGCUAUGUGCAACAAGCUGUCAGAUCAGAGUGAAAUCGAAAACAGGGUUGUGGUUGAUGGCAACCUCAUCACCAGUAGAGGGCCAGGAACUUCUAUGGAGUUUGCACUGGCAAUUGUGGAGAAGUUUUUUGGCCGCAACAAGGCACUUGAGCUUGCAAAGAUAAUGCUUUUCACUCGCGCCUAACGUUUGUACGGGGACCUGACUACUAUUAAACUAGUGUGUUUAUUUCUGUAUUGCGACUGCUUGUAGAGAGGGGAAAUGGAAACUUGAAUUCAUGUUUGAAUAUGGAUUCACUGUGUGGGUUUGUACAGCAGUUUGGUUUAUAAAUAAAUGAGUUCAUAGAGUCACUUCAAUUAUUUGGAAUAAACCUGAGUUUAGUUCUGUUAUCAAUGGUCGGAGUCCAAUUGCGAUCGACUCACUGGGAAUUUUAAUUAUGAACUAAAAAAUUGUUAUGUUAUAUUCCACCUUUCAUAUAUAUAUAUAUAUAUCAAAUGUUAACCCGAUUUACAGGAUAAGAAGGAAAAGAAAGACGCUAAGAGAGGAGCAGAGACCCAAAAAGAGUUGACCACUUUGUUGGAACAUAAAUCUCUAGAAUAUUGAAAUAAAAAAACACAUUGCAAAAGUUGCAUUAACUACUUGUAGCAACAUCAUCCAAGAACUUGACUUUAUUCUUCUUGAGCUUCGCUGCAGCAUCUGUCAUAUGCAUUCUCUUGUCAGGUGACUCCAUACAACAGUCCAAUGCCAAAUCCAUGAUGCUUAAUAAACAAUCCAUUUUGGCAGAAAAAGCUUGCUCUUCUCGCACCAAAUUUGCGUCAACAACUUCACUCAAUCCGUGAAGUAAUGACUCCUUUACCCAUCUCCUUAAACUCAUUUCUCCUGUGAACAUUUCAUCGGUGGACCUCUUUCUCGUGAAAGUUUCCAUCAAUAACACACCAUAGCUGUAGACAUCACAUUUGGCUGAAACAAUUCCUUCUAAUCCAUACUCUGCAUUUUUUAAUUUUAAUUAUGAAACAACUGAUAAAACAAAUAAUUUUUUGACAAUUAAGGUAACCCAAACUUUGCUGUGCUUGAAAAAAGAGCAAGAUUUUUAAUUACAAUUGAAACUUUACCUGGUGCCAUAUAACCAAUUGUAGCCAUUGUCAUGGUUUCUGUCACAGAAUCUUCUCCUUCACCUAAGAGUUUGGAAAUGCCGAAGUCGCUCACAUGUGCCACCAUAUUUUCAUCCAAGAGAAUGUUGGUGGGCUUUAAAUCACAAUGAAUUAUAGGUGCCAACGAAUGACCAUGAUGGAGAUAUUCAAGAGCCGACCCCACAUCUAUCAUUAUAUUCAACCUCUGUAGAAUGUCUAAGAAAUAGUUGUGAGAAUACAACCACUUCUCGAGACUACCAUUCGGCAUGAACUCAAGUACCAAUGCUUUGAAAUCUGGAUUAGAACAACUGCUAAGGAUCUUUAUGAGAUUUCGAUGACGAACAUUCCGUAAAACUUCACAUUCAGAAUCAAAACUCCUAAAUGCUCUUUCUAGUUGCAGAUUGAAAAUCUUUACUGCAACAUUAGUCCCGUCGGAAAUGGUUCCUUUAUAAACUGAUCCAAAACUACCUGUACCAAGCAAGUUACAUUCAUUAAAUUCAUCAGUUGCUCGUUGAAUGUCUUGGUACGAUGUUCUUCUCCAUGUUGCAAGAGGUAGGAAAUCUUCGUGAUCUGAUUUUGUUGUACUCCUAUUUCGGCAUCUUAUGUACAUAAUGAUGGUAAUCACUAUAAGUACGGUGGAUACUAUCGGAGGCAAAAUAUAUUUAAGGAUAGUUAGAGCAACUUUCUUGGUUCUUUUGCUGUUAUCUUGCUUGCAAGGUGGGACUCGGAAUUUAGGUGGACCACAGAGUGCAUAAUUUCCGAAAAAUGAUUCAGCUGAGAAGUUUUUAAAAGACCCCUUAACAGGAAUUUCCCCUUCUAGCCUAUUAUGAGACGCAUUAAAUUGUUUGAGAUGUGAAAGUGUCUCCAAUGACUUGGGAAUUUUUCCAGAGAGAUUGUUGCCGGAGAGAUCUAAGGAUUCUAAGCUUAUCAAACUGCCAACUGAUUCAGGAAUAGGUCCUUGAAAUUGAUUACUAGCCAAGGAUAGAGUUUCUAGAUCUACGAGGGCACCAAUGGUUGAUGGAAUAUCACCUGAUAAUUGAUUCCUUAAUAAAUCUAAAACUCUCAAGACCUUUAACUUUUGUACAUUGGAAAGGAGAGGACCAUUAAAUGAAUUUGACGACAAGUUUAUCUCUAAGAUGUACUCAAGGCUCCACAAGGAUGACGGUAUACUAGAAGUGAGCUUGUUGGAGCCUAAGCGGAGUUCUCUUAGAGAUGUCAAACUCGCCAAGCAUGGCAGUAUAUGUCCAGAGAGCUUAUUUCCAUUUAACCUUAUUCCGUACAUCAACGCCAAGUGGCAAAGAUCAUAGGGAAUGGAUCCUUCCAAAUUAUUUUCUUCAAGAGAUAAACCUUGUAGCCGCUUAAGUCUUCCCAUCGUUGGUGAAAUAGUUCCAUUCAAGUCAUUGAAGCCGAGGCUUAAGAGGAUCAGGCCACGCAACUUACCAAUUUCUUGAGGAAUGUUGCCCUUGAGUUUGCACUCGUAUGCAUAGAAUUUUUGAAAAGAAGCAGAGAAAUUCCCAAUUACUGGCGGAAGGAUGCCGCCUAAUGGAUUAGAACCGAAGGAUAAAAAUGUUAAAUUUCUGCAAUUAGUCAAAGAAGAGAGAAAACUCCAUUGAUCUGCUGAAGAUGAUUCUGUCGUCAAGUUAUUCAUCAUAAGGCUGAGCACGCUGAGGUGUCUCAAGUUGCCAAAUGUAUUUGGAAUGUGGCCUGAGAAUGAGUUUACGCCCAAGUCUAGCAUAAUGAGUUUAGUAGCAUUGGUAAUAGAGUUGGGAAUUGUCCCCAUGAGAUUAUUGGCCCACAAGGUUAAAUACCCUAUGUUCCGAAGCGAUUGGCCAAUCGUUGACGGUAAGCGGCCUGAAAGUUGAUUGCUAAGUAGAUUAAGGAAUCUUAUGGUUGAAAUAUUGAAGAUCGUGGGUGGAAUGAGGCCACUUAAAUUAUUCACACCAAGAAUAAGACGCUCCAAAUUUUGCAGAUUGCCAAUCUCGGUUGGAAUUUCACCUGCCAUAAGGCCAACAUUGAGGAGUCAUUGAGGUUUUAGCUUACGGUAAAUUGAGUGUGACAAUGUUACCCUUGAAAAUGUAAAAGGAUCAAAUUAAAUUUAUUACAUAAUAAUUUCAGCCAAUAAUGUUCUUUAAAAUAUUUCAUAGAUAAUUCUGCAAAAUAUGCAUGCAAAUGGAAAAAUAUGCGUCAAUUAUAAGAGGUGGUGGAACGUACCUUGAAGAUUGCUGAAGCUAAGAUCCAGAUUCACGAGUUUACUCAAAUUUCCAAUCCUUGAAGGAAUAUUUCCACCAAUAAUAUUGAACCGUGCACGCAGCAUCUCUAGCCUUGAUAAGUUGAAGAGAGAAUUAGGGAUGGGUGUUGGGAAAAUAUGCUCUUUAAAAGCAUAUGUGUUUAUUUAAUUGUAAUAAACAAUUUUUCUGAUUAAUAAAAUAAAUGAGGUAUUUUAUUCAAAUAUCUUAAUUGCAUUAAUAUUUGUAUUAAAGUCCAUUUAAUCAUAUUAUAUGUAUUUAUGUGAUCACCAUGUGGAUUCACAGAAGACAUAAAUACAAGUUAUCUUAUGAUUAAAUAAAUUUAGUUCGCAGUUGAUAAAUAAAGUUGGACACUUUAUUUAGGUAUAGACUGUAAUAAAUUCAUUGAAUGAUUUGUCUUAAUCAUGUAUGAAUUUAUUAAUGUAGUACGACUACAUUGAACAGGAUCACAUAUGAGAUUUAAUUAACUUUGUAAUAACUGUCAGACUUAUUAAAUCUCAUAGGCGUUGAUUUUACUGUAAUCUUAAUCUUGAGUUAAUUAUGAUUUCAUGAUUGUAAUUGUUAUUCCAUUUGAGUUACCAAUGGGCACGACACAUUCUUGUGGUCAAGAUUACCCGAUAUCUUGGUGGGAGCAAUUAUGAGUAUUGGAGUUAUGGAUUAACAAUAUAGAAUUUGUACAACACAUCUCUUGAUGGGUUUUCGGCACUUGAUCAUAGAAUUCUCUGGCCAGAGUGUGUCAACAUAUUUAGUAUGUUGAAAAUGAUCAUUAGAGAAAACCAGUAAGGAUCAAGGAAUAAGAUGUUAUUAAAUUGAUUGGACAGUUGAGAUAUCAAUUUAAUUAACGAUGUGGUACAAAAGAUUGUGCAGUAAAGAAAUCAAUGUGGCUUGGGACGAAUUAUUAUUCGAGCAUACAAUUAUGGAAGUCAGUUCCAAUCUUUUAGUGGAGUAGAUUUGGAAUUAAAUAAUUGGGCUAGUUUAAUUACAGGCCUAAUUAUUGUAGCUACUAUUGUAUGUUCCCAAAUGAUCCCCGGGUUAGCUCAUUUAAUUGACUGCACCACUACUGGACUAAUAAGUAAGAUAACUAGCGAUUUGGGUCAAAAGCCUAAAUAUAUCAUUUAGUGGGAGGCUCCAUUUAAUUAGCUUUUGUAUAAGGGGCCUUAUGUUAUUUUACAAGGUGGGUCCCCUAUUGAAAAAGUAAAUAAACGUGAGUUUUAUUUAGGGCAUUAUUUGGAGCCUAGGGUUUUCACUAAAGGGAGAUAUAUAAGGCUUAUUUUUCCCUAAAGAAAAGUAGAGAAGCACUUUUUAUACAGAUCAGAGAAAAAGAUUUUUCUCUCCAUUGUUGAGAGAAAAAUUUUCUCGUGCUAGUUGCUUUGGUAGUGAUAAAGGCGCCCGCACGUCAAGUGCAGAUCGAACCUGAGUCAUAACCUGGAAGAUCAUUGGAGACAGUUCGUGAUCUAACAAGCGUGGUGGUGACGGAUCGUGAUCUAACAGGAGUGGUGGUGGCGGAUCGUGAUCUAGGAGCCUAAAUCACUUCAGCGGAAAAAGCCAACUCAGAUUUUCAAGGUACGAUUUCUGAAUUACGUAUUCCUAUAUAUUAUAUGAGAGCGGUCCUUAAAAGGUUUUAUAAAAAUUUUAAAAACCUGAUUUUUCCCCAACAAUGGGACCUGUGAAACUGUUAUUAUCAAGAAUCAAUAUUUGGAGGUUAGAUAAUACACCAAUCCAUGAUGGAAAGCUUCCACUCAAUUUAUUGUAAGCGAAACUCAUGACUCUGAGUCGACGUAAUUGCCCCAGUUCUUUCGGCAGAUGGCCAUGAAAAUUGUUCUCACUAAUGUCAAGAGACACUAGAAAUGAGAGAUUUCCCAAGUGUAGUGGAAUGGUGCCUCCGAGACCCAUAUCUGAAAGAUUCAAGGCAGUGACUCUUUGAUGGCGUGAACCACAAGAGAUACCAACCCAGCUACAUAUUGGAUAAGAUAUAGACCAAUUAUUUGUCAGGACACUUCGAUAAUCAACGACACGGGCUUUGAAUGCAAGAAGAGCCGAUUGAUCGGUUGUUAAGUUGCUCAAAGUCGUCAUAGCUAAGCUAGCUAUGAAAUAUUGUAACAACAACAUAGGAACAAAGAAGAAUGAUAAGCGCAUAUUGGUCUUUUUUUUUUUUUUUUAUAGAUGCAGCAAUCUAAUUGCUAAGUGAAGUUGAUACAAGUUUUAAGUGAAGGUAAUUAGCAUAUACUUAUACAAGAGACGUAUGAAUUUGAAAACAAGAAAAUAAAAAAUGUACAGGAGAGUGGAGACUUGCAAAUUGUUAUAUUCUAUCAUUGAGCGAGUCGUCCGAGUAAACGCAUAUAGAUUUUUAAAUUGUUAUACGCCGCUGUACUCGAACCCUGAAUAAAGGGCUUAUGGCACUUUACUUACCAAAAAGAAGAAGAUGCUCCACAUUGGCAAGGCCUAUGCAUUCUGUCUAUUUGUUCACAUUAUGCCGAGGCUCAUGGCAACCACAAUUGUUCUUUUCCUUUCCUUUAAAAAUAAAAAAAAGACAGACCAUGACAUUUGGGCUAAUAAUUAUCACUAAACAAUUAAUAAUGCAGAGGGUCAGUGCUAAUAUAGCUUUAAAAUAAUUGUUAUUAGUUGUGCCUUGAAAAAAAAGAAAAAAAAUAGAUAGUUGUACCCCCAUAAUUUAAUGAAAUAAUCAUGUAAAUUCCUAAGCUUUUAACAAUAUACACCAAGACCCCCUUCUGUUACUUUUUACUAUUUAUUCGGAUGUCACAUGCUUUUUUUUUAAAUUUUCACAGUGGAUAUCAAAUGCUGAAUUUACUGUUAUUCCCAGAUCAUGUCAUCGCUUACUUCUACACAUAUUGAUUGUUUUCCCAAAGUUUUAAUUGAAUUAAAAUCAUUCUAAUUAACCUAAAAAAAAAGCAUCCAACCAGAUAUAAAUUUUCUAAUUAACCUAAAUCUUCAUUUUUGUCAUGAUUUUGGAUCUCGAACAGGUUGGGUAUAUCCAACUAGACCUGCCCCAUUAGCAUGCCAAUAUAUUCUGGAAUUGGAAGAGUAUCAAGGAUUUAAUGUGUAAUUUUAAAUUUGUAACGUUUAAUUCUAAUUUGAGGAUUCAAAUUGAAAGAAUUAUAAAAAGAGUUGUUUGUUUCUUGAGGAAGUAUUAAGAAAAUUCUAGAAGAGUUGUGAAACUGAAUUCGUUAUUUUCUUAAUCACAGAAUGUUACAAACUAUGGAUAUUUAUACUUACAUUUCUCAACUUUGAUCAGUGUAACUAAUCAAAGAAUUAAUCAGCUAACUUUCAUCACAAUACAUUUUGUGUUUCUAACAAACUGUAACUAACUAAGCUGAGCUGGCAGCUACACUUCUGCAACACUCUAUAUUCUUCUUUAGCUUAAUUAAGCUUUUCCUUCCUCUGUUUCUCCUUGCUUCGUUCUCCAUAAUGAGCUACUCUAACACAAAUGAAUUUAUGCGGAUCUAAAAGGGGACUGAAGAUUGGCAUGCAUACAUACAUAAAUACAUACAUAUAUAUAUAUAUAUAUAGAGAGAGAGAGAGAGAGAGAGAGAGAGAGAGAGAGAGAGAGAGAGAGAGGUUAUAUAACAUUCUUCUUGAUGAAGAUUUUUGUGCCAUACGAAUUAAAGAGAGUAUUGGGUCGAUGGUUACAUUGCUUCAGAGGUGCUUAGUAGAAACUUUGGUGAGGCAUCACAUAAUUUAAAUUACUAGAUUUACCGAGAUAUAUAUGUAUGUAUGUAUAUAUAUUCCACAUUGGAUUUACAAGCAUUUCGAGCAGGAUAAUGAAUUUCAAUUACUCGGAAUUGUAAACAGCGAAGAAAGUGAAAUUGCUAAGAAGAUGAAUAUUGUUGUUUUGUGGUGUAUGCGGACUCGUCCAUGAACAGAGGGAUAGAAAUGUUAUUGCAAAAAAGCAGACUGACUAGCAGUGACGCUUUGAAUAAGUCCACCAAACAUCUCCUCCUCCAGGACCACCAAUAUAUUCUUCCAUCAUUCAACGUCGUGACGUGGGGAUCAGAAUUAAAUUAUAGGAUGCUUGUAAGUUUCCUUUGUGGAACCUGUGAAUUUGUGACGUCAAAAGUCAAUGAUGCAUGUAAAUAUUGAUAAACAUUUACACUAGCCGGCCCGUGUAGAGUCCGUUUGACUCAUAAAUAUUUGUCACUUUCACUCUUUUUCAAAACCCAAAAGCACGCUAAAGCUUAAUCUUUAAAGAAUUUUUGAUUGAGUGCUGACAUUUUGGGCUUAUCUUUAAGUAAUCUUAUACCACGCAUGCAUUUUUGUCAUUGUGUGAUCGUCGUUACUUCUAAAGAUUGUAAUCUUUAAGAAAUAAAUUACUUCUCUUGAGAGUGAAAGCAGGGCAGCUAUUGGCGUAUUGCAAUGCAGCUGCUAUGUAUAGUAGUCAAUUCUUGAAAAGAACUAGUUUUCUUAAAUUGUAAAUGGUCCCCUUUAUGACUGGGAGAUUUUGAACAAAAUGAAUAUGAUGAAUUCUUUCCUUGAAGUCUCAUCUUUCAUAAUGUUUUUGAAAUAAAGAUAUUACCAUCUCUGGCUAAAUGUUUACUCUUGAUUUGGACCACCUAAUCUGAACUUAAUGAAAGAUUAUGAUCUUGCCUGAUUUUAUGGAUGUGGUCUUAUCUCACUAAGUCAGUAAUGAAUUAAUUAAAGUUUACUGUCAAAUUACGAACUCAAAAACUGCUGCUGCUUCAUUAUUCACAAUACCCAAAUUCAGUGCAGAACUUAUUAUAAGCUUUCCGAAAGUUUUACGCUUUCUUUCCCCCAAAUCCCAAGUACUUCUUGUAAUAUCACUCCCCUGUAGAUGUCUUCCCCUAAGACAUGUUUAACUUUGGUUCAGGGUGACAAAGCUAUCGCUUUUCCUGCCGUGUGCAACAAGCUAUUAAAUUAGAGUAUUUAUUUCUGUAUUACUAAUAGUAGUAAGAGAGGCGAAAUGGAAACUUGAAUUCAUGUUUAUACAACAGUUUGUUUAUAAAUAAAUGAGUUGAUAACAAGUCAUUUUAAAUAUUUGCCAAAAAAAACGGUGAAUGAUGUCUAGUUCUAUUUUCAAUGUUCAGAGUCCAAUUUUGAUUACUGGAAAUUUUAAUUAUGAAGUUGAACUAAGAAUUUGUUAUAAUAUAUCAAAAACAGUAAUAACUCGAUUUACAGGGUGAGAAAGAAAAGAAAGACGCUACGAGGGAAGCAGAGAUUCAAAGACUUCGCCACUUUGUUGGAGGAACAAUUUCAUAAAUCUCCAGAAUAUUGACAUAAAACACAUACCAUAUCUAGCGUUAAGUGUAUUUAUGUAUGUCCAAAGAUAAAAAUUCGAAGAUAUAAUUUAUCAUUUCAAUUUAUGUUCUGCCCAAAGCAAUGGCUUUUAUUCCACAAGCACAAACAAGAAAGAGUACGCACAAAGUUAACAAACACACAUAGCAAACGUGACAUCAACUACUUGCAGCAGCAUCAUCCAGAAACUUCACUCUAAUCUUCUUGAGCUUUUCAGCGGCAACUUUCGUAGAUGCCCUCUGUUCUGGUGACUCCAUGCAACAAUCCAAUGCCGAAUGCAUGAUGCUUAAUAAACAAUUCAUUUUAGGAGAAAAAACUUGCUCUUCUCUCACCAAGUUUGCAUCGACAACAUCACUCAAUGCACGAGGUAAUGACUCCCUUACCCAGUCUCUUAAACUUAUUUCUCCGGUAAACAAUUCAUUUGUGGGCUUCUUUCUGGUGAAAGUUUCCAUCAAUAAAACACCAUAACUAUAGACAUCACCUUUGGCCGAAAUCAUUCCUUCUAAUCCAUACUCUCCAUUUUUUGGUUUCGAUAGAUCAAAUGGAUAUGACAUCAUAAAACAAAUGAUAAACAAAUAAUAUAUUUGACAGUCAAGAUGGCCCAAACUUUGACUGUGCUUCGAAAAGAGCGAAAAUUUGAAAUUAUAAUUGAAACCUUACCUGGUGCCAUAUAACCAGUUGUAGCCACUGUCAUGAUUUGGGUCACAGAAUCUUCUCCAUCACCUAAGAGUUCGGAGAUGCCGAACUCACAUGUGCCACCAUAUUUUCAUCCAAGAGAAUGUUGCGAGGCUUCAAAUCACAAUGAAUUACAGGUGUUGAUGAAUGAUCGUGAUGGAGAUAUUCAAGUGCCAGCCGCACAUCUAUCAUUAUAUUCAACCUCUCUAGGAUAUCUAGGAAAUAGUUGUGAGAACACAACCAUUUCUCAAGACUACCAUUGAGCAUGAACUCAAGCACCAGUACUUUAGAAUCUGGAUUGCAACAGCUGCUAGUGAUCUUUGUGAGAUCUUGAUGACGAACAUUCCACAAUACUUCACAUUCAGAAUCAAAACUCCUAAAGGCUCUCUCUAGCUGCAGAUUGAAAACCUUUAUUACAAUAAUAGUCACAUCAUAAAGUGUGCCUUUAUAAACAGAUCCGAAGCUCUCCGUACCUAGCAGGAUACAUUCACUAAAUCCAUCAGUUGCUCGUUGAAUAUCAUGAUAGGAUAGUCUUCUAUAUGUUGUCGAAGAGAACAAAUCUUCUUUAUCUGGAGUUCUUGUUUUCCUAUUUUGAAAUAUUAUGAAGAAUCAUAACAAUUGUUAUUAGUGCAUUGGAUAUAAUCGAAGGCAAAGUAUAUUUCAGGACAAGCAGAGUAGCAUUCUUGGAUCCUUUGCUAUUAUCUUCUUUGCAAGGUGGGACUUGAAGGCCUGGUGGACCACAUAGUGCAUAAUUCUCAAAAAACGAUUGAGCUGAAAUGUUUUUAAAAGGUCCUUUGAUAGGAAUUACCCCUUCUAGCCUAUUGUGAGACACAUUAAGUUGUUUGAGAUAUGAGAGUGCCUCCAUUGACUUUGGAAUUUCUCCAGAGAGAUUGUUGCUAGGGAGAUCCAAAGAUUCCAACCUUAUCAAACUACUAAAUGAUUUAGGGACCAGACCAUAAAAGUGGUUUCUAGCCAAGGAUAAAGUUGCUAGAUCUUUGAGGCCACCAAUACUUACUGGUAUAUCACCUGAUAAUUGAUUUCUUGAUAAAUCAACUCUAUUAAGACCUUUAAGUUUUGUAUAUCUGAAGAUAGAGGACCACUUAGAGAAUUUGUCGACAAGUUUACAUACAAGAUGUACUCAAGAUUCCACAAGGAUGAUGGGAUACUAGAAGUGAGCGUGUUGUAGCUUAAAAAGAGUGUUUUUAAGGAAUUGAAUAUCUAAAAUCUUGUAUGUAAAUAUUAACACUUAGAGAAUUUGUCGACAAGUUUUUAAGGAUUUACUGAUUAAAUAAUUUUUCAAUUUGUUUGCCUGGAGGAAUUGAAUAGUUAACUGAUUAAAGGAUUUCAAGGUGGUUAGGUCUAGCCGAGCAUUGUAAAUAUUAACAGUCAUUAUGAAUGUGUAAUUCCUAUAUGUGAAAUUGAAUUUCCAUGGUAGAAUGGUAAAUUUCUGGUAGGGUGUGAUUGUAUGGUAGACAAUUGUGAGCAACAGAUCCACAUAGUAAUAUAGACUGAAAUUUUGCGUCUUAAUCCAUGAAGAGAUAUAGAUUUUGGCAAAUAUUAUACAAGCACUUGGGGCAGGGGUGGCUUUAGGUAUAGGCGAAUAAGGCAGUUGUCUAAGGCCCCAUAUUUUGUGAAGGCCUCAUUUUUUUUAAAUUACGUAUUUUAGGAAAUCAAAAAGUUUAUUAACAUCUCUCUAAUUUAUUAAUUAUCCUAUAGUUAAGAAUUAUUUUUUAUGAAAAAUUUAUAUUUGAUAACAUUAAGUUAAAGAGAUAUAACUAAUAAUAUUAUUUAAUUAUUAGUAUUUCCAAAAAAAAUUAAAUUAUUAGUCUUUUCAAUUUCCUAAAAAAAAUAAUUAUUUAAUGUUAGAAUCUUUGACUUUUAGUAUUUCUUUUACUUUCUAUUAAAAACUUUGUAAUCUCAAAAAUCAGUAAAUCAAAAAAUUUCUUCCUCUCUUCUCUACAAAGAAAAUUAUUAUAUUCAUUGGUUCAUUUAAAAAAAAAUCAGUUUAUAGAAAUAUAAAGUCCAUUUCUAUUAUCUGAUCAUUAAUUCAUCAUCUCAACUUUUUAUAUUCUAUCAUUCUAAAUAUAUUAUUUGAAAAUAAUAUUAUUCUUAUUUAUUUGUUUGUUUAUUUUGUAAUAGUUUUAAUGGAAUAAAAAUGAUAUCUUCUUAACUUUUUUUAGGUUUUAUUUUUAAAAUUCAAGAAUUAAAAAUGGAAUAAAUUUUGAGCCUUUUUUUAAAAUUUCUUUGAGUAUUGAAAUUGCAAUUUUUUUUUUAAAUUUCUUUGAGUAUUGAAAUUGCAAUUUCUUUUUAAAAUUUCUUUGAGUAUUGAAAUUACAAAAUAAAUAGAGGCCUCAUAAAAAAAUUUCGCCUAAGGUCCCAAACACUCUAAAGCCGGCCUUGACUUGGGGUUACCUUAAAUAUUAUGGACUUGUCAUUGAUCAUUGAUAGAGUUUCUUUUACCUAGUUAUUGAUAUUUCUUUCAAUUUUCUAUUUUACUGAUACCACAAUUUUAGGUGGCAAGACAACUUUCGAUUUCUAUUAAGCCUGAAAACCUGCAUCUACCAUCACCUCUGUCUGCUUUUGGGGAAUACGAGUUUCCUAUGCGCUUACCCAAAAUACGAGGUCCAGUGGACUCUCAAUGUUAAAGUCCACGGCAAAUAAACAAUCGUUUCAUUUGUUUUGUAUCCAAAUUCCAAAUUCCAUUGAAGAUAAUACAGGCAACAUUGUUUGCAACGCCACAGCUAAUUUGCAGUAGGAUGAAACAAUCAGAAUUUUGCCUUUUUCGUGUAUAAAAUUUUAUUUUUUUAAUUGUGAUAUUACAGUUUUGCCCAUCAAGCAUUAUGAAGCUUAAUAUUUAGAUAAAUGUUAGGUUUAAUCUAUAAAUUUUAACUUCAGUGUUUAUUUAAUUUUUAUAUUUUGUAAAAUAUCUCAAGACAGCCCUAUUCUCAAAUAUUGGCUUGAUCCGUAUAUAUUAACAUCAGUGCUUAUUUAGGUUUUAUAUUUUACAAAAUACUUUAAGGCAGUUCUAUUAUCAAAUAUGUUAUGCUCUUGCUUUCAUUUUUUCUUUGUUUUUAUAAUAAUACUCUGAUAACAAAAUUUUUUUACAUUAAUUUUUUAAUCAAUAAAAAAGGUAACUACCAAAUUAACCGAUAAAUUAAUUUGUUUAUUUUUUUAAUCAAUAAAAAAUUUAAUUAAUAUUAAUUAAUAAAUUACUUGGUAGCAAAUUAAAAAAUAAAUAUUAGCAUAAAACAAUUGAUAUUUUUCAUUCUCUUACAACAAUCUUACUAAUUAUUAUUUAUAAAUUAAUUAAUACAAGUUAAUUUAAAGUAAUGUUUAAUAUUCUUGUAACAAUCUUACUAAUAAUUUUUUUUGUAAAAAAUAAUUUAUUAAAUUAAUCCUAAAAGUAAAAUAAUAAUAAUUAAUUUAUAAUUUAUUUUUAAGGUUAAUUUGAUAAAUUCAAAUUUUUUUAAUUAAUAUCUCCAAAAAUAUAGUUGCAACGAUAUUAUUACAAAAGUUAAAAAAAAGUAAAUAUAGGAUUGUAAUAUAACUGUCAGUGAAAAUAAUUUAAAAUAUUUUUUAUAAUUAAACGGACAUUUAAUUAAAAAUAUAAAGAACUAAAUAAACAUGUAUUUUGUAACAUUUCAACCUGCUGGCUAAUGGUCAUACAAUCAUGGUGAGGCCCGGGAUGUCCGGCCCAGCCCAUCAUGUAAAAAGCCAUGUCACCCUUAUUCUUAAGCUGCUACUGCAUUGCCACUUUGCCAGUUGCCACGAAGCUCCCCACAUCACACCGCACUGAUGCCUCUAGAAAACUAACUUAAAAAAAUGGUAUUAAUAAGCGUUCGCCACGUCACUCCUCACUCUCUUCUUCGUCACUUUCCUCUCACUCAACAUUUUCUCCCCAAACAAAUUCCUGCUUUGAAAAAUCGCAUUUUCUCCUUCACAGCAACAGCUACAAUGUCUUCAACUUCCAAAAAGGUAAUUAUUUUAUUUUAUUUUUUGUUUAGUUUCUUUCUGUUGCCUUUUUGUUUCGUUUUUGAAUUUUCCGUGUCGUUUUUUUCCAAGGUUUUGGUGCCUGUUGCGAACGGGAGUGAGCCGAUUGAGGCUUUGAUAACGAUCGAUGUUUUGAGAAGGUCUGGAGCAGACGUCGCGGUUGCGUCUGUGGAGACACAGCUUCGUGUCGACGCGUGUCAUGGUGUCAAGGUUGUCGCUGAUGCUCUGGUGUCUGACUGCCGCGACGCCGUUUUUGAUCUUAUAGCUCUUCCCGUAUGUAUUGCAGCUCGCCUUAGCUCAUGCCAAUUUAUGUGAUGUUUGUAUAAUUAUAGAUGAUUAUUGCUGAUCCUGAAUGUUAAGCUAAAUAAUUCGUCGUUAAGUCAUCUUCAUUUAAUUUUCGAUUGAAAAUGAACUAAUAAUAAUUUUAAGCAAAGAAAAAAAAUGGAAAAUGUUUAUUUUGUUUUAUUUUUAUUUUUUAAUUUUUUGGGAUUUCCUUAUUGUGGCUGUUACCAUUCAUUAUGUGGUCCUAGUUAAAUAUUUCAAGUUGUUGUAGUCAGUGAAAUUCUUUUCGAUAUUUAUUCUGGCAUGUAUGUUUUUCCUUUUCAAUUUCUUUUGUUGCUGAUUUUUUGGUUAUGUUAUAUCCUUUUUUAUUUCCCUUGUAGGGUGGCAUGCCCGGUGCUACCAAUCUGAAAGAAUCUGAAGUAUUAGAAAGCAUUGUGAAGAAGCAGGCUUCAGAUGGGCGUCUUUAUGCUGCUAUCUGUGCUUCACCUGCUGUGGCGUUAGGGUCUUGGGGUCUGUUGAAGGGAUUGAAGGUAAGAAUUAGAUAAACCUUUUUGAUGUUUUGUGGUCUUUUGGGAAUUGCACUGAUAUUUUUGUUAUAGUUCAGUUUUCUUCUGGCUGAUGAUUCUUAAGUUCUAAUUUAUGUAGUUGUUCAUUUUUCGUAGGCUACUUGUUAUCCAUCAUUUAUGGAGCAAUUAGCUCCUGCUUGUGCAGCAACUGUUGAAUCAAGAGUACAGCAGGAUGGUAAAGUUGUUACGAGUCGUGGACCGGGCACUACCAUGGAGUUUGUCGUUGCACUUGUUGAGCAGUUGUAUGGGAAAGAGAAAGCUGAUGAAGUUUCUGGGCCACUGGUAUUAACUUUUAUAGAUAACGUUGUUUAAAAAAAUUAUGAGUUAUAUAAUUUGUGGAAAUCCAUUCUAAUAGAUUCAUUUGGUGUGUCUAGUUGGAAGUUUCAGAGGCUAAUGUAUUCAAGAAAAUAAGUUCAGGGGAAGAGUAUGACUUUUUGCAUUAGUGAUUCAUUAGAUGAAAUUGCAUACCUGCUGGUCCAUCAUAAGGUGGUGAAAACAAUGUUUGAUUUAAUUAAUGGGAUCCUGAAAUAUGCAUUUGUUGAGCUUCAAUGUCUCCACUGAUAAAAUUCUUUUUAAUGUAAGUUCUUUCUCUUGGUAUUUGUAUUUGAAUUUUCUGUUCCUCAUGCUUUCGUCUUUACUGUCACCUUGUGCCUAGGUAAUGCGUGCAAAUCAUGGAGAUGAAUACACUAUUGCUGAGUUCAAUCCAAUUCAGUGGACAUUUGACAAUUCUCCCCAGGUGAGAUUGGACUGUUAGUUUCUUGUAUUUGUUUUUCUUCUUCCAUGUUUUGAGGGAUACCCAUUUGGUAGUAAAUAAAAAUUUGUGAUAUCUUCUAUACAUGUACAUAUACAUCAUUGACUUCACUCAUUUGUGAACAUAUUGGAGGUAGCAGAUAUAUUUUUAUGAUAAAUCCAAAGUUUGAUCAACUACAAAAGAAGUAUGAGCGUUGCUGGACCAGGGGGGAAGGUUGAGGGUGGAUGGGCUGGGGGUGUACGGCGCAUGAACAAAAGGAAAUUAUAGGGGUGAAAGUUCAUGCCAUCCACAAGUUGUAAAAUGGGUACAUAAUAUUUCAAAUUAGAGAUUGUGAGAUCCUUAAAGAUUGCUGACUUGUGCUUAAAAUGGAACUCUUGAUAACUUCAAAUGUUAUAAGUUCUUGGUGAAAUUUUGUGCUUUCUUUUCUUUCAGAUUCUUGUGCCUAUUGCGAAUGGUUCAGAGGAGAUGGAAGCUGUUAUGAUAAUUGAUAUUCUGCGACGAGCUAAAGCAAACGUUGUGGUUGCAUCGGUUGAGGAUAAACUAGAAAUUCUGGCUUCUCGUCAAGUUAAAUUAGUGGCAGAUGUGCUCAUUGAUGAGGCAGCUAAACUUUCGUAUGAUUUAAUUGUCUUGCCAGUAAGUUGUGGUGCUUACUCUUGCUUCAUAGUCUUUACCACAUUAUUGACUAACUAACUACAAUUUAUCUAUACACAUUGCGCAGGGUGGACUUGGUGGCGCUCAAGCAUUUGCGAAGUCAGAGAAAUUGGUGAAUAUGCUAGAGAAGCAAAAGGAAUCAAAUAGACCUUACGGUGCUAUAUGUGCAUCCCCAGCUUUAGUGUUGGAGCCCCAUGGCUUACUCAAGGUACGACAUUUCUGCUUAAAUUAUUUACUCAGAUUUGCAUCACCUAAUCUGAACUUAAUGAAAGAUUAUGAUGUUGUAUGAUUUUAUGAAUGUGUUCUUAUAUCAUGUAAGUCAGCAAUGAAUUAAUUGAAGUUUGCUGACAAAUUAGAAGCUCAAAAACUGCUGCUUCUUCAUUAGUUAAUUACCCAAAGAGUUAAGAUAGGCAUCCCAAAUUUGUUAUCCCAAAUGAUAUGGCAUUUAUUGAGUGAUUGGUAUUAAUUGUAUUAUCUAACCCACCAACAGAUGAAUGCCGCACCAUUUGAGACGAUCUUUUGGGAUAAAAAAUUUGGGAAGUGUAGCAAAUUUUUAUGCUGAUUUUUUUGGCUUCAUUCAUGUAAACUCCCCCCCCCCCCCCCCCCAAAAAAAAAGGAAAAAACCAACAAACACCCAAAAAAAAAAAAUUCUGAAGUACUUCCCGUAAUAUCAUUCCUGUGUAUUUCUUUUCCCCUCAAGACAUAUUUAACUUUGGUUCAGGGUAAAAAAGCUACAGCUUUUCCUGCCAUGUGCAACAAGCUGUCAGAUCAGAGUGAAAUCGAAAACAGGGUUGUGGUUGAUGGCAACCUUAUCACCAGCAGAGGGCCAGGAACUUCUAUGGAGUUUGCACUGGCAAUUGUGGAGAAGUUUUUUGGCCGCAACAAAGCGCUUGAGCUUGCAAAGAUAAUGCUUUUCACUCGCACCUAAAGUUUUUACUGAAACCUGCCUACUAUUAAACUAGAGUAUUUAUUUCUGUAUUACUACUGCUUGUAGAGAGUGGAAAUGGAAACUUGAAUUCGUGUUUGAAUAUGGAUUCACUGUGCGGGUUUGUACAACAGUUCGUUUAUAAAUAAAUGAGUUCAUAGUCAUUUUGAAUAUUUGGAAUAAGCGUGAUUGCUGUUGAGUUCUGUUAUCAAUGUUCGGAGUCCAAUUGUGGUUGAGAGGGAUAUAAUUACCGUUACUGGGAAUUUUAGUUGUGAACUAAAAAUUUGUUAUAUUACAUUCCACCUUUCUACAGAAUCCUUUGGAAUAAUAAAUAUACAUCAAAUAAUAACUCGAUUUUCGGGAUAAGAAGGAAAAAAAAAAAAAGCAGAGACUGAAAAGAACAGAAUUGGCCGUUUUGUUGGAGCAUAAAUCUCUAGAAGAUUGAAAUAAAACAGAUACCAUAUCUAGUUUCAAGUAUGUUUAUGCAAGAAUAUACAAAUUUGAAGAUUAGAUUUCUCAUUUCAAUUUAUGUUCUGCUCAAAGCAAUGGCUCUUAUUCCACAGGCACAAACAGGAAAGAGUACGCACAAAGUAACAAGCACACUUAGCGUAUGUUGCAUUAACUACUUGCAGCAACAUCAUCCAGGAACUUCGCUUUGAUCUUCCUGAGCUUUGCUGCAGCGUCUGUCAUAUGUAUCCUCUUGUGAGGUGUGUCCAUACAACAAUCCAAUGCCAAAUCCAUGAUGCUUAAUAAACAAUCCAUUUUGGCAGAAAAAGCUUGCUCUUCUCGCACCAAAUUUGCAUCAACAACUUCGGUCAAUCGGUGAGGUAGUGACUCCUUUACCCAUCUCCGUAAACUCAUUUCUCCUGUGAACAUUUCAUCGGUGGGUUUCUUUCCCGUGAAAGUUUCCAUCAAUAAAACACCAUAACUGUAGACAUCACAUUUGUUUGAAACAAUUCCUUCUGAGCCAUAUUCUGCAUUUUUUAAUUUCAAUGUUUCAAGUAGAUAUGUCAUUAUGAAACAACUAGAAAAAGCAAAUAAUUUUGUGAUAAUUAAGGUAAUCCAAAGUUUGCUCGUGCUUGAAAAAAGAGCAAAAAUUUUAAUUACAAUUGAAACUUUACCUGGUGCCAUAUAACCAAUUGUAGCCAUUGUCAUGGUUUGUGUCACAGAAUCUUCUCCUUCACCUAAGAGUUUGGAAAUGCCAAAGUCGCUCACACGUGCCACCAUAUUUUCAUCCAAGAGAAUGUUGGUAGGCUUCAAAUCACAAUGAAUUAUAGGUGCCGACGAAUGACCAUGAUGGAGAUAUUCAAGAGCUGACCCCACAUCUAUCAUUAUAUUCAACCUCUGUAGAAUGUCUAAGAAAUAGUUGUGAGAAUACAACCACUUCUCAAGACUACCAUUUGGCAUGAACUCAAGUACCAAUGCUUUGAAAUCUAGAUUAGAACAGCUGCUAAGGAUCUUUAGGAGAUUUCGAUGACGAACAUUCCGUAGAAUUUCACAUUCAGAAUCAAAACUCCUAAAUGCUCUCUCCAAUUGCAGAUUGAAAAUCUUAAUUGCAACAUUAGUCCCAUCAGAAAGGGUUCCUUUAUAAACUGAUCCAAAACUGCCUGUACCAAGUAAGUUGCAUUCAUUAAAUUCAUCAGUUGCUCGUCGAAUGUCUAAGUACGAUGUUCUUCUCCAUGUUGCGCGAGGCAAAAAAUCUUCAUGAUCCAAAUGCUUUGUACUCCUAGUUCGGCAUCUUAUGUACAUAAUGAUGAUGAUCGCUACAAGUGCAGUGGAUAGUAUCGAAGGCAAAAUAUAUUGAAGGACAAUUGGAGCAACUUUAUUGGUUGUUUUUCUGUUAUCUUGCUUGCAAGGUGGGACUUGGAGUCUAGGUGGACCACAGAGUGCAUAAUUCCCAAAAUAUGAUUGAGCUGAGAAGUCUUUAAAAGACCCCUUGACAGGAAUUUCCCCUUCUAGCCUAUUGUGAGAUACAUUAAACUGUUUGAGAUGUGAAAGUGCCUCCAAUGACUUAGGAAUUUUUCCAGAGAGAUUGUUGUUAGAGAAAUCUAAGGAUUCUAAGCUUAUCAAACUGCCAACUGAUUCAGGAAUCGGACCCUGAAAUUGAUUACCAGCCAAGGAUAGAGUUUCUAGAUUUUUGAGGGUACCAAUGGUUGAUGGAAUAUCACUUGAUAAUUGAUUUCUUGAUAAAUCUAAAUCUAUCAAGACCUUUAACUUUUUUAUAUUCGAAGGGAGAGGACCCUUUAAUGAAUUUGACGACAAGUCUAUACGCAAGAUGUGUUCAAGACUCCACAAAGAUGAUGGUAAACUAGAGCUGAGCUUAUUGGAGCCUAAGUAGAGGCUUCUUAGAGAAGUCAAACUCGCCAAGCAUUGUGGUAUAGUUCCGGAGAGCUUAUUUCCACCUAAGCUUAAUAUAUUCAACCUCUCCAAAUGGCAAAGAUAAUUGGGAAUGGAUCCUUGCAAAUUAUUCUUAUAGAGAUAUAAACCUUGCAGCUGUUGUAAUUUUCCCACAGAUGCUGGUAUGGUGCCAUUCAAGUCAUUGUUGACGAGGUUUAAAAGUACCAAGCCACGUAAAUUACCAAUUUCUUUUGGAAUGCUGCCCCCGAGUUUGCACUCUAAUGGAAAGAAUCUUUGAAGAGAAGCAGAGAAAUUUCCAAUUAAUGGUGGAAGGAUGCCACCUAAUGGAUCAUAAGCUAAGGCUAGUUUUUCUAGAUUUCUGCAAUUAGUCAAAGAAGAAAGAAAACUCCACUGAUCUGCUGAAGAUGAUUCUGUCGUCAAGUUAUUCCUCAUAAGGUUGAGGGUGCUGAGGUGUCUCAAGUUGCCAAAUGUAUUUGGGAUAUGGCCCGAGAAUGAGUUAGAGCUCAACUCUAGGCCAAUGAGUUUAGAAGCGUUGGUAAUAUAGUUGGGAAUUGUUCCUAUAAGAUUAUUGCGCGCCAAGAUUAAAUACUCUAUGUUCCGAAGCGAGUGGCCAAUCGUUGAUGGUAAGCGGCCUGAGAGUUGAUUGCCAAGCAGAUUAAGGUGUCCUAUGGUUGAACUAUUGAAGAUCGUGGGUGGAAUGAGGCCACUUAAAUUAGUGUCACCAAGAACAAGAUACUCCAAAUUUUGUAGAUCGCCAAUCUCGGUUGGGAUUUCACCUGCCAUAAGGCUAACAUUGAGGAGUUUUACCAAAAAAUAAAAUAAAAACAUUUCAUAGAUGAUUCUGUAAAAGAGUUUGACAAAAAAAAAUUGAGCUUUUAGCUUAAGGUAAAUUGAGUUUGACAAUGUUACCCUUCAACAUGUAAAAGGAUCAAAUUAAAUUUAUUACAUAAUAAUUUCAGCCAAUAAUGUUCUUUAAAAUAUUAAUUUCAUAGAUAAUUCUGCAAAAUAUGCAUGAAAAUGGAAAAAUAUGCUUCAAUUACAAGAGGUGGUGGAACGUACCUCGAAGAUUGCUGAAACGCAGAUCCAGAUUCACGAGUUUACUCAAAUUUCCAAGCCUUAAAGGAAUAGUUCCACCAAAAAUAUUGAACCGUGCACGCAGCGUCUCUAGCCUUGAUAAGUUGAAGAGAGAAUUAGGGAUGGGACCUGUGAAACUGUUAUUAUCAAGAUUCAAUAUUUGGAGGUUAGAUAAGACACCAAUCCAUGAUGGAAAGCUUCCGCUCAAUUUAUUGAAAGCGAAUCUCAUGACCCUGAGUCGACGUAAUUGCCCCAAUUCUUUCGGCAGAUGGCCAUGAAAAUUGUUCUUCCUAAUGUCAAGAGACACUAGAAAUGAGAGAUUUCCCAAGUGUUGUGGAAUGGUGCCUCCGAGACCCAUAUCUGAAAGAUUCAAGGCAGUGACUCACUGACUCUUUGAUGGCGUGAACCACAAGAGAUACCAACCCAGCUACAUAUUGGAUAAGAUAUAGCCCAAUUGUUUGUCAGGACACUUCGAUAAUCAACGACACGGCUUUGAAUGCAAGAAGAGCCGAUUGAUCUGUUGUUAAGUUGCUCAAAGUCGUCAUAGCUAAGCUAGCUAUGGAAUAUUGUAACAACAACAUAGGAACAAAGAAGAAUGAUAAGCGCAUAUUGGUCGUUUUUAGUAGUAGUUGCAAGGCAAGAUUGAUAGAAGUUUUAAGUGACGGAAAUUAGCAUAUACUUAUACAUGAGACAUAUGAAUUUGAAAAUAAGUGCAGAAAAAAUAUACAGGGGACUUGCAAAUUGUUAUAUUCUGACAUUGAGCGAGCCGUCGAAGUAAACGUAUUUACACUUGAACCCUAAAUAAAGGCACUGUGGCACUUAAUUGCCAAAAGGAAGAAGAUGCUCAACAUUGGCAACGCGUAUGCAUUUGUUCUCACUAUGCUAAGGCUUAUGGCAACCACAAUAUGUUCUUUUUCUUUUCUCUAAAAAUAAAAAAAGGCGACCUUCACUUGACUUGGUCUAAUAAUUAUCACAAAACAAUUAAUAAUGCAAAGGGUCAGUGGCACCCAACUUUAAAAUAACAACGUAAUUAUUGUUAGUUGUCUUAGAGAUAAAGGAAAAAGAUAGCUAUACCUCCAUAAUUUGAUCAAAUAAUUAAAUAAAUUUUUAAUCAAGAUUCUAUUUUAUUACUUUUUACAGUUUAUUUGGAUGUCAAAUACAAAAUUUACUGUUAUUCCAAUAUCAUGUCAUCACUUGCUUCUAUACAUGGAAUGAUAUAUUGACUGUUUUUCCAAAGUUUUAAAUUGAACUAAAAGCAUUCUAAUUAACCUUAAAAAAAAUCAUCCAACCAGAUAUAAAUCUUCUAAUUAACCUAAAGAUACCCAUAUUAAUUCCAGUUAAAUAAAUCUUCAUUUUUUUCAUGGUUUUGGAUCUCGAGCAGGGUGGAUAUAUCCAACUAGAUCCGCCCCAUUGGCAUUCCAAUAUAUUCUGGAAUUGGAAGAGUAUCAACGACUUAAUGUGUAAUUUUAAAUUUGUAACGUUUAAUUCUAAUUUGAGGAUUCAAAUGAAUUUAUGCGGAUCUAAAAGGGGACUGAAGAUUGGCAUGCAUACAUACAUGCAUUAAAUAUAUUUACGUAUAAAGAGAGAGAGAGAGAUAAUAUAACAUUCUUCUUGAAGAAGAUUUUUGUGCCAUACGAAUUAAAGAGAGUAUUGUGUCGAUGUUGGAGGCUAGAGGGACAAUUGGUUACAUUGCUUCGGAAGUGUUUAAAUUACUAGAUUUAGCGAGAUAUAUAUAUAUAUAUUUUCCACAUUGGAUUUACAAGCAUUUCGAGCAGGAUACUGAAUUUCAAUUACUCGGAAUUGUAAACAGCGAGGAAGGUGGAAUUGUAAACUUACUCGCAAGCAUUUUGUGGUGUAUACGGACUUGUCCAUCGGAUAGGUCGCCCAUGAACAGAGUGAUGGAAAUGUUAUUGCGAAGAAGCAGACUGACCAGCAGUGACGCUUUGAAAAGUCCACCAAACAUCUUCUCCUCCAAGACCACCAAUAUAUUCUUCCACCAUUUCAACGUCGUGACGUGGGGAUCAGAAUUGAAUUAUAGGAUGCUUGAAAGCUUCCUUUGGGGAACUUGUGAAUUUGUCAUGGCAAAAGUCAAUGAUGCAUGUAACUAGCUAGCCCGUGUAGAGUCCGUUUGACUCAUAAAUAUUUGUCACUUUCACUCUUUUUCAAAACCCAAAAGCACGCUAAAUCUUAAUCUUAAAAGAAUUUUUUAAGUAAUCUUUUACCACGCAUGCAUUUAUGUCAUUGCGCGGUCAUCGAUUACUUCUAAAGAUCGUAAUCUUUAAGAAAAAAUUACUUCUCUUGAAAGUGAAAGCACGGCAGCUAUUGUCGUAUUGCAAUGCAGCUGCUAUGUGUAGUAGCCAAUUCUUGGAAAGAACUAGUUUUCUUAAAUUGUAAAUGGUCCCCUUUAUGAUAUGAUGAAUUUGAUGAAUAUGAUGAAUUCUUUGCAAGUGUUGUUCCUUGAAGUCUCAUCUUUCACAAUGUUUUUGAAAUACUAAAUAUUCACUCUUGAUUCGGACCACCUAAUCUGAACUUGAUGAAAGAUUAUGAUCUUGCCUGAUUUUAUGGAUGUGGUCUUAUCUCACGUAAGUCAGUAAUGAAUUAAUUAAAGUUUACUGUCAAAUUACGAACUCAAAAACUGUUGCUGCUUCAUUAUUCACAAUGCCCAAAUUCAGUGCAGAACUUAUUAUAAGUUUUCCAAAAGUUUUAUGCUUUCUUUCCCCCAAAUCCCAAGUACUUCCUGUAAUAUCAUUCCCCUAAGACAUGUUUAACUUUGGUUCAGGGUAACAAAGCUAUAGCUUUUCCUGCCAUGUGCAACAAGCUAUUAAAUUGAAGUAUUUAUUUCUGCAAUACUACUACUAACUAGUAAGAGAGGCGAAAUGGAUACUUGAAUAUAUGUUUUAGUUUGUUUAUAAAUAAAUGAGUUGAUAAUAAGUCAUUUUAAAUAUUUGCAAAAAAAAAAAACGGUGAGUGAUGUCUAGUUCUAUUUUCACUGCUCAGAGUCCAAUUUUGAUUACUGGAAAAUUUAAUUAUAAAGUUGAACUAAGAAUUUGUUAUAAAAUAUUCCACCUUCAUAUACAGUCAUCUGGAAUAAUAAUAUAUAAAAAACAGUAAUAACUCGAUUUACAGGGUGAGAAAGAAAAGAAAGACGCUACGAGGAAAGUAGAGAUUCAAAGACUUCACAACUUUGUUGGAUGAAAAAUUUCAUAAAUCUACAGAAUAUUGACAUAAAAUACAGAACAUAUCUAGCAUUAAGUAUAUUUAUGUAUGUCCAAAGACAAAAAUUCGAAGAUUAGAUUUAUCAUUUCAAUUUAUGUUCCGCCCAAAGCAAUGACUUUUAUUCCAUAAGCACAAACAAGAAAGAGUACGCAACGUUAACAAACACACAUAGCAAACAUGACAUUAACUACUUGCAGCAGCAUCAUCCAGAAACUUCACUAUAAUCUUCUUGAGCUUUUCAGCGGCAUCUUUCGUAGAUGCCCUUUGUUUUGGUGACUCCAUGCAAAAAUCCAAUGCCGAAUGCAUGAUGCUUAAUAAACAAUUCAUUUUAUUAGUACAUUGGAUAUAAUCGAAGGCAAAGUAUAUUUCAGGACAAGCAGAGUAGCAUUCUUGGAUCCUUUGCUAUUAUCUUCUUUGCAAGGUGGGACUAGAGGUCCUGGUGGAUAACAUAGUGCAUAAUUCUCAAAAAAUGAUUGAGCUGAAAUGUUUUUAAAAGGUCCUUUGAUAGGAAUUCCCCCUUCUAGCCUAUUGUUAGACACAUUAAGUUGUUUGAGAUAUGAGAGUGCCUCUAUUGACUUUGGAAUUUCUCCAGAGAAAUUGUUGCUAGGGAGAUCCAAAGAUUCCAACCUUAUGAAACUACCAAAUGGUUUAGGGAUCAGACCAUAAAAUUGGUUUCUAACCAAGGAUAAAGUUGCUAGAUCUUUGAGGCCACCAAUAUUUACUGGUAUAUCACCUGAUAAUUGAUUUCUUGAUAAAUCUAACUCGAUUAAGACCCUUAAGUUUUGUAUAUCUGAAGAUAGAUGAUCACUUAGAGAAUUUUUUGACAAGUUUACAUACAUGAUGUACUCAAGACUCCACAAGGAUGAUAGGAUACUAGAAGUGAGCGUGUUGGAGAUUAAAAAGAGUGUUCUUAGAGAAGUCAGACUGCCCAAGAAUUGCGGUAUAUGUCCAAAGUGCUUAUUUUCAUUUAAAAUAAACCAGUCAACCGCUCCAAGCGGCAAAGAUCAUUGGGAAUGUAUCCUUGCAAAUUAUUGGCAUCGAGAUAUGAAACUUGUAGUGUCUUUAACGUUCCCAUUGAUGCUGGAAUAGUUUGGUCCAAAUGAUAAAGAAAAGAAAGACGCUACGAGGGAAGCAGAGAUUCAAAGACUUCGCCACUUUGUUGGAGGAACAAUUUCAUAAAUCUCCAGAAUAUUGACAUAAAACACAUACCAUAUCUAGCAUUAAGUGUAUUUAUGUAUGUCCAAAGAUAAAAAUUCGAAGAUUAAAUUUAUCAUUUCAAUUUAUGUUCUGCCCAAAGCAAUGGCUUUUAUUCCACAAGCACAAACAAGAAAGAGUACGCACAAAGUUAACAAACACACAUAGCAAACGUGACAUCAACUACUUGCAGCAGCAUCAUCCAGAAACUUCACUCUAAUCUUCUUGAGCUUUUCAGCGGCAACUUUCGUAGAUGCCCUCUGUUCUGGUGACUCCAUGCAACAAUCCAAUGCCGAAUGCAUGGUGCUUAAUAAACAAUUCAUUCUGGUGAAAGUUUCCAUCAAUAAAACACCAUAACUAUAGACAUCACCUUUGGCCGAAAUCAUUCCUUCUAAUCCAUACUCUCCAUUUUUUGGUUUCGAUAGAUCAAAUGGAUAUGACAUCAUAAAACAAAUGAUAAACAAAUAAUAUUUUGACAGUCAAGAUGGCCCAAACUUUGACUGUGCUUCGAAAAGAGCGAAAAUUUGAAAUUAUAAUUGAAACCUUACCUGGUGCCAUAUAACCAGUUGUAGCCACUGUCAUGAUUUGGGUCACAGAAUCUUCUCCAUCACCUAAGAGUUCGGAGAUGCCGAACUCACAUGUGCCACCAUAUUUUCAUCCAAGAGAAUGUUGCUAGCUUCAAAUCACAAUGAAUUACAGGUGCUGAUGAAUGAUCGUGAUGGAGAUAUUCAAGUGCCAGCCGCACAUCUAUCAUUAUAUUCAACCUCUCUAGGAUAUCUAGGAAAUAGUUGUGAGAACACAACCAUUUCUCAAGACUACCAUUGAGCAUGAACUCAAGCACCAGUACUUUAGAAUCUGGUUUGCAACAGCUGCUAGUGAUCUUUGUGAGAUCUUGAUGACGAACAUUCCACAAUACUUCACAUUCAGAAUCAAAACUCCUAAAGGCUCUCUCUAGCUGCAGAUUGAAAACCUUUAUUACAAUAAUAGUCACAUCAUAAAGUGUGCCUUUAUAAACAGAUCCGAAGCUCUCCGUACCUAGCAGGAUACAUUCACUAAAUCCAUCAGCUGCUCAUUGAAUAUCAUGAUAGGAUAGUCUUCUCCAUGUUGUCGAAGAGAACAAAUCUUCUUUAUCUGGAGUUCUUGUUUUCCUAUUUUGGAAUAUUAUGAAGAAUCAUAACAAUUGUUAUUAGUGCAUUGGAUAUAAUCGAAGGCAAAGUAUAUUUCAGGACAAGCAGAGUAGCAUUCUUGUAUCCUUUGCUAUUAUCUUCUUUGCAGGGUGGGACUUGAAGGCCUGGUGGACCACAUAGUGCAUAAUUCUCAAAAAACAAUUAAGCUGAAAUGUUUUUAAAAGGUCCUUUGAUAGGAAUUCCCCCUUCUAGCCUAUUGUGAGACACAUUGAGUUGUUUGAGAUAUGAGAGUGCCUCCAUUGACUUUGGAAUUUCUCCAGAGAGAUUGUUGCUAGGGAGAUCCAAAGAUUCCAACCUUAUCAAACUACCAAAUGAUUUAGGGACCAGACCAUAAAAUUGGUUUCUAGCCAAGGAUAAAGUUGCUAGAUCUUUGAGGCCACCAAUACUUACUGGUAUAUCACCUGAUAAUUGAUUUCUUGAUAAAUCAACUCUAUUAAGACCUUUAAGUUUUGUAUAUCUGAAGAUAGAUGACCACUUAGAGAAUUUGUUGACAAGUUUACAUACAAGAUGCACUCAAAAUUCCACAAGGAUGAUGGGAUACUAAAAGUGAGCGUGUUGUAGCUUAAAGAGAGUGUUUUUAAGGAAUUGAAUAUCUGAAAUCGUGUAUGUAAAUAUUAACACUUAGAGAAUUUGUCGACAAGUUUUUAAGGAUUUACUGAUUAAAUAAUUUUUCAAUUUGUUUGCCUAGAGGAAUUGAAUAGUUAACUGAUUAAAGGACUUCAAGGUGGUUAGGUUCAGUCGAGCAUUGUAAAUAUUAACGGUCAUUAUGAAUGUGUAAUUCCUACAUGUGAAAUUGAAUUUCCAUGGUAUAGCAUGGUAAAUUUCUGCUAGGGUGUGCUCGUGUGGUAGCCAAUUGUGAGCAACAGAUCCACAUAGUAAUAUAGACUGAAAUUUUGCGUCUUAAUCCAUGAAGAUAUAGAUUUUGGCAAAUAUUAUACAAGCCCUGGGGGUUACCUUAAUUAUUCUGGACUUUUCAUUAAUAGAGUUUCUUUUACCUAGUUAUUGAUAUUUCUUUCAAUUUUCUAUUUUAUUGAUACCAUAUAUACAAUUUUAGGUGUCAAGACAACUUUCGAUUUCUAUUGAGCCUGAAAACCUCCAUCUACCUUCACCUCUGUCAGCUUUCGGGGAAUACGAGGUUCCUAUGCGCUUUCCCAAAGCCAUUCCCCUACCGGAAGGAAAGGUCCAGUGGACUCUCAAUGUUAAAGUCCGCGGCAAAUAAACAAUCGGUUCAUUUGUUUUGUUUUACUCGGUUCGGGAUCCAAAUUCCAUUGUAGAACAGUUUUUGGUUUUUCUUCAUAUAACAUUCUGAAGAUAAUACAGGCAACAUUGUUUGCAACGCCACAGCGAAUUUGCAGUAGGUUGAAACAAUCAGAAUUUUGCCUUUUUCGUGUAUAAAAUUUUAUUUUUUAAAUUGUGAUAUUACAGUUUUGCCCAUCAAGCAUUAUGAAGCUUAAUAUUUGGAUAAAUGUUAGGUUUAAUCUAUAAAUCAUAACUUCAGUGUUUAUUUUGUUUUUAUAUUUUGAAAAAUAUCUCAAGGCAGCCCUAUUAUCAAAUAUUGGCUUGAUCUGUAUAUAUUAACUUCAGUGCUUAUUUAGGUUUUAUAUUUUGAAAAAUACUUUAAGGCAGUCCUAUUAUCAAAUAUGUUAUACUCUUACUUUCAUUUUUUCUUUCUUUUUAUAAUAAUACUCUGAUAACAAUAUUUUUUACAUUAAUUUUUUAAUCAAUAAAAAAGGUAACUUGCAAAUUAACCGAUAAAUUAAUUUAUUAAUUUUUUAAUCAAUAAAAAAGUUAAUUAAUAUUAAUUAAUAAAUUACUUAGUCGCAAAUUAAAAAAUAAAUAUUAGCAUAAAACAAUUGAUAUUUUUCAUUCUCUUACAACAAUCUUACUAAUUAUUAUUUAUAAAUUAAUUAAUACAAGUUAAUUUAAAGUAAUCUUUAAUAUUCUUGCAACAAUCUUACUAAUAAUUUUUUUUUUAUAAAAACUUAAUUUAUUAAAUUAAUCCUAAAAGUAAAAUAAUAAUAAUUAAUUUGUAUCUUACUUUUAAGUUUUAAGGUUAAUUUGAAAGCCAUGUCACCCAUAUUCUUAGGCUGCUACUGCAUUACCACUUUGCCAGUUGCCACGAAGCUCCCCACAUCACACCGCACUGAUGCCUCUCGAAAACUAACUUAAAAAAAUGGUAUUAAUAAGCGUACGCCACGUCACUCCUCACUCUCUUCUUCGUCAGUUUCCUCUCACUCAACACUUUCUCCCCAAACAAAUUCCUUCUUUGAAAAAUCGCAUUUUCUCCUUCACAACAACAGCUACAAUGUCUUCAACUUCCAAAAAGGUAAUUUUUUUAAAAAAAAUUUAUCUUUUGUUUAGUUUCUUUCUGUGGCCUUUUUGUUGCGAACGGGAGUGAGCCGAUUGAGUCCGUGAUAACCAUCGAUGUUUUCAGAAGGUCUGGAGCUGACGUCACGGUUGCGUCUGUGGAGAAACAGCUUCGUGUCGACGCGUGUCAUGGUGUCAAGAUUGUCGCUGAUGCUCUCGUGUCUGACUGCUGCGACCCCGUUUUUGAUCUUAUAGCUCUUCCCGUAUGUAUUGCAGCUCACCUCAGCUCAUGCCAAUUUAUGUGAUGUUUGUAUAAUUAUAGAUGAUUAUUGCUGAUACUGAAUGUUAAGCUAAAUAAUUCGUUCUUAAGUCAUCUUCAUUUAAUUUUCGAUUGAAAAUGAAAAAAUAAUAAUUUUAAGCAAAGAAAAAUAUAGAAAAUGUUUAUUUUGUUUUAAUUUUCAGGGAUUUCCUUAUUGUGGCUCUUAUCAUUCGUUAUAUGGUCCUAGUUAAAUAUUUCAAAUUGUUGUAGUCAGUGAAAUUCUUUUCGAUAUUUAUUCUGGCAUGUAUAUUUUUCCUUUCAAUUUCUUUUGUUGCUGAUUCUUUGAUUGAUUAUGUUAUAUCCUUUUUUGUUUCCCUUGUAGGGUGGCAUGCCCGGUGCUACCAAUCUGAAGGAAUCUGAAGUAUUAGAAAGCAUUGUGAAGAAGCAGGCCUCAGCUGGGCGUCUUUAUGCUGCUGUCUGUGCUUCACCUGCUGUGGCAUUAGGGUCUUGGGGUCUGUUGAAGGGAUUGAAGGUAAGAGUUAGAUAAGCCUUUUUGAUGUUUUGUGGUCUUUUGGGAAUUGCACUGAUAUUUUUGUUAUAGUUCAGUUUUCUUCUCGCUGAUGAUUGUUAAGUUCUAAUUUAUGUAGUUGUUCAUUUUUCGUAGGCUUCUUGUUAUCCGUCAUUUAUGGAGCAAUUAGCUCCUGCUUGUGCAGCAACUGUUGAAUCAAGAGUACAGCAGGAUGGUAAAGUUGUUACGAGUCGUGGACCGGGCACUACCAUGGAGUUUGCCGUUGCACUUGUUGGGCAGUUGUAUGGGAAAGAGAAAGCUGAUGAAGUUUCUGGGCCACUGGUAUUAACUUUUAUAGAUAACGUUGUUUAAAAAAAUUAUGAGUUAUAUAAUUUGUGGAAGCUUCAGAUGCUAAUGUAUUCAAGAAAAUAAGUUCAGGGGAAGAGUAUGACUUUUUGCAUUAGUGAUUCAUUAGAUGAAAUUGUAUACCUGCUGGUCCAUCAUAAGGUGGUGAAAACAAUGUUUGAUUUAAUUAAUGGAAUCCUGAAAUAUGCAUUUGUUGAGCUUCAAUGUCUCCACUGAUAAAAUUCUUUUUAAUGUAAGUUCUUUCUCUUGGUAUUCUGCGCAAAUGUUGUGGUUGUGUCAGUUGAGGAUAAACUAGAAAUUCUGGCUUCUCGUCAAGUUAAAUUAGUGCCAGAUAUGCUUAUUGAUGAGGCAGCUAAACUUUCGUAUGAUUUGAUUGUCUUGCCAGUAAGUGGGGUUGCUAACUCUUGCCUCAUAGUCUUUACCAAAUUAUUGACUUACUAACUACAAUUUAUCUAUGCACAGGGUGGACUUGGUGGUGCUCAAGCAUUUGCGAAGUCAGAAAAAUUGGUAAAUAUGCUAAAGAAGCAAAAGGAAUCAAAUAGGCCUUACGGUGCUAUAUGUGCAUCCCCAGAACUAGUGUUGGAGCCCCAUGGCUUACUCAAGGUAUGACCAUUUCUGAUUAAAUAUUUACUCUUGAUUUGAAUCACCUAAUCUGAACUUGAUAAAAUAUUGUGAUCUUGUGUGAUUUUAUGAACGUGGUCUUAUCUCAUGUAAGUAUGUAAUGAAUUUAUUGAAGUUUGCUGACAAAUUACAAACUCAAAAACUGCUGCUGCUGCUUCAUUAGUUACAGUACCCAAGGAGUUAUGAUAGACAUCCCAAACCUUUUACCCCAAAUUCCCUCUCAAAUGACAUGGUAGUUAUUAAGUGGUUGGUAAUUUUUUAUUAGAUAGAAGUGAAUUAAUUAUAUUAUUUAAUCAACCAAUUGAUGAAUGUCACGCCAUUUGAGAUGAAUUUUUGGGAUGUGUAGCAAAACUUUAUGCUGAUUUGUUUUGGCUACAUUCAUGUAAAACCUUUUUCCCCAAAUCCCAAGAACUUCCCGCAAUAUCAUUCCUUUGUAUUUGUUUUCCCCUUUAGACAUGUUUAACUUUGGUUCAGGGUAAAAAAGCUACGGCUUUUCCUGCCAUGUGCAACAAGCUAUCAGAUCAAAGUGAAAUCGAAAACAGGGUUGUGGUUGAUGGCAACCUUAUCACCAGCAGAGGGCCAGGAACUUCCAUGGAGUUUGCACUGGCAAUUGUGGAGAAGUUUUUUGGCCGCAACAAAGCUCUUGAGCUUGCAAAGAUAUUGCUUCUCUCCUGCACCUAAAAUUUGUACCAGGACCUGACUACUAUUAAACUAGAGUAUUUAUUCCUGUAUUACUGCUGCUUGUAGAGAGGCGAAAUGGAAACUUGAAUUCGUGUUUGAAUAUGGAUUCACUGUGCGGGUUUGUACAUGUUGAUGCCUAAAAUCUGUUCUGGUUUAUUAGCGACUUAAUAUCAGACUUCUACACCAGCAUUAGAUUUAUUUGGUAGAGAAUCGAUUGAUCAAUCGUCUAAAUGUCCUGCAACCACCAGCGAUUAACCUGCGAAUACCUGAAAUCAUAGAAGAUGGUCAGAGGCGCCGGAAGUUUUUCCGGCGUGAAGCCUCCGACGCUCAAGUCAGUUUCUAGGCCUUUCGGAAAAAUUUAUGCCACCACUCAUGUGGCUUAAUAAGCAUUGCCUUAAAACCCAAAGCUUUUCGAGUAAUUUACAGAAAGUAAAGUAUAGUGUAAAAGUAAGAAUUUUCCAUGAGAGGAAGAGAGCCAAAAGCCCCUUGGAGAAGAGAGAAAAAAUAAAUAAAUAAUCCCCCCUAGGUAAUUCCCCACUCCCCUCUUUCCCCCCUUGGUCUCUCCCACUUUCGGAAGUUAAGGAUGAGAUAAAAGUAAUGUCCCCAUUCUCCCUUUUUUUUUUUUCCUUUUAUCCGUUACCAAACAGUACAAGAGCUUGUUUAUAAAUAAAUGAGUUCAUAAAGAGUCAUUUUAAACAUUUGGAAUAAACGUGAGUUGCUGUUUAGUUCUGUUUUCAAUGUUCACCGUUCAAUUGUGAUCCAGAGCAAUAUAACUACACUCACUGGGAAUUUUAAUUAUGAACCAAGAACGAAGUUGAACCGAGAAUUUGAUACUUUAUAUAUUCCAGUUACCAUAUUUAAGAAAGAGUAUUGAAAAGAAAGACGCUAACAGAGAAUAUUGAAGUUAAACACAUACCAUAUCUAGUAUUAAGUCUGUAUGCCAAAGUUACAAAUUCGAAGAUCAGAUUCCUCAUUUCAAUUUAUGUUCUGCUCAAAACAAUGGCUCUUAUUCCACAAGCACAAAGAAGAAAGAGUGCGCACAAAGUUAACAGAGACACGCAGUGAAAAUUACGCUAAUUGGUUGCAGCAGCAUCAUCCAGGAACUUCACUUUAAUCUUCUUGAGCUUUGCUGCAGCGUCUGUCAUAUUUAUCCUCAUGUCGGGUGACUCCAUACAACAAUCCAAUGCCAAAUCCAUUAUGCUUAAUAUACAAUCCAUUUUGGCAGAAAAAGCUUGCUCUUCUCGCACCAAAUUUGCGUCAACAACUUCAAUCAAUCCGUGAGAUAAAGACUCCUUUACCCAUCUCCUUAAACUCAUUUCUCCUGUGAACAUUUCAUCGGUGGGCCUCUUUCUCGUGAAGGUUUCCAUCAAUAAAACACCAUAGCUGUAGACAUCACAUUUAGUUGAAACAAUUCCUUCAGAUCCAUACUCUGCAUUUUUUAAUUUUAAUUAUGAAACAAAUGAUAAAACAAAUAAUUUUUUGAUAAUUAAGGUAACCCAAACUUUGCUCGUGCUUGAAAAAAGAGAAAAAAAUUUAAUUACAAUUGAAGCUUUACCUGGUGCCAUAUAACCAAUUGUAGCCAUUGUCAUGGUUUGUGUCUCAGAAUCUUCUCCUUCACCUAAGAGUUUGGAAAUGCCGAAGUCGCUCACAUGUGCCACCAUAUUUUCAUCCAAGAGAAUGUUGGUGGGCUUCAAAUCACAAUGAAUUAUAGGUGCCGACGAAUGACCAUGAUGGAGAUAUUCAAGAGCCGACCCCACAUCUAUCAUUAUAUUCAACCUCUCUAGAAUGUCUAAGAAAUAGUUGUGAGAAUACAACCACUUCUCGAGACUACCAUUCGGCAUGAACUCAAGUACCAAUGCUUUGAAAUCUGGAUUAGAACAACUGCUAAGGAUCUUUAUGAGAUUUCGAUGACGAACAUUCCGUAAAACUUCACAUUCAGAAUCAAAACUCCUAAAUGCUCUCUCGAAUUGCAGAUUGAAAAUCUUUAUUGCAACAUUAGUCCCGUCGGAAAUGGUUCCUUUAUAAACUGAUCCAAAACUACCUGUACCAAGCAAGUUACAUUCAUUAAAUUUAUCAGUUGCUCGUUGAAUGUCUAGGUACGGUGUUCUUCUCCAUUUUGCAAGAGGUAGAAAAUCUUCGUGAUCCAAAUGCUUUGUACUCCUAUUCCGGCAUCUUUUGUACAUAAUGAUGGUAAUCACUAUAAGUACAGAGGAUACUAUCGGAGGCAAAAUAUAUUUAAGGACAAUUAGAGCAACUUUCUUGGUUCUUUUGCUGUUACCUUGUUUGCAAAGUGGGACUCGGAGUUUAGGUGGACCACAGAGUGCAUAAUUUCCGAAAAAUGAUUCAGCUGAGAAGUUUUUAAAAGACCUUUUAACAAGAAUUUCCCCUUCUAGCCUAUUAUGAGACACAUUAAAUUGUUUGAGAUGUGAAAGUGUCUCCAAUGACUUAGGAAUUUUUCCAGAGAAAUUGUUGCCGGAGAGAUCUAAGGAUUCUAAGCUUAUCAAACUGCCAACUGAUUCAGGGAUAGGUCCUUGAAAUUGAUUACUAGCCAAGGAUAGAGUUUCUAGAUCUACGAGAGCACCAAUGGUUGAUGGAAUAUUACCUGAUAAUUGAUUCCUUGACAAAUCUAAAACUCUCAAGACCUUUAACUUUUGUACAUUGGAAGGGAGAGAAUCAUUUAAUGAAUUUGACGACAAGUUUAUCUCUAAGAUGUACUCAAGGCUCCACAAGGAUGACGGUAUACUAGAAGUGAGCUUGUUGGAGCCUAAGCGGAGUUCUCUUAGAGAUGUCAAACUCGCCAAGCAUGGCGGUAUAUGUCCAGAGAGCUUAUUUCCAUUUAACCUUAUUCCGUACAUCAACUCCAAGUGGCAAAGAUCAUAGGGAAUGGAUCCUUCCAAAUUAUUUUCUUCAAGAGAUAAACCUUGUAGCCGCUGUAAUGUUCCUACAGAUGUUGGAAUAGUUCCAUCCAAGUCAUUGAAGUCGAGGGUUAAGAGGAUCAAGCCACGUAAAUUACCAAUUUCUUUAGGAAUGCUGCCCCCGAGUUUGCAAUCGGAAGCAUAAAAGCUUUGAAGAGAAGCAGAGAAAUUUCCAAUUAAUGGUGGAAGGAUGCCACCUAAUGGAUUAGAAGCUAAGACUAAAUAGGAUAGCUUUCUACAAUUAGUCAAAGAAGAGAGAAAACUCCACUGAUCUGCUGAAGAUGAUUCUGUCGUCAAGUUAUUCCCUGCUACGCUGAGCACGUUGAGGUGCCUCAAGUUGCCAAAUGUAUUUGGUAUAUGGCCUGAGAAUGAGUUAGAGCCCAAGUCUAGACCAAUGAGUUUGGAAGCAUUGGUAAUAGAGUUGGGAAUUGUCCCGAUAAGAUUAUUGAUCGACAAAGUUAAAUACUCUGUGUUCGGAAGCGAGUGGCCUAUCGUUGAUGGUAGGCGGCCUGAUAGUUGGUUGCUCUGUAGAUUAAGGACUCUUAUGGUUGAAAUAUUGAAGAUCGCGGGUGGAAUGAGGCCACUUAAAUUAUUCGUACCAAGAGCAAGAAUCUCCAAAUUUUUUAGAUUGCCAAUCUCGGUUGGAAUUUGAUCUGUCAUAUCGAUUAAACCAACAUUGAUGAGUUAUUGAGUUUUUUGCUAAACAUAAAUUUAAUUUCAAAAUUCAUGAAAAUCAAAAUUUCCCACAAAAUAUGUGUUAUUAGUUUAUAAUAAUUUAGGGGGUAAUGAUAUUUCUACCCCAUGAUUUUUGUAAAACACACAUGCUUUUAGAAAAUUAUUACCGCAAGAUCACAUUAUUCUUAAAAAUUCAAAUUAAGAAGAAGUUUCUAGAAUCAAUCAAUUAAAUCCAAAUUAAUUUAUAUUUGAAACUUAUAUUCUUUUAUUAUAUUUAAGUACUAAGGUUGUUUUAACAUAAAUUUAAUUGACUAUUUUACCCUCCUAAGGUAAAAGUACUAAAAUCCUCAAAAAUUUACUUCAACUAAACUAACAAAAUAUAUUUAUGACCUAUGGGGCAUUAAAAAUAUUGAAUUUUAUUUUUAAAAUAUUAUAUUACAAAACAUAAAACUAUAUGCUAGAUACUAUAGUACAUGUUUCUUGGGGUGAUAUAGUCAUUUUACAUUAUAAGGAUGAAAUAGUCAAAUUAAACUUAACUUGAAGCACCCGUAAAUGCCAAAAAUUGUUAAAAGACCUAAGUCAUAAAAGAAAACUAUUAUCAGAAUAAUUUAUUUAGUUAAUUAUCUGACUUAUUGUUAAUUUAUAAUUUUAUAAGAUAUUGUGAACUUAUUGCAAUUAUCUUAUGGAGAUGAGGGGGGGUUUUGCAAGAAUAUGAGCGGCAGUUUUGCCACUCUAUAAAAUAAAAAGAAUUAUGCAGUCAUGCAAAUGCAAAUAUGCUGAACUUACCUUGCAGGUUGUUAUGACGAAGAUCCAAAUCAAAAAGGUUGCUCAAAUUUCCUAUCCCUGAAGGAAUAUUUCCAUCAAUAACGUUGAAACUUGCUUGUAACAUCUCCAAUUUCGAUAAGUUGAAGAGAGAAUUUGGGAUUGGACCCGUGAUAUUGUUAUUACGAAGACUCAUCAUUUGUAAUUUGGAUAAGACACCAAUCCAAGUUGGAAUGCUUCCACUCAAUUUAUUGAAAUUGAAACUAAUGAAUUUGAGUCGGCCUAAUUUCCCCAAUUCAUUAGGUAGAUGGCCAUAAAAAUUGUUCAAAGUAACAUCAAGAGACAUUAGGAAUGAGAGAUUUCCCAAGUGUGGGGGAAUAGUGCCUCCGAGACCCAUGCCUGAAAGAUUUAAAGCCUUGACUCUUUGAUGGCGUGAAUCACAAGAAAUACCAACCCAGCUGCAUAUUGGAUGAGAUAUAGACCAAUUAUUUGCUAGGACACUCCGAUAAUCAACGACAUGGGCUUUGAAUGCAAGAAGAGCUGAUUGAUCUGUUGUCAAAUUGUUUAAAGUCGUCAUAGCUAAGUUAGCUAUGGAAUAUUGUAACAACAUAGGAACAAAGAAGAACGAUAGGCGCAUAUUGGUCGUUUUUAAUAGAUACAGCAACAUAAUUGCUAGGUGAGAUUGAAACAAGUUUGAAGUGAAGGAAAUUAGCAUAUACUUAUACAAGAGACGUAUGAAUUUGAAAACAAGAAAAGAAAAAAUAUACAGGAGACUUGCAAACUGUUAUAUUUUGCCAUUAAGCGAGUCGUCCAAGUAAACGCACGUAUGGACUUGCAAAAUUGUUAAACGUCGCUGUACUUGAACCGUAAACAAAGGGUGUGUUUGGUUGGAGGAUUAAAAGUGGGGAUUAGACACCUUUUUUUUUUUUUUUUAAUUUUAUCCUUAUCUCAUGUUUGGUGCUGUCAAGGGUAUUAGGAUUUAGUUAUCUUGAACUCACAAGCUAAUCUUAAUUUUGUAAAGGAAAUUAUCCCAAGAGGGGUCAUGGGAUUAGUUAGUAUUGGAUUAUAUUGAUAACUCAAUUAAACAUAAUAAUUUAUAAAUAUUAAAAUUAUAGUAAUAUGUGAUAAAUGUAAUAAAAAAAUAUUGAUUUUAAUAAUGUAAAUAAUAAAUUAUACUAAAAAUCAUUAUUAAUUUCACAUUAAAUUAAAAUUCUAUUUUACUUUAUUUAAUUAUUAAAUAUUUUUUAUAAUUCCAAAUUUACAUUAUAAAUUAAUUAUUAAAUUAGUAUUCAAAAAGAUAAUUUUUUAUAAAAUAAUAGAUUAUUGAAUAAAUAUAAUAUAAAUAUCAUAUACAUAUUUAACAAACUAAUAAUUAUUAAAAUUAUGAUUUCUAUUUCAUUAACGUCAUUGAGGUUGAUUUGUAUAAUUAAUAAUGCAAAAUUUUAGUUUAUAAUAAUAUUAAUAAUAAUAAUAACUUGUAAAUUGUAAUAUUAUAAUGUAAAACAUGAUUAUUUAUAGUCCAAUCUAAUAUUGUACCAAACACAAUAUAGUAUUAUAUAUAAUCCACUAUUAUCCAAUCCAAUCCAAUUUUAUCCAAUUUAAUCUAAUCUAAUUCAAUCAAAUCCGGCGGACCAAACCAGCUCAAAGGUUUUAUGGCCCUUUACUUACCAAACAGAAGAAGAUGCUCAACAUUGGCAUCUUUGACCCAAUCCAAAUUUAAUCCAGACAUCUGCGGAUCAGAUGCAGAUUUGACCCAAUCUAUAUCCAAUCCACCAUUUUACGGAUUGGUUUGCAGACUGAAAAUUUUUAAUUCUGUCAAAUCCACGAACUAACUAAAUAAAAAAAAUUUAAUAUAAAAAUAAAUUUACUAUGAAUCAAAUUUAAAAUUAAAUAAGAUUUAAAUAAAUUAAUUGCUUAAAUAGAGCUAAAAAUACAUUUAAAGUUUCAAAAUAUAGCACACCAAAAUAAAAAUAAAAAAAUCAUUCGUUUAGAUCAAUACAUGGAAAUUAACUAUUUAGUAAACUAUAUUUGUUUAUUUAAUUAUUUUUUUAUAUUAUUAACGGAUAAGAUAUAAUAUAAUGUUAAUGUAACUAUAUUUUAACUUAUUUAUUUACUUAUAAGUACUAAUGCCAUAUUUACAAGUUUUAUUUUUAAUUAAAUAAAUACUUCUUAUUUUUUUGCGGAUUCGUGGAAUUUUACGGAUUUACAGAAGUAGAUCCAUAUCCAAUCCACUGAUUGCGGAUUAUUAAAUUUUCAAUUCAAUCUAAUCCAAUCCACCAAUCCACGGAUCAGACGGAUUGAGCGGAUCGAAUUGGAUUAUGAAAACCCCUCGGUUUUGGUGUCCAUUGUUGAAAACUUGGAAGUCUAUAUGACCAUUUAACCAAACUCUAGGGGUACAACUAUCACAAAGUUCUAAAAAUAAAUUUUACCCAACAUUUAAAUGAUUUUUUUUCACAGUUGAUUAUUAAAUUCUAAGUGUUUGGCUACUGUAAGAAUACAAAUAAUUGACAUAGACAUAAUAUUAAAUAAAAUUUACUUAUAUAUUUAUAUAAAUGUAUGUAUGUGUGUGUGUGUAUAUAUAUAUAUAUAUAUAUAUAUAUAGUUUAUUGUUUGUAUAUAAAAAUUGCUAACUAAAAAAUAUUUAUAUUUUAUCAAUUUUAUUUCUUUUAUUGUUUAUCUCAAUAUAAAUGUAAUAAUAAUAAUUUCUCUAAAUUUAAUUAUUUUUGCUCUUUAUUGAAUAAGGAUAAUUUUGAGUUUCUGUAAUAUAUGUGAGGAUAUAUACAAAAUUGUAUUAAAUAUAAAACUAUUGUCAAAAUUAAAUUUUAAAAAACUAUUCCUUUCUCACUUUUCAUUAGGCAAAUGGCCACAGAAAUUAUUCUCCCUAAUGUCCAAAUAAACUAAAAACGAGAGAUUUCGUAAGUGUGGAGGGAUGAUGCCUUCCAAACCCAUCACUGAAAGAUUCAAGUUUGUGACUGUUAUGGUAUGAGCAUCACAACAUAUGCCAAUUCGACUGCAUACUGAGUAAGACAUGGACCAAUUAUUCAAGAGAUUCAUGAGCCUUCGAAGUGAGAAAUAAAGCAAAUUAGGUGGUGGUGGGUCAAUUGACUACGUUUCGUGAUCUACAAGCGAUUGCAACAGUCGGUUCAUUAAGUGAAAUUAAUGACUCGUCCACUUUAGUAAUAUACCGUCCUCUUUAGGAUGGUGCUGGGUCAAUUUUAUCUCAUUUUCGUUGAUUACGAGUUGUGAUCGAUGACAUCACGAAAGUAGUCAAUUUACAGCUCAUUCACUAUAUAUAGUCUAUGGGUGGAUGGAUCUAACGUAAAUUAAGGGCUGAUGACCCUCGACUUCUAACGACAACCAACGAAGACGACCUUGACUUACAUGUAAACACACAAUUCGCUCUCAUACAUUAUGUUUUAAAAUUUCUCCAUUUUCCGGGGCCCCGCUGUCGACCGUACACAGUUUAAUUUGUAUAUACAAGACCUCAUUGCUUCUAACAAGCAUAGAGCCAUAGACCAUAUUAAUUCCAAUUACUUAAAUCUUCAUUUUUAUCAUGAUUUUGGAUCUCGAGCAAUGUGGAUAUAUCCAACCAGAUCCACCUCACUGGCAUCCCAAUAGAUUUUAAAUUGAGUAAUGAGUAUCAAUAAACGUGUAAUUGUAAAUCUACAACGUUUAAUUUUAAUUUGAGGAUUCAAAUGAAUUAUUCCAGCAGUACCUCGUUAAAUUAAUAUUCCAUAAAUUUUUAACUUUAAUUAAAUAACAAAUUUUGUCCGUCCCAACUUAAGAUUAACGUGGUAAUUAAUAAUUUGAUAAAUUAUUAGAUAAUAAUUUUUUAAAAAUCUUAUUUUUUUUAUUGGAUCCAACUGAUAUAUAAAUUAAUAAUUAAUUAAUUUUAAAACUAAAUUCAUGUUAUGUCAAUCAAAUGUUAUUGCAAAGAAGACUAGUAGUGACGCUUUGAAAGGUAGAGCUGGCAAAAUUUGACACGACUUGAUUACCCGACACGAACACGACAUAAAUAAAUGGGUAUGGGUCGUCAAAUUUAACACGAUUAUUAAAUGGGUCGGGUCCGGGUCAACACGAUUUUUUUCCGUGUCGGGUUAGGAUUAAAAUUCUUGACCCAUUUACCCGAUCAAUGACCCGAUUAUAUUUUCUAUUUUAAAAUAAUUUACAUAUUCUUAUAAUUACAACUCAAAUAUUAGAGAUGAUUUUCUUUUUUUUUAAUUCUUUAAAAGGGUGAAUAUAAACACAGUGUUUUAUUUAUAAAAUUUUACAUACAUUUAGAGUUUCAAUAGUGUAAAUGUGUAAAAAUUGAUAGACAUGUAUAUUUUAUAAUAUUGAUAUAUAAUAUUAUAUAUAUAUAUAUAUAUAUAUAUAUAUAUAUAUAUAUAUAUAAUUAAAACCUCAAUAGUGUAAAUGUGUAAUAUAUUGGUAGAUAUGUAUAUUUUAUAAUAUCGAUAAAUUAUGUAUGUAUGUAUGUAUGUAUGAUAGUGUGUAAAUAUUUGAUGUAACUUUUGUUCAAUAUAUAGAUAUUAAACGGGUUAUUAGGUAACCUGAUUAUUUUCCGUGUCGGGUUUGGGUCUUAAUAUUUUGACACGAUUAUUAAAUGGGUCGGGUUUGGGUCGACUUAAAUUUGAUACGACACGAAGCUGACACGACACGAACACGACCCGAUGACCCGUUUUGCCAGCUCUAUUGAGGUACACCAAAGCCUUUUUCACCAUUUCAACGUCAUGACAUGAUGUAAGUUUCUUUUGUGGAAUUUGUGAAUUGGUGCUGCAGAAGUUAAUGAUACAUGUAACCAGCCAACCCUUGUCAAGUCCGCUUGACUCUUAAAUUUUUGUCACUUUCACUCCGUUCAAAGGCAUGUGAAAGCUAAUUUUUAAUGAAUUUUGAAUUGAGUGUUGGAUAUUUUGGGCUUAUCAAAACUAGAUUAUAUAUAUUUUUAAUGAAUUUUAGAUUCAGUGUUAGAUAUUUUGGGUCUUAUCUUUAAGUAAUCUUUUACACGCAUACAUUUAUAUCAUUGUAUGGUUAUAGAUUCAAUUACUUUUAUGACGCAUUUACUAAACUCGAAUUGAAAUAAGUAAGAAUGAGAAUGUGCUGCAAUGAGAAUGGAGAACCGAAAUUAGAAUAAGUUAUUUACUUGUAAUAUAGGAAUCAGAAUGAUCUGAAUUGCCAUUAAUGUGUUUACUUUUUCUUAGAAUUAGAAUUGAAAUAAGUUAGAUUGUAAUAAAUUACUAAAAACUAUUUAAUGAACUAUUGUAAUAAUUAUUAUUUUGUAUUUUAAUUAUUGUGAUUAUUUAUUAAAAAUUAUUAUUAUUAUAUUGUUAAUAGGAUAUUAAUAUAUUAAUAAAUUAUAAUAAUAUAUUAAAAAAUACACUUGUAUUUACAAGAAAUGACGGAUACAAUUUUAAAAUCGUCUUCCUCCCUAAAAGUCUGAUUGCCACAGCCCUAAAAAUUAAUAAGAUUGGGGAAUUAUGUGUUUUUUAAAAAAUAUUAAAGGGUGUUCAUUUCCUUAAACGGUGGGGGCUAAAAGUCCUUUUCCCAAAAGAGUACUGUGCCAGUGUUGGUGGCUAGAAGGAAAAAUCGUUACAUUGCUCCAGAAGUGCUUGAUAGAAAUUUCGGUGAGGCGUCACAUAAUUUAAAGGCUAUGUUUUUUUUUUUUUUAUAAUCCACCAAGAAGGUGGGGUUAGGCCGGACUCCUACGUAUAAAUAAAUCAAUCAAUGAAAGAACAUAAGGAGGGGGACAUAAACCAAACCUCCCAGGAAAAGUAAAUAAUUUAGUAAUCAAAUAAAAUCAAUACAAAUCAAGGUGAUUAAUGCCGAAUGUAUGGAAUUCCAAGAGUAUCCAAAUGAAGAAUGCCUGAUAAACCGCUUGGAAGAUCACUAGCAUUGAAAAAUCGUUGACAAGUCUGAUGGGUACAAGCCUAAUUGGCCAUAAAGUCAACAGCAGAUGUAGCUUCUCGAAAAACAUGCCUGAUACUAAUGGAUGACCUAGAAGCCAAUGUCCAAACACACCCAAGGAUGUAAGUAAAAUCCCAUCGCACGAAACUACUUGAAAUGGCCUAAGAAACUACAGUGGCUGAAUCAGAUUCUACCUCAAGAUCAGAAAAACCAAGCUGAGUAGCAAGAUCUAAACCUUCUAACACAACCAUUAAUUCAACAAAAAGAAUAGAUUGGUGUCCCAAAAAGGAACCAAAAGCAGCUAAUAUCAUGCCUUGAUGAUCUCGCAAAACACCACCAGUAGCAGCCAUGCCUGAGUUUCCCCUAGAACAACCAUCCACACUCAACUUCACCACCCUCGGUGGCGGUUUCAUGUUGGAGCACAAAUCUCAACCACACACGCAAAGUGAUAAAUAAUAAAAAACUUAUUAUAACUUUGAUCGUAUGGUUAUGAAGGGAUGCUCUACCUUAGAGAAACUCCAACAUAGCCAAACCUUAAUUUAAAUUACUGGAAUUAGCUAUGCACACACACAAGCAGUUCGAGCAGGAUAAUGAAUUUAAAUUACUCGGAAUUGUAAGCAGAGAUGAAAGAGAAAUUACAAAGAAGAUGAUUAUUUUUCGCUUGUGGUGUAUAUAGAAUCGUCUAUCGGAAAUAGAGGGAGAGAAAUGUUACUGCACAGAAGCAGACUAGCAGUGACGCCUUGAAUAAGUCCGCCAAAGCCUCUUGCAUCUUCUCCUCCAACACCGCCAAUAGAGUCCGUUUGACUCAUAAAUUUUUGUCGCUUUCAUUCUUUUCAAAAGCACGUGAAAACUAGCUUAUAGGAUUUUGGAUGGACAAUCACUCUUUUCAAAAGCAUGUUAAAGCUAAUCUUCAAUGAAUUUUAGGGCUUAUUUUUAAGUAAUCUUUUAGCAUGCAUGCAUUUAUGCAAUCAUGUGAUUAUAUAUUCAAUUACUUUUAAAGUAGAAAAAAUUACUUCUCUUAAAAGCAACAGCGGGGCACGUAUUGCAAUUUGUAGUAGUUAAUUCUUGGAUGAAAUUUACUAAAGUAUAGUCUUGUAAAAGAAUUAGUUUUCUUAAAUUGUAAUCUCGUUUAUGAUUGGGAGAUUUUGAUCAAAAUUAAUAUGAUAAAUUCGUUGCAAGUGUUGUUCUUGAAGUCUCAUCUUCCGUGAUGUUUGUAAAAUCAAGGUUUUACCAUCUCUGAUUAAAUAUUUAGUCUUGAUUUCGGCCACGUAAUCUGGACUUGACGAAAGAUUAUGAUCUUAUGUGAUUUUAUGAAUGUGGUCUUACCUCUUAUAAGUCAGCAAUGAAUUAAUUAAAGCUUGCUGACAAAUUAUAAGCUCAAAAACCGCUGCUGCUUCAUUAAUCAUAUUACCCAAAUUCAUUGCAGAACUCAUCAUAAGUUUUCCGAGAAUUUUAAGCUUUAUUUUGGCUUCAUUCAUGUACUCCCUUUGUAGAUCCCAAAGACAUGUUUAACUUUAGUUUAGGGUAACAAAGCUACAGCUUUUUCUGCUGUGUGCAACAAGCGAAGAAAGUGAAAUUGUAAAGAAUACGAUCGAUUACUGAUACGAAAACAUAAAGAUUGAUAAUUUUUAGAGAAAUAAAGCUCCUAAAUAAUUAGAAUAUUAUUCAUAAGUCUUAAUAAAUAAAACUAGAAUUUUGGUUCUUUUUACACCAACCCUAAAUAUCUUGAAUUUAUUAAAAUAGGAAAACGAGAAAUAUUUUUUUGUAGUAAAAUUCUCUAGUCUAAAUAAGCAAAAUUUUAAUGUCUGAAGAAAAAAGAAGUAAAAAUUCUGAAAGCAAUUAAAAAAAAAAAGCAAAAUAACUUAAAAUUGCAAAAUAAUCAAGAAAGAAACGGAACUUUUGGCUCAAAUACAGGGUAGAACAACUUAAACAAUUUUUAUAUUUUAGUUUAUCUUAUCGCAAGUUUUGAAAAGAUGUAUUAUAAGUUCUAAACAAACAGCUAUCCCUACAAAGUACCAUGGUCAUUCAAUGUAACUACCCUACAUCAAUUAUUGUUGGUUUGUGGUGUAUCCAGACCUUUCCAUCGGAUGGGCUGUCCACGAAUACAGUGAUAGAAAUGUUAUUGCAAAGAAAAAUACUAGCAGUGACGUUUUGAAAAUUCCACCAAAGUCUUUUGCAUCUUCUCCUCCAGGACCGCCAAUAGAGUAUAGAGUACGUUUGACUCAUAAAUUUUUGUCACUUUCACUCUUUUCAAAAGGACGGGAAAGCUUAUCGAACGGACCACCAAUCUUUAAUGAAUUUUGGAUUCAGUGUUGAUAUUUUGGGCUUAUCAAAGCUAGAGUCCGUUCGACCCAUAAAUUUUUGUCACUUUCACUCUUUUCAAAAGCAUGUUAAAGCAGACCUUCAGUGAAUUUUUUAUUCGCGUACCUUUAAGUAAUCUGUGCAUUUAUAUAAUUAUGCGGUUAUAGAUUCAAUUACUACUUCUCUUGAAAGUGAAAGCAGGGCAGAUAUUGUAACGCAGCUGCUAUUGGUAGCAAUUAAUUCUUGGAUGAAAUUUACUAAAGUAUAGCCUUGUUAAAGAACUAGUUUUCUUAAAUUGUAAAUGGUCCCCUUUAUGAUGGGGAAAUUUUGAUCAAAUCUGAAAGAAAGCUUGAAAAAUAUAUUGAAACUAUAAUGAAAUUUUAUGUUUGAUUUAUAUUACAAAUGUGGGUCCAGCUAUGUUACCUAGAGUUGGCAAAACGGGUCAUCGGGUCGUGUUCGUAUCGUGUCAAAUUUAGGUCGAUCCAAACCCGACCCAUUUAAUAAUCGUGUCAAAAUAUUAAGACCCAAACCCGACACGGAAAAUAAUCGGGUUACCCAAUAACCCGUUUAAUAUCUAUAUAUUGAACAAAAGUUACAUCAAAUAUUUACACACUAUCAUACAUACGUAUGUACAUACACAUAUACAUACAUACAUACAUACAUACAUACAUAAUUUAUCGAUAUUAUAAAAUAUACAUAUCUACCAAUAUAUUACACAUUUACACUAUUGAGGUUUUAAUUAUAUAUAUAUAUAUAUAUAUAUAAUAUUAUAUAUCAAUAUUAUAAAAUAUACAUGUCUAUCAAUUUUUACACAUUUACACUAUUGAAACUCUAAAUGUAUGUAAAAUUUUAUAAAUAAAACACUGUGUUUAUAUUCACCCUUUUAAAGAAUAAAAAAAAGAAAAUCAUCUCUAAUAUUUGAGUUGUAAUUAUAAGAAUAUGUAAGUUAUUUUAAAAUAGAAAAUAUAAUCGGGUCAUUGAUCGGGUAAAUGGGUUAAGAAUUUUAACCCUAACCCGACACAGAAAAAAAUUGUGUUGACCCGGACCCGACCCAUUUAAUAAUUGUGUUAAAUUUGACGACCCAUACCCAUUUAUUUAUGUCGUGUUCGUGUCGGGUAAUCGGGUCGUGUUAAAUUUUGCCAGCUCUAAUUGCACACUUAACUAAAUUAACUAAAUUGACUUUUGUUAUUCCACCCCAACAUUUAAAUAGUCAUUAGCACACAUUUAAAGUAUUUCAUUAACUUAGUUAAAGAAGGGUAAAAAAAAAAAAAUCUAAACAAUUACUCUAUUUGAAAAUAAUUUAAAUAUUUCUUUAUUAGUUUUUUGUAACUAAAAAGAAGAGUAAUAAUUUUAUUUUAUUAUUUUGUUUCUAUAUUGUAAAUAAUUUUAAUUAUCUUUUAAUAUUAAUCAUUUUAGGAAAAGUAAAUAAAAAAUAAGAUUUUUUUAUGUAAAACACAUUAAUUAGUUUUUCAUAUUAUAAAAUGCAUAGUGAUUUAUAAUAAAAAUUAAAUAUGCAUGUUUACCCUUACAAUAUAUAUUUAUAGCCUCCUGAUUACAUUCUUGUCGGAUUAAUGGUUAAGUGCUAGAAAACAGAACCAUGGCCAUGACCAAUUUUUUUUUUUUUAGUUUGGUAGUGAAAUUGAUUUUUUUCCUUCAAUUCGAACAAUUUAUGCAUUCUCUUCUCUACAUAUCUUGCAAUAAAAAAAGAAAAAAACUUACAUUGUCUAAAUUGACAAGUCUAUGAUGUCGGAGUAUUGUAUUCAUGUCGGCAUCUUUGAAGUGCUUCUGAAAUAGAUUGUGGCUUCCAAAAACAUCAAUAUAAUUGAAAAUUUUUAGGUGCAGGACUAAUGUGUGAAAAUAUAGAAGUCUUUAGCUUUUUUGUUCUUUAAACAAAUAAAUGGACUCCAUUACAAUUAACCUUGAAAAAGACAAAAAAAAAAAGGGGUACUAAACCCAUGUGGCAACGUAGUUUUGGCCUUGAAGAUAAUAUAGAAGAAGAUCAGAGUUUAUAUAAAUUGAGAUUCUUUUUGGCACUUAGAUUUUUAUUUAAAAAAUAUUGUUUGUGUUAUUAUUAAGAGGAAAAAUAUAAAUAAAUGAAUCUAAGUCUUAUAAUAUUAUAGUUGCUAUGUGUCAUAAUCAUAUUAAAAGGUUUGAAAAAAUUAGAUUAGGUGAGGAUUCAAUUCCUCCUUGAAGACCGCUAAUAGAAUUGGUUUCACUCAUAAAUUUUUGUCACUUUCACUCUUUUCAAAGGUGCGUGAAAACUAGGUUAUAGAAUUUUGGAUGGACGAUCACUCUUUAUCAAAGGACUACCAGUCUUUAAUGAAUUUUGGAUUCAGUGUUGAUAUUUUGGGCUCAUCAAAGCUAGACUAUAGAUUUUUUUUUUUUUAAGAAUUUUGAAUUCAAUGUUGAUAUCUUGAGCUUAUCUUUAACUAAUUUUUUACCACCCGUGCAUUUAUGUUAUUGUACGGUUAUAGAUUCAGUUAUUUUUAAAGUAGAAAAAUUACUUCUCUUAAAAGUGAAAGCAGGGAAUGCAGACGCUAUUUGUUGUAGUUAAUUCUUGGAUGAAUGUUAGAGUAUAAUUUAUACACUAGUUUUGCAUUGUUUAUUUCUCUUAAUAUCGAUAUUUUGCAUUUAAUAAUAGUGAUUUACUUGUAUUUUACUUUUGUAGGUGUAAUUCUAUUGAUUGGUGAUAAAAUUGAGCUACAAGAUGAUAUUUUAGGGUGAUUGUUUUCUUAGAGAAAGUAUGAGCCUCAGAAGAACUUUGUUGAUAAGGCGUGAGCGCGUGCUGUCAACUACGGACCUGCAGUUUUUAGUUUAACGUGUUUUGUAUUUUUGGUUAUUUUUGUAAUUACGAAUUUAAUAUUUCAAAUAUUAGUAUUUUAUUUUAAAUAGAAUUCUAGAGGAGAAGAGAGAGAGAGUAUUUAAGGGAGGAAUCUAUAUUGAAAAAGGGGGGACUGGAGAAAAAGAAAGAAACCCUAGAUCUAAACUUUUCUCUUCUCUCUAUGAAGAACUAAACCUAUUUUUCUGGUUGAAGGUUAAUGAAGCUUUGAUUCAUCACUACUGUGAGAUCUUUCUUAUGCUUUAAUUGUUUUAUUGCUUUUUGGGUAUUUGUUUAUUCUCUGAAUUAUUUUCAUGAUUAUGUUUGUUAAUUAGGUAAUUGGCCACUAUUUAAUUAUCAACUUAAUCUAUUGUCAAUUAAAGGAUUCAUCGUAUGAAGAUUUUAAUGUUUGUGACAAAUAACAUAGCAGAGAGUUGUGUUGUGAGAAUAAACAAUCUAAUUUAAAUGAACUAUCGUAUGUGUUUGUUGAUUAGGAUUUGGGUCUCUCUGGUUUUUCAGGCUGUCAAUUGAUUAAAUCUUAUGAUCGUAUCUAGGGUUGUCUAUUGAUUAGGGAAAUAACCAACGGUUAUACCUUGGUUAUCGACUAGUUAAGGAGAGAUUGGCUAUUAGAGGGUCUCAGUAGCUAUAACCGAUCUAUUCAUAAGUAAUAAUAAUUUAUAUUUGAAUCAAUGAUCAGUAGUCGAAUCAAGCUGAGUUAAUUCCUUCAACCAUAGCUUUCUCCAAUUUGAAUUACAACUUUAAUUUGCAUUCUUGUUAUUUUAAUUUAAUUUUUAUUACUGUCAACAAAACCCCCAUUUUAUGUUUUACGUUUUAAAAGGAUUUAAAUAAUUACCGAUCUCUGUGGACACGAUCCUGCUCAAUCACUAUACACAAUUUGUUUAGAGUAGGUAUUUAUUUUCGUUGGCUUCGACAACCAUCAAUGAAAUUUGGGUCUUGCUAUAAUACAUGCAUGUAUCACAUACAUGCGAGGAAUAAAAAAAUUAAAAAAAACAUUGCCAAACAUUUGAAAAAAAAAACUGGAGCAACCGGUAAAGAGCAACAGGUUGUGCCUUAAACAAUUAAAAAAUUAUGAAACAAUAUAAUAAAUAAAUAUAAUAAACAAAAUAAUAAUAAAAUAAUAAUAAUUUAAUAAUAAAGGCUAGAUAACUAUAAAAAAAUAGUUUCAAAUUUAAUGGUAUCAGUAUCAAGUUAACGAUAGGUGUUUCGUGUUUAUUGGUCUACUAAUUGCAUGAUUUUCAAGGUUGCAAGUGAAUGAUCCCAAGUUCCAUGUUCAUUGCCCUCAGUUUCAAGUUCUUUUAGUUUCAAGUUUAAUGGUCCCAGUAUCAAGUUAACGAUAGGUGUUUCAUAUUUAUUGGUUCAUUAAUUGCAUGAUUUUCAGGAUUACAAGUUAAUUAUUCCAAGUUUCAUGUUCAUUGCUCUUAGUUUCAAGUUCCUUUGGUUUCAAGUUUAAUGAUCUCAGUAUCAAGUCAAAAGUAAGUGUUUCGUUUUUAUUAGUCCAUUAUUUGGAAGAUUUUUAGGGUUGCAAGUUAAUGAUCUAUGGUUUCAAGUUAAUGAUCCUAUAUUUCAUAUUCAAUGCCUUAAGUUUCAAGUUACUCUUGUUUCAAGUUUAAUGGUCCUAAUUUCAAAAUUAAUGAUAGGUGUUUCAUAUUUAUUGGUUAUAGAAGAUUUUCAGAAUUACAAGUUAAUGAUCCUAUGUUUCAUGUUCAUUGCCCUAUGUUUCAAGUUACUUUGAUUUCAAGAUUAAUGGUAGGUAUUUCAUAUUUAUUAGUCCAUCAUUUGGAAGAUUUUCAAGGUUGCAAGUUAAUGAUUUCUAGUUUCAAGUUAAUGAUGGUAUAUUUCAUGUUCGUUUUCAUAAGUUUCAAGUUACUUUAGUUCAAAUUUAAUGGUUUCAAUUUCAAAAUUAAUGGUGGGUGUUUCAUAUUUAUUGGUCCAUUAUUUGGAAGAUUUUCAAAGUUGUAAGUUAAUGAUCUUUGGUUUCAAGUUAAUGAUCUUAUGUUUCAUGUUCAUUACCCUAAGUUUCAAGUUACAUUGGUUUCAAAUUUAAUGGUCUUGGUUUUAAGAUUAAUGAUAGGUGUUUAUAUAUUUGUUGGUCUAUUAUUUGCAAAAAUUUUAGGGUUGUAAGUUAAUGAUCCUAUUUUUCAUUCUCAUUGCCCUACGUUUCAAGUUACUUUGAUUUUAUAUUUAAUGGUCCAAAUUUUAAGAUUAAUGAUAUGUGUUUCAUAUUUAUUGGUCUACGAUUUGUAUAUUUUUAGGAUUGCAAGUUAAUGAUUCUAAGUUUCAUGUUUAUUGCGCUAAGUUCCAUGUUAUUUUGGUUUUAGCUUAAUGUCUUAAUCUCAAGAUUAAUGGUAUGCAUUUCAUAUUUAUUGGUUUAUGAAAUGACAUGCAUUCUAUCAUGAAAUUUAUGAUAGUUUUUUCAAAUCACAUAUUUGUCACACCACAAUUUCGUGAUUACUUGAAUUUCUUGCAGGCUUUUAAAUUUUUCAUGGGAAAUUUAAAAUUUUCAGUGAAUUUAAAUUUAGUUUUGAUAGGAAAAUUGAAUUGGAAUAUGAGACAUUUUAUGACUGAUACUUACUAUCACAAAUUUUGAUUUUUUUAAAUUUAAAUAAUUUUAUUUCCUAUUUUUGACAUUUAAAUCAUAAAACCACUAUGAAAGAAAAUAAACCUGUAUAUUCAAUUAAAUCAGAAAAUAGAUAACUUAAUAUCAAUUAAAAUCCAAAGUACAGCCAAAUAUCGAGCAAUCAAGUUACGUUAGUUUCAUGUUUAAUAGUCCCAACGUCAAGAUUAAUGGUUGCAUUUCCAAAUAAUUAGGAACAACUCAAGUGUGCAAUAAGAGAUUUCAUGUUCAAUGACUAACAUGGUCUUUAAUGUAAGUAAUUUAAGAUUAUCAUUAGUUUCAUUUUUAAUGUUCAGAUUUCAUAUUCAUCGGAAUGUUAUUAUAGAGAUGAUUUAAAUAUAAAUAUAGCAACAAAUAUUGUAAUUGGUACAAUAUCAGAAUGAAUUACAUAGGUAAGGCAUGUGUAUAUGAUGACCAAUCGAAGGAAGAACAAGGACUCUGUAUGACUGUAUGGUAGAGUUAAAAGAGAAAAUAUGACAUACUCUAAUACGCUCGUUAGUGACUUAUAUUAGUCUUUCACCUAAUGCUGUAAUAUGUUCAAUAGAGACUUGGUGUUUGUUUUAUAAUGUACUUAUCAUUUAAGUUUAAUAUUAUGUAUUAAAAUUAUUUAUGUGUAGUUUGAAAUUCUAGCUAAGCAACCCAAGAGCGGAGUGAAUUGAGUAUGCAAAAAAUUGGAUAAUAAUAUCACAAAACAAUUCUAGCAAAUAGUUUAAAGAAUUCAAUAACAAUAAAUACAACAAUGAAUAAACUUGCAAAGAUAAAGAGAAAGAGAAUAAAUAUAAGAUUUUUAUGUGGUUCGGCAAACCUCGCCCACGUCCAUGCCUUCAAGUAAAUUGAGGUUGAGGAUUUCACUAUCCAAACCUCACAAUCUAAGGUUUCAAGAUAUUUAUAAUUGACUUCCAAAAUGUCAAAAAAUCUUUACAAGUUCAGAUGAACAUUUACCUCUUUUCUCAAGUUAUCGUUAUGACUAAAUUUGAAAAUAUUGCACAAAUGGAUCGCUGCUUGGAAAUUUUCAAAUAUUGUAUUUCAAUCCUACAUACUCACCCAAUCAUAGUCAGUUUACCGCUUGAAGUUAAUGGUUCACCGUUUGAAUUCCAAAAACCUAAUUUAGCCAAAAACAUUAUGAAACUCGAUCAGGCCUAUUUACAAUUUACAAAGUGUAAUUUUUCUACUUUGCGUCAUUAAUAAACGUAAACUUUUGAGAAUGUCAAAAGGGUGGUUUAGAUUUAUCAUUGCUUGUUAAAAGCAUCGAUUUUCAAUCAAAUAGGUAUCAAUCUUCCACCAUUGAUAAUUUAAUUACAUUUAAGGAUAAAAUAAUCACCUUUUGCUAAAAAUCUCUAACAUUGUUGCAAAGGAAAAAAAAAUGAAAAUUGAUAUGAUUUGUAAAUUUCAAGUAGACUGUUAAAUUCAAUUCUUGUAGGCUUUUUGAGAUUGCAGAAAACAGCAGGUUGACAAUUCAUAAUUUUCCAAUAGAAUUUAUUUUUUUUCCAACUUUGACAAAUGUUAUUUUUUUAUCAACUAAUGAGAAACAAGAAAUGAAAUGCUUCAUAUGAGAAUCAACUUUCUCUAACGAUUUAAAUUUCUCAUGAUUCUCUUAACAAUUUAAAUUUAUAGGAGACUACAUGAAAUACAUUGCUGGGAAGGAGGCAUGGGGAUUGAUUUUCACUGUUCUUCAUCACUAUCAUCGCCAAACACUGAGGCAACAGCUAGUUUUGGCUUUCUCUGCAGCACUUCCAGUUGCGUUCUGCACAAGAAGCAAAGAAAAUCAGAAGAUAGUUGUCAGUUCUAUUCACCAAAAUUGCUUUUAAUGGGUAAGUGCAUCACAAGAAGCAAGAAAGUUAAUACAUGAUUGAAAGAAAUAAUAUCCCUAAGAAAAUCGUGAGCAUCAUCUUUUAGCGUAUAUUAAUCCAGGUUGCCCCGGAAAAGAAUAUCCAAUCAUCAAACAGCCUUUUGCAUUAUCUAUCAGCUAUACCUAUUCUGGCGAUUCUGUAUAAACCAAAUUUAACAAAACAACAUGUAGCAUUUUAUUGCGGCUCUAGAUUAUGAAGAUCUCAUAAUCUGAAACCUAUUUUCAGGCUAAUGAUAUAACUUGAACAUAUAGGACAACAAUUAGUCAAGAAUGGUUAAAAUGCAGGGGACUUCAGAACAUAGAACUGUAUAUUUGGCCAGUAAAAGAAAAAUCUAUUUAUAAAAAACAAGAACUAAGCAUACAAGCAAUAAGAAAAUAGUUAAAUUAUUUAGUUAUGAAUUAGAUGUGUCUACUAAUGGCAACCAAACUCAAAUUACUCAGAGGGAAUUGAACAAAGGAGUAAAUCAAUAAACUUCAAUUAUUUAUAGACUUCUGCAUGUUUUGAUAUUUCAUAAAUUAUUUAUCGUACUUGAAUAAACUUCAGCAUUUAAACAAAAAUAUUGAUAAUAUUUGUCUACAGAAAUCAAUGUUGUUCAUGUAUAUCUUUAGCAUGAAAGCCCUCUAUUGUGAAGAACUCAAGAAAGCAGAUGCAAAAGGGAACCAAGUCAUAUAUCAUAGAUGCACAGAUGAAUGUAUUUAUCCAUUUUACAAAAUUUUUAUAAUGAAAAGAAACUGAAGAAGGCAGGUUCAAAAGGGAAUCAUAUUUGCACCAGCAAGUAGAAAAAUAUGCCAAUACUAAAGCAAUAUAGGCCACCAAGAUCUGCAAGGAAGAUCACUGCAUGGCGAAGAAAGAAUACAGCAUUUUAAUACCAGUGUUCAGCCUAUCUUCAACAAAAAAAAAUUUAUAGAAGAGCAGAAAGCUGCAACAGCAGAGACAGAAUACCUAUCUAUCAAAGUCAAUGCAAAGAACUACAAGACUAAAGCUGCAACAGCAUAGAUCGGAUCCACAAGAUAGCAUUAUCUCUUUAAAGAAAGACCAUUUUACGACAUUGUACGCAUUAUCUCUUUCUACAGAAUAUCAUGAUAUUUAAAUAAAGAACAUAUUUUUUAUAAGUAAAAAAGAUCACUCAAAAAGCUCAAUACUUUAAAACCAGUUAAGCAAUUUAACUCUUCCCAAAUACCACAAUACGGAAAUAUGAUUCACACAACAUUACACAAAAGCUAGGAAUAGAUUUAGAAUAUGAUCCUAAAGAAACUCACUUUAGUUCAUGAAUGCCACCAAUAAGGUACAAACAUAGAAAAAAAAUAAUUUUUUUUUCCUAAAAUUUUAUGGUUUUCUAGCUAGGAAAUUCAUUCCAAGUACAUUCAUUCAACAAACUAGGACCAAGUAUUCUUUCGGCUUUCAGAACCUCAGUUUUCCAGCUUUAAUGACAGAAACAGAAUCAUAUUCCUGAAUAUCAUUCGAAACGAAUUUCAAUAUCAAUCAAGCAUUUUCCUUUCCUUUGUUUCCUUGAUAUAAAAAUGAAGUCUUUGAAAGCUUUAACAUAAAACGAGUAAACAAGUUGAGAGGAUACUGAGUUCAGCUAUAUUAACAAUUCAAAACUAAUUCCAUUAAAAAACCAGUGUUAUUACUUCAAAUAUAUCACAUCUAAUACACUGAAUAUUCAUAAAGAAGUAAAUCAUUCAUAAUACUUUUGCAGAGCGUUAUGAUUUCAACCAGUUUUACGAAACAGCUACAACCAGAAUAUCAAAUUAUAACUAGAAAGAGACCUGACGAAGGCCACCACCGAGCUUGAUGGUCUGGUUUGUCAUGCUAGCACUACUAGAAAAAUGGUCUUUGCUGAUACUUAUCUUGUGACACUUAAUUAAAAAGUAUCAGUAAUUACAUGUGUUUGGGGCAUUUUCCGUGUUUAACAGAUAAGUAUUACAAAUUUUCAAUACUAUAGUGUCUGUAAAUUAAGUAUCACAAAUAUGUGACAUUAAGGUAUCAGUAAUUAAAAAAAUAAAAUUUUAAUUUUGUAUCCACUGGGAGUCGAACCGCAGGCUUCUAUACUUUAACUUUUUAAUUUUAAACAUUAAGCCACCAAACCACAAGUUGCAUUUUUACUUAAUAAACAAUAAUUAUUAAAAAUUAAAUUAAAUUAUCUAGAAAGUAGAAACUAUGUCGUUUUAAUGAGGUGUACAUGGAAACCUAAAAUCUAAAAAUUUUGACGAGCAAAAAAUCUAUCCCCACCGCCACUUUCUUCUUUGAACCGAAGCUCUCUUCUCUCUCUCUCACCCCUCUCUCUCUAACAACGGUCUACCUCACAAGUCGUUGCUGUAAACCUUCAAAAUAAGCCGCCAUCCUUGAGCUAAAAUACCCUUGGAAAAAAGCCUAGAAAGUGUUGUGAAGAACUUGGCCAAAGUUAAGGUUCGAAAGUCAGAUUAAAAAAAUUAGGGCUUUUUUUUUUUAGGGGUAUUUUAUUGUUUUUAAUGUUGAGUUCAGAGAGGCCAUCGACAUUGUGGGGGUUUAAGACAAGGGGAUUGGGCCCUGCAGAGCCAAGAAGGCAAGUUAGAGGCGAUUCCUUGAUGAGAAUGCUAAUGCUUCUGAAAUGGAUUUUCUUGGAGGAGACCUUGCUGUUUCAGCCUUUGCAGAUCUUUCUUUUGAUCUUCCAUUGAGGUGGUUUAGAGAAAAAGGAAUUCAUGGACAUCUUUUUGCAUGUGCUGGGAACGUUGCCAAGUUAAUAGAGAAUGAAUACGGAAUUUCUCUUUGCCAAAGUUUUUGGAGUCAACUCGAAGUUCUGCUGGAGCUGGGAUUGUUUUUCCCACAAACCUAUUCCGCCUGGAGGUGAGUUAUCUGUUCUGUUGAGUUUAUGGAAUUUAAGCAACAUAUGAUGCUUUGAUCUGGGUGGUUGUAUGAUUGAGGAAAGAUAUAUGAUGCAUUAUCAAUCAAGGAUCUGAAGGUAUCUUGGCCUUAGUAAAUGGUCAUUUAGAGUUCUUCAGGACCAGUUUUUUCUUUGAAAAAUAAUUAUGAUUGAACACUGUCUUAAAAUGAUUAAAAGUUAAUUCAUUUCGGAAUAAAAGGAGGUCCUAUACUUCCAUAAUCAAGAAUUGUUAAGGGAAAUAUUUGAUUUUUACUUUGUGGGUCAUUAUCCAUAAGUAAUAUUUGCAAACAUGUAACUCUAUAAUUGGGAAAGUUGAUUUUUGGGUAUUUGUCAAACAUUUAAAUAUGUGGGGGACUAUCCCAUUGAACUAGUAGAUAUUUGUAUGGAUGUCCAUUGAGCUUUUGUUUAACUUCAAAUGUCUACUUCUUGAGUCAUUACUUCUAUAUAUGUAAAUCCUAGUUUAAAGUGCCUGCAAAGAGGUGAUUGUUUCUAUUUCCAUGCUUAAGUUCAUCAUGAAGUUUCCUUUGAUAAACUUGCAGUAGAAAACAUGGAGGGGAAUGAGUAGGGAAAGAGCAUUACAUUGUUGGUCAGAUUUAGGAAAUGCUUGAUGGAGUGCCCUUCUUAUACCUCUUCAUUUUUUUGGACUUGGCUUGUAAAUUGUAUUAUCACCUUGCCAAAUAGAAGUCAAUUUUUAGUCCUUGUUUUUCUUCCUUUAAUCUAAGAUUGAAUAACUUUUCGCAUGAAUACCUCCAUAUUUAGAAAAUUUGUAAUUAUUAUUCAUUGAUUUAUUUAUAAUAGAGCAUUUGUGAUAGCUUUUAACUAUGCACAAAAAUCAUUUGGUAUAUGUAGAUAGAGUAACAUGCUUGUGCUGAAAGUAGAUAUUACAUUGAAAACUUCUUGUCUGCUAUAGUUUGCUAUAUAUAUAACCUUUACCAAAAGAGAAUAAUUGAGUUUAUUUAUAAAUAGCUUAUGAGUAUUUUUUUCUUUCGAACAAAAUAAUUUUAGUUCUGUUAAUUGUUGUUUCUCUAAUGGCUCGAUAUUGGCAGCUAAUUUUUUUUUUCUUUUCCAUGUAUUCAUAUGCAGAUUUGAUCAAUGUGUUUGAAGUGUUUAUUCUUCAACUUCACUUAUAUCCUAACCUAUACAGUCUAUUGAAUAGAGAAGCUGCUGGUGGAUAACGCAAUUAUACUACUCAUAUUCAAAGAGUGAAAGGCAGUCAUCCUUGUCAAUUUAGCUUAUAGAUUUAUUAAAUUUAGCCACAAGUAGUAGGCAUUUGAUUGGAUAGUAGAAAUUUUUAUGUAUUGAAUUUGGAUUAUUUAGUUAUGAGAGUAGGAUAUCUCAUAUUUUUGUUAUUAAAGUUUUGGAAUUUGUAAUAUAUACUAAUAAUAUUUAAAUGUGAAAUGAAAGAUUUUAUGAUAUAAAUCAAUUUCUUUUUGUUAUUUUGUGGUGCCUUUUAAUUUUCUGAAUAAAUCAAUAGGCAAUGAUCCAAUUUAAUUUUUUAUUUUUUUAAAAUAAAUUAACUAGUGAUACCAUGGUAACAGUAAUCAUAGACACUAAUAAAAUAUCAAUAACUACUAAUACUAUGGUGUCAUAAUAUCGGUGAUACUGUAGUAAUAGUAAUUACUGACACCACUUACAAGUGUCAUUAUUUUUCUAACUCCCAGAUUACUGACACAAUUAACAAGUGUCAGUGAAAGUAAUUUCUGACACUAUUCUAAAGUCAGUAAAGACUAUUUUUCUAGUAGUGUAGAUAGGUCAAGCACCGCGUCACCUGGAACCUAAAAUUGUUAAAAUAGUUAAAAAUAAUUAAUUUAAAAAAAAAAUAAGUAAGCGCAUAAAAAAGAACAGAAGAAACACAAGAAAAAAAAUACAAACCACUAUCUUAUCAACAAAGUUCGCUGUUGGCUCGUCUUCAUGAAAAUACCAAAGGGCUUGAACGGUAUUUUCGCAACAACUUUCCCCUCUAGAGGCCAAACACGACAAACAGAACGAGGGCGACAACGGCGCCGGAUUUGAACUUGAACAACGACGUAUCGCGGCUGAAUUCUUUAAGGCUGGUCUCGACACGGUCAAUCUUUUUGGUCUUGGACUUUUUGGCGGAGAUUUUAGCUGGGUUUUCGAUUUUCAUAGUCUCGAGUUCUUGACGGCUUUGUCGAUCGAGGAUUUGAGGGAUUUGUAAGAGUUGGUUCGCUAAAUGAGAAGCCACGAGGUUGAUUCGCAAAUGAUGACGUGCUUGUAAAUGGUUCCGUUUAUGAUUGGGAGAUUUCGAUCAAAAUUAAUAUGAUGAAUUCUUUGCAAGUGUUUUCCUUUGAAGUGUCAUCUUUCAUAAAGUUUGUAAAAUCAAGGUGUUACCAUCUCUGAAUAAAUAUUUACUCUUGAUUUAGACCGGCUAAUCUGAAAUUGAUGAAAGAUUAUGAUUUUGUGUGAUUUUAUGAAUGCAGUCCUAUCUCGUGAAAGUCAGUAUUGAAUGAAUUAUAGUUUGCAGACAAAUUACUCAAAAGCUGCCGCUGCUUCAUUAUUCACAUUACCCAAAUUCAGUGCAGAACUUAUCAUAAGUCCAAAAAUUUUGUGCUUUAUUUGGCUUCACUCAUGUAAAUUUUUUCCACCCAAAUCCCAAGUACUUCCUGCAAUAUCAUUCCUGUGUAGAUGUUUUCCCCUAAGACAUGUUUAACAUUGGUUCAGGGUAAACAAAGCUACAGCCUUUCUUGCAAUGCGCAACAAGUUACUAAAUCAGAGUAUUUAUUUCUGUAUUACUACUGCUAGUAAGAGAGGCGAAAUGGAAAUAUGAACUCAACUUUGUACAAAGUUUGUUAAUAAAUAAAUGAGUUGAUAAAGGGACAUUUUAAAUAUUUACAACAAAUGGAGAAUGAUAUCUAGUUCUAUAUUCAAUGUUUAGAGUCCAAUUGUGAUCGAUAGUGAUAUAAUUACCCCCAUUAGAAAUUUUAAUUAUGAAGUUGCAGUAAAAAUUUAUUAUAAUAUGUUGCACCUUUCUAUACAAUCAUCUGGAGUAAUAACAUAUCAAAAAAAUAAUAACUCGACUUACAGGGUAAGACAGAAAAGAAAGACGCUAAAAGAGAAGCAGAGAUUCAAAGACUUGACCACUUUGUUGGAGGGACAAUUACGUAAAUCUCCAGAAUACUGAAAUAAAGCACUUGCAAUAUCUAGCAUUACGUGUGUAUAUAUAUGUAUAUGUCCAAAGACAAAAAUUCGAAGAUUAGAUCUCUCAUUUCAUUUUAUGCUCAAAGCAAUGGCUUUUGUUCCACAAGCACAAACAAGGAAGAGUACGCACAAAGUUAACAAACACACAUAGCAAAUAUGACAUUAACAAGUUGCAGCAUCAUCAUCCAGAAACUUCACUCUAAUCGUCUUGAGCUUUGCAGCGGCAUCUUUCACAGAUACCCUCUGUUCUUGUGACUUCAUGCAACAAUCAAACGCCAAAUGCAUGAUGCUUAAUAAACAAUUCAUUUUGGCGGAAAAAGCUUGCUCUUCUCUUACUAAUUUGCAUCAACAGCAUCCGUCAGUGCCUGAGGUAACGAGUCCUUUAUCUAGUCUCCGAAACUUAUUUCUCCAGUAAACAUUUCAUCAGUGGGCGUCUUUCUCGUGAAAGUUUCCAUCAGUAAAACACAAUAACUAUAGAUGUCACAUUUGGCCGAAAUUAUUCCUUCUGAUCCGUACUCUGCAAUUUUUGGUUUCAAUAUAUCAAAUAUGAGAUUAUGAAACAAAUGAUAAACAAAUAAUCUUUUGAUAACCAAGGUGACCCAAACUUUCCCUGUGCUUGGAAAAAGAGCAAAAAUUUGAUACUAUAAUUGAAACCUUACCUGGUGCCAUAUAACCAAUUGUAGCCAUUGUCAUUAUGAAUCUAGAAGAAUCUUAUUUGUUAAUGAAUGAUUCCAGAAUGCACAACUGAGCUUGCAUUGCUCGAUUUAUACUGAUUACAAAACUGAUGAUACAGACAUUUCAUUUCAUAACUAACUACUAACAAAUAUUGCCCUAAGCCUAUUACAAUGUGCCAUCUGUUAAUUCUUCCAACAGUACUAGAAUCUUCACAUAACGACUUGGACACAUCAGCAUAAAGUCUAUUUGUGGAAUGUUCUAUGCUGAAUUUGUGCUAUCAAACGUUGAUGGAGAAACACAAUUUUCUUCUUAGAAAAAAUUAUUAUCUAAAGAUUCACACAUGUUAGAAGAGAUUCGAACAAAGGUUUAUUAGUUCGUGGGAAAAACAAUGUUAAUGAAACGAGGUCUUGGUCUCAUAGAGAUAGAGAAAAACAAUUUGUGCAUUCUCUUUACUCGUGGGAUCUAGUUUCCUUAAUUUUGUCCUCAUUCUUUAUUUUUUUUAUAUGCUGAGGAUACACAAAAACAAUGUAGGCUGAGUUUGAUUGUGAAUAAUCUCUUGUGGAAGGAAAUGACUGUUAAGGAUUAGUUAGAAUAAAACUAUAUUCGGAGGGAGAUGGGGUACUUGGUGGGAUGAAUAGUUUGAUUCUGGGGAAAAUAAAAGACAUAACAUUGAUAGAGGACUAUCAGAUUUCUCCGUCCCAUCUACGCUGAGAUCAAAACAAUUGGCUCCUAUUCCGCAAGCACAAACAAGACAGAGCAGCAAAGUCAGCAACAUUCGGAACGAGUACAAACAGAGGUGGAGGACAUGUCACUCUGCGUUUGCAAUGUCUCCGACGUGUCGUUCUCUAUUAAACGACGUCGAAUAAUAUCAGUGUACGACAAGUGACUAACGGCGGUUAUGGCCGUUAAAUGAGCACGUGAUGGCACGUGAGCAACUAAAUUAUAUUAGCUCAGAAACGUCAAGCUUAGGACCUUUUGAUCAUUACUCAAGUUGCACGCGUGGAGCGCGUGUAAGAAGCAGUUACGGGCCGUUUCUUUUGGCGGGAAAAAAUCUGGGAAACUUGCCCAACAGGCAGAAACAACGGUUAUAUAAAUGCUGAUUAACAACUAUUAUUUUCAGAGGUUGUUAAGAGAGCUCAAAGAGAGUUAGAGAGAGAAAGUCAUCUUGAUUUGUUCUCUAUAAUGCCCUUGAGGCUCUUGUAACCUUGUUCUCUUGAGAUUAGUGAAGCCAUUAACUUGAUCUUGAUCUACUCUAGAUGUAGUCACCUCUGGUGCUGAACUACUAUAAAUAUUUGUAUUCUUUGUUUACUGAUCUAUUAAUUGUUAAUUUCCUUUUCAAAUCAGUGUUUGUGAAUCUUGAGUAUUUCUUGUCCAACAUUGUGGUCUUGGGGUGUUAAUUUGGGAUCGAAUCGCAACACCCAUAAACAUAUCAUCUGUGGGCUUCUUUCUUUCCACCAAUAAAACGCCAUAGCGAUAGACAUCCCCAUCUGGAAGGAAUAAUUCCCUCAAUUCCGUAGUCUGCAUUUUUAUCUUCUUUUAAAUUUCAACAUAUCAAAAAGAGGUCUCUUUAUGAAAUAAAUUGUAAAUAAAUAGCGUUUGGAAUAAAUUUUGCUUGUGUUUAAAAAAAGGGGCAAAGUUCGAAAUAGACUUGAGACAUUACCUGAUGUCGUGUAAACAAUUGUGGCAAUUGUCAAUGUUGUCGCGGUAUCAUCUUAUUAAGUAUGAUUUUAUGAAUGUUGAGCAACCCAGUCUUAUCUCAUGUAAGUCAGUAAUGAAUUAAUUAAAAUUUGCUGACAAGUUACAAACUCAAGAACUGCUGCUGCUUCAUUACCCAAAUUCAGCUCAGAACAUAUCAUAAGUUUUCCAAAAUUUUUAUGCUUCUUUGUUUUGGCUUCAUUCAUGUAAUUUUCCCCCCCAAAUCCCAAGUACAUUCUGCAAUAUUGUUUGAUGUCCAAUGUGAAAGCACGUUUCUGUACAGAUACUUUCCCCUUAGACAUGUUUAACUUUGGUUCAGGGUAAGAAUGUGCAACAACCUGUCAGAGUGAAAUCGAAAGCAGGGUUGUGGUUGAUGGCAAUCGUAUCACCAACAGAAGGCCAGGAACUUCCAUAUAGUUUGCACUGGCAAUUGCGGAGAAGUAUUUUGGUCGCAACAAAGCACUGGAGCUUGCAAAGAUAAUGCUUUACACUCGUACCUAAACGAUUGUAACGAGAACUGGUCUACUAUUGAACUGGAGUAUUCAUUUCUAUAUUACUACUACUAGCAGAGAGGCGAAAUGGAAACUUGAAUUCAUGUUUGAAUAGGGAUUCUCUGUGUUGAUUUGCACAACAGUUUGUUUAUAAAUGAAUGAGUCCAUAUCUAGUAUUAAGUCUGUAUGUGUACAAAGUUACAAAUUCGAAGAUUGGAUUUCUAAUUUCAAUUUAUGUUCGGCUCAAAGUAAUGGCUUUAAUUCCACGAGCACAAGAAGGAAAGAGUACGCACAAAGUUAACUGGUUGCUGCAGCAUCGUCCAGGAACAUCACUUUAAUCUUCUUGAGCUUUGCUGCAGCGUCUGUCAUAUUUUUCCUCUUGUCGGGUGACUCCAUACAGCAAUCCAAUGCCAAAUCCAUAAUGCUUAAUAUACAAUCCAUUUUGGCAGAAAAAGCUCGCUCUUCUCGCACCAAAUUUGCGGCAACAACUUUAGUCAAUCCGUGAGGUAAUGACUCCUUUACCCAUCUCCUUAAACUCAUUUCUCCUGUGAACAUUUCAUCGGUGAGCCUCUUUCUUGUGAAAGUUUCCAUCAACAAAACACCAUAGCUGUAGAUAUCACAUUUAGCUGAAACAAUUCCUUCUGAUCCAUACUCUGCAUUUUUUAAUUUCAAUUAUUAAACAAAUGAUAAAACAAAUAAUUUUUUGAUAAUUAAGGUAACCCAAACUUUGCUCGUGCUUGAAAAAAGAGUAAAAAUUUUAAUUACAAUUGAAACUUUACCUGGUGCCAUAUAAUCAAUUGUAGCCAUUGUCAUGGUUUGUGUCACAAAAUCUUCUCCUUAACCUAAGAGUUUGGAAAUGCCGAAGUUGCUCACGCGUGCCACCAUAUUUUCAUCCAAGAGAAUGUUGGGAGGCUUCAAAUCACAAUGAAUUAUAGGUGCCGACGAAUGACCAUGAUGGAGAUAUUCAAGAGCCGACCCCACAUCUAUUAUUAUAUUCAACCUCUCUAGAAUGUCUAAGAAAUAGUUGUGAGAAUACAACCACUUCUCGAGACUACCAAUCGGCAUGAACUCAAGUACCAAUGCUUUGAAAUCUGGAUUAGAACAACUGCUAAGGAUCUUUAUGAGAUUUCGAUGACGAACAUUCCGUAAAACUUCACAUUUAGAAUCAAAACUCCUAAAUGCUCUCUCUAGUUGCAAAUUGAAAAUCGUUAUCGCAACAUCAGUCUCGUCGGAAAUAGUUCCUUUAUAAACUGGUCCAAAACUAUUUGUACCAAGCAAGUUACAUUCAUUAAAUUCAUCAGUUGCUCGUUGAAUGUCUAGGUACUGUUUGGUAACGGAAAAAGGAGAAAAAAAUGGAGUGGAGGCAUUACUUUUAUCUCAUCCUUAACUUCUGAGGGUGGGGGAUCUCUUUCUCUCUUCUUCUCAUGGAAAAUUCUUUCUUUUACACUCUACUUUUCUGCAAAUUACUCAAAAGGUUUUUUAUUUUAAGGCAAUGUUUAUUAAGCCACAUGAGUGGUGGCACAAGUUUUUCCCAAAGGCCUAGAAACUACCUUGAGCGUCGGAGGGUUCAAAUGCGCCCAAGCACACAGCCCAAAGCCUCUGUGUGUACUCAGACGGGCCCCAAAGGCCUGUAUCUCAUUCAUAUCAUCUGUAAUAUUUGUCUCUCAAUAUCUGUCUGUAUCUCAUAUUUGUAUCUCUGUAAUCAUCAUACCGCAUGCAUAUGCCCCCAAAAGGCAAAAUCGCCCAAACACACGGCCCAAAGCCUCUUUGUGUGUUCAGACGGGCCCCAAAUACCUCUCAUCUCAUCUCAUCUGUAUCACUGUAUCUAGAGGGAAGGGUAUUGUCCAAUGAUUUUAAAAACAAUCUCUAUACUCAUAUUCAUGUAUAUUCUAAUCAUACUUUAAAUCAUACAUUUCUUUUCAUUAUCACAUCUAAAUCCACUUUUCUCAUCUUUAAAAUACUAUUGUAUUUCAUUCAAAGUCGACACAGAAAAUCAUUGACCAAACAUUUUAAUAUAAUAUCAAUGCGUGCAUAAAAUCCAUUUCGAGGAAAUCAUUAAAUCAGAACAUUUAAAAUACUUAUUUCACAAACAUGCUUUACUAUCAUAAUUAACUAUGAAAAUAGGUUUUGUAUAUUCCACUCACAGUGACGGUGUUCACGCUCGGUUAUCGUUCACGUCCGCGGACCGAUUCUCACUCGCGAAUCAUCCAAAAUCAAGGAAACGACAUAAUUAUUUUUCGUAAAUCGGAACUAAGACUAAAUUUAUGCAAUAAACUCGAAACGACCAUCUAUUACUAAAAUACCCUCGAAUCCGUAAAUCGUUAAAAUACUCUAAAAUCGUAAAUCACCGAAUUACCCUCGGAAUUGUAAUUACACCCAAUCCUCAAUUCCAUGAAUUACUAAAAUAUCCACAAGCUCAAAAAAUUACAAAAUUACCCUCAAGAAUGUGAAAUUACCAAAUGCCCUUGCCAGUCAAUGGUCACCGGAAUUUGGUCAACGCUGGCCGGGAAGCACGGGUUAGACACUUUUGGCCAAGCUAAGUUCAAUGAUACCAGCGGUGAGCUCCAACGCGCGGCAACGAUGCUGGAAUCUAGCUCGGCAGCCGUGAAUUUCCAACAAUUGGAUGGCGGCGAAACAAUGACUCCCGGUGGCUAUGGAUGGUCGAAAAUGGAAGAGGGAGUCAUGGGGAACAAAAUCCAACCGGUGGUGUCACCCAAAAUCGGCGAAGCAAAGCGAAACAGUCGCGGGUUUUCAAGCUUUGGUCGCGGGCGUUCUGGUUGUUUUUCGGCGAUGUGAACGGCAGGGGUAUGAUGGCCGGUCUUCAAGCUUCAAAUUGGUACCAAGCUUGACCGGAACGGUGGCCGGAAAUGGAAGUUACGACUGGUCACGUUUGCGGGUCGGGUCGGGUUUUUGGGUCUGUAGUUGGUAGCUUCUCUCACUCACACGUGUGGCUUCCCUCUCCUGUUUUCCAGCUUAUUCUAUUAUUUAUUUUAACCUUUAACCGCCUCUUUUUAUUCAUUUAAUUCACAUAUGUUACAGUACUAUUGACUAUGUGUGUAUAGAUAUUUUGUUUUUACCAUGUAAUUUCAUAUUGGAUACAUUUUUAAUUGUACAUUGCAUAGCGUCAUGAACGGGAAUGAUAAAAUAAAUUUCAAGCAUGUUUAAGUAGAUGAAAAAACUUUGUACGAUUUAGAAGGAUUUACUGAUUAAAUAAUUAUCCAAUUUGUUUGCCUGGAGGAAUUGAAUAGUUAAUUGAUUAGAGGACCAGCUGGGCAUUGUAAAUAUUAACGGUCAUUAUUAAACAAAUGAUAAAACAAAUAAUACUCUUAUAACAAUAUUUUUUACAUUAAUUUUUUAAUCAAUAAAAAAAGGUAACUAACAAAUUAACUGAUAAAUUAAUUUGUUAAUAGUUUUUGUUAAUUUUUUAAUCAAUAAAAAAGUUAAUUAAAAAAUUUACUUAUUAGCAAAUUAAAAAAUAAAUAUUAGCAUAAAAUAAUUGAUAUUUCAUUCUCUUACAACAAUCUUACUAAUUAUUAUUUAUAAAUUAAUUAAUACAAGUUAAUUUAAAAUAAUGUUUAAUAUUCUUGUAACAACCUUUCUAAUAAUUGUUUUAUAAAAAAAAUUAAUUUAUUAAAUUAAUCCUAAAAGUAAAAUAAUAAUAAUUAAUUUAUAUUUUAUUUUUAAGAUUAAUUUGAUAAAUCGUGGUGCCCGGCAGGUAAAAAGCCAUGUCACCCUCAUUCUUAAGCUGCUACAGCAUUACCACUCUGUCAGUUGCCACGAAGCUCCCCACAUCAUUACCGUAACGAUGCCUCUAGAAAACUAACUUAAAAAAAUGGUAUUAAUAAGCGUACGCCACGUCACUCCUCACUCUCUUCGUCACUUUCCUCUCACUCAACAUUUUCUCCCCAAACAAAUUCCUUCUUUGAAAAAUCGCAUUUUCUCCUUCACAGCAACAGCUACAAUGUCUUCAACUUCCAAAAAGGUAAUUUUUUUUUAAUUUUAUUUUUUGUUUUGUUUCUUUCUGUUGCCUUUUUGUUUCGUUUUUUGAAUUUUCUGUGUCGUUUUUUUAUCCAAGGUUUUGGUGCCUGUUGCGAACGGGAGUGAGCCGAUUGAGGCCGUGAUAACGAUCGAUGUUUUGAGAAUGUCUGGAGCUGACGUCAGGGUUGCGUCUGUGGAUAAACAGCUUCGUGUCGACGCGUGUCAUGGUGUCAAGAUUGUCGCUGAUGCUCUUGUGUCUGACUGCCGCGACGCCGUUUUUGAUCUUAUAGCUCUUCCCGUAUGUAUUGCAGCUCACCUCAGCUCAUGCUAAUUUAUGUGAUGUUUUUAUAAUUAUAGAUUAUUAUUGCUGAUACUGAAUGUUAAGCUAAAUAAUUUGUUGUUAAGUCAUCUUCAUUUAAUUUUCGAUUGAAAAUGAAAAAAAUAGUAAUUUUGAGCAAAGAAAAAUGUAGAAAAUGUUUAUUUUGUUUUAUUUUUAUUUUUAAAUUUUUGGGAUUUCCUUAUUGUGACUGUUAUCAUUCAUUAUAUGGUCCUAGUUAAAUGUUUCAAGUUGUUGUAGUCUGUGAAACUCUUUUCGAUAUUUAUUCUGGCAUGUACAUUUUUCCUUUCAAUUUAUUUCGUUGCUGAUACUUUGAUUAUGAUAUAUCCUUUUUUGUUUCCCUUGUAGGGUGGCAUGCCCUGUGCUACCAAUCUGAAAGAAUCUGAAGUAUUAGAAACCAUUGUGAAGAAGCAGGCUUCAGCUGGGCGUCUUUAUGCUGCUGUCUGUGCUUCACCUGCUGUGGCAUUAGGGUCUUGGGGUCUGUUGAAGGGAUUGAAGGUAAGAAUUAGAUAAGCCUUUUUUAUGUUUUGUGUUCUUUUGGGAAUUGCAUUGAUAUUUGUGUUAUACAUCAGUUUUGCUCUCACCGAUGAUUGUUAAGUUCUAAUUUAUAGGGUUUUUGAUUUUUUGUAGGCUACUUGUUACCCGUCAUUUCUGGAGCAAUUAGCUCCUGCUUGUGCAGCAACUGUUGAAUCAAGAGUACAGCAGGAUGGUAAAGUUGUUACGAGUCGUGGACCUGGCACUACUAUGGAGUUUGCCGUUGCACUUGUCGAGCAGUUGUAUGGGAAAGAGAGAGCUGAUGAAGUUUCUGGGCCACUGGUAGUAACUUUUAUAGAUAAUGUUGUUUAAAAAAAUUGUGAGUUAUAUAAUUUGUGGAAAUUCAUUCUAAUAGGUUCAUCUGGUAUGUCAAAUUGGAAGGUUCAGAUACUAAUGUAUUCCAAAAAAUUAGUUCAGGGGAAAAGUAUGACCUUUUGCAUUGGAGAUUCAUUAGAUGAAGUUGUAGACCUGCUGGCCCAUCUUAAUGUGGUGAAAACGAUGUCUGAUAAGACUGAUAUAAUUAUCGGAAUCUUGAUAAAUGCAUUUGUUGAGCUUCAAUGUCUCCACGGAUCACAUUCUUUUUAAUGUAAGUUCUUUCUCUUGGUAUUUGUCUUUGAAUUUUCUCUUCCUUAUGCUUUCGUCUUACUUAAAUUCCUUAGGAAUUGCUUUGAAGAUGACAAGCAGAGCACAAGAGACCAGAAACUUGUAUUGAAAAUAAAACUUGAAUUGAAUUCUGUUUACAGACCAUCGUCUAUUUAUACAUAAGAAAACAAAAGUGACAGCUAGCUAAAAAUAACAAAUUCAGAUAAAACAAAAUAAUCCAGCAAUCAUUAGCCAAUGAUAUGAUGCUUCCAGAAUCUUCAUCCAUUUAUUCCAUGUGCUGGUAUUUCUCUGUGUAGUAGUUUUGCCACCUCAUUGAAGUUGCAUCAGCUGGUAAAUAGGUGUAGCUUAGGUGGCAUGCCAAUGUGUCACUGAGCUCAGCUGAUGAUUUGUCAUGGUCAUGGCUGCUAUCUUCAACACCCUCUUUCAAACACAAGGUUUUGUCAAACACCUUGAGUUUGCUUCUGAAGCAGCUGAAUUUAUAGUAAGGUAAUGGCUUGGUUAGAACAUCAGCUAUUUGGUCUCUGCCUGCAACAAAACUGAUUUCCAACUCUCCUCUAGCUACCAUGUCUCUGAUAAAGUGUAGAUCUAUCUCGAAAUGCUUAGUUUUGGAGUGAAAUACAGGAUUGGUUGCUAUUGCAGCUGCACUUGUGCUAUCACUUAGGAUUGUUGGUGUUCUUUGUAUUUCUAUUUUCAGCUCACUUAGCAGAGAACCAAUCCAUGUGAGUUCUGUAGUGCAAAGAGCCAUUGCUCUGUAUUCUGAUUCAGCCGUAGAUCUAGCAACUAAGCCUUGCUUUCUUGAACUCCAAGCAAUGAGGUUUCCACCCAAGAAUACACAAUAACCACUGAUAGAUCUCCUGUCAUCCAAGUCAUUUGCCCAAUCUGCAUCCGUGUAAGCUAUUAGAUCAAAGUACUCUGAUCUUUUGAAUUUCAGACACAUGUUCAUGGUGCUCUUGAGAUACCUCAACACUCUUUUGCAUGCUAUCCAGUGAGGUUGCCUGGGAUCAGACAUGUAUUGGCUAAGCUUGUUCACUGAAUAAGCAAGCUCAGGUCUUGUGAGUAUUGCAUACUGCAGGCUACCUAUAACACUUCGAUACAAUGUGGGAUCAUAAAACUUUUCUCCUCCAUUUUUCUUUAGUUUCUCUGUGGUACUGAAAGGUGACUCAAUUCCUUUACAGUCACUCAUCUCUGUUCUGGCAAGUAGAUCUUGUAUGUACUUGGUCUGAGAUAACAUAAUGGCAUUUUGGUUUCUGUUCACCUGAAUCCCCAGAAAGAAAUUCAGCUCCCCCAAGUCUUUUAAAGCAAAUGCUCCAUUUAAAUUGCUGACCAGCUCUUCAAUACUGCCACUACUGUCACCUGUAAUGAUGAUGUCGUCAACAUAAAUCAGCAAUAUAACUAUCUCAGAUUUUGUUCUUCUGUAGAAUAGUGAGGUAUCACACUUGGAGUUUUCAAAUCCCCAAGAGUUCAAAGCACCCUUUAGUUUGUCAAACCAUGCCCUGGGAGCUUGUCUCAAACCAUACAAUGCUUUCUUUAAUCUGCAUAUGUGAUUAGGCUUACUUUUGUCCACAAAACCUUCAGGCUGUGGCAUGUAAACCAUUUCUGUCAGCUCACCAUUCAAGAAGGCAUUAUUUAUGUCUACUUGCCUCAAACUCCAGUCAUUGUUUACUGCCAAGGUGAGGAUAAUUCUGAUUGUUGCAGCCUUAACAACAGGGCUAAAUGUCAUGACCCAACCCAGACCUGGCAAGAUAUUGUCCGCUUUGGGCCUUAACAAGGCCCGCACGGAUUUGUUCUUGGGGCGCCCAUACACCCCAAAACGCGUCUUGCCAAUUAAGGUGUGGAUCACCCCUUAUAAACCCAGCAUCUCUCCCGUGCUUUGCCGAUGUGGGAUUCGCCUGGGGUGUUACAUACACCCCCCCUUGGGGACUCAGCGUCCUCGCUGAGGUUUGCCCCACCAUCGCUCAAGAGGACACGCGGAACCGCUCUGAUACCAUAAUGUCAUGACCCAACCCAGACCUGGCAAGAUAUUGUCCGCUUUGGGCCUUAACAAGGCCCGCACGGAUUUGUUCUUGGGGCGCCCAUACACCCCAAAACGCGUCUUGCCAAUUAAGGUGUGGAUCACCCCUUAUAAACCCAGCAUCUCUCCCGUGCUUUGCCGAUGUGGGAUUCGCCUGGGGUGUUACACUAAAAGUUUCUGUAAAAUCAAUACCUGGAAUCUGCAAAAAUCCCUUCACCACUAGUCUGGCCUUAUAUUUGUUUAUGGUUCCAUCUGGAUUCUCUUUGACUCUGUACACCCAUUUAUUUCCAAUCAACUUGCAACUUGAGUUACUUGGUACCAAGGUCCAUGUUUCAUUUUUUAGCAAGGCAUUGUAUUCAUCUUCCAUUGCCUCUUUCCAGUUUGGUUCUUUUAAGGCUUCUGAAGUGUUUAAGGGUAAUGCAGUCUGUGGUUGAGUAGAAACUUGGUAUAAUUUUGGUUUAAAGAUCCCUGCCUUAGAUCUUGUUACCAUAGGAUGUGAUGGUAUGACUUCUUUUGUGUUUGGAGCUAUGAUAGGGGAUGAAGGUUGGUCAUUUUCUUGAGGCUGGUGAUUUGUAUGAGGAGAAGACAUUUGAUUAUUUGACAUCAUAUCAGUGCUCAAGUUCUGUUGUGUCUUACCUUGGUCAAGGUUCUGGAAUUGUUCUGAAGCUUCAGGAGUUUCCAGAGAGUGGCCUUGAUCAACUGCUGUCUGAGUGCUUUGAGGAGUAUCAAGAGAGAAUGACACGACCUGAAAUUUUUCUAAGAGAGUAAUAAAAUCACUUUGACUUGUGGACUCUUGUCUACUGAACUUGGUAUCAUUAGAGAAAGGAAAUGAGCUUUCAUUGAAUCUGACACUUGCAGAGAUAUAUAUUCUACCUGAGUGAUGCAUGCAAACAUAUCCCUUGUGAGUUAUGCUUAUUCCUAGCAAUGUGCAUUUGACAGUAUGGAAAUCAAGCUUGUGUUUGUUAUAUGGCCUCAAAAAUGGAUAGCAUUCACAUCCAAAUACUCUGAUUUGUGAGUAAUUUGGUUUGCAAUGGUAAACCAAUUCAAAGGGGGUUUUAUUUCCAAUGACAGGUGAGGCUAAUCUGUUAAUAAUGUAGGUGGCAUAAGUGAAAGCUUCUUGCCAGAAUUUUAAUGGCAUUUUAGCUUGUGCCAGCAAUGUGAGUCCAGUUUCUACCACAUGUCUGUGUUUUCUCUCAACCUUGCCAUUUUGUUCAUGUAGAUAUGGACAUGAUUGUCUCAAUGUUAUCCCCUCUUUGUCAAGAAAUUCUUUGAAUGGUUUAAAUUCUCCUCCCAUGUCUGUCUGUAAUGCUUUAAUUUUCAGAUUCAAUUGAUUUUCAAUUUGGCUUUUAAAGGUGAUGAAUGUAUUGAGAGCUUGGGAUUUUGUUGUCAAGGGAAACAGCCAGGUGUAUCUUGUCAUAUCAUCCACAAAAGAUAAGUAAUAUCUAUGUCCAUGACUUGAGGGAAUUGGUGCUGGUCCCCAUAAGUCAGCAUGAAUCAAUUCUAAGGCCUUGCUGGUUUUAGUUUCUGUGCUUUUGAAGUUUUGUUUAGAUUGUUUUCCAUACUGACAUGCACAACAAAAUGAAGGAACAGAAUUCUUGUUUAUUUUGAACUGAUUGCAAGACAACAGGGUGCUUUUCAGAGCAGACUCAUUUGGGUGCCCUAGUCUAAGAUGCCAAAGAUCAAUGUCUUUCAAAGCAUCAUUGCUUGAUCUAUCAGUUUCAGAGGACUCAACACAAACAUUUGCUAACUUGACACUACUCAAAUUAAAUGACAACAUAGACACUGGAUUGCUGAUGCAAUUUAUUGACUCAGGCAUGAAGGAAGAAGAUAAGACAGCAGCAUAAGGAGUUUUGUUCCCACUCAGGUGAGUAGGUAAGCACAGCAGUUCAUAAAGCCCCUCUCUAGCCACUCCUUUCACCAGAAUUUUCCCUUGUCUCUUGUCCUUGAUAAAACACACAGAUUUUUGAAAUUCGAUAUCAAUGUCAUUAUCAUGCAAUAAUCUGGAAAUGCUAAUGAGAUUUUUAGUGAUGCUUGGCACAAAUAAUAUGUCAUUUAAAGUGAUGUGUUUAUGUGGAUUUGAAGUGAAGAGCAUAGAGUUACCAAUAUGAGAAAUCAGGAGUUUUUCACCAUUUCCAACAGUUAGAUUUUCAUUACCUUGAUACUCAGAGUUGGUGUUUAUGUUGCUAAGGGCAUUUGUCACAUGGUUUGUAGCACCACUGUCCAAGUACCAGGCUCCACUGUUUUGGCCAUCAGUUGCAGCCACAUAUGCACCUCUUGGUUCCCUCCUUUGGCUUGGUUGUGGUACAUAAUUCUUUUUAAAUCUGUGCCAGCAAUCAGCAGCCGUGUGUCCCAUUUUCCAGCAAAUUUGACAAGGCCCCUUUGGAUUUGCACCAUCAUCAUCACUUACAGCUUUGCCCUUCCCUUUGUCAUGAGAGUUCUGAUUUCCUUGACCAUUACCAGAUCCAUUGCCAGGGGUUCUGAAGACUAUGCCAGGUUGAUAUUGAUUUCCAGCCCUGUUCUGGUUGUUCCAAUUCCUUCUCCCAUUUCUCAUUUGUGUGUAGUUUGCUUCUAUAGUUCCUGAGCUUAGGUUGUGUUCAGUUCUGUUUUCUUGGCUGAGAAGCAUGCCAUAGACUUCAGAAUGUGAGGGACUUUCCUGCAUUGAAUUUAUGCUAGCAAUUACUGAAUCAUAUUCUGAUCCCAAACCAGCAAAUACACACAUGAUAAAGUCAUCAUCACUCAUAUUACUCCCUGCAGCCCUAAGAGUAUUUAAUAUAGACUUCAUUCUAGAGUAAUACUCAUGAAUGGUUAGUGAGCCCUUUUUGAUGGUCUGGAUUUGUGUUCUGAGAUGUAGGAUUCUAGCUCUAGAUCUUGCACCAAAUUGAUUGGAAAGAGUUGUCCACACCUCAAAGGAGGUGGAACAAUCCACCACAGUGCCCAGCACAUCCUCACUAAGUGAAGAUAACAACCAACUUAGGAGAAUGUGGUCCUGCUUUUUCCAGACUUGGUAAUUUGGGUUAGGUGUGGUGAUUAUUGUUUGAUCUUGUCCAAGGUUUAUGAAAACUCUAGGAGGGCAGACAUGGCUACCAUCUAUGAACCCCUCAAGUUCAUUUGCUCUAAUGCUGGAAAUCACUUGUGAUCUCCAGAGCAUGAAAUUGUUUUGAUUUAGCUUAAUGGGAGUUGUGAACACAUAUGUGCUGCUGGUAAUGUGUUGAGUGGGUGAAGGUGAGUUGUGACUUGAGUUUUGUUCAAUGUUUUGAGGGGUGUUUUGGUUUUCAUUUUGAUUCAAGUUUUCCAUCUGAUCGUUUUGGUUCACAUUUGCUUGUGUGCUGCUGCUGCUUGCCAUAGCUUUGAAGAUGGCUCUGAUACCAACUUAAAUUCCUUAGGAAUUGCUUUGAAGAUGACAAGCGGAGCACAAGAGACCAGAAACUUGUAUUGAAAAUAAAACUUGAAUUGAAUUCUGUUUACAGACCAUCGUCUAUUUAUACAUAAGAAAACAAAAGUGACAGCUAGCUAAAAAUAACAAAUUCAGAUAAAACAAAAUAAUCCAGCAAUCAUUAGCCAAUGAUAUGAUGCUUCCAGAAUCUUCAUCCAUUUAUUCCAUGUGCUGGUAUUUCUCUGUGUAGCAGUUUUGCCACCUCAUUGAAGUUGCAUCAGCUGGUAAAUAGGUGUAGCUUAGGUGGCAUGCCAAUGUGUCACUGAGCUCAGCUGAUGAUUUGUCAUGGUCAUGGCUGCUAUCUUCAACAGUCUUCACUGUCACCUUGUGCCUGGGUAAUGCGUGCAAAUCAUGGAGAUGAAUACACUAUUGCUGAAUUCAAUCCAAUUCAGUGGACAUUUGACAAUUCUCCCCAGGUGAGAUUGGACUUCUAGUUUCUUGUAAUUGUUUUUCUUCAUCCGAUGUUUUCAGGGAUACCCAUUUGGCAGUAUAUAAAAAUCUGUGAUAUCUUCUAUAUAUACAGAUAUACAUCAUUGGCUUCAGUCAUUUGUGAACGUAUUGGAGUUAGUAGAUGUAUUUUUAUGAUAUCUCUAAUAAAAUCCCAAGUUUGAUCAAUUACAAAAGAAGUAUGAGCAGUGCUGGACCCGCGCCGGGGGGGGGGGGGGCUUCUGUGUGGUGGGGGUGUGCAGUGCAUGAAUAAAAGGAAAUGAUAGGGGGUGAAAGUUUGUGCUACCGACAUGCUGUAAAAUGGGGACAUAAUAUUUCAAAUUAGAGAUUGUGAGAUCCUUAAUAUUGCUGACUUGUGCUUAAAAUGGAAUUCUGGAUAACUUCAAAUGUUAAAGUUCUUGGUGAAAUUUUGUACUUUCUUUUCUUUCAGAUUCUUGUGCCUAUUGCAAAUGGUUCAGAGGAGAUGGAAGCUGUUAUGAUAAUUGAUAUUCUGGGACGAGCUAAAGUAAAUGUUGUAGUUGUAUCAGUUGAGGAUAAACUAGAAAUUCUGGCUUCUCGUCGAAUUAAAUUAGUGGCAGAUGUGCUAAUUGAUGAGGCGGCUAAACUUUCAUAUGAUUUAAUUGUCUUGCCAGUGAGUUGAGGUGCUUACUCUUGCUUCAUAGUCUUUACCACAUUAUUGACUUACUAACUACAAUUUAUCCAUGCACAUUGCACAUGGUGGACUUGGUGGCACUCAAGCAUUUGCGAAGUCAGAUUAAUUGGUGAAUAUGCUAAAGAAGCAAAAGGAAUCAAAUAGACCUUACGGUGCUAUAUGUGCAUCCCCAGCUUUAGUGUUGGAGCCCCAUGGCUUACUCAAGGUAUGACCAUUUAUGCUUAAAUUAUUUACUCAGAUUUGGAUCACCUAAUCUGAACUUGAUGAAGGAUUAUGAUGUUGUGUGAUUUUAUGAAUGUGGUCUUAUCUCAUGUAAGUCAGUGAUGAAUUAAUUGAAGUUUGCUGACAAAUUAGAAACUGAAAAACUGCUGCUGCUUCGUUAGUUACAUUACCCAAAGAGUAAAAAUAAACAUCCCAAAUUUUGUCCCAAAUGAUAUGGCAUUUAUUGAGUGAUUGGUAAUUUUUUACAAAAUCCAAAUGAAUUAAUUAUAUUAUCUAACCGACCAAUUGAUGAAUGUCACAUUAUUUGAGAUGAUUUUUUGGGAUGAAGACUUUGGGAUUUUUACCCGCAAAAAUCCCAAGUACUUCCUGCUCCUGCAAUAUCAUUGCUGUGUAUUUGUUUUCCCCUUAGACAUAUUCAUUCAACUUUGGUUCAGGGUAAAAAAGCUACAGCUUUUCCUGCUAUGUGCAACAAGCUGUCAGAUCAGAGUGAAAUCGAAAACAGGGUUGUGGUUGAUGGCAACUUCAUCACCAGUAGAGGGCCAGGAACUUCUAUGGAGUUUGCACUGGCAAUUGUGGAGAAGUUUUUUGGCCGCAACAAGGCACUUGAGCUUGCAAAGAUAAUGCUUUUCACUCGCGCCUAACGUUUGUACCAGGACCUGACUACUAUUAAACUAGUGUGUUUAUUUCUGUAUUACUACUGCUUGUAGAGAGGGGAAAUGGAAACUUGAAUUCAUGUUUGAAUAUGGAUUCACUGUGUGGGUUUGUACAACAGUUUGGUUUAUAAAUAAAUGAGUUCAUAGAGUCAUUUCAAAUAUUAGUUCUGUUAUCAAUGGUCGGAGUCCAGUUGCGAUCGACUCACUGGGAAUUUUAAUUAUGAACUAAAAAAUUAUGUUAUAUUCCACCUUUCUCAUAUAUAUAUAUAUAUAUAUAUAUAUCAAAUGUUAACUCGAUUUACAGGAAAAGAAAGACGCUAAGAGAGGAGCAGAGACCCAAAAAGAGUUGACCACUUUGUUGGAACAUAAAUCUCUAGAAUAUUGAAAUAAAACACAUACCAUAUCUGGUAUUAAGUAUAUGCAAGAAGAUACAAAUUUGAAGAUCAGAUUUCUCAUUUCAAUUUAUGUUCUGCUUAGAGCAAUGGCUCUUAUUCCACAAGCACAAACAGGAAAGAAUACGCACGAAGUUAAGAAACACACAGCAAAAUUUGCAUUAACUACUUGCAGCAACAUCAUCCAAGAACUUGACUUUAAUCAUCUUGAGCUUCGCUGCAGCAUCUGUCAUAUGCAUUCUCUUGUCAGGUGACUCCAUACAACAAUCCAAUGCCAAAUCCAUGAUGCUUAAUAAACAAUCCAUUUUGGCAGAAAAAGCUUGCUCUUCUCGCACCAAAUUUGCGUCAACAACUUCACUCAAUCUGUGAGGUAAUGACUCCUUUACCCAUCUCCUUAAACUCAUUUCUCCUGUGAACAUUUCAUUGGUGGGCCUCUUUCUCGUGAAAGUUUCCAUCAAUAACACACCAUAGCUGUAGACAUCACAUUUGGCUGAAACAAUUCCUUCUGAUCCAUACUCUGCAUUUUUUAAUUUUAAUUAUGAAACAAAUGAUAAAACAAAUAAUUUUUUGAUAAUUAAGGUAACCCAAACUUUGCUCGUGCUUGAAAAAAGAGUAAAAAUUUUAAUUACAAUUGAAACUUUACCUGGUGCCAUAUAACCAAUUGUAGCCAUUGUCAUGGUUUGUGUCACAGAAUCUUCUUCUUCACCUAAGAGUUUGGAAAUGCCGAAGUCGCUCACAUGUGCCACCAUAUUUUCAUCCAAGAGAAUGUUGGGAGGCUUCAAAUCACAAUGAAUUAUAGGUGCCGACGAAUGACCAUGAUGGAGAUAUUCAAGAGCCGACCCCACAUCUAUCAUUAUAUUCAACCUCUCUAGAAUGUCUAAGAAAUAGUUGUGAGAAUACAACCACUUCUCGAGACUACCAUUCGGCAUGAACUCAAGUACCAAUGCUUUGAAAUCUGGAUUAGAACAACUGCUAAGGAUCUUUAUGAGAUUUCGAUGACGAACAUUCCGUAAAACUUCACAUUCAGAAUCAAAACUCCUAAAUGCUCUCUCUAGUUGCAGAUUGAAAAUCUUUAUUGCAACAUUAGUCCCGUCGAAAAUAGUUCCUUUAUAAACUGAUCCAAAACUACCCGUACCAAGCAAGUUACAUUCAUUAAAUUCAUCAGUUGCUCGUUGAAUGUCUAGGUAGGAUGUUCUUCUCCAUGUUGCAAGAGGUAGGAAAUCUUCGUGAUCUGAUUUUUUUGUACUCCGAUUUCGCCAUCUUAUGUACAUAAUGAUGGUAAUCACUAUAAGUAUGGUGGAUAUUAUCGGAGGCAAAAUAUAUUUAAGGACAAUUAGAGCAACUUUCUUUGUUCUUUUGCUGUUUUCUCGCUUGCAAGGUGGGACUCGGAGUUUAGGUGGACCACAGAGUGCAUAAUUUCCCAAAAACGAUUGAGCUGAGAAGUUCUUAAAAGACCCCUUAAAAGGAAUUUCCCCUUCUAGCCUAUUAUGAGACACAUUAAAUUGUUUGAGAUGUGACAAUAUCUCCAAUGACUUAGGAAUUUUUCCAGAGAGAUUGUUGCCGGAGAGAUCUAAGGAUUCUAAGCUUAUCAAACUGCCAACUGAUUCAGGAAUAGGUCCCUGAAAUUGAUUACUAGCCAAGGAUAGAGUUCCUAGAUCUACGAGGGCACCAAUGGUUGAUGGAAUAUCACCUGAUAAUUGAUUCCUUGAUAAAUCUAAAACUCUCAAUACCUUUAACUUUUGUACAUUGGAAAGGAGAGGACCAUUAAAUGAAUUUGACGACAAGUUUAUCUCUAAGAUGUACUCAAGGCUCCACAAGGAUGACGGUAUACUAGAAGUGAGCUUGUUGGAGCCUAAGCGGAGUUCUCUUAGAGAUGUCAAACUCGCCAAGCAUGGCGGUAUAUGUCCAGAGAGCUUAUUUCCAUUUAACCAUAUUCCGUAGAUCAACUCCAAGUGGCAAAGAUCAUAGGGAAUGGAUCCUUCCAAAUUAUUUUCUUCAAGAGAUAAACCUUGUAGCCGCUUAAGUUUUCCCAUCGUUGGUGAAAUAGUUUCAUUCAAGUCAUUGAAGCCGAGGCUUAAGAGGAUCAGGCCACGCAACUUACCAAUUUCUUGAGGAAUGUUGCCCUUGAGUUUGCACUCGUAUGCAUAGAAUUUUUGAAGAGAAGCAGAGAAAUUCCCAAUUACUGGUGGAAGGAUGCCGCCUAAUGGAUUAGAACCCAAGGAUAAAAGUGUUAAAUUUCUGCAAUUAGUCAAAGAAGAGAGAAAACUCCAUUGAUCUGCUGAAGAUGAUUCUGUCGUCAAGUUAUUCAUCAUAAGGCUGAGCACGCUGAGGUGUCUCAAGUUGCCAAAUGUAUUUGGAAUAUGGCCCGAGAAUGAGUUUAAGCCCAAGUCUAGGCCAAUGAGUUUAGUAGCAUUGGUAAUAGAGUUGGGAAUUGUCCCCAUAAGAUUAUUGGCCGACAAGGCUAAAUACUCUAUGUUCGGAAGCGAGUGGCCAAUCGUUGACGGUAAGCGGCCUGAGAGUUGAUUGCCCCCCAGAGUAAGGAUUCUCAUGGUUGAAAUGUUGAAGAUCGUGGGUGGAAUGAGGCCACUUAAAUUAUUCUCACCAAGAACAAGAUGCUCCAAAUUUUGCAGAUUGCCAAUCUCGGUUGGAAUUUCACCUGCCAUAAGCCCAACAUUGAGGAGUCAUUGAGCUUUUAGCUUAUGGUAAAUUGAGUUUGACAAUGUUACCCUUGAAAAUGUAAAAGGAUCAAAUUAAAUUUAUUACAUAAUAAUUUCAGCCAAUAAUGUUCUUUAAAAUAUUUCAUAGAUAAUUCUGCAAAAUAUGCAUGCAAAUGGAAAAAUAUGCGUCAAUUAUAAGAGGUGGUGGAACGUACCUUGAAGAUUGCUGAAGCGAAGAUCCAGAUUCACGAGUUUACUCAAAUUUCCAAUCCUUGAAGGAAUAGUUCCACCAAUAAUAUUGAACCAUGAACGCAGCGUCUCUAGCCUUGAUAAGUUGAAGAGAGAAUUAGGAAUGGGACCUGUGAAACUGUUAUUAUCAAGAAUCAAUAUUUGGAGGUUAGAUAAGACACCAAUCCAUGAUGGAAAGCUUCCGCUCAAUUUAUUGUAAGCGAAACUCAUGACUCUGAGUCGACGUAAUUGCCCCAAUUCUUUCGGCAGAUGGCCAUGAAAAUUGUUCUCACUAAUGUCAAGAGACACUAGAAAUGAGAGAUUUCCCAAGUGUAGUCGAAUGGUGCCUCCGAGACCCAUAUCUGAAAGAUUCAAGGCAGUGACUCUUUGAUGGCGUGAACCACAAGAGAUACCAACCCAGCUACAUAUUGGAUAAGAUAUAGACCAAUUAUUUGUCAGGACACUUCGAUAAUCAACGACACGGGCUUUGAAUGCAAGAAGAGCCGAUUGAUCGGUUGUUAAGUUGCUCAAAGUCGUCAUAGCUAAGCUAGCUAUGGAAUAUUGUAACAACAACAUAGGAACAAAGAAGAAUGAUAAGCGCAUAUUGGUCUUUAUUUAUUUAUUUAUUUUAUAGAUGCAGCAAUCUAAUUGCUAAGUGAAGUUGACACAAGUUUUAAGUGAAGGAAAUUAGCAUAUACUUAUACAAGAGACGUAUGAAUUUGAAAACAAGAAAAUAAAAAAAAUGUACAGGAGAGUGGAGACUUGCAAAUUGUUAUAUUUUAUCAUUGAGCGAGUCGUCCGAGUAAACGCAUAUAGACUUGUAAAUUGUUAUACGCCGCUGUACUCGAACCGUGAAUAAAUGGGCUUAUGGCACUUUACUUACCAAAAAGAAGAAGACGCUCAGCAUUGGCAAGGCUUGUGCAUUCUGUCCAUUUGUUCACAUUAUGCCGAGGCUCAUGGCAACCGCAAUAUGUUCUUUUCCUUUCCUUUAAAAAUAAAAAAAGACGACCAUGACAUUUGGGUUAAUAAUUAUCACUAAACAAAUAAUAAUGCUGAAGGUCAGUGGUAAAUUGGUAAUACAGUUUUAAAAUAAUUGUUAUUAGUUGUGCUUUAAAAAUAAAAUAAAAAAAUAUAGUUAUACCACUAUAAUUUAAUGAAAUAAUCAUGUAAACUCCUGAACUUUUAAACUUUAAUAAUAGAUACCGAGGACCCCCUUCUGGGUACCUUUUUACCAUUUAUUUGGAUAUCAAAUGCUUUUUUUUUCCGUUAAUUUUCACAGUGGAUUUGAAAUAACAAAUUUACUGUCAUUCCCAUAUCAUCUAAUAAAAUCACUUGCUUCUAUACAUAUUGAUUGUUUUUCCAAAGUUUUAAAUUGAAUUAAAAACAUUCUAAUUAACCUUAAAAAAAAUCAUCCAACCAGAUAUAAAUCUUCUAAUUAACCUAAAGAUAGCUACACCCCCAUAUUAAUUCCAGUUAAAUAAAUCUUCAUUUUUGUCAUGGUUUUGGAUCUCGAGCAAGGUGGAUAUAUCUAACCAGAUCUGCCUCAUUGGCAUUCUGAUAUAUUCUGGAAUUUGAAGGUUAUCAACGAAUUAAUGUGUAAUUUUAAAUUUGUAACAUUUAAUUCUAAUUUGAGGAUUCAAAUAAAUUUAUGUGGAUCUAAAAAUGGACUGAAGAUUGGCAAUAUAACAUUCUUCUUGAUGAAGAUUUUUUUCCUAAUAAGAUCUCCAAUUUUAGACCGGCAAAACUUUGCCUUAUGAAUUAAAGAAAGCAUGAAAAAGGAUUGUUUGCAGGAAAGAAACAUAAAACACUGUAAUAUUUUAAAAAGACAUUAUAUAACCUCCAAAUUCUAUUAUCUUCAAAGAAUUUUAGGGCUUAUUUUUAAAUAAUCUUUUGCCACACAUGCAUUUAUGCAAUCAUAUGAUUAUAGAUUCAAUUACUUUUAAAGUAGAACAAAUUUACUUCUCUUAUAAGUAAAAGCGGGGCAGGCAUUGCAAUUUGCAGCAGUUAAUUCUUGGAUGAAAUUUACUAAAGUAUAGUCUUGUAAAAAAAAUUAGUUUUCUUAAAUUGUAAAUCUCGGUUAUGAUUGGGAGAUUUUGAUCAAAAUUAAUAUGAUAAAUUCGUUGCAAAUGUUUUUCUUGAAGUCUCAUCUUCCAUAAUGUUUGUAAAAUCAAGGUUUUACCAUCUCUGAUUAAAUAUUUACUCUUGAUUUCGACCACGUAAUCCGAACUUGACGAAAGAUUAUGAUCUUGUGUGAUUUUAUGAAUGUAGUCUUAUCUCUUAUAAUUCAGCAAUGAAUUAAUUAAAGCUUGCUGACAAAUUACAAGCUCAAAAAUAUCUUUUACUAAUUUACAAUCUUAUUUCAUUCUUUUUAUAAUAAAAAUUUAAAAAAAUUGUCUUUUAAAUUAAUUUAAUAUAAACACUCAUUGACAACCAAAUAACUAAUUAUUUUUUAUAAAAGCCCUAUUUGUUAAAAUUAUACUGAUAAAAACUCUACUUAAAUAAGUUAUAUUUAAAAAAUUAUAUCCAACAAAACCUUAUUUCUGAUUAGCUUAAUUACUUCCACAACUCCUACAUUUUUUAAACCAUGUGGAUUCCUUCAAUCUCAUAAUCAAAGGUGCUUUAAGCCAUUUUAUUUCUUAAUAUUUUUAAUUAUUAUUGGAAAAGUAGGGUAGCUUAUCAAAAAAGAAAAAGAAAAGCCAAAGUGACGAGUGGCUCUUUUUUAAUUUCAAAGUCAAUGCAAAGUAAAAGUGUCAAAAUACUCAUUUUUUUAAUCCAAAUAAAUCACAAUCAAGGAAGGUUUUGGUGUCCAUCAUUGAAAACUUAGGAGUCUGUAUGACCAUUUAACCAAACUAUAGGGGUAUAGCUGUCAGAAACUUUUAAAAAUAAAUUGUACCAAACAUUCAAAUGAUUUUUUUUUUAUAGUUGAUUAUUAAAUUCUUAGUGUUAGAGCAUCUCUAAAAAACUCUUCAAAUAAAAUUUGACUUUUUAUUUGAAGAGUCAUAUCAAUAUUAAACACUUCAAAAGACACGUUAAUUUAGAUUUUUCAAAUAAGAUUUGGUUCUCACUUUUCAACAUUGUCAAGUGAGUUUCUCCAUCUUCUAUUAAUAUUUUAUUAUUAUUUAUUGAAAAAUAAGUCUGAAAUAAUUAUUAUUUAUGUUUCCUUUCAAAAACAUAAUAGCAAUUCAAUUUGAUAAUGAGAAAGAUUUGAUUAAAAUAAUGUUAACUUAUUCUUAUUUGAUGAGUCUUUUGGAGGGUAUUGUAUUUUUCUAUACACUUAUUUGCCACAUUAGUAAGCAAAUUAAAAUGUGAAGAGUAAAAUUCGAAGAGCCUUUUGGAGAUGCUCUUAGACUACUGUAAGAAUAUAAAUUAUUGAAAUGGACAUAAUAUUAAAUAAAAUUUACUUACAUAUUUACAUACAUGUAUAUAUAAUUUUUUUUAUUGUUUGUAUAUAAAAAUUGCUAACUAAAAAAUAUUUAUAUUUUUUCAAUUUUAUUUCUUUUAUUGUUUAUCUCAAGAUAAAUGUAAUAAUAAUAAUCUCUCUAAAUUUAAUUAUUUUUACUCUUUAUUGAAUAAGGAUAAUUUUGAGUUUCUGUAAUAUAUGUGAGGAUAUAUAUAAAAUUGUAUUAAAUAUAAAAUCAUUCUCAAAAUUAAAUUUUGAAAAACUAUUCCUUUCUCACUUUUCAUUAGGCAAAUGGCCACAGAAAUUGUUCUCCCUCAUAUCCAAAUAAACUAAAAACGAGAGAUUUCGUGUGGAGGGAUGAUGCCUUCGAAUCCCAUCACUGAAAGAUUCAAGUUUGUGACUCUAUGGUAUGAGCACCACAACAUAUGCCAAUUCGACUGCAUAUUGAGUAAGACAUGGACCAAUUAUUCAAGAGAUUCAUGAGCCUUCGAAGUAAGAAAUAAAGCAAAUUAUGCGGUAGUGGGUCAAUUGACUACGUUUCGUGAUCCACGUGCGAUUGCAACGGUCGGUUCAUUAAGUGAAAUUAAUGACUCGUCCUCUUUAGGAUGGUGCUGGGUCAAUUUUAUCCAAGAGUCAACUUACAGUAAUUUGAGUUAAUUUAUAAGAGUAACUCAUUUUCGUUGAUUACGAGUUGUGAUCGAUGACACGCACGAAAAUAGUCAACUCACAGUUCAUUCACUAUAUAUGGUCUAUGGGUGGAUGAAUCUAACGUAAAUUAAGGGCCGAUGAUGACCCUCGACUUCUAACGACGACCAACGAAGACGACCUUGACUACAUGUAAACACACAAUUCGCUCUCAUACAUUAUGUUUUAAAAUUUCUCCAUUUUCCGGGGCCCUGCGGUCAACCGUACACAGUUUAAUUUGUAUAUACAAGACCUCAUUGUUUCUAACAAGCAUAGAGCCAUAGACUGUUAAGCCAAGCGAUUGGUCAUGAGUGGGGCAUGCAAAGCUAUUAUUGUGGCAAGGACUUGGGGAUGUUAUUGAGUGCGGUUUGUUGACUACGUAUCCACUAGCUUGUUAGCUUCAAAUUAGGUUGAGUAGUGAUUAUUUUAUUUUGAAUAAUCUUUGGCGAUUUUGUUGUCAUUAACUACCGGUUAAUGUUCUAUUUUUUAGGGAUAUUAUCUAGGAAUUAGGAAUAGUUGUUAAUUUCUUUUGUAUUUAAAUUCUUUGAUAGUCAUUAAUUAAAGGAAGCUGAAUCCAAUUAAAAUUAUUGUGGUCUUUUUCUCACCCUAAGAGAAUACUAUUGUUACUAUAUAAUUUACAGCUUUGAUUGGGACCUAUCAUAGACCAUAUUAAUUCCAAUUACUUAAAUCUUCAUUAUUCUCAUGAUUUUAGAUCUCGAGCAGCGUGGAUAUAUCCAACCAGAUCCGUCUCACUAGCAUCCCAAUAUAUUUUAAAAUUGAGUAAUGAGUAUCAAUAAACGUGUAAUUGUAAAUCUAUAACUUUUAAUUCUAAUUUGAAGACUCAAAUGAAUUUAUCCAGCAGUAACUCGUUAAAUUAAUAUUUCAUAAAUUUUAACUUUAAUUAAAUAAUAAAUUUUGUCUGUCCCAAUUUAGGAUUAACGUGGUAAUUAAUAAUUUGAUAAGUUAUUAGAUAAUAAUUUUUUAAAAAAAAUCUUAUUUUUUUAUUGGAUCCAACUGAUAUAUAAACUAAUAAUUAAUUAAUUUUAAAACUAAACUCAUGUUAUGUCAAUCAAAUGUUAUUGCAAAGAAGACUAGCAGUGACGCUUUGAAAGGUACACCAAAGUCCAAAGCCUCUUGCACCUUCUCCUCCAUGACCACCAAUAGAUACUUCCACCAUUUCAACGUCAUGACAUGAUGUAAGUUUCUUUUGUGGAAUUUGUGAAUUGGUGCUGGCAGAAGUUAGUGAUACAUGUAACUAGCCAACCCUUGUCAAGUCCGCUUGACUCUUAAAUUUUUGUCACUUUCACUCCGUUCAAAGGCAUGCGAAAGCUAAUUUUUAAUGAAUUUUGAAUCGAGUGUUAGAUGUUUUGGGCUUAUCAAAACUAGAUUAUAUAUUUAUAUAUAUAGAGGGCGGAUCACCAGCCCUUUAAAACUACAUCUAUUUUUACACUGAUUUAUAACCAUUAGAUUUAUUACACAUUAACGGUCAAGAUUUUGAGAAUUUAAUAAUAUAAAUACUUAAUAACAACAAUAAUUAAUAUACUUUCUCUCUCUUCAUUAGUUUCCAUUAAAACCUAAUUUCUCUCUCCUAAUAAAUUUUAGAUUCAUCAUAUUUCUCUCUUCAUCAGUUUCAUUAGUCUUUAAUGAAUUUUAGAUUCACGGUUAGAUAUUUUGGGACUUAUCUUUAAUUAAUAUUUUACACGCGUACAUUUAUAUCAUUGUAUAGUUAUAGAUUCAAUUACUUUUAUGAUACAUUUAUUAAUUUGGAAUUGAAAUAGACAAGAAUGGACUGUAAUGUGAAUGGAGAAUCGAUAUUAGAAUAAAUUAUUUAUUUAAACUGUAGAAAUUGAAAUAAGUUGAAUUAUCAUUAAUGUGUUUAUUUUGUCUUGGAAUUAGAAUUAAAAUAAGUUAGAUUGUAACAAAUUACUAAAAACUACUUAAUGAACUAUUGUUAUAAUUAUUAUUUUGUAUUUUAAUUAUUGUGAUUAUUUAUUAAAAAUUAUAAUUGUUAUUAUUACUUAUUGUUAAUAGUAUAUUAAUAUAUUAAUAAAUUAUAAUAAUAUAUUAAAAAUAUACUUGUAUUUACAAGAGAUGACGGAUAAAAUUUCUAAAAUCGUCUUCCUCCCUAAAACUCUGAAUCCCACAGUCUUAAAAAUUAAUAAGAUUUGGGAAUUAUAUGUCUUUUUUAAAAUAUUAAAGGGUGUUUAUUUCCUUAAACAUUGGGGGCUAAAAGUCCUAUUCCCAAAAGAAUACUGUGCCGGCGUUGGAGGCUAGAUUUCUUGUAUUUGUUUUUCUUCUUCCGAUGUUUUCAGGGAUACCCAUUUGGCAGUAUAUAAAAAUCUGUGAUAUCUUCUAUACAUAUACAUAUACAUCACUGGCUUUAAUCAUUUGCGAACAUAUUGGAGGUAGUAGAUAUAUUUUUAUGAUAUCUCUAAUAAAAUCCAAAGUUUGAUCAAUUACAAAAGAAGUAUGAGUGAUGGGGGGGAAGUGGGGGAUCGGUGUAGUGGGGGUGUGCAGUGCAUGAAUAAAAGGAAAUGAUAGGGGGUGCAAGUUAGUGCUACCGACAUGCUUUAAGAUGGGGACAUAAUAUUUCAAAUUAGAGAUUGUGAGAUCCUUAAUAUUGCUGACUUGUGCUUAAAAUGGAAUUCUUGAUAACUUCAAAUGUUAAAGUUCUUGGUGAAAUUUUGCACUUACUUUUCUUUCAGAUUCUUGUGCCUAUUGCAAAUGGUUCAGAGGAGAUGGAAGCUGUUAUGAUAAUUGAUAUUCUGCGACGAGCUAACGCAAAUGUUGUAGUUGCAUCAGUUGAGGAUAAACUAGAAAUUCUGGCUUCUCGUCGAAUUAAAUUAUUGGCAGAUGUGCUCAUUGAUGAGGCGGCUAAACUUUCAUAUGAUUUAAUUGUCUUGCCAGUGAGUUGGGGUGCUUACUCUUGCUUCAUAGUCUUUACCACAUUAUUGACUUACUAACUACAAUUUAUCCAUGCACAUUGCACAGGGUGGACUUGGUGGCACUCAAGCAUUUGCGAAGUCAGAUUAAUUGGUGAAUAUGCUAAAGAAGCAAAAGGAAUCAAAUAGACCUUACGGUGCUAUAUGUGCAUCCCCAGCUUUAGUGUUGGAGCCCCAUGGCUUACUCAAGGUAUGACCAUUUCUGCUUAAAUUAUUUACUCAGAUUUGGAUCACCUAAUCUGAACUUGAUGAAGGAUUAUGAUGUUGUGUGAUUUUAUGAAUGUGGUCUUAUCUCAUGUAAGUCAGUGAUGAAUUAAUUGGAGUUUGCUGACAAAUUAGAAACUGAAAAAUUGCUGCUGCUUCGUUAGUUACAUUACCCAAACAGUUAAAAUAAACAUCCCAAAUUUUUUGUCCCAAAUGAUAUGGCAUUUAUUGAGUGAUUGUAUUAUCUAACCAACCAAUUGAUGAAUGUCACAUCAUUUGAGAUGGUUUUUUGGGACAAAGAAUUUGGGAUUUUUACCCGCAAAAAUCCCAAGUACUUCCUGCUCCUGCAAUAUCAUUGCUGUGUAUUUGUUUUCCCCUUAGACAUAUUCAAUUGUGGUUCAGGGUGAAAAAGCUACAGCUUUUCCUGUUAUGUGCAACAAGCUGUCAGAUCAGAGUGAAAUCGAAAACAGGGUUGUGGUUGAUGGCAACCUCAUCACCAGUAGAGGGCCAGGGACUUCUACGGAGUUUGCACUGGCAAUUGUGGAGAAGUUUUUUGGCCGCAACAAGGCACUUGAGCUUGCAAAGAUAAUGCUUUAUAAUUCUAUAACAUAAUGUAAACUUAUUAUAACUAUCUUAUCAAAAUGAGGUGGGUUUGCAAGAAUAAUGAGUGGAAUAUCCCCAACCUAUAAAAUAAAAAGAAUUUUGCAACUAUGCAAAUGCAAAUAUGUAGAACGUACCUUGUAGGUUGUUAUAACCUAGAUUCAGAAUGAAAAGGCUGCUAAAAUUUCCUAUCCCUGAAGGAAUAUUUCCAUCAAUAACGUUGUGCAUUGCGUCGAACACCCCCAGCUUCGAUAAAUUGAGGAGAGAAUUUGGGAUUGGACCCGUGAAACUGUUAUUAUAAAGCCUCAACGUUUGUAAUUUGGAUAAGACACCAAUCCAUGUUGGAAUGCUUCCACUCAAUUUAGUGAAACCGAAUCUAAUGAAUCUGAGUCGGCGUAAUUGCCCCAAUUCAUUAGGCAGAUGGCCAUGAAAAUUAUUAUGAGCAACAUCAAGAGAUACUAAGAACGUGAGAUUUCCCAAGUGUGGGGGAAUGGUACCUCCGAGACCUAUAUCUGAAAGAUUCAAGGCUGUGACUCUUUGAUGGCGUGAACCACAAGAGAUACCAACCCAGCCGCAUAUUGGAUAAGAUAAAGACCAAUUAUUUGUCAGGACACUUCGAUAAUCAACGACACGGGCUUUGAAUGCAAGAAGAGCCGAUUGAUCUGUUGUUAAGUUGCUCAAAGUCGUCAUAGCUAAGCUAGCUAUGGAAUAUUGUAACAACAACAUAGGAACAAAGAAGAAUGAUAAGCACAUAUUGGUCGUUUUUUUUAUAGAUGCAGCAAUCUAAUUGCUAGGUGAAGUUGAUACAAGUUUUAAGUGAAGGAAACUAGCAUAUACUUAUACAAGAGAUGUAUGAAUUUGAAAACAAGAAAAGAAAAAAAUGUACAGGAGACUGGAGACAUGCAAAUUGGUAUAUUUCAUCAUUGAGCGAGUCGUCCAAGUAAACUCAUAUAGACCUGUAAAUUGUUAUAGGCCGCGGUACUUGAACCGUGAAUAAAGGGCUUAUGGCACUUGACUUACCAAAAAGAAGAAGAUGCUCAACAUUGGCAAGGCCUAUGCAUUCUGUCCAUUUGUUCACGUUUUGCCAAGGCUCAGGGCAACCACAAUAUGUUCUUUUUCUUUCCUCUUAAAACAAAAAACAAAAAAAAAGACGACAUUUACAUUUGGGCUAAUAAUUAUCACUAAACAAUUAAUAAUACUGAGGGUCAUUGGUAAUGUAGCUUUAAAAUAAUUGUUAUUAGUUGUGUCUUAAAAAUAAAGAAAAAAAAUAACUAUACCCAUAUAAUUUAAUAAAAUAAUCAUAUAAAUUCCUAAGCUUUUAACAAUAUACACCAAGACCCCCUACCGUUACUUUUUACCAUUUAUUUGGAUGUCACAUGCUUUUUUUUUUAAUUUUCACAGUGGAUAUCAAAUGCUAAAUUUACUGUUAUUCCCAUAUCAUGUCAUCACUUGCUUCUACACACAUUAAUUGUUUUUCCAAAGUUUCAAAUUGAAUUAAAAACAUUCUAAUUAACCUAAAAAAACUCAUCCAACCAGAUAUAAAUCUUCUAAUUAACCUAAAGAUAGCUACACCCCCAUAUUAAUUCCAAUGAAAUAAAAUUCAUUUUUGUCAUGAUUUUGGAUCUCGAGCAGGGUGGAUAUAUCCAACUAGAUCCGCCCCAUUGGCAUUCCAGUAUAUUAUGUAAUUGGAAGAGUAUGAAUGACUUAAUUUGUAAUUUUAAAUUUGAAAUGUUCAAUUCUAAUUUGAGGAUUCAAAUGAAUUUAUGCGAAUCUAAAAGGGGACGGAAGAUUGGCAUGCAUACACACACACACACACACACAUAUAUAUAUACAUAGGGGUAGGCAUGGGUUGGUUUGGUUUGGGUUUUAAGUCAACCCAAAUCAAACCAUAAAAUUUUGGACCCAACCCAAACCAACUUAAAUAUUUUUAACCCAAACCAAACCAACUCAUUUGGGUUUGGUUUGGGUUUGGAUUGAAUUUUAUAAUCAAAAUAUUUUUUUAUUUUGAUAAAUUUAAUUAUAUCAAAAUUAUAAUAAUAAUUAAUUAUUAUUAAUUAUUAAAUUAAUAUUAAAAUAUGAAAAAUAUAUUGUGGAUAAAAAAUUAAAAGAAAGAAUUAAAUUAAACUCCAAUAACAAACUUCCAUGAACAUGACAUAAACAAAUAAAUUAAAAGAAAGAAAAUAAAAUUCGAUGAUCAAUUGAGUCCACUCCUUCAACAAUAAAUAAAUAACCAAAAAAGAAAAAUUAUAAUGUUUGAUCUAAACUCUGUUUUUGUAUUUGAUAAUCAUAAGAAUAAUAUUAAUUCAAAGCCAUCGCCUCCGUUGAUAUAUUUGAUCCAACGGAGCAUGGUCAUAUGAUUAAAUUUAAAUUGCCCAUUUUGGUGCAGUUCAGUUUGUUCCGACUUGAGCUGAACUGAUUCAAUUUAAUAAGAUUAUAAAUCCAACUUGACCGAAUUGAAAUCGGUCUGGUUCUAGAUUGGAGUGGUUCAUAAAUUAUUUUAACUUAAAAAUAUUAAUUCUUUCUAGUUAUCUAGCUCUAAAGUUAGUUUUUUUUUUUUUUUGCGUCUAAUUCAUUGAAUAGAUUUUUUUUUUUAAUUUAUAAACCAAAUCAAAAUUGUCUGUUCAGUUCAUUCGAUUCCUCGAUUUUUUUUGCUGGCAUCUAUUGGUUAGGACCACCUUCAUUUGUUAUAAAUUUAAUAGAAAAUGGACAGUUAAUGGUGCAGGUGAAAAAGGACAUUAUACAAAGGGGAUUAAAAAAAAAAGCAAAGGAUGUUCUUUUUACUUCAGGAUUAAUAGAGAUUCAGGGAUUGUAGUAAUACAUUAGUUUAAAUUAAAUAAAUGAUUACAACCUAGACGAACAUUGGUAGUGUAGAGAAAAAAAAAACAAUUAGUUAGCUUAACAAUUAGACGAACAUUGAGGUGGAUUGUAGUAAUUCUUGGCCCCAUAGGUUAACCACACCCAAACCAUUAUAAAAUGGUUUCAUACAUAAAAACCUAAAUUUAAUUCAUUUACAUGAUUUACCCAACCCAAACCAAAUUAUUUGGUUUGGGUUUGGAUAAACUCAUGGGUUGUGGGUUUAUAACCAACCCCACACACACACACACACACACACACACAAUAUAUAGAGAGAGAGAGAGAGGUAAUAUAACAUUCUUCUUGAUGAAGAUUUUUGUGCCAUACGAAUUAAAGAGAGUAUUGUGUCGAUGUUCGAGGCUAGAGCGACAAUUGGUUACAUUGCUUCAGAGGUGUUUAGUAGAAACUUUGGUGAGGCAUCACAUAAUUUAAAUUACUAGAUUUAGAGAGAUAUAUAUAUUUUCCACAUUGGAUUUACAAGCAUUUCGAGCAGUAUAAUGAAUUUAAAUUACUCGGAAUUGUAAACAGCGAGGAGAGUGAAAUUGCUAAGAAGAUGAAUAUUUUGUUGUUUUGUGGUGUACACGGAGUCAUCCAUCGGAUAGGUCGCCCAUGAACAGAGGGAUAGAAAUGUUAUUGCCAAGAAGCAGACUGACUAGCAGUGACGCUUUGAAAAGUCCACCGGACAACUUCUCCUCCAAGACCACCAAUAUAUUCUUCCACCAUUUCAACGUCGUGACGUGAGGAUCAGAAUUGAAUUAUAGGAUGCUUGUAAGUUUCCUUUGUGGAACUUGUGAAUUUGUGAUGGCAAAAGUCAAUGAUGCAUGUAACUAGCUAGCCCGUGUAGACUCCGUUUUACACUUUUUCAAAACCCAAAAGCACGCUAAAUCUUAAUCUUAAAAGAAUUUUUGAUUCAGUGCUGAAUUUUGGGCUUAAGUAAUCUUUUACCACGCAUGCAUUUUUGUCAUUGUGCAGUCAUCGAUUGCUUCUAAAGAUCGUAAUCUUUAAGAAAAAAUUACUUCUCUUGAAAGUGAAAGCAGGGCAGCUAUUGGCGUAUUGCAUUGCAGCUGCUAUGUGUAGUAGUCAAUUCUUGGAAACAACUAGUUUUCUUAAAUUGUAAACGGUCCCCUUUAUGACUGGGAGAUUUUGAACAAAAUUAAUAUGACGAAUUCUUUGCAGGUGUUGUUCCUUGAAGUCUCAUCUUUCACAAUGUUUCUGAAAUAAAGAUAUUACCAUCUCUGAUUUAAUAUUUAUUCUUGAUUUGUACCACCUAAUCUGAACUUGAUGAAAAAAUAAAGAUUAUGAUCUUGCCUGAUUUUAUUAAUGUGGUCUUAUCUCACGUAAGUCAGUAAUGAAUUAAGGAAAAUUAUCAUUCGUAUACCCUAUAAUUACUCUGUUAUAAAAAUACUACAACACUUUGAGGGUGUAUCAAUUGUCCACCCUAAGUUAACAAAAUGUAUCUGUCAUCCACCAAACCGUUAUUUGCCGUUUAAAUAGGAUGACGCCAGAGGGGUAAUUUUAUCUUUUCAUAUGAUACAAGUGAUAAUUUAAGGGUAUACAAGUGAUAAUAAAAGAAUUUAAAGGUAUACAAGUGAUAAUUUUCAUUUACUUUAAUUUAAGUUUCAAGGGUAAAAUCGUCAAUUCACUAUAAUUCCGUUAACUUUCAAACGGUAGCUAACGGUUUGGUGGUCGGCAGAUAGUUUUUGUUAAUUUAAGGUGGACGAUUGAUAUACCCUCAAAGUGUUGUAGUAUUUUUGAUAAUAGAGCAAUUAUAGGAUAUAUGAUUGAUAAUUUCCUAUGAAUUAAUUAAAGUUUACUGUCAAAUUACAAACACAAAAACUGCUGCUGCUUCAUUAUUCACAAUACCUAAAGUCAGUGCAGAACUUAAUAAGUUUUCCAAAAGUUUUACGCUUUCUUUCCCCCAAAUCCCAAGUACUUACUAGAUAUGUCAUGUUUAUACCCAAAGUCAGUGCAGAACUUACUCGAUAUGUCAUGUUUACACAAGAGUUUGUUUAUAAAUAAAUGAGUUGAUAAAUAUUUGCCAAAAAAAACGGUGAGUGAUGUCUAGUUCUAUUUUCACAGUUCAGAGUCCAAUUUUGAUUACUGGAAAUUUUAAUUAUGAAGUUGAACUAAGAAUUUGUUAUAAUAUCUUCAACCUUCCUAUACAGUCAUCUGGAAUAAUAAUAUAUCAAAAACAGUAAUAACUCGAUUUACAGGGUGAGAAAGAAAAGAAAGACGCUACGAGGGAAGCAGAGAUUCAAAGACUUCGCCACUUUGUUGGAGGAACAAUUUCAUAAAUCUCCAGAAUAUUGACAUAAAACACAUACCAUAUCUAGCAUUAAGUAUAUUUAUGUAUGUCCAAAGAUAAAAAUUUGAAGAUUAAAUUUAUCAUUUCAAUUUAUGUUCUGCCCAAAGCAAUGGCUUUUAUUCCACAAGCACAAACAAGAAAGAGUACGCACAAAGUUAACAAACACACAUAGCAAACGUGACAUCAACUACUUGCAGCAGCAUCAUCCAGAAACUUCACUCUAAUCUUCUUGAGCUUUUCAGCGGCGUCUUUCGUAGAUGCCCCCUGUUCUGGUGAUUCCAUGCAACAAUCCAAUGCCGAAUGCAUGAUGCUUAAUAAACAAUUCAUUUAAGGAGAAAAAACUUGCUCUUCUCUCACCAAGUUUGCAUCGACAACAUCACUCAAUGCACGAGGUAAUGACUCCCUUACCCAGUCUCUUAAACUUAUUUCUCCGGUAAACAUUUCAUUUGUGGGCUUCUUUCUGGUGAAAGUUUCCAUCAAUAAAACACCAUAACUAUAGACAUCACCUUUGGCCGAAAUCAUUCCUUCUAAUCCAUACUCUCCAUUUUUUGGUUUCGAUAGAUCAAAUGGAUAUGACAUCAUAAAACAAAUGAUAAACAAAUAAUAUUUUGACAGUCAAGAUGGCCCAAACUUUGACUGUGCUUCGAAAAGAGUGAAAAUUUGAAAUUAUAAUUAAAACCUUACCUGGUGCCAUAUAACCAAUUGUAGCCACUGUCAUGAUUUGGGUCACAAAAUCUUCUCCAUCAGCUAAGAGUUCCGAGAUGCCGAACUCGCAUGUGCCACCAUAUUUUUAUCCAAGAGAAUGUUGCGAGGCUUCAAAUCACAAUGAAUUACAUGUGCUGAUGAAUGAUCGUGAUGGAGAUAUUUAUGUGCCAGCCCCACAUCUAUCAUUAUAUUCAACCUCUCUAGGAUAUCUAGGAAAUGGUUGUGUGAACACAACCAUUUCUCAUGACUACCAUUGAGCAUGAACUCAAGCACCAGUACUUUAGAAUCUGGAAUGCAACAGCUGCUAGUGAUCUUUGUGAGAUCUUGAUGACGAACAUUCCACAAUACUUCACAUUCAGAAUCAAAACUCGUAAAGGCUCUCUCUAGCUGCAGAUUGAAAACCUUUAUUACAAUAAUAGUCACAUCAUAAAGUGUGCCUUUAUAAACAGAUCCGAAGCUCUCCGUACCUAGCAGGAUACAUUCACUAAAUCCAUCAGCUGCUCGUUGAAUAUCAUGAUAGGAUAGUCUUCUCCAUGUUGUCGAAGAGAACAAAUCUUCUUUAUCUGGAGUUCUUGUUUUCCUAUUUUGAAAUAUUAUGAAGAAUCAUAAAAAUUGUUAUUAGUGCAUUGGAUAUAAUCGAAGGCAAAGUAUAUUUCAGGACAAGCAGAGUAGCAUUCUUGGAUCCUUUGCUAUUAUCUUCUUUGCAAGGUGGGACUUGAAGGCCUGGUAGACCACAUAGUGCAUAAUUCUCAAAAAACGAUUGAGCUGAAAUGUUUUUAAAAGGUCCUUUGAUAGGAAUUCCCCCUUCUAGCCUAUUGUGAGACACAUUAAGUUGUUUGAGAUAUGAGAGUGCCUCCAUCGACUUUGGAAUUUCUCCAGAGAGAUUGUUGCUAGGGAGAUCCAAAGAUUCCAACCUUAUCAAACUACCAAAUGAUUUAGGGACCAGACCAUAAAAUUGGUUUCUAGCCAAGGACAAAGUUGCUAGAUCUUUGAGGCCACCAAUACUUACUGGUAUAUCACCUGAUAAUUGAUUUCUUGAUAAAUCAACUCUAUUAAGACCUUUAAGUUUUGUAUAUCUGAAGAUAGAUGACCACUUAGAGAAUUUGUUGACAAGUUUACAUACAAGAUGUACUCAGGAUUCCACAAGGAUGAUGGGAUACUAGAAGUGUGCGUGUCGUAGCUUAAAAAGAGUGUUUUUAAGGAAUUGAAUAUCUGAAAUCUUGUAUGUAAAUAUUAACACUUAGAGAAUUUGUUGACAAGUUUUUAAGGAUUUACUGAUUAAAUAAUUUUCCAAUUUGUUUGCCUGGAGGAAUUGAAUAGUUAACUGAUUAAAGGAUUGCAAGGUGGUUAGGUCCAGCUGAGCAUUGUAAAUAUUAACGGUCAUUAUGAAUGUGUAAUUCCUAUAUGUGAAAUUGAAUUUCCAUGGUAAAUUUCUGGUAGGGUGUGAUUGUAUGGUAGCCAAUUGUGAGCAACAGAUCCACAUAGUAAUAUAGACUGAAAUUUUGCGUCUUAAUCCAUGAAGAUAUACAUUUUGGCAAAAUAUUGUACAAGCACUGGGGUUUAGCACUGGGGGUUACCUUAAAUAUUAUGGACUUGUCUUUAAUAGAGUUUCUUUUACCUAGUUAUUGAUAUUUCUUUCAAUUUUUUAUUUUACUGAUACCAUAUAUACAAUUUUAGGUGGCAAGACAACUUUCGAUUUCUAUUGAGCCUGAAAACCUGCAUCUACCAUCACUUCUGUCUGCUUUCGGGGAAUACGAGGUUCCUAUGCGCUUACCCAAAAUACGAGGUCCAGUGGACUCUCAAUGUUAAAGUCUGCGGCAAAUAAACAAUCGUUUCAUUUGUUUUGUUUUACUCUGUUUGGGAUCCAAAUUCAAUUGCAGAACAAUUUUUGGUUUUUCUUCAUAUAACAUUCUGAAGAUAAUACAGGCAACAUUGUUUGCAAUGCUACAGCUAAUUUGUAGUAGGAUGAAACAAUCAGAAAUUUACCUUUUUCAUGUAUAAAAUUUUAUUUGUUUAAUUGUGAUAUUACAGUUUUGCCCAUGAAGCAUUAUGAAGCUUAAUAUUUGGAUAAAUGUUAGGUUUAAUCUAUAAAUUUUAACUUCAGUGUUUAUUUAAUUUUAUAUUUUGUAAAAUAUCUCAAGGCAGCCCUAAUUUUUUAAUCAAUAAAAAAGGUAACUAACAAAUUAACCGAUAAAUUAAUUUGUUAAUUUUUUUAAUCAAUAAAAAUGUUAAUUAAUAUUAAUUAAUAAAUUACUUAGUAGAAAAUUAAAAAAUAAAUAUUAGCAUAAAACAAUUGAUAUUUUUCAUUCUCUUACAACAAUCCUACUAAUUAUUAUUUAUAAAUUAAUUAAUACAAGUUAAUUUAAAGUAAUGUUUAAUAUUCUUGCAACAAUCUUACUAAUAAUUUUUUUACAAAAAUUUAAUUUAUUAAAUUAAUCCUAAAAGUAAAAUAAUAAUAAUUAAUUUGUAUCUUACUUUUAAGGUUAAUUCGAUAAAUUCAAAUUUUUUUAAUUAAUAUCUCCAAAAAUAUAGUUGCAACGAUAUUAUUGCAAAAGUAAAAAAAAUAAAUAUAGGAUUGUAAUAUAACUACCAAUAAAAAUAACUUAAAAUAUUUUUUAAGAUAUAAAAAUUAAACCAACACUUAAUUAAAAAUAUAAAGAAAUCCAAUAAACAUUUAUCUUUUAACAUUUCAACCUAAUCGCUAAUGGUCAUACAAUCGUUGUGUCACCCAUAUUCUUAAGCUGCUACUGCCUUACUACCACUUUGCCAGUUGCCACGGAGCUCCCUACAUCAUAUCGUACCGAUGCCUCUAGAAAACUAACUUUAAAAAAAUGGUAUUAAUAAGCGUACGCCACGUCACUCCUCACUCUCUUCUUCGUCACUUUCCUCUCACUCAACAUUUUCUCCCCAAACAAAUUCCUUCUUUGAAAUAUCGCAUUUUCUCCUUCACAGCAGCAGCUACAACGUCUUCAACUUCCAAAAGGGUAAUUUUUUUUUAAUUUUUUUUUUUGUUUAGUUUCUUUCUGUUGCCUUUUUGUUUCGUUUUUUGAAUUUUCUGUGUCGUUUUUUCCCCCCCAAGGUUUUGGUGCCUGUUGCGAACGGGAGUGAGCCGAUUGAGUCCGUGAUAACGAUCGAUGUUUUGAGAAGGUCUGGAGCUGACGUCACGGUUGCGUCUGUGGAGAAACAGCUUCGGGUCGACGCGUGUCAUGGUGUCAAGAUUGUCGCUGAUGCUCUCGUGUCUGACUGCCGCGACGCCGUUUUUGAUCUUAUAGCUCUUCCCGUAUGUAUUGCAGCUCACCUCAGCUCAUGCCAAUUUAUGUGAUGUUUGUAUAAUUAUAGAUGAUUAUUGCUGAUACUGAAUGUUAAGCUAAAUAAUUCGUUCUUAAGUCAUCUUCAUUUAAUUUUCGAUUGAAAAUGAAAAAAUAGUAAUUUUGAGCAAAGAAAAAUGUAGAAAAUGUAUAUUUUGUUUUAUUUUUACUUUUUAAUUUUUUUGAGAUUUCCUUAUUGUGGCUGUUAUCAUUCAUUAUAUGGUCAUAGUUAAAUAUUUCAAGUUGUCGUAGUUAGUGAAAUUCUUUUGGAUAUUUAUUCUGGCAUGUAUAUUUUUCCUUUCAAUUUCUUUUGUUGCUGAUUCUUUGAUUGAUUAUGUUAUAUCCUUUUUUGUUUCCUUUGUAGGGUGGCAUGCCUGGUGCUACCAAUCUGAAAGAAUCUGAAGUAUUAGAAAGCAUUGUGAAGAAGCAGGCCUCAGCUGGGCGUCUUUAUGCUGCUGUCUGUGCUUCACCUGCAGUGGCAUUAGGGUCUUGGGGUCUGUUGAAGGAUUUGAAGGUAAGAGUUAGAUAAGCCUUUUUGAUGUUUUGUGGUCUUUUGGGAAUUGCACUGAUAUUUUUGUUAUAGUUCAGUUUUCUUCUCGCUGAUGAUUAUUAAGUUCUAAUUUAUGUAGUUGUUCAUUUUUCGUAGGCUACUUGUUAUCCGUCAUUUAUGGAGCAAUUAGCUCCUGCUUGUGCAGCAACUGUUGAAUCAAGAAUACAGCAGGAUGGUAAAGUUGUUACGAGUUGUGGACCGGGCACUACCAUGGAGUUUGCCGUUGCACUUGUUGAGCAGUUGUAUGGGAAAGAGAAAGCUGAUGAAGUUUCUGGGCCACUGGUAUUAACUUUUAUAGAUAACAUUGUUUAAAAAAAUUAUGAGUUAUAUAAUUUGUGGAAGCUUCAGAUGCUAAUGUAUUCAAGAAAAUAAGUUCAGGGGAAGAGUAUGACUUUUUGCAUUAGUGAUUCAUUAGAUGAAAUUGUAUACCUGCUGGUCCAUCAUAAGGUGGUGAAAACAAUGUUUAUUUAAUUAAUGGAAUCCUGAAAUAUGCAUUUGUUGAGCUUCAAUGUCUCCACUGAUAAAAUUCUUUUUAAUGUAAGUUCUUUCUCUUGGUAUUUGUAUUUGAAUUUUCUGUUCCUCAUGCUUUCGUCUUUACUGUCACCUUGUGCCUAGGUAAUGCGUGCAAAUCGUGGAGAUGAAUACACUAUUGCUGAGUUCAAUCCAAUUCAGUGGACAUUUGACAAUUCUCCUCAGGUGAGAUUGGACUGUUAGUUUCUUGUAUUUGUGAUAUCUUCUAUACAUGUACAUAUACAUCAUUGACUUCACUCAUUUGUGAACAUAUGGGAGGCAGUAGAUUUAUUGUUAUGAUAUGUUUAAUAAAAUCCAAAGUUCGAUGCAACUACAAAAUAAGUAUGAGCAGUGCUCGACCAGAGAGGAAAAAGAAGGUUUUUUUUUUUUUUUUUUUUUUGGGGGGGGGGGGGGGGGGUUGGUUGGGUGGCAAAGGGAAUGAUAGGGUUGAAAGUUCAGGGUAUCGACAAGCUGUAAAAUGGCUAUCGACAAACUGAUAUUUCACAUUAGAGAAUGUGAGGUCCUGAAGAUUGCUGACUUGUGGUCAAAAUGGAAUUCUUGAUAACUUUAAAUGUUAAAAAUUCUUGGUGAAAAUUUUGUACUUUUUUUAAUUUCAGAUUCUUGUGCCUAUUGCGAAUGGUUCAGAGGAGAUGGAAGCUGUUAUAAUAAUUGAUAUUCUGCGCAAAUGUUGUGGUUGCGUCAGUUGAGGAUAAACUAGAAAUUCUGGCUUCUCGUCAAGUUAAAUUAGUGGCAGAUAUGCUUAUUGAUGAGGCAGCUAAACUUUCGUAUGAUUUGAUUGUCUUGCCAGUAAGUGGGGUUGCUAACUCUUGCCUCAUAGUCUUUACCAAAUUAUUGACUUACUAACUACAAUCUAUCUAUGCACAGGGUGGACUUGGUGGUGCUCAAGCAUUUGCGAAGUCAGAAAAAUUGGUAAAUAUGCUAAAGAAGCAAAAGGAAUCAAAUAGACCUUACGGUGCUAUAUGUGCAUCCCCAGCACUAGUGUUGGAGCCCCAUGGCUUACUCAAGGUAUGACUAUUUCUGCUUAAAUAUUUACUCUUGAUUUGAAUCACCUAAUCUGAACUUGAUAAAACAUUGUGAUCCUGUGUGAUUUUAUGAACGUGGUCUUAUCUCAUGUAAGUCUGUAAUGAAUUUAUUGAAGUUUGCUGACAAAUUACAAACUCAAAAACUGCUGCUGCUUCAUUAGUUACAGUACCCAAGGAGUUAUGACAGACAUCCCAAACUUUUUACCCCAAAUUCCCUCUCAAAUGACAUGGUAGUUAUUAAGUGGUUGGCAAUUUUUUAUAAGAUAUAACUGAAUUAAUUAUAUUAUUUAAUCAACCAAUUGAUGAAUGUCACGCCAUUUGAGAUGAAUUUUUGGGAUGUGUAGCAAAACUUUAUGCUGAUUUGUUUUGGCUACAUUCAUGUAAAACCUUUUUCCCCAAAUCCCAAGAACUUCCCGCAAUAUCAUUCCUUUGUAUUUGUUUUCCCCUUUAGACAUGUUUAACUUUGGUUCNNNNNNNNNNNNNNNNNNNNNNNNNNNNNNNNNNNNNNNNNNNNNNNNNNNNNNNNNNNNNNNNNNNNNNNNNNNNNNNNNNNNNNNNNNNNNNNNNNNNNNNNNNNNNNNNNNNNNNNNNGGAGUUUGCACUGGCAAUUGUGGAGAAGUUUUUGGCCGCAACAAAGCUCUGAGCUGCAAAGAUAUUGCUCUCUCGUGCACGUAAAAUUUGUACCAGGACCUGACUACUAUCAAACUAGAGUAUUUAUUCCUGUAUUACUACUGCUUGUAGAGAGGCAAAAUGGAAACUUGAAUUCGUGUUUGAAUAUGGAUUCACUGUGCGGGUUUGUACAAGAGCUUGUUUAUAAAUAAAUGAGUUCAUAAAGAGUCAUUUUAAAUAUUUGGAAUAAACGUGAGUUGCUGUUUAGUUCUGUUUUCAAUGUUCACCGUUCAAUUGUGAUCCAGAGCAAUAUAACUACACUCACUGGGAAUUUUAAUUAUGAACCAAGAGCGAAGUUGAACCGAGAAUUUGAUACUUUAUAUAUUCCAGUUACCAUAUUUAAGAAAGAGUAUUGAAAAGAAAGACGCUAACAGAGAAUAUUGAAGUUAAACACAUACCAUAUCUAGUAUUAAGUCUGUAUGCCAAAGUUACAAAUUCGAAGAUCAUAUUUCUCAUUUCAAUUUAUGUUCUGCUCAAAACAAUGGCUCUUAUUCCACAAGCACAAACAAGAAAGAGUACGCACAAAGUUAACAGAGACACGCAGUGAAAAUUACGUUAUUUGGUUGCAGCAGCAUCAUCCAGGAACUUCACUUUAAUCUUCUUGAGCUUUGCUGCAGCGUCUGUCAUAUUUAUCCUCAUGUCGGGUGACUCCAUACAACAAUCCAAUGCCAAAUCCAUUAUGCUUAAUAUACAAUCCAUUUUGGCAGAAAAAGCUUGCUCUUCUCGCACCAAAUUUGCGUCAACAACUUCAGUCAAUCCGUGAGGUAAAGACUCCUUUACCCAUUUCCUUAAACUCAUUUCUCCUGUGAACAUUUCAUCUGUGGGCCUCUUUCUCGUGAAGGUUUCCAUCAAUAAAACACCAUAGCUGUAGACAUCACAUUUAGCUGAAACAAUUCCUUCUGAUCCAUACUCUGCAUUUUUUAAUUUUAAUUAUGAAACAAAUGAUAAAACAAAUAAUUUUUUGAUAAUUAAGGUAACCCAAACUUUGCUCGUGCUUGAAAAUAGAGCAAAAAUUUUAAUUACAAUUGAAACUUUACCUGGUGCCAUAUAACCAAUUGUAGCCAUUGUCAUGGUUUGUGUUACAGAAUCUUCUCCUUCACCUAGGAGUUUGGAAAUGCCAAAGUCGCUCACAUGUGCCGCCAUAUUUUCAUCCAAGAGAAUGUUGGUAGGCUUCAAAUCACAAUGAAUUAUAGGUGCCGACGAAUGACCAUGAUGGAGAUAUUCAAGAGCCGACCCCACAUCUAUCAUUAUGUUCAACCUCUCUAGGAUGUCUAAGAAAUAGUUGUGAGAAUAUAACCAUUUCUCGAGACUACCAUUCGGCAUGAACUCAAGUACUAAUGCUUUAAAAUCUGGAUUAGAACAACUGCUAAGGAUCUUUAUGAGAUUUCGAUGACGAACAUUCCGUAAAACUUCACAUUCAGAAUCAAAACUCCUAAAUGCUCUCUCUAGUUGCAGAUUGAAAAUCUUUAUUGCAACAUCAGUCCCGUCGGAAAUGGUUCCUUUAUAAACUGAUCCAAAACUACCUGUACCCAGCAAGUUACAUUCAUUAAAUUCAUCAGUUGCUCGUUGAAUGUCUAGGUAGGAUGUUCUUCUCCAUGUUGCAAGAGGUAGGAAAUCUUCGUGAUCUGAUUUUUUUGUACUCCUCUUUCGGCAUCUUAUGUACAUAAUGAUGAUAAUCACUAUAAGUACAGAGGAUACUAUCGGAGGCAAAAUAUAUUUAAGGACAAUUAGAGCAACGUUCUUGGUGCUUUUGCUGUCACCUUGUUUGCAAGGUGGGACUCGGAAUUUAGGUGGACCACAGAGUGCAUAAUUUCCGAAAAAUGAUACAGCUGACAAGUUUUUAAAAGACCCCUUAACAGGAAUUUCCCCUUCUAGCCUAUUAUGAGACACAUUAAAUUGUUUGAGAUGUGAAAGUGUCUCCAAUGACUUCGGAAUUUUUCCAGAGAGAUUGUUGCCGGAGAGAUCUAAGGAUUCUAAGCUGAUCAAACUGCCAACUGAUUCAGGAAUAGGUCCUUGAAAUUGAUUACUAGCCAAGGAUAGAGUUUCUAGAUCUACAAGGGCACCAAUGGUUGAUGGAAUAUCACCUGAUAAUUGAUUCCUUGAUAAAUCUAAAACUCUCAAGACCUUUAACUUUUGUACAUUGGAAAGGAGAGGACCAUUUAAUGAAUUUGACGACAAGUUUAUCUCUAAGAUGUACUCAAGGCUCCACAAGGAUGACGGUAUAUUAGAAGUGAGCUUGUUGGAGCCUAAGCGGAGUUCUCUUAGAGAUGUCAAACUAGCCAAGCAUGGUGGUAUAUGUCCAGAGAGCUUAUUUCCAUUUAACCUUAUUCCGUACAUCAACUCCAAGUGGCAAAGAUCAUAGGGAAUGGAUCCUUCCAAAUUAUUUUCUUCAAGAGAUAAACCUUGUAGCCGCUUAAGUCUUCCCAUCGUUGGUGAAAUAGUUCCAUUCAAGUCAUUGAAGCCGAGCUCUAAGUCGAUCAGGCCACGUAAAUUACCAAUUUCUUUAGGAAUGCUGCCCCCGAGUUUGCAGUUGUAUGCAAAAAAUUGUCGAAGAGAAGCAGAGAAAUUUCCAAUUACUGGUGGAAGGAUGCCACCCAAUGGAUUAUAAGCUAAGGCUAAAAUUGUUAAAUUUCUGCAAUUAGUCAGAGAAGAGAGAAAACUCCACUGAUCUGCUGAAGAUGAUUCUGUCGUCAAGUUAUUAUAUGCUAAGCCAAGCACGCCGAGGUGUCUCAAGUUGCCAAAUGUAUUUGGAGUAGGGCCGGAGAAUGAGUUAAAGGCCAAGUCUAGGCCGAUGAGGUUAGAUGCAUUGGUGAUGGAGUUGGGAAUUGUUCCGAAAAGAUUAUUGACCCCCAAGGUUAAGUACUUUAUGUUCGGAAGCGAGUGGCCAAUCGUUGAUGGUAAGUGGCCUGAGAGUUGAUUGCCAAGCAGAUUAAGGGUUAUUAUGGUUGAAAUAUUGAGGAUCGUGGGUGGAAUGAAGCCACUUAUAUUAUUCUCACCAAGAACAAGAUGCUCCAAAUUUUGCAGAUUGCCAAUCUCGGUUGGAAUUUCACCUGCCAUAAGCCCAACAUUGAGGAGUCAUUGAGCUUUUAGCUUAUGGUAAAUUGAGUUUGACAAUGUUACCCUUCAAAAUGUAAAAGGAUCAAAUUAAAUUUAUUACAUAAUAAUUUCGGCCAAUAAUGUUCUUUAAAAUACUUCAAAAUAUGCAAAAUAUGCAUGCAAUUGGAAAAAUAUGCUUCAAUUACAAGAGGUGGGGGAAAGUACCUUGAAGAUUGUUGAAACCAAGAUGCAGAUUCACGAGUUUACUCAAAUUCCCAAUCCUUGAAGGAAUAUUUCCACCAAUAAAAUUGAACAGUGCACGCAGGUCCUCUAGCCUUGAUAAGUUGAAGAGAGAAUUAGGGAUGGGACCUGUGAAACUGUUAUUAUCAAGGCUCAAUAUUCGGAGUUUAGAUAAGAUACCAAUCCAUGAUGGAAAGCUUCCGCUCAAUUUAUUGUAAGCGAAACUCACGACUCUGAGUCGACGUAAUUGCCCCAAUUCUUUCGGCAGAUGGCCAUGAAAAUUGUUCUCACUAAUGUCAAGAGACACUAGAAAUGAGAGAUUUCCCAAGUGUAGUGGAAUGGUGCCUCCGAGACCCAUAUCUGAAAGAUUCAAGGCAGUGACUCUUUGAUGGCGUGAACCACAAGAGAUACCAGCCCAGCUACAUGUUGGAUAAGAUAUAGACCAAUUAUUUGCCAGGGCACUCCGAUAAUCAAAAACGUGGGCUUUGAAUGCCAGAAGAGCUGAUUGAUCUGUUGUUAAAUCGUUUAAAGUGGUCACAGCUAAGCUAGCAAUGACAUACUGUAACACUAACACCGACAUAGGAACAAAGAAAAAUGAUAAGCGCAUAGUGGUCGUUUUUAGUAGUAGUUGCAAGGCGAGAUUGAUACAAGUUUUAAGUGAAGGAAAUUAGCAUAUACUUAUACAUGAGACAUGUGAAUUUGAAAAUAAGAGCAGAAAAAAUAUACAGGAGACUUGCAAAUUGUUAUAUUCUGUCAUUGAGCGAGCCGUCCAAGUAAACGCAUUUGUACUUGACUUGGUCUAAUAAUUAAAAAAAAGGCGACCUUCACUUGACUUGGUCUGAUAAUUAUCACUAAACAAUUAAUAAUGCUAAGGGUUAGGGGUAUCCAAUUUUAAAAUAACGACAUAAUUGUCGUUAAAUGUGUCUUAAAAUAAAAAGACAACUAUACCCCAUAAUUUGAUGAAAUAAUUAUGUAAGCUUCUAAAUUUUUUACAAUGCAUACCAAGACCUGUUUUGUUACUUUUUACAGUUUAUUUGGAUGUCAAAUGCUUUUUUUUUUUUUUUUCACUGUGGAUGUCAAAUGUAAAAUUUACUGUUAUUCCAAUAUCAUGUCAUCACUUGCUUCUAUACAUGGAACGAUACAUUAACUGUUUUUCCAAAGUUUUAAAUUGAAUUAAAAACAUUCUAAUUAACCUUAAAAAAAAUAAUCAUCCAACCAGAUAUAAAUCUUCUAAUUAACCUAAAGAUAGCUACACCUCCAUAUUAAUUCCAGUUAAAUAAAUCUUCAUUUUUGUCAUGGUUUUGGAACUCGAGCAGGGUGGAUAUAUCUAACCAGAUUUUCCUCAUUGGCAGUCUAAUAUAUUCUGGAAUUGGAAGGGUAUCAACGAAUUAAUGUGUAAUUUAAAUUUGUAACGUUUAAUUCUAAUUUGAGGAUUCAAAUGAAUUAUGUCGAUCUAAAAAUGGACUGAAGAUUGGCAAUAUAACAUUCUUCUUGAUGAAGAUUUUUGUCCUAAUAAGAUCUCCAAUUUUAUACAUCAAUUAUUGUUGGUUUGUGGUGUAUUCAGACUUGUCCAUCGGAUACGCCGUCCAUGAAUAGAGUGAUAGAAAUGUUAUUGCAAAGAAACAGACUAGCAGUGUCGUUUUGAAAAUUCCACCGAAGUCUUUUGCAUCUUCUCCCCCAGGACUGCCAAUAGAGUAUAAAUUUUUGUCACUUUCACUCUUUUGAACAGCACAGGAAAGCUUAUCAAUUUUUGUCACUUUCACUUUCACUCUUUUCAAUCUUUAUAGAAUUCUGGAUGGACGAUCACUCUUUUCAAUCUUUAAUGAAUUUUGGAUUCAGUGUUGAUAUUUUAGGCUUUGAUAGGCUAUAGAUUUUUUUUUUUAAAAGAAUUUUGAAUUCAAAGUUGAUAUCUUGAGCUUAUCCUUAACUAAUUUUUUACCACUCGUGCAUUUAUGUCGUUGUGCGGUUAUAGAUUCAGUUAUUUUUAAAGUAGAAAAAUUACUUAUCUUAAAAGUGAAAGCAGGGAAGGUACUGCAAUGCAGCCGCUAUUUGUAGUAGUUAAUUCUUGGAUGAAAUUUGGGUCUUGCUAUAAUACUUGCAUGUAUCAAAUACAUGCAAGGAAAUCAAAAAUUAAAAAAGCAUUGCCUGAAAGAGUAUUGUGCCGGUGUUGGAGGCUAGAAGGACAAUUCGUUACAUUGCUCCAGAAGUGUUUGAUAGAAAUUUUGGUGAGGCAUCACAUAAUUUAAAUUACUGGAAUUAGCGAUACACACACACUGAAGCAUUUCGAGCAGGAUAAUGAAUUUAAAUUACUCGGAAUUGUAAGCAGCGAUGAAAGAGAAAUUGCAAAGAAGAUAAUUAUUUUUGGCUUGUGGUGUAUAUAGAGUCGUCUAUCGGAAAUAGAGGGAUAGAAAUGUUAUUGCAAAGAAGCAGACUAGCAGUGACGCCUUGAAUAAGUCCACCAAAGCCUCUUGCAUCUUCUCCUCCAACACCGCCAAUAGAGUCCGUUUGACCCAUAAAUUUUUGUCGCUUUCAUUCUUUUCAAAAGCACGUGAAAACUAGCUUAUAGGAUUUUGGAUGGACAAUCACUCUUUUCAAAAGCAUGUUAAAGCUAAUCUUCUGUUAAGUAAUAAAAAGCACCAGCUCAGCCAUGCCUUCAUCUCCCACCCCGAGGCGAAUUACAUCAGCUGAAUGGCACGAGAAGAGCCAUGGUAAAAUGCCUUAUACAAACAUGUGCUAACUAGAGACGAGCACCGACCAGAGGAAUAUACCGACCAGAGACAUAUACAGACCAGAUACCUAUCACCCAAAGAAAAGGCACAUGAUCUCAUGAAAUCGCGACAGUUUCGUUAUGCCCCGAACCGUUGAGAGAGACAUGGCAUCCCACGUUUACCCACAAUCCAGUGGUUGGAGACCCAUGAGGGGCUGCCAUUACCCAAUAAAAGGGGGGGGGAUGAAGAGUACACAAAAACGUGGGACAACGGCUAUAAGAAGUCGGGAAACUGAUGAAAAAGGGGGACAGAAAAAUUGAGAAUAAAGGGAAAACUUUGCCAAAUUGAAGCCUGAUUACAUUAUAUACAAGUUUUUGAGAGCAUUACAAAAAAAACCAUACAAUCUAAAUUACAUAGUUUUCUCGCAAACACCUUGUGCUAACUUAAGCAUCGGUGGGUUUACGCCGGCAAAACUACUAGCGUCUCUGAUCCAUUUUUGUGAACGCAGGCUUGGGAAAAGGAGAAAGAGUGAUUCCAACCCCUGGAGCUUUCGCAGUUGCUGAAGGAGACAAAGGGCAGCGUCCUUUCCAUUGAACAUACAAGCGUUGGUGGAACGAUCUGGUCGGGCAAAGGGCGAGCAGAUUUCAGCAUCAACAUUUUGGCACCGUCUGUGGGGAGCUGGAUAAAAAGCUACCACCAAGUUAGUAGUCAUCAGAGAAGCAGCGAACGAUCGGUUAUGGAGGUGACAAGGAAGGAUGCCUUAGCGGGCGACAAUGAAACUGGUGAAACGAUAACUCUCCGAGAGAUCGCAAAUGAAGCUAGGGAGAGGAUGAUGCAAGAUCGAAUGGAGCGAAUGGAGAAGCAAAUGGAGACUCUCACGGCUAUAUUACAUGAGCUGAGGGAUGAGCGGACAAGGGGUGGUGAAACCACCGUGGUGAGAGAUGAAGCCGUGGCAGAACCUAGCCCCCGGAGGUGUAGAAUCGAGGAGAUCCCUCCGCUGGUAGACCAACCCUAUGGGGUGCAUCCCCAUAGAAGUGCGGGUCGGGUCUCAGGAGAGCGCGUAGAUGAAGGAAGAGACCAGUCUCGCUCUGGGCGAGUUCUAGAAAUAGAUAGCCGAGGAGCGAAUGUUGAUGAAAGUGAACUCAGACAACGGCCGGAUAAUGCCGAGCAGGAGCGAGAUCAAAUAGCUGCGCGCGACCCUGACCGCGCUUUAGAAUUGGAGGGUGAGGUACGCAGGCUAGCGCGGGUGAUGGAUGAGAUCCAGGGUAAGAAAAAGCCUUUGAGCUGGAGGAUAAUGCUGGAUGAAGAAUCUCCGCUAUCAGUUGAGAUCAUGAAUACCGUAAUCCCAAGAGAUUUCCGCUUUCCCAACCUCAAAUACUCCAGGAGAAGUGACCCGCUGAUGCAUAUUGAACGUUUCAAUGACAUGACGGGUGUGCAAGGGCUAACACCAGCUCAGAGGUACAGGGUGUUCCCAUUAACACUAGAGGGAAGAGCCCGAGAGUGAUACCGUAAGAUGCCACGAGGAAGUAUAAGAGGAUAUGAGCAGAUGUACCAAGAGUUGGCCGAGCAGUUCCGGGGAGCAGUAGCCCCAGAGGACGACAUGAUGGAGUUUAUGGGGAUGAAGCAGGAGGAACAUGAAUCCCUUCGGGAUUUUGUGAAAUGAUACCAUUGGGUCGUGCUUGAUCUGGGAGCCUUCAAUCACCCGCAUUCAGAAUUAUUCGACGGGGUAUGAGCAGGCGAGGAGAGGCAUAGAAAUUGAAGAAGAAAAAAGGGCAAAGAUAAAGAGUGAGCAGCUAGAGGAGCUGAGGCGAAAGGAAAAGAGAACCAUGAGCGGGAGCAGAUCGGGAAAGUGAGCUGGGGAAUCAUCAGUGAUGGGUGGAAUAUCAGCUCGGUCUCGCCCUUAUCCCAUGGCUCAGAGACCGCAACAGUUCCAACACAGCCGAGCUCAGCCUCCGUGCCCCCCAUUCCCGGAGCGGCAACGAGAAUUCCGGUAGUUGGCUGCCCACCCUUAUCACAACACUCCCAGGACACUGCACGCAGUUAACUCUAGGGCUGGUCGACCAAGUCAGCGACCUACAAUACCAGCCCGGGACGAUAUCCACAAUAGCUGAGCAGUCCAACUAAUUGAUCAAAGCUUGGCGUAUAAACAAUACACCCCAUUGAAAGUCUUUAUGGAGGAAUUGUAUGAGAGGAUCGAGGGACGAGGCCUGCUGUACCCUCCUGCUCCUGUAACCAAACCUGCUCACAAACGGGAUAAAAGCAGAUUCUGCAAAUUCCACGAUACUUAUGGCCACACUAUCAGCCAGUGUCGUGACCUGAAGACUCAGGUGGAGGAUUUGGUGAGAAACCGAUACCUGGAUGAGUAUGUAGAUGGGACGUUCCCUAUUCUCGAUUCACAAUAUACUCAGAGGAAUGGAGACGAGAGAAAUAUGGAGCGUGAGCAGCCAACCAUCUAGGUGAUAGCAGGAGGGCCGACAUUGGCUGGGGAUUCGAACAAAGCACGGAAGAAUUACGGGAAAUAUGCCAUGACCAGCAAAGAGGUAUUUUUCAAUUUGCCAACAGCCAAAAGGGCGAAAGUGAGGUAGGUUCCCAUUAUGUGGACAGAUGACAACGAAGAGGGUGUUUUAUAUCCUCAUGAGGAUGCACUGGUGAUUAAGGUAACGGUGGCUGGUAAAGAAUUACGGCGAAUACUAGUGGACACGGGCAGCUCGGUUGACAUACUGUUUAAGUCAUCCCUAGAUGAUAUGGGAAUUUCGGACUUAAAAUUAGAGCGGACAAAUACAUCUUUGAAGGGGAGGAGGACGGUUAACCCCCAUGGGUUGAAGCCGUUUGAAAGAACAAUGAUGCUGGACUUUGUCGUAGUAGAAGAAAUAAGCCCUUACCAGAUGAUACUGGGACGACCUUUCAUCAGGAUAAGCCAAUAUGUUAUAUCCAUGCACUAUCUGGCAUUGAAGUACAGAGUGAACGGAGUCGUGGGCAUAGUAAAAGGUGACCAGAGAAUGACGAGAAGUUGUUACGCUACCGCAGUUAAGGAAACACUACAAAUUAUCACUCUGGAUAACCGAGGAGAUUCUAAAAAGGGUCGCCAGGAGCCAGCUGAGAAAUUGGAAGAGGUUCUGGUGAGCAAGAGUAACCCGGGCAGAGUGGUAAAGAUCGGGUCAGGAUUGGGUGAGGCAAUAAAAGGUGAUCUGGUAAAAUGCCUACAGUCCCAUGCAGAUAUAUUUGCCUGGUCGCAUGAAGACAUGCCAGGAAUUGAUCGCGGGGUAGCUUGCCACAAGUUGGCAAUCAGGAAAGGGGCAAGGCCGGUGAAGUAGAAAAAGAGGUGCUUUAACCAGGAAAGGUAAGAGGCCAUAAAUGCUGAGGUGGAGAAGCUGUUGAGAGCAAGAUUCAUAAAGAAGGCUAAAUACCCGGAAUGGAUCUCCAAUGUAGUGUUGGUAAAGAAGGCCAACGGGAAAUGGAGAAUGUGUGUGGAUUUCACAGACCUUAACAAGACAUGCCCAAAUGAUAGCUUUCCCCUACUUAAAAUAGACCAGCUAGUUGAUUCAAUGGCAGGUCACAGCCUGCUUAUCUUCAUGGAUGCCUUUUCAGGAUACAACCAAAUAUUCAUGGACGAGCAGGAUGAGGAGAGUACCACCUUUAUAACUAACAUGGGUUUGUUUUGCUAUAGGGUGAUGCCCUUUGGCCUGAAAAAUGCAGGGGCUACCUAUCAAAGGUUGGUGAAUAAGAUUUUGAAGCCAUUGAUUAGUCACACUAUGGAGGUAUACUUGGACGAUAUGAUCACGAAGUCUAAAGAACCGAGGGAUCAUGUGAAGCACUUGGAAGAGACAUUUGAAUUGUUGAGGAAGUAUCAAAUGAAGUUGAAUAUGGAGAAAUGUGCGUUUGGAGUAAGCUGGGGUAAAUUUUUGGGAUUCCUGGUGAGUCACCGAGGGAUCGAGGCCAACCCCAAAAAAAUAUGGACAGUAACAGAAAUGAAGUCCCCCCGAAUAGUUAAGGAGGUGCCGAACCUUAUAUAGAAAUUGGCAGCAUUGAACCGGUUCAUCUCGCGGGCCACAGAUAAAUGCCACAAUUUCUUCUAAACCAUAAAGAAAUGAAGGAAAAUAGAGUGGACAUCAGAAUGUGAGGAGGCACUGGGGCAACUGAAGGAAUAUCUGGCCCGCGCCUCGUUACUAUCGACUCCGAGAGAAGGUGACCAGCUGUAUUUGUACUUGGCAGUAUCUAAAUGGGCUACCAGCUCGGUAUUAGUCAGAGAAGAGGAAGGAAAGCAACACCCCGUGUACUACACUAGCAAGGCCCUGGUAGACGCAAAAACCAGAUAUCCACUGAUGGAGAAAUUGGCACUAACUUUAAUAACGGCAGCACGCAAGCUCAUGCCAUAUUUUCAGGCCCACCCGAUAAUUGUGAUGACUGAUCAGUCUCUUCGGCAAAUGCUCCAAAAACCAGAUGCAUCUAAUCGGUUAGUAAAAUGGUCCGUGGAGCUGAGCGAAUUCGACCUAUCCUACAGACCUCGAAGAGCAAUCAAAGCCUAAGUCCUGGCCGAUUUUAUGGUUGACCGUAUUGAACUAGAGGAGGAAGUUCAGGAGGAGCAACCAAUUGAACAGGAGAAACCAAAGGGCAUGUGGCUGGUAAUAGUUGAUGGGUCGCGUAGUGAACAAGGGUCCGGAGCAGGAGUUGUAAUACGGAGCCUAGAAGGUGCCGAAGUCUCCUAUGCGGUGAAAUUCGAAUUCCAACUCACGAAUAACCAAGCCGAAUAUGAAGCCUUCAUCACUAGACUCGGGCUUGCACACGCACUACGAGUAGAGAAGGUAGAAAUCUGAGUAGACUUCCAGUUAGUCUGUAAUCAACUCAGUGACCAAUUCUAAGCGAGGGAAGAGAAGAUAGGGUUUUAUUUGAAGAAGGCAAAGCAGAUGGUUGGGCUUUUCCAAGAAGUAGAAAUAAAGCAGAUAUCCCGGAAUGAAAAUUACCGAGUAGAUAUGUUGGCCAAAAUGGCCGCAAUUGUGGAUCCAAAGUUACCCAAGUCAGUUUCACUGGAAGUGAGGACCUCGCCAAGCAUAGGGGAGGAAGUAGAAGUAAUGCGGGUGAGCACUGAAGAAUCCUGGAUGGACCCGAUUCUCUCAUACAUCCGCGAUGACGUUUUACCGAAAGACAUGAAGCAAGCAAGGAAGUUGAAAUGUUGGGCAGCAAGGUAUACGCUACUCGAUGGGGUUCUUUACUGCCGGGGAUUCACCUUGCCCCCUUUUGAGAUGUUUGGAUGAUGAGGAAGCAAAUUAUGUACUGAGGGAGAUUCAUGAAGGAAUAUGCGGCAACCACUCGGGGGCGAGGACUUUGGCCUUCAAGGCACUUCGGCAAGGAUACUUUUAGCCGACCAUGCAUCAUGAUGCGAAAGGGAUGGCAAAAACCUGUAAAGUCUGCUAAAGCUUCUCGGAGGUUCCUGCUCAGCCCCCAGAAUUGCUAACCGCUAUGUCAUCCCCAUGACCUUUUGCGCAAUAGGGAGUUGACCUGAUUGGCCCAUUACCCAAAGGCCGAGGAGCCGCAACUCAUGCAAUUGUGGCUAUAGACUACUUCACCAAAUGGGUAGAAGUAGGAGUCCUCAGUCAAAUCACGGAGUGAAAGACAAUGGAUUUUAUUUAGAAGAAUAUCAUAUGCAGAUACGGGAUCCCCUAUGCCAUCAUUACAGACAAUGGGAGGCAGUUUGACAAUCACAACUUCAGAGAAUUUUGCCAAAACUUGGGGGUAAGCCUGAAGUUUUGUACCUCAGUAAACCCCUAAGCAAAUGGGCAGGUAAAAGCAGCCAACAAAGUAAUAAAGAAACUCCCAAAAAUCAGGCUGUGAGAGAAUAAGGAAGCUUGGAUCGACGAGCUACCAGGAGUGUUAUGGGCCUACCGGACAACCCGCAAAACGGCAACGGGAGAAACCCCGUUUACUUUAGCUUUCGGUCAUGAGGCAGUAAUCCCAGCAAAAAUUGGGGUGGGAACCCAUCAGACAGAGUAUUUCAACGAGGAACAAAAUGACGAGCAGAUCUGCAUGAACCUGGACCUGCUGGAGGAAAAAAGAGAAGGGGUCUCGCAGAAAGCAGCCCAAUGCCAGCAAAGAAUCAUGCGCUACUACAACAAGAAUGUACGCAUGAGGCAGUUCCGAGCAGGAGAUUAGGUACUUGGAAAGGUAAAACAAAACACAAGAGAUCUUAACCAUGACGCUCUUGGCCUGAAAUAGAAGGAGCCGUAUAUGGUAAUACGAACGACUGGACCAGGAGCUUACAAGCUGGCUUACCCAGAUGGACGAGACGUAAAGAGGUCGUGGACCGCUGAACACUUGAAGAAGUACUUCCAGUAAGCAAAGUGUUUUACCAAGUUUUUAUUUUAAUAAGUUAUUUUUAUUAAAUGCAUGAUGAAUUGUGGCACAUGCAUAUAUUUCGCCUUUUGUAAUCCAUACGAAGUUCAAUAAAGAUGAAUUCAGCAUAAAUUCCCUUACUAGACAAAUUUCGUUAAGGCAAGCAACUGCCUAUUCCUGCUCGGUCGCCUAAAGGACCAGCAGGCAAAAUCCGUUAAAUUUACUAAGGCAAGAAAGUGUCUAUUCCUGGUCGGUCGCCUAAAGGACCAGCAGGCAAAAUCCGUUAAAUUUACUAAGGCAAGCAAGUGCCAAUUUCUACUCGGUCGCCUAAUAGACUAGCAGGCAAAAUCCGUUAAAUUUACUAAGGCAAGCAAGUGUCUAUUCCUGCUCGGUCGCCUAAAGGACUAGCAGGCAAAAUCCGUUAAAUUUACUAAGGCAAGCAAGUGCCUGUUCCUACUCGGUCGUCUAAAAGAUCAGCAGGCCAAUUCUACAAAUUUUGCUAAGGCAAACGAGUGCCUACUCCUGCUCGGUCAACUAAAGGACCAGCAGGCAAAAUCAAUUAAAUCUGCUAAGGCAAGUAUGUGCUAACUCCUGCUCGGUCGUUGAAGGACUGGCAAGUAAAUUUCUACAAAACCAUUAAGGCAAGAAAUCGCCUAUUUUUCCUCGGCCACUCAAAGACAAGCAAACACAUCUUCUUUUUAAGGUAAUUUGCAGAAACAAUCACAUGGCAAGAAAACAAUCAGAAAGCAUCAAAACUUUAUAAACAUCUAAGCGUUUAUAAACAAAUGGGAAUCUAGAAUUUACAUAAAGAAUAAGCCUAAGAAUUAUGAGGUUCAGCAGCCUCGGUAGGAGAAGGAUCAGCAACCUCAGAAAGAGGAGGACCAGCCAUUUCGAGGGGAGCAGGUGCUGAUCCCUGACCUGCUUCAAGAGCACGAUCCCCUACUUUCUCCUCCGGCACCCCACUUGAAGGAGCCUCCACCUAAUCUUGGUCACCCUUCUCCUUAUCCCCCUAGUCUAACUCGGCCAUAUAUUUCUGCACUCCCGCCUCCAGCUUGCUCAUGUUGAGCUCUGGAUACUCCUCCUUAAGCACAAACAUGAUGCACUUGUAGCUAAAGGCAAGCCCAGAGUUAUACUCUGCAUCCAACCGAUCGUCCACCUCAGCAGAUUUACCUUUCAGCUCGGCUACCUGCUUACUUGAUUUGCUCCUCAAAGGCCGUCCUUAAGGUAUCUUAUUCACUUUGAGCAGCUUGGAGGUCAGACUCUAGGUCACCCAACUCGCCCUCAAGCUUGGAGGAGUUGGACUUAGCAAUGGCCACUUUCUCCUCUAGGUCCAUGAUCUGCUUGUGCAGCUCAAGCAGCUUCUCCUUCGAGUGAUCAGCAGAAUCAGCCUUUUUCUUCAAGUCCUGAUUGUCAGCUUGAAGCCUCCUCUCAUGGCGUAUGAACCUGUUCUUGUAGCAAGAAACCAGAGUAGCCAACUUAAAGGAAACCCUCUGAACGGACCCAGCUAACUCGCUAAGGUUCAUUUGCUCAAUAUCUUUGAUAAUUUUGGGUCCCACUAACUUGCCAUAGUCCCUCUGGUAUGGGGUCAGAUAGUCACCCUGGUCCCGAGGCGGAAGAGGAGAGGAUCGGUCUCUAGAUUGAGCACUGACUUCAGGACUCUUGUCACUAACCUUCUCCCCUCUAUUCUUUCGAGGUGGAGGAGGGGGCAGAGAAGGAGCAGAUGCCUUGGAGGAACCAACAUUGGUUUUCUUCAGAGGAGGGGGGGUUACUGGAGCCACCUGAAUCCCGAGCACGUUUCCUUGACAUAGCGCUGAUAAUCUUGUUAUCCAUCCCAGCAGCUACGUCCACUAAGCGUGACCCGAAAAGAUUUGUUGACGAUAAGAGAUCUUGACAGGUAGAUGCGUUCACCAGAGCAGUUUCCACCUGGAGCAAUGGUCUGUCGUCAAGUUUCUCGAUCAGGCCCCACGACUCUGAAAAAAUAAAUAAGGUUAAGGAACCCAAUAAGUAACGAUCAGAGAAGUGAAAGAUGCAGAAAAAUAAACGACCUGGGGUGACAUAACGCGUUGGAAGGUGAAUAUCACCACUAAGCGAAUGGAUUGCUAGACACCAAUUUUCCCCAGUAAAGAAGAAUUUGUUCUUCCAGUUUUUACAUGAGGAAGGAAAGCCGGUGAUAGGUUUCCUCUUCGCAGAGCUCGACAUGAAGUAGUACCAGUUUGCUUCCUUUAGGCUGCUCCUCAGCUGAUACAAAUGCUUCACUUCCACAAGGGAAGGCUCCUCGAGUCCACACUUUUCCCGUAGCACAUACAAAGCUGAAAGAAGCCUCCACUCGUUCGGGUGGAGCUGACCUGGAGCCAGGUACAUACCACCCAAUAUCCUGACAAAAUAAGGCUGAAGGGGCAGCCGAGCCCCUAGCUUGAAACUUUCCAAAUGCAUCGUCACAUACCCCUUUGGAGGCUGACUAGGGACGUCACCUUUCCCGGGGAUUACAAGGAGAACCUCCUCAGGGAUUUUGUAGAGGUUUCUAAGCUUGAGUAAGUUAGUGUGGGUAGUAGCACAGGUAAUACAGUCAAUGUGAUACGCAUCUGCCUCCAUCCUAUGACCAAGAUUUCUCUUCUUAGAGGGUCUGCUCGGCUCGGAACUACUCUCCUUACCUUCACCCACUUCCUUAGGGAUCCCAGCCCCCUCAGAACUGUGAUUUUCACCAGAGCCUGAAGCUAGUCCACCAUAGUUUCCCACAGGUUCUAAAUCAGGGGAAGGCAAAGUGGUCAUGGGACGAGGGUAUUCUAAGGUAUCCCUAUGAUAUGAGGGACCUACAUCACGAGAAGAGCAUAGGGGAUCAUUGAGUCCAAACAAGUUGGGAUAUGAGUCAUCUACUUUUUCAUCACUCUCAUCUACAAUUAGUUUUCCUUUUCGGUUUGACAUAUCAAAAUCUUAAAAAGGAAAGCACAGCAAAUCCAAGUAUAUGGGUACAAAAAGGGACAACACAAAACCCAAUCAACAACAACCAGAGAAGAAGUUAAAGGCGAUACCUGGAAUAGACUGGCACUGGUAGCGUUGCUGUGACGGAGAGAGGACCUAGAAAGGAGGUUUCCGACGCAGAAAGUGUGAUUAAAGUCCAAAGAGGGAGUUGGCUUACAGCGGAAUGGCAGAUAGCGAAACGCAAUGACAGCUUUAAUUUAGGGAUUUGUAACGAAAGGGGGAAAUGGAAGCGUUUAAGUUACACGGAUGCCAGCUCACUCGCAGUAUAUCAAGGACAGAUAAACCGUCGUUUUAAAUUUUAAAUACGAAAUGACAAGAGACGACAUGUCACUGACCGUUAUAAAAGGCCUGACGAGAUGUUACCCCAGCUAUAUAUAUUGGACACACUCAUGAAGGCCCAUACUCAGAUCGAAAUCUCCUUAGACAAAAGACGGAACCUCAGAUCCAUCACAAUAACACGAAGACCAGAUAGGUAGUUCCCGGGGUCGGUAAAAUUCGAUUAUCAGUUUCUAAUCUCAACUCGCUUCACUCGCAAGACCAGAAACUGGGGGACUGGUGUUAAGUAAUAAAAAGUGCCAGCUCAGCCAUGCUUUCAUCUCCCACCCCGAGGCGAAUUACCUCAGCUGAAUGGCAUGAGAAGAGCCCUGGUAAAACGCCUUAUACAAACAUGUGCCAACUAGAGACGAGCACCGACCAGAGGAAUAUACCGACCAGAGACAUAUACCGACCAGAUACCCAUCACCCAAAGAAAUGGCACACGAUCUCACGAAAUCGCGACAGUUUCGCUAUGCCCCGAACCGUUGAGAGAGACAUGGCAUUCCACGUUUACCCACAAUCCAGUGGUUGGAGACCCAUGAGGGGCUGCCAUUACCCGAUAAAGGGGGGGAUGGAGAGUACACAGAAACAUGGGACAACGACUAUAAGAAGUCAGGAAACCGAUGAAAAAUGGGACAAAAAAAUUGAGAGUAAAGGGAAAACUCUGCCAAAUUGAAACUUGAUUACAUUAUAUACAAGUUUUUGAGAGCAUCCUUUCCAUUGAACAUACAAGCGUUGGUGGAACAAUCUGGUCGGGCAAAGGGCGAGCAGAUUUCAGCAUCAACAUCUUCAAUGAAUUUUGGGGCUUAUUUUUAAGUAAUCUUUUAGCAUGCAUGCAUUUAUGCAAUCAUAUGAUUAUAGAUUCAAUUACUUUUAAAGUAGAAAAAAUUCUUGGAUGAAAUUUACUAAAGUAUAGUCUUGUAAAAGAAUUAGUUUUCUUAAAAUGUAAAUCUCGGUUAUGAUUGGGAGAUUUUGAUCAAAAUUAAUAUGAUAAAUUCGUUGCAAGUGUUGUUCUUGAAGUCUCAUCUUCCGUAAUGUUUGUAAAAUCAAGGUUUUACCAUCUCUAAUUAAAUAUUUAUUCUUGAUUUCGACUACGUAAUCUGAACUUGACGAAAGAUUAUGAUCUUAUGUGAUUUUAUGAAUGUGGUCUUAUCUCUUAUAAGUCAGCAAUGAAUUAAUUAAAGCUUGCUGACAAAUUACAAGCUCAAAAAUAUCUUUUACUUAUUGACAAUCUUAUUUCAUUCUUUUUAUCACAUAACUUUAAAAAAUUUAUCUACAAAUUUAAUUUAAUAGUUUUAAUAAAAAAUCUCAUUGACGACCAAACAACUAAUUAUUUUUUUAUAAAAGCUCUACUUGUUAAAAUUAUACUGAAAAAAACUCUACUUAAUUAAGUUCUAUUUGAAAAGUUAUACCAAGCAUAACCUUAUUUCUUAUUAGCUUAAUUGCUUCCACUGCUCCUACAUUUUUUUAACCAUGUGGAUUCCUUCAAUCUCAUAAUCAAAGAUGCUUUAAGCCAUUUUAUUUCUUUAUUUUUUUAAUUAUUAUUGGAAAAGUAGUGUAGCUUAUCAAAAAAAGGAAAAAAAAAGGGCCAAAGUGACGAGUGGCUCGUUUUUUAAUUUCAAAGUCUAUGCAAAGUAAAAGUACCGAAAUAAUGUUUAUUUUUUCAAAAAAAUCCAAAUAAGUGGCAAUAAAGGGAGGUUUUGGUAGGGGUGUUCGCGGAUCGAAUUUUAGGGAUUAUAAAUUUUUAAUCCAAUUCAAUGCACGGAUUUAUAAAAUUUAAUCCAAAUACAAUCCAUACAUAUGCAUCAUAUGUAGAUUUGACCAAAUCGAUAUCCAAUUCACCAUUUUACUGAUUGAUUUGUGGGCUGAAAAUUUUUAAUUCUGUCAAAUCCAGAACUAACUAAAUAAAAAAAAUUGAAUAUAAAAAUAAUUUUACUAUAGAUCAAAUUUAAAAUUAAAUAAGAUUAAAUAAAUUAAUUACUUAAAUAAAGCUAGAAAAUACAUUUAAAGUUUCAAAAUAUAACACACCAAAAUGAAAAAAUUAUCAUUCGUUUAGAUCAAUACAUGGAAAUUAACUAUCUAGUAAACUAUAUUUGUUUAUUUAAUUAUUUUUUAUUUUAUAUUAUUAUCGGAUAAGAUAUAAUAUAAUGUUAAUGUAACUAUAUUUUAACUUAUUUAUUCACUAGUAAGUACUAAUGCCAUAUUUACAAGUUUUAUUUUUAAUUAAAUAAAUAUUUUUUAUUUUUUUGCGGAUUCGUAGAUUUUUGCGGAUUUACAGAAGUAGAUCCAUAUCCAAUCCACUGAUUGCGGAUUAUCAAAUUUUCAAUUCAAUCCAAUCCACUAAUCCAUGGAUCGAAUUUGUACGGAUCAGACAAAUUGAGCAGAUCGAAUUGGAUUAUGAACACCCCUACAUUUUGGUGUCCAUUGUUGAAAACUUGGAAGUCUAUGUGACCAUUUAACCAAAGUACAGGGGUAUAAUGGUCACAAAUUUCAAAAAAUAAAUUUUACCAAUUAAAUGAUUUUUUUUCACAGUUGAUUAUUAAAUUCUAAGUGUUAGACUACCGUAAGACUACAAAUAAUUGACAUGGAUAUAAUAUUAAAUAAAAUUUACUUAUAUAUUUAUAUACAUGUAUAUAUGUAUAUAUAUAUAUAUAUAUAUAUAUAUAUAUUAGGGAAAAUAUCCACCGUCCACCUGUUUUUUUCAACUUUUUUAAAAAUACAUAAUUCUUUUUUUUUUUUUUGGUGGAAUCUUCCCAAAGUUACCUUUUAUUCCCUUUUUCCACUUCCAUUUGGAAUCCGUUAAGUAAACUAACGGAAACUUAAAAAAAUGACCAUUUUACCCCCAAAAUGAAAAUUACAAUUUCACCCUAAAAAUGCCAAAAAUAAUAAGAUUUAAUGAUGAAUAUCAUUAUUGGUACGUUAAUGAAGUACAAAAAAAAUCUUAACUACUAGAGAUUAUAACUGAAUGAAUAAUAAAACUCUACUUAUCUUAAAUUCAAUUGAUGGUUUACGAGAUUGUGCUAUUUUUAAUACUACUGUUAUAAUUUUUCUAAUUACAAACAUAUUUUAAAAAACAAAAACCCUGAAUUUGAUGGUUGUGAAAUUGAUUUCUUUAUUGACCGAUGGGGAAAAUAAUUAGAUUUAAUCUGAUUAUUUUUGGUAAUUUUUAAGGUGAAAUUAUAAUUUUCAUUUUGGGGGGUAAAAUGAUCAUUUUUUUUAAGUUUCCGUUAGUUUUCUUAAUGGAUUCCAAACGGAAGUGGAAAAGUGAAACAAAAUAUAACUUUAGGUAGAUUCCAGCAAUAAAAUAAAAAAAAAAGUGUAUUUUUGAAAAAGUUAGAAAAAAUGGGUGGACGGUGGAUAUUUUUCUUAUAUAUUAUUGUUUGUAUAUAAAAAUUGCUAACUAAAAAAUAUUUAUAUUUUUCAAUUUUAUUUCUUUUAUUUUUUAUCUCAAUAUAAAUGAUAAUAAUAAUAAUAAUCUCUCUAAAUUUAAUUAUUUUUGUUGUUUAUUAAAUAAGGAUAAUUUUGAGUUUCUAUAAUAUAUGUGAGGAUAUAUAUAAAAUUGUAUUAAAUAUAAAAAUAUUCUAAAAAUUAAAUUUUAAAAAACUAUUCUUUUCUCACUUUUCAUUUAAUUAGGCAAAUGGCCACAGAAAUUGUUCUCCCUCAUAUCCAAAUAAACUAAAAACGAGAGAUUUCGUAAGUGUGGAGGGAUGAUGCCUUCGAAACCCAUCACUGAAAGAUUCAAGUUUGUGACUCUAUGGUAUGAGCAUCACAACAUAUGCAAAUUCGACUGCAUACUGAGUAAGAUAUGGACCAAUUAUUCAAGAGAUUCAUGAGCCUUCGAAGUGAGAAAUAAAGCAAAUUAGGUGGUCGUGGGUCAAUUGACUACGUUUCGUGAUCCACGUGCGAUUGCAACGGUCGGUUCAUUAAGUGAAAUUAAUGACUCGUCCACUUUAGUAAUAUACCGUCCUCUUUAGGAUGGUGCUGGGUCAAUUUUAUCUCAUUUUCGUUGAUUACGAGUUGUGAUCGAUGACCCUCGACGUCUAUGGGUGGAUGGGUGGAUGGAUCUAACGUAAAUUAAGGGCUGAUGACCCUCGACGUCUAACGACAAGCAACAAAGAUGACCUUGACUACAUGUAAACGCACAAUUCGUUCUCAUACAUUAUGUUUUAAAAUUUCUCCAUUUUCCGGGGCCCUGCUGUCGACCGUACACAGUUUAAUUUGUAUAUACAAGACCUCAUUGUUUCUAACAAGUAUAGAGCCAUAGACAAUAUUAAUUCCAAUUACUUAAAUCUUCAUUUCUCUCAUGAUUUUGGAUCUCGAGCAGCGUGGAUAUAUCCAACCAGAUCCGCCUCACUGGCAUCCCAAUAUAUUUUAAAAUUGAGUAAUGAGUAUUAAUAAACGUGUAAUUAUAAAUCUACAAUGUUUAAUUUUAAUUUGAAGAUUCAAAUGAAUUAUUCCAACAGUGCCUCGUUAAAUUAACAUUCCAUAAAUUUUUAAUUUUAAUUAAAUAACAAAUUUUGUCCGUCCCAACUUAAGAUUAACGUGGUAAUUAAUAAUUUAAUAAAUUUAUUAGAUAAUAAUUUUUUUUUUAAAUCUUAUUUUUUUAUUGGAUCCAACUGAUAUAUAAAUUAAUAAUUAAUUAAAUUUAAAACUAAAUUCAUGUUAUGUCAAUCAAAUGUUAUUGCAAAGAAGACUAGCAGUGACGCUUUGAAAGGUACACCAAAGCCUUUUGCACCUUCUCCUCCCUGACCACCAAUAGAUACUUCCACCAUUUCAACGUCAUGACAUGAUGUGAGUUUCUUUUGUGGAAUUUGUGAAUUGGUGCUGGCAGAAGUUAGUGAUACAUGUAACUUUAUAUAACCAGACCUUUUGACAAGUCCGCUUGACUCUUAAAUUUUUGUCACUUUCACUCCGUUCAAAGGCAUGUGAAAGCUAAUUUUUAAUGAAUUUUGAAUUGAGUGUUAGAUGUUUUGGGCUUAUCAAAACUAGAUUAUAUAUUUAUAUAUAUAGAGGACCGCCCUUUAAAACUACAUCUAUUUUUACACUGAUUUAUAACCAUUAAAUUUAUUAGACAUUAAUGGUUAAGAUUUUGAAAAUUUAAUAAUAUAAAUACUUAAUAGCAACAAUAAUUAAUGUACUUUCUCUCUCAUCAUCAAUUUCCAUUAAAACCUAAUUUCUCUUUCCUAAUAAAUUUUAAUGAAUUUUAGAUUCAUCAUUUUUCUCUCUCCAUCAGUUUCAUUGGUUUUUAAUGAAUUUUAGAUUCACGGUUAGAUAUUUUGGGACUUAUCUUUAAGUAAUCUUUUACACGCGUAUAUUUAUAUCAUUAUAUAGUUAUAGAUUCAAUUACUUUUAUGAUGCAUUUAUUAAAUUGGAAUUGAAAUAGAUAAGAAUGAGCUGUAAUGUGAAUGGAGAAUCGAAAUUAGAAUAAAUUAUUUACUUGAACAGUAGAAAUCGAAAUAAGUUAGAUUGUUAUUAAUGUGUUUAUUUUGUCUUGAAAUCAGAAUUGAAAUAAGUUAGAUUGUAACAAAUUACUAAAAACUACUAAUGAACUAUUUGUUAUAAUUAUUAUUUUGUAUUUUAAUUAUUGUGAUUAUUUAUUAAAAAUUAUUAUUGUUAUUAUUACUUAUUGUUAAUAGUAUAUUAAUAUAUUAAUAAAUUAUAAUAAUAUAUUAAAUAACUAUAAUAUAUUAAAAAAUAUACUUGUAUUUACAAGAAAUGACGGAUAAAAUUUCUAAAAUCGUCUUCCUCCCUAAAACUCUGAAUGCCACAGCCCUAAAAAUUAAUAAGAUUUAGGAAUUAUAUAUCUUUUUUAAAAUAUUAAAGGGUGUUUAUUUCCUUAAACGGUGGGGGCUAAAAGUCCUAUUCCCAAAAGAGUAGUGUGCCGGCGUUGGAGGCUAGAAGGACAAUUCGUUACAUUGCUUCAGAAGUGCUUAAUGGAAAUUUUGGUGAGGCAUCACAUAAUUUAAAUUACUGGAAUUUGCAUCAAUGGUUUUUAUUGGUUUAUUUACUCGUCAACAAAUUACUGUAACUGCAGAAAACAGUGUAACACAUUGUAUAAUACGUUAAUACGUUAUAUUGGUCAGUGCUCCUACCAAGGAAAUCUUUUUAAGUUUUGUUAGCAGAAUAUUCUUGAAAGGGUGGAGGCAUAAGAGUUUAAUAAUUUAAUUUCUCUUGUUCAUUAGAAGAUUGUUUUUUUUUUUUGGAAAAAAAAAGAAGAAGAUGGUUUGUUUAAUGUUGAUAAAUUUUGAAGUACAAUUUUAUAGAUGUCGAAUGUGGGCAAAAAGUAAAGAAGCUCAAACACUUUUCUACAUCUAAACUAAUCAUUAGGAUUUAUAUUAACUAAUAAACCCUAAUAAUACGAGCGUUCAUAAAAACUUCACAUGAACAUUGAACUAGCAUGGCAUCAUAUUGUAAUAAGUUGUACAGCUGUCAAUCUCUUAUUAGUCGGAUAUAUUCUGAGUUAGUUACACGAAUGUAGUAUAAAUAUCAUACUCUGUACACAUUCUUAGUUAGUUACUUCAGUAGAAUUUUCUCUCCUCUACUCAAUUUUUAAGUUAUCUUUUAUAUUGGGGGCAAAUGAUAUUUUAUUAACGAAAUUAUUUUGCCCUCUUAAUAAGCUCUCAUUUCUCCCCUUUAAUCAACACAGCCUUCUUUUAUUACAUCAAAAUUCUUCCUCUUUCCAUCAAAAUUUCAUGGAUCUGCCCUUACGUAUAAUCAUAUGAGACUAUAUAAUAAAUUUAAUUAGGUAUGUUCGGAAUAUUUUUGUUAUCCUUAAGCUGAUUUUAUUUUUUUUAUUUUUUCAUAGUAUAUAUUGUCAAAAGUAAAUGCUAUAAACACUUUCGGAAAAAAAGAUGAAGAGUGCCUUUGGAGUAAUUUUUUCUAUAGGAACUAACAAAACAACUAAACGAUGUAUGUAUCUCUAAGAUUUAUUAUUAUUUUUUUUUUCUGUAGUUGACAAAGCAUCAUGAUUGUGUUGGAUGAUAAGAUUAAAGGUGGGAAUGGACCAAUUUUUUAGGAUAAAAAAAAAUGAUUCAAUCCUGGGCAUGUUUGGCUAUCGAAACUAGUUGAUUAGUCUAAAGUUUAAUUCAAAAGUAAUGAGACUAUUAAUCCUUAGGAAAAUUAUCAUUCGUAUACUCUAUAAAUGCUCUGUUAUAAAAAAUAUUACAACACUUUGAGAGUGUAUCAAUCGUCCACCCUAAGUUGACAAAAUGUAUCUGCUGUCCAUCAAACCGUUACUUGCUGUUUAAAUAGGAUAACGUCAGAGAGGUAAUUUGGUCUUUUCAUAUGAUACAAGUGAUAAUUCAAGGGUAUACAAGUGAUAAUAAAAUAAUUUAAGGGUAUACAAGUGAUAUUUUUCAAGGAUAAAAUCAUUAAUUCGCUAUAAUUUCAUUAACUUUCAAACGACAGCUAACGGUUUAGUGGUCGGCAGAUAACUUUUUUCAAUUUAUGGUGGACGAUUGAUACACCCUCAAAGUGUUGUAGUAUUUUUUUAUAAUAGAGCAUCUAUAGGGUAUACGAAUGAUAAUAUCCCUAAUCAAUCCUUAAUUCAACUUAGGUUUAAGUACUAUAUAAAAAAUCUUCUUUAUCACUCUUUUCAUUUUUAUUUAGAUUAAAAUUCAUAUAAAUAAAUAUAAAGAAUUAAUUUCAUAAUUUAUUUAACUAAAAUUUUAUAUUAUAUUAAAUAUCCAAAUUUUAAUUCAAUAAUUUAUUUAUAUUAGAAUUUUAUACAAUAUUAAAUCCCAAAACUUUAUUUAAUAAUUUAUUUACAAAAAUAUUAAAUAUCAAAUUCAACAAUUAGUAAUAUAAUUUAAAAUAAUUAUACUAUUUUAAUAGUUAUUUAACUAUAUUAAAUUAAAUUUAACAUAUCCUUGUCCGAUACUAUACUAAACAAACGAUAGUACCUUAUAUAGUGCAGUCAAUCUAUUAUAAUAUAAUUUAAUCUAAUCUUAUAAAUUGGUUCAAUCUAAUCAUACGUGUCAAAUCAGUAAAUUUUAAAAAGUAAUUUUAUAACAGCUUUAAAAAAGCAUUUUUUCAGUUACUUCUACAAAACGUGCUUUCGCGGAAAGCACUCGUGAAAUGCACAUUCUCACAAAACACGUGGUGUGUUCAAUUGGGCCUCCGCCCAUUAAAACUACAACCAUGAAAGCAAGCAAUGUUCAUUGGGCUUUAUUCUCUCGAGAAAACUUAUACACGUAGCCCACCACCGGCGCCCUAAUUUGUCUCCACCUAUCUAAAUAGAGUUGGACUAUUGGCACCUUUCCAAAAUUCUUCUGAAACCCCUUUUUUAAUAAUGUUAAGCUUAAUGCCAAAAAUAUCAUUAUUUCUAAAUAAACACAUUUAAUUUGUGAAUAUUUUAAUUUUCUAUUAUUUUUUCGCUCCUCACAAACAAAUUUUUAUGGGCGAUAAACUUCUUGAUAAAAAUCAAUUAAUUAAAUAAAAUAUCUGUAAGAUUAUAAUGUAAAAUUUUUUAUUAUGAGUCUUAAAAAAAGGCAGAUAAAUUUGUCAGAAUGUGUUUUGUUUAUUAUCAAUAGAUUGUUUUAGUAAUUAAAGAAAAAUUUAUAGAGAAUUUGAGAAAAAAAUUAUGUGUGAGUUUGAUAGUAGAGAAAAUAUAAGAGUUUUUUUUUUUUUAAGAGAGAAAAUACAAAAGUUUGAAGUGAGAUAAAAUAGAUAUCAAAUAUAUUAGAGUAUUUGUCCUUAAAUGUAAUUGCAACAAAAGAGGGGUUUCAAAAAGAUUUUGGAGGAGUGUCUCCAACUCCUCUAAAUAUUAUUGAUUGAUGCAUAUAUUUCACAGCAUAGAGUGGCUUACAUUGGAGCUUUUCUAAAAAAAUGAAAAUUUCAUUUAAUUAUUUAUUAUUCACGGAUAAGAAAUUAACUUCUUCUUCUUUUCUAACGCCACAGUCUGGUGAGCUUGCCUAGUGUGUUUUAGUUGGAUAAAAAUUUUGGCAAAUGCUUCUUGGCAAGGAAGCUUAAACAGUUUAACCUGAAUUUAACCUCGAAUGAACCCAAAUUAUCAAACCGAACCAAUCCAAAUUGUGAAUCUGAAUUUCAGUUUGAUUCGGUUUGGUUCGGGUUCGUAUUUUCAACCCGAACGGGUUCAAUGCUCCAAUUCGAUCGGGUUGUAACCCAAACCGAAACUCGCAAACCCGAACUGAAACUCAAUUUGCCCACCCCUAAUGAGAAGUACUCAGAUCGUAAAAGAAAGGUCUUGAUAAUAAUUUUACCUAAAAAUUUGUUUUUUAACUUAUAUUUUAUUUUUUUAUGCUGUAUUUUAGUUGUUGAAUAGGUUAUAUAUAGAAGUUCAGUUAAUUUUGUUUUGGAUGAAAAAUCAAUGAGUACUUAUGUGAUUAAUAAGUGAAAUUUUGUUUGCAUCAUGUAGUCAGCUAUAAUGCAUUGGAUGGCUUUUACUCAGCAUGGAAGAAAUGCUCUCCGGCAGAUAACUAAAGAGAGCUCUGAUCGCGUGUUGCAUCACCCAUUGCUAUUUUCUUGUCAAGGACUCAGAUACAGACGAUUGGAAGUGAUUCUAACAACAGUGAGUAAAUUGAUCUUUUGUUUUCCCUUUUCACCAAUUUGGAUCUCUUGACUAAUCAGCCUGUUUGAGUUUUAACUUGUGUAUUAAUGAUUGGUUUUAUAUUCAGAAAGUUGAUAAGCUUGGAAAGCUGGUGAAACUGUGAAGGUUGCUCCAGGGUAUUUCCGGAACCACUUGAUGCCCAAAUUGCUUGCUGUUCCAAAUAUCGAGAAGUUUGCUCAUCUCAUUAGAGAGCAGCGCAGGGUAUUUGUUUUUCAUGAUUCUUCUCGGUUGAACUAUUUUUAUUUGGGUUGAGAAUGGUUAAUUAUAGUGAUACAGAAAUUUGCUCAUUUUCUUUAGAUACUUUGUUUAGCCAGUUUGUCAAUUAAUUUGACUCAUGGCUUCAAAUUAUUGCUAAAUUCUCAGUUUGGAAAUAUUUGUGAUUUUUGAAGGGGCAUUACAAGUUAUUAAAGUAUGUUGUGCCUGUGACUUAUUUUCAUCAGAUUUUCCAGCCUGAGGAAGAGGAAGAGGAAGAGGUUAGAGUUAUCCGGAAGUCUGAGGAUAAUAUGAGUAGAGAGUUUGAGAAGGCAGCUAGGCGCCUAGAGAAUGCUCGACUGGUUUGUGGCCUAUCUUUUAAUUUCUUCAGAUUCGGGACAAAUUGUCUUGGAAUGAACUGAUGUGUUGCCUUUUCCUUUUUUUUAGCUUGAAUGAUCUAUUUGCUACAGUUAGGAGUGAACUUCGUAAUGAAUUUUAAAUUAUAAUGUUUGUUUCGAUUUACUUUUCUAUCUUAGCUCCAUGUGAUUAGUGGGAUGCUGAUCCUGCGAGUAUAAAAUGAAACUCCUUAAGUUAAAUUCCUUAGGUUGUGUUUACUUUUUGGAGUGGAAGUGAGGAGUAUGGAUUCCUUUUAUUCCAGUGUUUACUUCAACAAAUUGGUUCCGGAUUGGGAAUCCCACUCCAUGGGCCCCACCCAUUUUUGGAGUGAGACUCCCAUGGGAAGAGGUGGGAGUGGAUUCCAACUCUCACCUCUCCUUUUUCUAUCUUUUUUAUUUAAUUUAAUUUAAUUUAACUUAAUUUAAUAUUUGAUAAAAUAAAAUAAAUAAUAUCAUAUUUAUUUGAAUAAUAUUAUUAUAUUUAUUUUAAAAAUAAUAGUACUAUAUUUAUUUAAUAUUAAUAAUUAAUAAUAAUAAAUAGUUUAUUCUAAGAAAAUAUUAAUUUGUACUAAAUAAUAUUAUAUUAUUAUUUUAUAUAAUAAUAAAUUUAAUAUAAUUAUAUUAAAUAAAAUAAUGUUUCAUUUUAUAUUUACCCUUCUUUUUUACCCUCUUUUAUUAAAUUUACUAUAAUUAUAUUUAAUAAAUAUUUAAAUAAUAUUAUAUUUAUUUAAAUAAUAUUAUUAUAUUUAACUAAAUAAUAAUUUGGUUGAUUCUAAGUCUAAAUUACUUAAAAAUAAUAUUAUUAUAUUAAUACAGAACUAAUAAUACUACUUUUAUACCAUCUUUAUUUGAAAAUAUAUUAUUAUUAUAUUUAUUUAAAAAUAUUAGUAUUAUAUUUAUUUAAUAUUAAUAAUUAAUACUAAUAAAUAGUUUAUUCUAAGAAAAUAUUAAUUUCAUACUAUGUUAAUAGUAAAAUAUUUCAUUUAUAUUGCCCUUAUCAAUAAUUUUUAAUUUAUAUAAUUAAAAUUAAAAUUAAUAAAAAAUUGUGAUGUUAAUAAUUAAGAAUAUUAAUAAUUAUUAUAAAUUUACAAAUAUAAUAAAAUAAAUGUUUAUUCAUUAAAUAUAUAUUUUAUUAACUUUGUAAUUAAAAACUAUAAUUCUUUAAAUAAGGAUAAAAUUGUAAUUUGAAACUAUUUACUCCCAAUUCAAGACAAAGUAGACACAUAAAUUGAAUUCUGAUAUCUAUUCCAUGCUUUCAUUUCAGUGUAAGUAAACAACUUAUUCCCACUCCCACUCCACACUCCCAAUCCUAAGAUUCCCGCUUCAAUUCAAAAAGUAAACGCUACCUAAUACAUGUAAUCUUGCUUUCAGAUAUGGAUUAUCUUAUGGAUGUUGUAUUUUCAAGGUAUUGAGGAGAUUCCCCAAUAUUGAAAAAUUGCGUUCCCGUGCAUCAAAAGAUGAUCCCGUAGAAUUGCGUUCACGUGUGACAAAAGAGGAGCUUGUCGUUGAGGUAUGGAUUUUUAUAUUUCUUGGUUGUUUUUAUACUUGUUUCUCAUCAUAAUAGCAAAAGCAGUUUGUUCUGAGUGAUCUGUGUGGUCUGCUAUCAAUGACUGACGUUUCUAUCAUUUAGUACUAUUGACUAUGUGGGUAUAAAUAUUUUGUUUUUACCAUGUAAUUUCAUAUUCGACGCAUUUCUAAUACAUUGCAUAGCGUCCAUGAAUGGGAAUGAUAAAAUAAAUUUCAAGCGUGUUUCAAUAGACGAAGAAACUUGGUAUGAUUUAGAAGGAUUUACUGAUUAAAUAAUUUUCCAAUUUGUUUGCCUGGAGGAAUUGAAUAGUUAACUGAUUAAAGGAUUGCAAGGUGGUUAGGUCCAGCCGAGCAUUGUAAAUAUUAACGGUCAUUAUGAAUGUGUAAUUCCUAUAUGUGAAAUUGAAUUUCCAUGGUAAAUUUCUGCUAGGGUGUGAUGGUAUGGUAGCCAAUUGUGAGCAACAGAUCCACAUAGUAAUAUAGACUGAAAUUUUGCGUCUUAAUCCAUGAAGAUAUAGAUUUUGGCAAAUAUUAUACAAGCACUGGGGGUUACCUUAAAUAUUCUGGACUUGUCAUUGAUAGAGUUUCUUUUACCUAGUUAUUGAUAUUUCUUUCAAUUUUCUAUUUUACUGAUACCAUUUAUACAAUUUUAGGUGGCAAGUCAACUUUCGAUAUCUAUUGAGCCUGCAAACCUGCAUCUACCAUCACCUCUAUCUGCUUUUGGGGAAUAUGAGGUUCCUAUGCGCUUACCCAAAGCCAUCCCCCUACCGGAAGGAAAGAUCCAGUGGAUUCUCAAUGUUAAAGUCCGCGGCAAAUAAAUAAUCGUUUCAUUUAUUUUGUUUUGCUUGGUUCUGGAUCCAAAUUCAAUUGUAGAACACUUUUUGGUUUUUCUUCAUAACAUUCUGAAGAUAAUACAGGCAACAUUGUUUGCAGUGCCACAGCUAAUUUGCAGUAGCAUGAAACAAUCAGAAUUUUGCCUUUUUUGUGUAUAAAAUUUUAUUUUUUUAAUUGUGAUGUUACAGUUUUUCCCAUCAAGCAUUAUGAAGCUUAAUAUUUGGAUAAACAUUAGGUUUAACCUAUAUAUUUUAACUUUAGUGAGUAUUUAGUUUUUAUAUUUUGAAAAAUAUCUUAAGACAGCCCUAUUAUCAAAUAUUGGUUUGAUCCGUAUAUUUUAACUUCAGUGCUUAUUUCAUUUUUAUAUUUUGAAAAAUAUGUCAAGGCAAUCUUAUUAUCAAAUAUGUUAUAUUCUUGCUUUUAUAUUUCUUUAUUUUUAUAAUAAUACUAUGAUAACAAUUUUUUUUACAUUAAAUUUUUAAUCAAUAAAAAAAGGUAACUAGAAAAUUAACCGAUAAAUUAAUUUGUUAAUAUUUUUUAUGAUAAUUUUUUAAUCAAUAAAAAAGGUAAUUAAAAAUGUAAUUAAUAAAUUAAUUAUUAGCAAAUUAAAAAAUAAAUUUACCAUAAAACAAUUGAUAUUUUUCAUUCUCUUAAAACAAUCUUACUAAUUAUUAUUUAUAAAUUAAUUAAUACAAGUUAAUUUAAAGUAAUGUUUAAUAUUCUUGCAACUACCUUACUAAUAAUUUUUUUGUAAAAAAUUAAAUUAUUAAAUUAAUCCUAAAGGUAAAAUAAUAAUAAUUAAUUUGUAUUUUACUUUUAAAGUUAAUUUGAUAAAUUCAAAUUUUUUUAAUUAAUAUCUCCAAAAAUAUAGUUGCAAAUAUAUUAUUAAAAAAUUAAAAAAAAAAAGUAAAUAUAGGAUUAUAAUAGAACUGCCAGUAAAAAUAAUUUGAGAUAUUUUUUAAGAACUAAAAACUAAAUAAACAUUCAUCUUCUAACAUUUCAACCUACUGGCUAAUGGUCAUACAAUCGUGGUGUGGCCCGGGAUGCCCGGCCCAGCCCAUUGUGUAAAAUGCCAUGUCACCCAUACAAUCGCGGUCAUUCAACAGUUUUCUCCUUCACAGCGACAGCUGCAAUGUCUUCAACUUCCAAAAAGGUAUAUAUAUUUUUUUAAAUUUUAACUUUUGUUUAGUUUCUUUCUGUUGCCUUUUUGUUUCGUUUUUUGAAUUUUCUGUGUCGUUUUUCCCCCCCAAGGUUUUGGUGCCUGUUGCGAACGGGAGUGAGCCGAUUGAGGCCGUGAUAACGAUCGAUGUUUUGAGAAGGUCUGGAGCUGACGUCACGGUUGCGUCUGUGGAGAAACAGCUUCGUGUCGACGCGUGUCAUGGUGUCAAGAUUGUCGCUGAUUCUCUCGUGUCUGACUGCCGCGACGCCGUUUUUGAUCUUAUAGCUCUUCCCGUAUGUAUUGCAGCUCACCUCAGCGCAUGCCAAUUUAUGUGAUUUUUGUAUAAUUAUAGAUGAUUACUGCUGAUACUGAAUGUUAAGCUAAAUAAUUCGUUGUUAAGUCAUCUUCAUUUAAUUUUCGAUUGAAAAUGAAAAAAAUAGUAAUUUUAAGCAAAGAAAAAUGUAGAAAAUGUUUAUUUUGUUUUAUUUUUAUUUUUUAAUUUUUUGGGAUUUCCUUAUUGUGGCUGUUAUCAUUCAUUAUAUGGUCCUAGUUAAAUGUUUCAAGUUGUUGUAGUCAGUGAAAUUCUUUUCGAUAUUUAUUCUGGCAUGUAUAUUUUUCCUUUUCAAUUUCUUUUGUUGCUGAUUCUUUGAUUAUGUUAUAUCCUUUUUGUUUCCCUUGUAGGGUGGCAUGCCCGGUGCUACCAAUCUGAAAGAAUCUGAAGUAUUAGAAAGCAUUGUGAAGAAGCAGGCUUCAGAUGGGCAUCUUAAUGCUGCUAUCUGUGCUUCACCUGCUGUGGUGUUAGGGUCUUGGGGUCUGUUGAAGGGAUUGAAGGUAAGAAUUACAUAAACCUUUUUGAUGUUUUGUGGUCUUUUGGGAAUUGCACUGAUAUUUUUGUUAUAGUUCAGUUUUCUUCUCGCUGAUGAUUGUUAAGUUCUAAUUUAUGUAGUUGUUCAUUUUUCGUAGGCUACUUGUUAUCCGUCAUUUCUGGAGCAAUUAGCUCCUGCUUGUGCAGCAAACUGUUGAAUCAAGAGUACAGCAGGAUGGUAAAGUUGUUACGAGUCGUGGACCGGGCACUACCAUGGAGUUUGCCGUUGCACUUGUUGAGCAGUUGUAUGGGAAAGAGAAAGCUGAUGAAGUUUCUGGGCCACUGGUAUUAACUUUUAUAGACAACGUUGUUUAAAAAAAUUAUGAGUUAUAUAAUUUGUGGAAGCUUCAGAUGCUAAUGAAUCCUGAAAUAUGCAUUUGUUGAGCUUCAAUGUCUCCAUUGAUAAAAUUCUUUUUAAUGUAAGUUCUUUCUCUUGGUAUUUGUAUUUGAAUUUUCUGUUCCUCAUGCUUUCGUCUUUACUGUCACCUUGUGCCUAGGUAAUGCGUGCAAAUCAUGGAGAUGAAUACACUAUUGCUGAGUUCAAUCCAAUUCAGUGGACAUUUGACAAUUCUCCUCAGGUGAGAUUGGACUGUUAGUUUCUUUUAUUUGUUUUUCUUCUUCCAUGUUUUGAGGGAUACCCAUUUGGCAGUAAAUAAAAAUCUGUGAUAACUUCUAUACAUGUACAUAUACAUCAUUGACUUCACUCAUUUGUGAACAUAUUGGAGGUGGUAGAUUUAUUGUUAUGAUAUGUCUAAUAAAAUCCAAAGUUCAAUGCAACUACAAAAGAAGUAUGAGCAGUGCUCGACCAGAGAGGAAAAAGAAGGUUUUUUUCUUUUUUUUUUGGGGGGGGUGGGGUUGGUUGGGUGGCAAAGGGAAUGAUAGGGUUGAAAGUUCAGGGUAUCGACAAGCUGUAAAAUGGCUAUUGACAAACUGAUAUUUCACAUUAGAGAAUGUGAGGUCCUGAAGAUUGCUGACUUGUGGUCAAAAUGGAAUUCUUGAUAACUUUAAAUGUUAAAAAUUCUUGGUGAAAAUUUUGUACUUUUUUUAAUUUCAGAUUCUUGUGCCUAUUGCGAAUGGUUCAGAGGAGAUGGAAGCUGUUAUAAUAAUUGAUAUUCUGCGCAAAUGUUGUGGUUGCGUCAGUUGAGGAUAAACUAGAAAUUCUGGCUUCUCGUCAAGUUAAAUUAGUGGCAGAUAUGCUUAUUGAUGAGGCAGCUAAACUUUCGUAUGAUUUGAUUGUCUUGCCAGUAAGUGGGGUUGCUAACUCUUGCCUCAUAGUCUUUACCAAAUUAUUGACUUACUAACUACAAUCUAUCUAUGCACAGGGUGGACUUGGUGGUGCUCAAGCAUUUGCGAAGUCAGAAAAAUUGGUAAAUAUGCUAAAGAAGCAAAAGGAAUCAAAUAGACCUUACGGUGCUAUAUGUGCAUCCCCAGCACUAGUGUUGGAGCCCCAUGGCUUACUCAAGGUAUGACUAUUUCUGCUUAAAUAUUUACUCUUGAUUUGAAUCACCUAAUCUGAACUUGAUAAAACAUUGUGAUCCUGUGUGAUUUUAUGAACGUGGUCUUAUCUCAUGUAAGUCUGUAAUGAAUUUAUUGAAGUUUGCUGACAAAUUACAAACUCAAAAACUGCUGCUGCUUCAUUAGUUACAGUACCCAAGGAGUUAUGACAGACAUCCCAAACUUUUUACCCCAAAUUCCCUCUCAAAUGACAUGGUAGUUAUUAAGUGGUUGGCAAUUUUUUAUAAGAUAUAACUGAAUUAAUUAUAUUAUUUAAUCAACCAAUUGAUGAAUGUCACGCCAUUUGAGAUGAAUUUUUGGGAUGUGUAGCAAAACUUUAUGCUGAUUUGUUUUGGCUACAUUCAUGUAAAACCUUUUUCCCCAAAUCCCAAGAACUUCCCGCAAUAUCAUUCCUUUGUAUUUGUUUUCCCCUUUAGACAUGUUUAACUUUGGUUCAGGGUAAAAAAGCUACGGCUUUUCCUGCCAUGUGCAACAAGCUAUCAGAUCAAAGUGAAAUCGAAAACAGGGUUGUGGUUGAUGGUAACCUUAUCACCAGCAGAGGGCCUGGAACUUCCAUGGAGUUUGCACUGGCAAUUGUGGAGAAGUUUUUUGGCCGCAACAAAGCUCUUGAGCUUGCAAAGAUAUUGCUUCUCUCCUGCACCUAAAAUUUGUACCAGGACCUGACUACUAUCAAACUAGAGUAUUUAUUCCUGUAUUACUACUGCUUGUAGAGAGGCAAAAUGGAAACUUGAAUUCGUGUUUGAAUAUGGAUUCACUGUGCGGGUUUGUACAAGAGCUUGUUUAUAAAUAAAUGAGUUCAUAAAGAGUCAUUUUAAAUAUUUGGAAUAAACGUGAGUUGCUGUUUAGUUCUGUUUUCAAUGUUCACCGUUCAAUUGUGAUCCAGAGCAAUAUAACUACACUCACUGGGAAUUUUAAUUAUGAACCAAGAGCGAAGUUGAACCGAGAAUUUGAUACUUUAUAUAUUCCAGUUACCAUAUUUAAGAAAGAGUAUUGAAAAGAAAGACGCUAACAGAGAAUAUUGAAGUUAAACACAUACCAUAUCUAGUAUUAAGUCUGUAUGCCAAAGUUACAAAUUCGAAGAUCAUAUUUCUCAUUUCAAUUUAUGUUCUGCUCAAAACAAUGGCUCUUAUUCCACAAGCACAAACAAGAAAGAGUACGCACAAAGUUAACAGAGACACGCAGUGAAAAUUACGUUAUUUGGUUGCAGCAGCAUCAUCCAGGAACUUCACUUUAAUCUUCUUGAGCUUUGCUGCAGCGUCUGUCAUAUUUAUCCUCAUGUCGGGUGACUCCAUACAACAAUCCAAUGCCAAAUCCAUUAUGCUUAAUAUACAAUCCAUUUUGGCAGAAAAAGCUUGCUCUUCUCGCACCAAAUUUGCGUCAACAACUUCAGUCAAUCCGUGAGGUAAAGACUCCUUUACCCAUUUCCUUAAACUCAUUUCUCCUGUGAACAUUUCAUCUGUGGGCCUCUUUCUCGUGAAGGUUUCCAUCAAUAAAACACCAUAGCUGUAGACAUCACAUUUAGCUGAAACAAUUCCUUCUGAUCCAUACUCUGCAUUUUUUAAUUUUAAUUAUGAAACAAAUGAUAAAACAAAUAAUUUUUUGAUAAUUAAGGUAACCCAAACUUUGCUCGUGCUUGAAAAUAGAGCAAAAAUUUUAAUUACAAUUGAAACUUUACCUGGUGCCAUAUAACCAAUUGUAGCCAUUGUCAUGGUUUGUGUUACAGAAUCUUCUCCUUCACCUAGGAGUUUGGAAAUGCCAAAGUCGCUCACAUGUGCCGCCAUAUUUUCAUCCAAGAGAAUGUUGGUAGGCUUCAAAUCACAAUGAAUUAUAGGUGCCGACGAAUGACCAUGAUGGAGAUAUUCAAGAGCCGACCCCACAUCUAUCAUUAUGUUCAACCUCUCUAGGAUGUCUAAGAAAUAGUUGUGAGAAUAUAACCAUUUCUCGAGACUACCAUUCGGCAUGAACUCAAGUACUAAUGCUUUAAAAUCUGGAUUAGAACAACUGCUAAGGAUCUUUAUGAGAUUUCGAUGACGAACAUUCCGUAAAACUUCACAUUCAGAAUCAAAACUCCUAAAUGCUCUCUCUAGUUGCAGAUUGAAAAUCUUUAUUGCAACAUCAGUCCCGUCGGAAAUGGUUCCUUUAUAAACUGAUCCAAAACUACCUGUACCCAGCAAGUUACAUUCAUUAAAUUCAUCAGUUGCUCGUUGAAUGUCUAGAUACGAUGUUCUUCUCCAUGUUGCAAGUGGUAGGAAAUCUUCGUGAUCCAAAUGCUUUGUACUCCUAUUUCGGCAUCUUUUGUACAUAAUGAUGGUAAUCACUAAAAGUACAGAGCAUACUAUUGGAGGCAAAAUAUAUUUAAGGACAGUUAGAGCAACGUUCUUGGUGCUUUUGCUGUUAUCUGGCUUGCAAGGUGGGACUCGGAGUUUAGGUGGACCACAGAGUGCAUAAUUUCCGAAAAAUGAUUCAGCUGAGAAGUUUUUAAAAGACCCUUUGACAGGAAUUUCCCCUUCUAGUCUAUUAUGAGACACAUUAAAUUGUUUGAGCUGUGAAAGUGUCUCCAAUGACUUAGGAAUUUUUCCAGAGAGAUUGUUGCCGGAGAGAUCUAAGGAUUCUAAGCUUAUCAAACUGCCAACUGAUUCAGGGAUAGGUCCUUGAAAUUGAUUACGAGCCAAGGAUAGAGUUUCUAGAUCUUUGAGGGCACCAAUGGUUGAUGGAAUAUCACCUGAUAAUUGAUUCCUUGAUAAAUCUAAAACUGUCAGGACCUUUAACUUUUGUACAUUGGAAGGGAGAGAAUCAUUUAAUGAAUUUGACGACAAGUUUAUAUCUAAGAUGUACUCAAGGCUCCACAAGGAUGACGGUAUACUAGAAGUGAGCUUGUUGGAGCCUAAGUGGAGUUCUCUUAGAGAUGUCAGACUCACCAAGCAUGGUGGUAUAUGUCCAGAGAGCUUAUUUCCAGUUAACCUUAUUCCAAACAUCAGCUUCAAGUGGCAAAGAUCAUAAGGAAUGGAUCCUUCUAAAUUAUUAUUUCUCAGAGAUAAACCUUGUAGCCACUUAAGUCUUCCCAUCGUUGGUGAAAUAGUUCCAUUCAAGUCGUUGCUGUGGAGGCUCAAAAGUGUCAAGCCGCUUAAAUUGCCAAUUUCUUGAGGAAUGUUGCCCUUGAGUUUGCACUCGUAUGCAUAGAAUUUUUGAAGAGAAGCAGAGAAAUUCCCAAUUACUGGUGGAAGGAUGCCGCCUAAUGGAUUAGAACCGAAGGAUAAAAUUGUUAAAUUUCUGCAAUUAGUCAAAGAAGAGAGAAAACUCCAUUGAUCUGCUGAAGAUGAUUCUGUCGUCAAGUUAUUCAUCACUAGGCUGAGCAGGCUGAGGUGUCUCAAGUUUCCAAAUGUAUUUAGAAUAUGGCCCGAGAAUGAGUUGAAGCCCAAGUCUAGGGCAACGAGUUUAGUAGCAUUGGUAAUAGAGUGGGGAAUUAUCCCUGUAAGAUUAUUGGCCGCCAACAGUAAAGACUCUAUGUUCGGAAGCAAGUGGCCAACCGUUGACGGUAAGCGGCCUGAGAGUUGAUUGCCCUCUAGAGUAAGGAUUCUCAUGGUUGAAAUGUUGAAGAUCGUGGGUGGAACGAGGCCACUUAAAUUGUUCUCAGCAAAAACAAGAUACUGCAAAUUUUGUAGAUUGCCAAUCUCGGUUGGAAUUUGACCUGCCAUCAGGCCAACAUUGAGAAGUCAUUGAGCUUUUAACUUAAGGUGAAUUGAGUUCGACAAUGUUACCCCUCAAAAUGUAAAAUGAUCAAAUUAAAUUUAUUACACUAUAAUUUCGGCCAAUAAUGUUCUUUAAAAUAUUUCAUAGAUAAUUCUGCAAAAUAUGCAUGCAAAUGGAAAAAUAUGCUUCAAUUACAAGAGGAGGUGGAGCGUACCUCGAAGAUUGCUGAAGCUAAGAUCCAGAUACACGAGUUUACUCAAAUUUCCAAUCCUUGAAGGAAUAUUUCCACCAAUAGUAUUGAACUCUGCACGCAGCGUCUCUAGCCUUGAUAAGUUGAAGAGAGAAUUAGGGAUGGGACCUGUGAAACUGUUAUUAUAAAGUCUCAAUAUUCGGAGUUUAGAUAAGACACCAAUCCAUGAUGGAAAGCUUCCGCUCAAUUUAUUGUAAGCGAAACUCACGACUCUGAGUCGACGUAAUUGCCCCAAUUCUUUCGGCAGAUGGCCAUGAAAAUUGUUCUCACUAAUGUCAAGAGACACUAGAAAUGAGAGAUUUCCCAAGUGUAGUGGAAUGGUGCCUCCGAGACCCAUAUCUGAAAGAUUCAAGGCAGUGACUCUUUGAUGGCGUGAACCACAAGAGAUACCAGCCCAGCUACAUGUUGGAUAAGAUAUAGACCAAUUAUUUGCCAGGGCACUCCGAUAAUCAAAAACGUGGGCUUUGAAUGCCAGAAGAGCUGAUUGAUCUGUUGUUAAAUCGUUUAAAGUGGUCACAGCUAAGCUAGCAAUGAGAUACUGUAACACUAACACCGACAUAGGAACAAAGAAAAAUGAUAAGCGCAUAGUGGUCGUUUUUAGUAGUAGUUGCAAGGCGAGAUUGAUACAAGUUUUAAGUGAAGGAAAUUAGCAUAUACUUAUACAUGAGACAUGUGAAUUUGAAAAUAAGAGCAGAAAAAAUAUACAGGAGACUUGCAAAUUGUUAUAUUCUGUCAUUGAGCGAGCCGUCCAAGUAAACGCAUUUACACUUGAACCCUAAAUAAAGGCCUUAUGGCACUUUAAUUGCCAAGAGGAAGAAGAUGCUCAACGUUGCCAAAAGUGUUUUUCUUGAAGUCUCAUCUUCCGUAAUGUUUGUAAAAUCAAGGUUUUACCAUCUCUAAUUAAAUAUUUACUCUUGAUUUGGACCACAUAAUCUGAACUUGACAAAAGAUUAUAAUCUUAUGUGAUUUUAUGAAUGUGGUCUUAUCUCUUAUAAGUCAACAAUGAAUUAAUUAAAGCUUGCUGACAAAUUACAAGCUCAAAAAUAUCUUUUACUUAUUCACAAUCUUAUUUCAUUUUUUAUAACAUAAUAUUAAAAAUUUGUCUAUUAAAUUAAUUUAAUAAUUUUUUAAUAAAAAAUCUCAUUGACGACCAAACAACUAAUUAUUUUUUUAUAAAAGCUCUACUUGUUAAAAUUAUGCUGAAAAAAACUCUACUUAAGUAAGUUCUAUUUGAAAAGUUAUACUAAGCAUAACCUUAUUUCUUAUUAGCUUAAUUGCUUCCACCACUCCUACAUUUUUUUAACCAUGUGGAUUCCUUCAAUCUCAUAAUCAAAGGUGCUUUAACCCAUAUUAUUUCUUUAUUUUUUAAAAUUAUUAUUGGAAAAGUGGCGUGGCUUAUCAAAAAAGGAAAAAAAAAGCCAAAGUGACGAGUGGCUCGUUUUUUAAUUUCAAAGUCAAUGCAAAGUAAAAGUACCGAAAUAAUCAGUUUUUAAAUCCAAAUAAGUGGCAAUAAAGAGAGGUCUUGUUAGGGGUGUUCGCGGAUCGAAUUUUAUGGAUUGGACAUCAAUCCAUAUCCGAUCCACGAUUUUACGGAUUAUAAAUUUUCAAUCCAAUUCAAUCCACGGAUUUGUAAAAUUUAAUCCAUAUCCAAUCCACCAUUUUGCGGAUUGGUUUGUGGACUAAAAAUUUUUAAUUCUAUCAAAUCCACGAACUAACUAAAUAAAAAAAUUUAAUAUAAAAAUAAUUUUACUAUGGAUCAAAUUUAAAAUUAAAUAAGAUUUAAAUAAAUAAAUUGCUUAAAUAAAGCUAGAAAAUACAUUUAAAGUUUCAAAAUAUGACACACCAAAAUGAAAAAAAUAUCAUUUGUUUAUCAAGGAAAUUAACUAUUUAGUAAACUAUAUUUGUUUAUUUAAUUAUUUUUUAUUUUAUAUUAUUAUCGGAUAUGAUAUAAUAUAAUGUUAAUGUAACUAUAUUUUAACUUAUUUAUUUACUAGUAAGUACUAAUAACAUAUUUACAAGUUUUAUUUUUAAUUAAAUAAAUAUUUUUUUUUUACGGAUUCGCGGAUUUACAGAAGUAGAUCUAUAUCCAAUCCACUGAUUGCGGAUUAUCAAAUUUUCAAUUCAAUCCAAUCCACCAAUCCAUGGAUCAAACGGAUUGAGCGGAUCGAAUUAAAUUAUGAACACCCUUAGGUUUUGGUGUCCAUUGUUGAAAACUUGGAAGUCUAUAUGACCAUUUAACCAAACUAAAGGGGUAUAACUGUCACAAAUUUUUAAAAAUAAAUUUUACCAAACAUUUAAAUGAUUUUUUUUCACAAUUGAUUAUUAAUUUCUAAGUGUUAGAUUAUUGUAAGAAUACAAAUAAUUGACAUGGACAUAAUAUUAAAUAAAAUUUACUUAUAUAUUUAUAUACAUGUAUAUAUAUAUAUAUAUAUAUAUAUAUAUAUAUAUAUAUAUAUAUAUUAUUGUUUGUAUAUAAAAAUUGCUAACUAAAAAAUAUUUAUAUUUUAUCAAUUUUAUUUCUUUUAUUGUUUAUCUCAAGAUAAAUGUAAUAAUAAUAAUCUCUCUAAAUUUAAUUAUUUUUACUCUUUAUUGAAUAAGGAUAAUUUUGAGUUUCUGUAAUAUAUGUGAGAAUAUAUAUAAAAUUAUAUUAAAUAUAAAACCAUUCUCAAAAUUAAAUUUUAAAAAACUAUUCCUUUCUCACUUUUCAUUAGGCAAAUGGCCACAGAAAUUGUUCUCCUUCAUAUCCAAAUAAACUAAAAACGAGAGAUUUCGUAAGUGUGGAGGGAUGAUGCCUUCGAAACCCAUCACUGAAAGAUUCAAGAUUGUGACUGUUAUGGUAUGAGCAUCACAACAUAUGCCAAUUCGACUGCAUAUUGAGUAAGACAUGGACCAAUUAUUCAAGAGAUUCAUGAGCCUUCGAAGUGAGAAAUAAAGCAAAUUAGGUGGUGGCGGGUCAAUUGACUACGUUUCGUGAUCUACGUGCGAUUGCAACAGUCGGUUCAUUAAGUGAAAUUAAUGACUCGUCCACUAUAGUAAGAUACUGUCCUCAUUAGGAUGGUUCUGGGUCAAUUUUAUCCAUGAGUCAACUUACAGUAAAUUGAAUUAAUUUCUAAGAGUAUCUCAUUUGCGUUGAUUACGGGUUGUGAUCGAUGACAUGCAUGAAAAGUAGUUAAUUUACAGCUUAUUCACUAUAUAUAUGGGGUCUAUGGGUGGAUUGAUCUAACGUAAAUUAAGGGCUGAUUGUUUCUAACAAGCAUAGUUACAUGUAAAUUAAGGGGAUGAUUGAAAGAAAGUCAAAUUAAACCAAAAAUUAAGGGCUGAUUGUUUCAAACGUAAAUUGAUUUAUCUUCUAACGACGACCCACGAAGACGACCUUGACUUACAUGUAAACACACAAUUCGCACUCAUACAUUAUGUUUUAAAAUUUCUCUAUUUUCCGGGGCCCCGCUGUCGACCGUACACAGUUUAAUUUGUAUAUACAAGACCUCAUUGUUUCUAACAAGCAUAGAGUCAUAGACCAUAUUAAUUCCAAUUACAUAAAUCUUCAUUUUUAUCAUGAUUUUGGAUCUCGAGCAGCGUGGAUAUAUCCAACCAGAUCCGCCUCACUGGCAUUCCAAUAUAUUUUAGAAUUGAGUAAUGAGAAUCAAUAAACGUGUAAUUGUAAAUCUAUAACUUUAAUUCUAAUUUGAGGACUCAAAUGAAUUAAUCCAGCAGUACCUCGUUAAAUUAAUAUUCCAUAAAUUUUUAACGUUAAUUAAAUAAUAAAUUUUGUCCGUCCCAACUUAAGAUUAACGUGGUAAUUAAUAAUUUGAUAAAUUAUUAGAUAAUAAUUUAAAAAAAAAUCUUUUUUUUAUUGGAUCCAACUGAUAUAUAAAUUAAUAAUUAAUUAAUUUUAAAACUAAAUUCAUGUUAUGUCAAUCAAAUGUUAUUGCAAAGAAGACUAGUAGUGACGCUUUGAAGGUACACCAAAGCCUUUUGCACCUUCUCCUCCGUGACCACCAAUAGAUACUUCCACCAUUUCAACGUCAUGACAAGAUGUAAGUUUCUUUUGUAGAAUUUGUGAAUUGGUGCUGGCAAAAGUUCAUGAUACAUGCGACUAGCCAACCCGUGUCGAGUCCGCUUGACUCUCAAAUUUUUGUCACUCUCACUCUGUUCAAAGGUAUGUGAAAGCUAAUUUUAAUGAAUUUUGAAUUGAGUGUUAGAUAUUUUGGGCUUAUCAAAACUUGAUUAUAUAUAUAUUUUUAAUGAGUUUUAGAUUCAGUGUUAGAUAUUUUGGGACUUUUCUUUAAGUAAUCUUUUACACGCAUACAUUUAUAUUAUUGUAUGGUUAUAGAUUCAAUUACUUUUAUGAUGCUUUGCUAAACUAGAAUUGAAAUAGAUGUGAAUGAUAUGGUUAAUUUUAUCACUUUCACUUUUUUUCAAAAACAUGAUAAAGCUAAUCUUCAAUGAAUUUUAGGGCUUAUUUUUAGGCGAAAACUACUUUGUAUCAUGGGUUUCGUACCCCACUCAUUUGUCAUUUACCAAAGUCACCAUCGGAUUUCAUCUUAUGGCUGAAAAAGAAACACAUAGAGAAAUAGGACUGAUUAAAGAAACAAGUAAUGGGCCGGUCACCUGGAUUGGUAAUUUUUUUUUUCGAUUUUCUGUGGGAGGGCAGAAACCACUGCACCGUACCUGGAUUGGCAAUUGAGCAUAGGGAAAAUAACAGAAGUAACGUAAAAAUUUAUGAAUUAUUGGCUACUUCCAGCAAAAAUCUAAGAAACCUGUAAUUUUUUAUCAAGCAAAUAAAUUAAUGGCAACAACAGCGGUUAAUCGAUGCGGCGACGACAAUGGCUACUUCUGGCAAUAGCGGUCUCUUUAAUUUGAGUUAGUUCGCUGAGUUUAUGUCCAAAUUCUUAAAUGGAUAAUCGAUUUAUUGUUUUAGUACUAAUUGUUGAUGAUUAUAGGUUAGAUCUUGUUGAGCGAUUAGUUUUUUAACAUUAGGCUUGAAUUGGGAAUGAGAAUUGAUAAAAUGCUUAUGGAAAUAAGUUUGUGUAGCCUCAAAGAAUACAAUUUGUGUUUAGCCUUAAUUUUGCUAUUAUUUUACUUGAAUGAAUAUCUAAGAAGGUUGCAACUGGUAUUGUCGCUAGAAUAUAGGCAAUGGUAUGGUGCUAUGGGUGAUUAUGAGCGAAAGGUUUUUGUUAGGCUAAUCUUAUAAGUGAAAACAUUGUUUUUUUCAAACAAAACCCAGAUUAAGAAGAUUCAAUACUUCAUCAUAGCUUUCAGAAAACAGCAUCAAGAAAAUAAUGCCGAGAACCAUCACCUAUAAACUUCAUCCGUCGAAAAGAUCGUAGAUGAUGUUACACGUACAAACCUUUUUUUUUUUUUUCGAUUUACAAGCGCUACGCCUUCAGUCGGUUACCCGUUUUCCAAAUGUUAAAUCUCAUCUGUUAGAUACCUUUCUUCACAAAUCUAACGGCUCAUUCGCUAUGAGACAAAAGAUUGAGGUACCAAACCCAUGACGUAAGAUAGCUGGAUCCUUAUUUUUAAGUAAUCUUUUACAAUGCAUGCAUGCAUUUAUGCAAUCAUAUGAUUAUAUAUUCAAUUACUUUUAAAGUAGAAAAAAUUACUCUCUUAAAAGUAAGAGCGGGGCAGGUAUUGCAAUUUGUAGCAGUUAAUUCUUGGAUGAAAUUUACUAAAGUAUAGUCUUGUAAAAGAACUAGUUUUCUUAAACUGUAAAUCUCGUUUAUGAUUGGGAGAUUUUGAUAAAAAUUAAUAUGAUAAUUUUGAGCCUGCAAUUUGUCAGCAAACUUUGAUUAAUUCAUUACUAACUUAUAAGAGAUAAGACCACAUUCAUAAAAUCACAUGAGUUCAUAAUCUUACGUCAACUUUAGAUUAUGUGGUCCAAAUCAAGAGUAAAUAUUUAAUCAGAGAUGGUAAAACCUUGAUUUUACAAACAUACCGAAGAUGAAACUUCAAGACAAACAUGAGACUUCCUAUGUAGAUUGUUUUCCCCAAAGACGUGUUUAACUUUAGUUUAGGGUAUCAAAGCUACAGCUUUUUCGGCCGUGUGCAGCUAGCGAAGAAAGUGAAAUUGCAAAGAAUACGAUCGAUUACUGAUACGAAAUUGUAAAAAUUGAUAAAUUUUAGAGAAAUAAAGCUCCUAAUAAUUAGAAUAUUAUUUAUAAGUCUUAAUAAAUAAAACUAGAAUUUGGUUCUUUUUGCACCAACUCUAAAUAUCGUGAAUUUAUUAAAAUAGGAAAAUCAAAACUAUUUUUUUGUAGUAAAAUUCUCUAGUCUAAAUAAGCAAAAUUAUGAUGUCUAAAAAAAUAAAAGUAAAAAUCCUGACAACAAUAAAGAAAAAGCAAAAUAACUUAAAAUUACAAAAUGAUCAAGAAAGAAACGGAACUUUUGCCUCAAACACCGGGUAGAACAGCUUUAACAAUUUUUCCAUCUUGGUUUGUCUUAUCACAAACUUCGAAAAGAUGUAUUAUAUGCUCCUAGAAAGUACCAUGCUCAUUCUAUGUAACUACCCUACAUCAAUUAUUGUCGGUUUGUGGUGUAUUAAGACUUUUCUGCGGACAGGCCGUCCAUGAAUAGAGUGAUAGAAAUGUUAUUGCAAAGAAACAGACUACAAACAUUCCAAAAGCAGUUUGUUGAAGAAUUUGAAGAAUAAAACACAAAUUUUAUUCAAGAAAACUUAAGAACAUUACAAGAACAAUUCACAUACUCUCACAAAUCACUCUUUGAAGCAAUGUUUUGCUUCUUAUUCUUUCUUCUUCUUACACUUGAUGCAUACAAAACAAAUGGUAUAGGUAUUUAUAGUGAAUGAAAUACAAACAUAACCAUAACAAUACAUAUCACUUAACAUGUUCCACCAAGCUUUCAUUAUAACACCAAACAUGUUCCAGUCACCCAACAUGCUCUAAAGGAAUCCUUUAAUGGCAUCCAAAGUGAAAAGGUAAUCUCUACUCAAUUAGAUGCUUCAUGGACAUCACAUUGUAGGACCAUGAUGAUGAAGCAUGAUGAAGAGCCAUGUGCAACUCAUCACCUCAUGCCACUUAAAUGAAUUAUUUGUGUAAAACAAGUUUAUUGUUUUCAACACAAUAGAGUAUAGAGUCCGUUUGACUCAUAAAAUUUUGUCACUUUCACUCUUUUCAAAAGCACAGGAAAGCUUAUCAAAAGGAACACCAAUCUUUAUAGAAUUUUGGAUGGACGAUCACUCUUUUCAAAAGGACCACCAAUCUUUAAUGAAUCUUGGAUUCAGUGUUGAUAUUUUGGGCUUAUCAAAGCUAGAGUCCAUUUGACUCAUAAAUUUUCGUCACUUCCACUCUUUUCAAAAGCAUGUUAAAGCUAACCUUCAGUGAAUUUUUAAUUCAGUGUGGAUAUUUUGCGCUUAAGUAAUCUGUGCAUUUAUAUAAUUAUACGGUUAUAGAUUCAAUUACUACUACUCUUGAAAGUGAAAGCAGGGCAGGCAUUGUAAUGCAGCUGCUAUUAGUAGCAAUUAAUUCUUGGAUGAAACUUACUAAGGGAUAGUCUUGUGAAAGAACUUAGUUUUCUUAAAUUGUAAAUGGUCCGGUUUAUGAUUUGGAGAUUUUGAUCAAAUCUGAAAGAAAGCUUGAAAAAUAUAUUGAAACUAUAAUGAAAUUUUAUGUUUGAUUCAUAUUACAAAUGUGGAUAUUGGGUUGAAGUUGCUAGCUUUGAAGAUAGUAUAGAAGAAGAUCAGAGUUUAUAUAAAUUGAGAUUCUUUUUUGCAGUUAGAUUUUUAUUUAACAAAUAUUGUUUGUGUUAUUGUUAAGAGGAAAAAUAUAAAUAAAUGAAUCUAUUAUUGUUAAGAGGAAAAAUAUAAAUAAAUGAAUCUAACUUUAUAAUGUUAUAGUUCCCAUGUGUCAUAAUCAUAUUAAAAGGUUUGGAAAAAUUAGAUUAGAAGAGGAUCCAAUCCCUCCUCGAAUACCACUAAUAGAGUUCGUUUCACUCAUAAAUUUUUGUCGCUUUCACUCUUUUCAAAAGUGCGUGAAAGCUAGAUCAUAGAAUUUUAGAUGGACGAUCACUCUUUUCCAAAGGACUACCAGUCUUUAAUGAAUUUUGGAUUCGGUGUUGAUAUUUUAGGCUUAUCAAAGUUAGACUAUAGAUGUUUUUUAAAGAAUUUUAAAUUCUAUGUCGAUAUCUUGAGCUUAUCUUCAACUAAUUUUUUAUCACUCGUGCAUCUAUGUCAUUGUACGGUUAUAGAUUACUUUUAAAGUAGAAAAAUUACUUCUCUUAAAAGUGAAAGCGGGGAAGGUACUGCAAUGCAGCCGCUAUUUGUAGUAGUUAAUUCUUGGAUGAAAUUUACUAAAGUAUAGUCUUGUGAAAGAAGUAGUUUUUCCUAAAUUGUAAAUGGUUCCGUUUAUGAUUGGGAGAUUUCGAUCAAAAUGAAUAUGAUAAAUUCUUUGCAAGUGUUUUCCCUUGAAGUCUCAUCUUUCAUAAAGUUUGUAAAAUCAGUUACCAUCUCUGAAUAAAUAUUUACUCUUGAUUUAGACCACCUAAUCUGAACUUAAUGAAAGAUUAUGAUUUUGUGUGAUUUUAUGAAUGCGGUCCUAUCUCAUGUAAGUCAGUAAUGAAUUAAUUAAAGUUAAAAGACAAAUUACUCAAAAGCUGCUGCUGCUUCAUUAUUCACAUUAUCCAAAUUCAGUGCAGAACUUACAUAAGUUUUCCAAAAAUUUUAUGCUUUAUUUUGGUUUCAUUCACGUGAAGGGUAAUUUUCAGUUUCAUUCCCUGAGGUUUGGAGUCCCUUCACUUAGAUAGAAUGUAUAAGGGUAUCUAUACUUUGCACCCCUACCGUUAGUGUAAAGUUUAGUUGACUGUUAAUUGACUGAGUAAAUGACUAAAAUACCCUUGCGUCAGUACACAAUAUUUUAAAUAUGCACCGGUCACUAGAUCAUUCAUAAAUUUGGCGCCAAAUUAUAUCAAGAUCUCAGUAAAAUCCAUGACAAAUAUAUUUAUCAUUUGUUGUAUCAGCACCCAAGGAAAAAAAAAAGAAUUCAUCUCUGCCAAUAUUACUGUUGAUUCAAACGGCUAUAUUGGCAGAGGUAAUGACUAUAAAUUCAUCUCAUCUCAAGAUAGUAUUAAGAACCAAUUUGGUGUGCAAUUUCAACACAACUCACUUUGGCAAUAUUUAGAAGCAAUUCUAUGUGCAUUUUCAGCACAAAGAACAGCUAAGAACACAGCUCGUUCAUAGCAGUUUGCAGUAGCAAUUUGAUGUUAAAUUUUAGCACAAAAGGAAGCUGAGGAGCACAGCUCAUUCUGGCAUUGCAUAUUUAGUCAACCUAACAACUCAAGCAUAAUUCAUUAACAAAACUUAACUGAGUCAGAUAUUCAGUAACAACACUAUCAUCUUCAAAAUUAGUACAAAAUUCAUUUUUGGAGCCAAAUUUAGCAUUAGUUUUACUUCAUUAAGUUUGUAGAAAAAAAACUCAAGCUCCCAAUUCGAUCUACAGACCAACAUUAUCAUGCUCAGUAAUCUGGACAAUUAAUAAUUACUAAAAAAAAGAACAUCAGGUGCAGACUUUAUUAGUAUAAAUAAAUACAUGCAUUUUCCAUAUUAUUGCUCUAAAUCUUGCCUGAAAUAUCAAUCUUCAACAAGAUGUUAAGUUGUUAACCAACCUAGCAACUAUUUACUCAAUGAACAUUCACAAUUUAGAGAACAAAACAUAUAACCCAAAUAAAAUUAAUCAUGCCAAGUUCUUAAUCCUAGCAGCAGUCAGCCUCCAAAAUUAGUAUCCAACGAAGAAAUAACCAACUAAAACAACAAUUUUUAUCAUCGAUUUUCAUGAUUUGAAAGAAAAAAAAAACACAUGCACCAACUCAACGAACCCACAUCAACAUUAUUGUUCAACUCAGCUCUUUACUUUUAGCUCAUCCCAACACUAUAAAAAGGAGAAAAAAAAUACAACAAACAAGGGAAGUUUUAGUUACCUGGCAUGCGGCACCGUUACAAGUGGGUGGAUUCUUCGUUGUCGCCAGUAUUCGCUCACGGCCCUUGAAUCAGUUUGAACUCUUGCAUAAGUUCCCGUCAAACUUGGUUCUGAUUGCUUUCCCGACAUAUUUUUCGUCACAACAAAGAAUUCGCUUAAUACAUUUCUUAGGAGUAGUAAUGGUGAUAUGAAUUUGCUUUUUCUAUUUGUGAAGUUUUUUUUUAAUACUGUUAUACAAGACUGUAGGUAUUACAAUUAAUAUUUACAAACAGAUUCUAUAAUUGGGACCUUCGUCGUGGCAUGUACUCCUCUGAAGCGCUGCCCAAAUUCUUCAAACCCUCUCAAAUAUUCGAGGGCUGUCCACUCUACUCACAUUUCGUGAGGAAUAGACUGGCUCCACUCAAUUAUUUGAUAAUUGAGGAAGGAUUGUAAAUAAGCCCCAUAAAUGCUUUUAUGGAGGCUCGAACUCUUGCACUCAUUAUUCUAAGUGUAAGGGCUCUCCCACUGGACCAAAGGCCUAUUGGUCUAUUUGUGAAGUUAAAAAUUAAACAAAUCAUUGUUUUCAAUUUGGUGUAAAACCCGUUGAACAUUAACAUGCUUAUGUUAUUACCUAGCAAAUAUUGAUUCUUUUAGAUUUUGGUGUAAGGAAAAUGCUUAACAUCAAGAAUGAUGAGAGAAUGCCGAGAGAAACAACAGCACAAGCUGUCGUUUUAGUUUCUCUCUCUUACCGUUUUAAUAAUUUUUUAUUCUUAAAAAUAUAUUAAAAAAAGGAUAGAAGAUAGCCCAUCACGUGCAUCACUCUCUCACCAUUAUGAGCAUUUUCCUUUACAUCUUUAAAAUGUUUAAGAGAAAAGUAAAAGUAAAAACAUAGGCCUAAGAUUUUGGCUUCCCAUUUUCUAGUGUUUUUUUUUUCAACAAUAAAAAAAAUAGCAAUAUUUAAAUGAAAACAAUAUAUAUGCUCCUAUGAUAUUAAUGACCUUUCUCCAAUUAAAUUCUUUGAAGAACAACUGAAUCGAAUCCCAAUACUAGUUAAAUAGCUUGGACUGGAACCAUACUCUAAAUCUUGAAAGUACGUGAGCUGCUAGGGCUGAGAACCCCCUUGGCUCUUUUUCAGGAGGUUUGAUAGAUGAUCACGACGGAAAAAAAAAAUUGUUCAAGAGUCGUGCACCACUCUCUUUCUCAACAGAAUGCUAAUUUUUUAUUGUUAAAAAUAUUAAAAAAAGGAGAAAAUGAAAGAAUCUGGAGAGAGUUAGGCUGAAGAUAGUGAGGCCGAAGAGACUGAGGAAGCUUGAUGGGGAGCCGCAGAGAGUGAGGAAGCCAGAGAGAGGAUGAAAGUCAAGAGAGUGAGAGAGAGAAAGAGAGUGAUGGAGUGAUGGAGAUUUGGUAGAUGUGGGUUGUCUGCUAUCAUUUUCUCCGCUUUUUUAAUUUUUAAUAAUAAAAAAUUAUUAGAAUGGCGAGAGAGUGAGAAGUCGAAACGGCAGCACAAAGAUGUUGUUUCUCUCGGCAUUCUCUCGCCCUUCUUGAUGUUUAGCACAACUCUUGGUGUAAAACCCAUGUAACACUAACAUGCUUCUAUUAUUACCCAUCGAACAAAACAAUGUUUAUGACAUAUUCCACUUUCCAAAGUGAAAAAAUUCAAAACGUUUUUAAAUAUUUAAUCAAUUUAACGUACAAAUACUUAAAUGCCCUUACAUACUGAAUAUAUAUUAAACUUUAUACUAACGGUAGGGGUGCAAAGUGAAAAUACCCUUAUACAUUCUAUCUAAGUGAAGAAUCCCCAAACCUCAGGGGAUGAAACUGAAAAUUACCCUUCAUGUAAAUUUUUUCCACCCAAAUCCCAAGUACUUCCUGCAAUAUCAUUCCUGUGUAGAUGUUUUCCCCUAAGACAUGUUUAACAUUGGUUCAGGGUAAACAAAGCUACAGCCUUUCUUGCAAUGCGCAACAAGUUACUAAAUCAGAGUAUUUAUUUCUGUAUUACUACUGCUAGUAAGAGAGGCGAAAUGGAAAUAUGAACUCAACUUUGUACAAAGUUUGUUAAUAAAUAAAUGAGUUGAUAAAGGGACAUUUUAAAUAUUUACAACAAAUGGAGAAUGAUAUCUAGUUCUAUAUUCAAUGUUUAGAGUCCAAUUGUGAUCGAUAGUGAUAUAAUUACCCCCAUUAGAAAUUUUAAUUAUGAAGUUGCAGUAAAAAUUUAUUAUAAUAUGUUGCACCUUUCUAUACAAUCAUCUGGAGUAAUAACAUAUCAAAAAAAUAAUAACUCGACUUACAGGGUAAGACAGAAAAGAAAGACGCUAAAAGAGAAGCAGAGAUUCAAAGACUUGACCACUUUGUUGGAGGGACAAUUACGUAAAUCUCCAGAAUACUGAAAUAAAGCACUUGCAAUAUCUAGCAUUACGUGUGUAUAUAUAUGUAUAUGUCCAAAGACAAAAAUUCGAAGAUUAGAUCUCUCAUUUCAUUUUAUGCUCAAAGCAAUGGCUUUUGUUCCACAAGCACAAACAAGGAAGAGUACGCACAAAGUUAACAAACACACAUAGCAAAUAUGACAUUAACAAGUUGCAGCAUCAUCAUCCAGAAACUUCACUCUAAUCGUCUUGAGCUUUGCAGCGGCAUCUUUCACAGAUACCCUCUGUUCUUGUGACUUCAUGCAACAAUCAAACGCCAAAUGCAUGAUGCUUAAUAAACAAUUCAUUUUGGCGGAAAAAGCUUGCUCUUCUCUUACUAAUUUGCAUCAACAGCAUCCGUCAGUGCCUGAGGUAACGAGUCCUUUAUCUAGUCUCCGAAACUUAUUUCUCCAGUAAACAUUUCAUCAGUGGGCGUCUUUCUCGUGAAAGUUUCCAUCAGUAAAACACAAUAACUAUAGAUGUCACAUUUGGCCGAAAUUAUUCCUUCUGAUCCGUACUCUGCAAUUUUUGGUUUCAAUAUAUCAAAUAUGAGAUUAUGAAACAAAUGAUAAACAAAUAAUCUUUUGAUAACCAAGGUGACCCAAACUUUCCCUGUGCUUGGAAAAAGAGCAAAAAUUUGAUACUAUAAUUGAAACCUUACCUGGUGCCAUAUAACCAAUUGUAGCCAUUGUCAUUAUGAAUCUAGAAGAAUCUUAUUUGUUAAUGAAUGAUUCCAGAAUGCACAACUGAGCUUGCAUUGCUCGAUUUAUACUGAUUACAAAACUGAUGAUACAGACAUUUCAUUUCAUAACUAACUACUAACAAAUAUUGCCCUAAGCCUAUUACAAUGUGCCAUCUGUUAAUUCUUCCAACAGUACUAGAAUCUUCACAUAACGACUUGGACACAUCAGCAUAAAGUCUAUUUGUGGAAUGUUCUAUGCUGAAUUUGUGCUAUCAAACGUUGAUGGAGAAACACAAUUUUCUUCUUAGAAAAAAUUAUUAUCUAAAGAUUCACACAUGUUAGAAGAGAUUCGAACAAAGGUUUAUUAGUUCGUGGGAAAAACAAUGUUAAUGAAACGAGGUCUUGGUCUCAUAGAGAUAGAGAAAAACAAUUUGUGCAUUCUCUUUACUCGUGGGAUCUAGUUUCCUUAAUUUUGUCCUCAUUCUUUAUUUUUUUUAUAUGCUGAGGAUACACAAAAACAAUGUAGGCUGAGUUUGAUUGUGAAUAAUCUCUUGUGGAAGGAAAUGACUGUUAAGGAUUAGUUAGAAUAAAACUAUAUUCGGAGGGAGAUGGGGUACUUGGUGGGAUGAAUAGUUUGAUUCUGGGGAAAAUAAAAGACAUAACAUUGAUAGAGGACUAUCAGAUUUCUCCGUCCCAUCUACGCUGAGAUCAAAACAAUUGGCUCCUAUUCCGCAAGCACAAACAAGACAGAGCAGCAAAGUCAGCAACAUUCGGAACGAGUACAAACAGAGGUGGAGGACAUGUCACUCUGCGUUUGCAAUGUCUCCGACGUGUCGUUCUCUAUUAAACGACGUCGAAUAAUAUCAGUGUACGACAAGUGACUAACGGCGGUUAUGGCCGUUAAAUGAGCACGUGAUGGCACGUGAGCAACUAAAUUAUAUUAGCUCAGAAACGUCAAGCUUAGGACCUUUUGAUCAUUACUCAAGUUGCACGCGUGGAGCGCGUGUAAGAAGCAGUUACGGGCCGUUUCUUUUGGCGGGAAAAAAUCUGGGAAACUUGCCCAACAGGCAGAAACAACGGUUAUAUAAAUGCUGAUUAACAACUAUUAUUUUCAGAGGUUGUUAAGAGAGCUCAAAGAGAGUUAGAGAGAGAAAGUCAUCUUGAUUUGUUCUCUAUAAUGCCCUUGAGGCUCUUGUAACCUUGUUCUCUUGAGAUUAGUGAAGCCAUUAACUUGAUCUUGAUCUACUCUAGAUGUAGUCACCUCUGGUGCUGAACUACUAUAAAUAUUUGUAUUCUUUGUUUACUGAUCUAUUAAUUGUUAAUUUCCUUUUCAAAUCAGUGUUUGUGAAUCUUGAGUAUUUCUUGUCCAACAUUGUGGUCUUGGGGUGUUAAUUUGGGAUCGAAUCGCAACACCCAUAAACAUAUCAUCUGUGGGCUUCUUUCUUUCCACCAAUAAAACGCCAUAGCGAUAGACAUCCCCAUCUGGAAGGAAUAAUUCCCUCAAUUCCGUAGUCUGCAUUUUUAUCUUCUUUUAAAUUUCAACAUAUCAAAAAGAGGUCUCUUUAUGAAAUAAAUUGUAAAUAAAUAGCGUUUGGAAUAAAUUUUGCUUGUGUUUAAAAAAAGGGGCAAAGUUCGAAAUAGACUUGAGACAUUACCUGAUGUCGUGUAAACAAUUGUGGCAAUUGUCAAUGUUGUCGCGGUAUCAUCUUAUUAAGUAUGAUUUUAUGAAUGUUGAGCAACCCAGUCUUAUCUCAUGUAAGUCAGUAAUGAAUUAAUUAAAAUUUGCUGACAAGUUACAAACUCAAGAACUGCUGCUGCUUCAUUACCCAAAUUCAGCUCAGAACAUAUCAUAAGUUUUCCAAAAUUUUUAUGCUUCUUUGUUUUGGCUUCAUUCAUGUAAUUUUCCCCCCCAAAUCCCAAGUACAUUCUGCAAUAUUGUUUGAUGUCAAAUGUGAAAGCACGUUUCUGUACAGAUACUUUCCCCUUAGACAUGUUUAACUUUGGUUCAGGGUAAGAAUGUGCAACAACCUGUCAGAGUGAAAUCGAAAGCAGGGUUGUGGUUGAUGGCAAUCGUAUCACCAACAGAAGGCCAGGAACUUCCAUAUAGUUUGCACUGGCAAUUGCGGAGAAGUAUUUUGGUCGCAACAAAGCACUGGAGCUUGCAAAGAUAAUGCUUUACACUCGUACCUAAACGAUUGUAACGAGAACUGGUCUACUAUUGAACUGGAGUAUUCAUUUCUAUAUUACUACUACUAGCAGAGAGGCGAAAUGGAAACUUGAAUUCAUGUUUGAAUAGGGAUUCUCUGUGUUGAUUUGCACAACAGUUUGUUUAUAAAUGAAUGAGUCCAUAUCUAGUAUUAAGUCUGUAUGUGUACAAAGUUACAAAUUCGAAGAUUGGAUUUCUAAUUUCAAUUUAUGUUCGGCUCAAAGUAAUGGCUUUAAUUCCACGAGCACAAGAAGGAAAGAGUACGCACAAAGUUAACUGGUUGCUGCAGCAUCGUCCAGGAACAUCACUUUAAUCUUCUUGAGCUUUGCUGCAGCGUCUGUCAUAUUUUUCCUCUUGUCGGGUGACUCCAUACAGCAAUCCAAUGCCAAAUCCAUAAUGCUUAAUAUACAAUCCAUUUUGGCAGAAAAAGCUCGCUCUUCUCGCACCAAAUUUGCGGCAACAACUUUAGUCAAUCCGUGAGGUAAUGACUCCUUUACCCAUCUCCUUAAACUCAUUUCUCCUGUGAACAUUUCAUCGGUGAGCCUCUUUCUUGUGAAAGUUUCCAUCAACAAAACACCAUAGCUGUAGAUAUCACAUUUAGCUGAAACAAUUCCUUCUGAUCCAUACUCUGCAUUUUUUAAUUUCAAUUAUUAAACAAAUGAUAAAACAAAUAAUUUUUUGAUAAUUAAGGUAACCCAAACUUUGCUCGUGCUUGAAAAAAGAGUAAAAAUUUUAAUUACAAUUGAAACUUUACCUGGUGCCAUAUAAUCAAUUGUAGCCAUUGUCAUGGUUUGUGUCACAAAAUCUUCUCCUUAACCUAAGAGUUUGGAAAUGCCGAAGUUGCUCACGCGUGCCACCAUAUUUUCAUCCAAGAGAAUGUUGGGAGGCUUCAAAUCAUAAUGAAUUAUAGGUGCCGACGAAUGACCAUGAUGGAGAUAUUCAAGAGCCGACCCCACAUCUAUUAUUAUAUUCAACCUCUCUAGAAUGUCUAAGAAAUAGUUGUGAGAAUACAACCACUUCUCGAGACUACCAAUCGGCAUGAACUCAAGUACCAAUGCUUUGAAAUCUGGAUUAGAACAACUGCUAAGGAUCUUUAUGAGAUUUCGAUGACGAACAUUCCGUAAAACUUCACAUUUAGAAUCAAAACUCCUAAAUGCUCUCUCUAGUUGCAAAUUGAAAAUCGUUAUCGCAACAUCAGUCUCGUCGGAAAUAGUUCCUUUAUAAACUGGUCCAAAACUAUUUGUACCAAGCAAGUUACAUUCAUUAAAUUCAUCAGUUGCUCGUUGAAUGUCUAGGUACUGUUUGGUAACGGAAAAAGGAGAAAAAAAUGGAGUGGAGGCAUUACUUUUAUCUCAUCCUUAACUUCUGAGGGUGGGGGAUCUCUUUCUCUCUUCUUCUCAUGGAAAAUUCUUUCUUUUACACUCUACUUUUCUGCAAAUUACUCAAAAGGUUUUUUAUUUUAAGGCAAUGUUUAUUAAGCCACAUGAGUGGUGGCACAAGUUUUUCCCAAAGGCCUAGAAACUACCUUGAGCGUCGGAGGGUUCAAAUGCGCCCAAGCACACAGCCCAAAGCCUCUGUGUGUACUCAGACGGGCCCCAAAGGCCUGUAUCUCAUUCAUAUCAUCUGUAAUAUUUGUCUCUCAAUAUCUGUCUGUAUCUCAUAUUUGUAUCUCUGUAAUCAUCAUACCGCAUGCAUAUGCCCCCAAAAGGCAAAAUCGCCCAAACACACGGCCCAAAGCCUCUUUGUGUGUUCAGACGGGCCCCAAAUACCUCUCAUCUCAUCUCAUCUGUAUCACUGUAUCUAGAGGGAAGGGUAUUGUCCAAUGAUUUUAAAAACAAUCUCUAUACUCAUAUUCAUGUAUAUUCUAAUCAUACUUUAAAUCAUACAUUUCUUUUCAUUAUCACAUCUAAAUCCACUUUUCUCAUCUUUAAAAUACUAUUGUAUUUCAUUCAAAGUCGACACAGAAAAUCAUUGACCAAACAUUUUAAUAUAAUAUCAAUGCGUGCAUAAAAUCUAUUUCGAGGAAAUCAUUAAAUCAGAACAUUUAAAAUACUUAUUUCACAAACAUGCUUUACUAUCAUAAUUAACUAUGAAAAUAGGUUUUGUAUAUUCCACUCACAGUGACGGUGUUCACGCUCGGUUAUCGUUCACGUCCGCGGACCGAUUCUCACUCGCGAAUCAUCCAAAAUCAAGGAAACGACAUAAUUAUUUUUCGUAAAUCGGAACUAAGACUAAAUUUAUGCAAUAAACUCGAAACGACCAUCUAUCCAUAAUUUACAACUCCUGUGUCGAUAAAAUUACUAAAAUACCCUCGAAUCCGUAAAUCGUUAAAAUACUCUAAAAUCGUAAAUCACCGAAUUACCCUCGGAAUUGUAAUUACACCCAAUCCUCAAUUCCAUGAAUUACUAAAAUAUCCACAAGCUCAAAAAAUUACAAAAUUACCCUCAAGAAUGUGAAAUUACCAAAUGCCCUUGCCAGUCAAUGGUCACCGGAAUUUGGUCAACGCUGGCCGGGAAGCACGGGUUAGACACUUUUGGCCAAGCUAAGUUCAAUGAUACCAGCGGUGAGCUCCAACGCGCGGCAACGAUGCUGGAAUCUAGCUCGGCAGCCGUGAAUUUCCAACAAUUGGAUGGCGGCGAAACAAUGACUCCCGGUGGCUAUGGAUGGUCGAAAAUGGAAGAGGGAGUCAUGGGGAACAAAAUCCAACCGGUGGUGUCACCCAAAAUCGGCGAAGCAAAGCGAAACAGUCGCGGGUUUUCAAGCUUUGGUCGCGGGCGUUCUGGUUGUUUUUCGGCGAUGUGAACGGCAGGGGUAUGAUGGCCGGUCUUCAAGCUUCAAAUUGGUACCAAGCUUGACCGGAACGGUGGCCGGAAAUGGAAGUUACGACUGGUCACGUUUGCGGGUCGGGUCGGGUUUUUGGGUCUGUAGUUGGUAGCUUCUCUCACUCACACGUGUGGCUUCCCUCUCCUGUUUUCCAGCUUAUUCUAUUAUUUAUUUUAGGGAAAAUAUCCACCGUCCACCCGUUUUUUACACCUUUUUCAAAAAUACACAAUUCUUUCAUUUUUUGGCUGGAAUCCACCUAAAGUUACAUUUUUUUUCACUUUUCCACUUCCGUUUGGAAUCCGUUAAGAAAACUAACGGAAACUUAAAAAAAUGACCAUUUAACCCCUAAAACGAAAAUUACAAUUUCACCUUAAAAAAUACCAAAAAUAAUAAGAUUUAAUGAUGAAUAUCAUUAUUGGUACUUUAAUGAAGUACAAAAAAAUCUUAACUACUAGAGAUUAUAACUCAAUUAAUAAUAAAAUUCUAGUUAUCUUAAAUUCAAUUGAUGAUUUGUGAGAUUGGGCUAUUUUUAAUACUACUGUUAUAAUUUAGCAUUCUAAUUACAGACAUAUUUAAAAAAAAACCUGCAUUUGAUGGUUGUGGAAUUAAUUUAUUUAUUAACCGAUGGGGAAAAUAAUUAGAUUUAAUCUAAUUAUUUUUUGUAAUUUUUAAGGUGAAAUUGUAAUUUUCGUUUUGGGGGUAAAAUAGUCAUUUUUUUAAGUUUCCGUUAGUUUUCUUAACGGAUUCCAAACGGAAGUGGAAAAGUGAAAAAAAAUGUAACUUUAGGUGGAUUCCAGACAAAAAAUAAAGGAAUUGUGUAUUUUUGAAAAAGGUGUAAAAAAUGGGUGGACGGUGGAUAUUUUCCCUUUAUUUUAACCUUUAACCGCCUCUUUUUAUUCAUUUAAUUCACAUAUGUUACAGUACUAUUGACUAUGUGUGUAUAGAUAUUUUGUUUUUACCAUGUAAUUUCAUAUUGGAUGCAUUUUUAAUUGUACAUUGCAUAGCGUCAUGAACGGGAAUGAUAAAAUAAAUUUCAAGCAUGUUUAAGUAGAUGAAAAAACUUUGUACGAUUUAGAAGGAUUUACUGAUUAAAUAAUUAUCCAAUUUGUUUGCCUGGAGGAAUUGAAUAGUUAAUUGAUUAGAGGACCAGCUGGGCAUUGUAAAUAUUAACGGUCAUUAUUAAACAAAUGAUAAAACAAAUAAUACUCUUAUAACAAUAUUUUUUACAUUAAUUUUUUAAUCAAUAAAAAAAGGUAACUAACAAAUUAACUGAUAAAUUAAUUUGUUAAUAGUUUUUGUUAAUUUUUUAAUCAAUAAAAAAGUUAAUUAAAAAAUUUACUUAUUAGCAAAUUAAAAAAUAAAUAUUAGCAUAAAAUAAUUGAUAUUUCAUUCUCUUACAACAAUCUUACUAAUUAUUAUUUAUAAAUUAAUUAAUACAAGUUAAUUUAAAAUAAUGUUUAAUAUUCUUGUAACAACCUUUCUAAUAAUUGUUUUAUAAAAAAAAUUAAUUUAUUAAAUUAAUCCUAAAAGUAAAAUAAUAAUAAUUAAUUUAUAUUUUAUUUUUAAGAUUAAUUUGAUAAAUCGUGGUGCCCGGCAGGUAAAAAGCCAUGUCACCCUCAUUCUUAAGCUGCUACAGCAUUACCACUCUGUCAGUUGCCACGAAGCUCCCCACAUCAUUACCGUAACGAUGCCUCUAGAAAACUAACUUAAAAAAAUGGUAUUAAUAAGCGUACGCCACGUCACUCCUCACUCUCUUCGUCACUUUCCUCUCACUCAACAUUUUCUCCCCAAACAAAUUCCUUCUUUGAAAAAUCGCAUUUUCUCCUUCACAGCAACAGCUACAAUGUCUUCAACUUCCAAAAAGGUAAUUUUUUUUUAAUUUUAUUUUUUGUUUUGUUUCUUUCUGUUGCCUUUUUGUUUCGUUUUUUGAAUUUUCUGUGUCGUUUUUUUAUCCAAGGUUUUGGUGCCUGUUGCGAACGGGAGUGAGCCGAUUGAGGCCGUGAUAACGAUCGAUGUUUUGAGAAUGUCUGGAGCUGACGUCAGGGUUGCGUCUGUGGAUAAACAGCUUCGUGUCGACGCGUGUCAUGGUGUCAAGAUUGUCGCUGAUGCUCUUGUGUCUGACUGCCGCGACGCCGUUUUUGAUCUUAUAGCUCUUCCCGUAUGUAUUGCAGCUCACCUCAGCUCAUGCUAAUUUAUGUGAUGUUUUUAUAAUUAUAGAUUAUUAUUGCUGAUACUGAAUGUUAAGCUAAAUAAUUUGUUGUUAAGUCAUCUUCAUUUAAUUUUCGAUUGAAAAUGAAAAAAAUAGUAAUUUUGAGCAAAGAAAAAUGUAGAAAAUGUUUAUUUUGUUUUAUUUUUAUUUUUAAAUUUUUGGGAUUUCCUUAUUGUGACUGUUAUCAUUCAUUAUAUGGUCCUAGUUAAAUGUUUCAAGUUGUUGUAGUCUGUGAAACUCUUUUCGAUAUUUAUUCUGGCAUGUACAUUUUUCCUUUCAAUUUAUUUCGUUGCUGAUAAUUGAAACUGGGAGAGGAGCUGAGCUUGCUUUCUUCUUGAGGUAGUGAACCACCAGCUCUUCAUCUUUUUUUAAAUGAUGGUUGGCUUUUUGGAUUGGUGGGAUUUGCAUAACAAAAGCAUGACAUCUGAUAGCGUAAAGCUUGUUCCCACCCCACACUUAUCCUUCUGAUAAUAUCUUUUUGUAACCUUGUGUGCUUUGUGGUGCCCACCACUGUCCCCACUGACGUGUCACCCUCUCAUUUCUUUCCGAAUUACACGUGUCGUCUUCUAAACGGCACCACGGGCCGUCAAAGCUCCCCUCACCUCCAUUUCACUCGUUCCUUAUGCUAAACACUGCAUGAAUUUGUCAAGCUUUGCAUGGGGAUACAACAUUUUUAAUUACUAAUUAACCCUUAUUUCCAUUACGUGUCGACACAACAUUGGUCAAUAAACAAAACAGACCUUUUACAUUAUCACACUAAAUUCCACCCUGCCACCACAUAUCCUAUAAGCCUUUUAAUUUAUUCUCUUUUCUCAUUUUAAAAGAAUGGCCAUGGCUCCUAUAUGCAAUCUUUGAACAAACCUCUAUUAAAAAAAAAAUAUCAAUAGAUUCUUCUAUUACUGAAGAUAUAUUUUGAUUAUAAAACCCUCACUAAGAUCUUGGGUUAAUUGCAGCUAGCUAGCAUUAAUAUAUAUGGAGAGUGCAGACUCAUCGACGGGCGGCUCACCUCAGCCGAACCUGCCCCCGGGGUUCCGGUUCCAUCCCACAGAUGAAGAGCUGGUGGUUCACUACCUCAAGAAGAAAGCAAGCUCAGCUCCUCUCCCAGUUUCAAUUAUUGCGGAAGUUAAUUUCCGAAAAAUGAUUCAGCUGAGAAGUUUUUAAAAGACCCCUUAACAGGAAUUUCCCCUUCUAGCCUAUUAUGAGACACAUUAAAUUGUUUGAAAUGUGAAAGUGUCUCCAAUGAGCUGGGAAUUUUUCCAGAGAGAUUGUUGCCGGAGAGAUCUAAGGAUUCUAAGCUUAUCAAACUGCCAACUGAUUCAGGAAUAGGUCCUUGAAAUUGAUUACUAGCCAAGGAUAGAGUUCCUAGAUCUACGAGGGCACCAAUGGUUGAUGGAAUAUCACCUGAUAAUUGAUUCCUUGAUAAAUCUAAAACUGUCAAGACCUUUAACUUUUGUACAUUGGAAAGGAGAGGACCAUUUAAUGAAUUUGACGACAAAUUUAUCUCUAAGAUGUACUCAAGGCUCCACAAGGAUGACGGUAUACUAGAAGUGAGCUUGUUGGAGCCUAAGCGUAGUUCUCUUAGAGAUGUCAAACUCGCCAAGCAUGGCGGUAUAUGUCCAGAGAGCUUAUUUCCAUUUAACCUUAUUCCGUACAUCAACUCCAAGUGGCAAAGAUCAUAGGGAAUGGAUCCUUCCAAAUUAUUUCCUUCAAGAGAUAAACCUUGUAGCCGCUUAAGUUUUCCCAUCGUUGGUGAAAUAGUUCCAUUCAAGUCGUUGCUGUGGAGGCUUAAGAGGAUCAGGCCACGCAACUUACCAAUUUCUUGAGGAAUGUUGCCCUUGAGUUUGCACUCGUAUGCAUAGAAUUUUUGAAGAGAAGCAGAGAAAUUCCCAAUUACUGGUGGAAGGAUGCCGCCUAAUGGAUUAGAACCGAAGGAUAAAAGUGUUAAAUUUCUGCAAUUAGUCAAAGAAGAGAGAAAACUCCAUUGAUCUGCUGAAGAUGAUUCUGUCGUCAAGUUAUUCAUCAUAAGGCUGAGCACGCUGAGGUGUCUCAAGUUGCCAAAUGUAUUUGGAAUAUGGCCCGAGAAUGAGUUUAAGCCCAAGUCUAGGCCAAUGAGUUUAGUAGCAUUGGUAAUAGAGUUGGGAAUUGUCCCCAUAAGAUUAUUGGCCGACAAGGCUAAAUACUCUAUGUUCGGAAGCGAGUGGUCAAUCGUUGACGGUAAGCGGCCUGAGAGUUGAUUGCCCCCCAGAGUAAGGAUUCUCAUGGUUGAAAUGUUGAAGAUCGUGGGUGGAAUGAGGCCACUUAAAUUAUUCUCACCAAGAACAAGAUGCUCCAAAUUUUGUAGAUUGCGAAUCUCGGUUGGAAUUUGACCUGCCAUCAGGCCAACAUUGAGGAGUCAUUGAGCUUUUAGCUUAAGGUAAAUUGAGUUUGACAAUGUUACCCUUCAAAAUGUAAAAGGAUCAAAUGAAAUUUAUUACAUAAUAAUUUCAGCCAAUAAUGUUCUUUAAAAUAUUUCAUAGAUAAUUCUGCAAAAUAUGCAUGCAAAUGGAAAAAUAUGCGUCAAUUAUAAGAGGUGGUGGAACGUACCUUGAAGAUUGCUGAAGCUAAGAUCCAGAUUCACGAGUUUACUCAAAUUUCCAAUCCUUGAAGGAAUAUUUCCACCAAUAAUAUUGAACCAUGAACGCAGCGUCUCUAGCCUUGAUAAGUUGAAGAGAGAAUUAGGGAUGGGACCUGUGAAACUGUUAUUAUCAAGAAUCAAUAUUUGGAGGUUAGAUAAGACACCAAUCCAUGAUGGAAAGCUUCCGCUCAAUUUAUUGUAAGCGAAACUCAUGACUCUGAGUCGACGUAAUUGCCCCAGUUCUUUCGGCAGAUGGCCAUGAAAAUUGUUCUCACUAAUGUCAAGAGACACUAGAAAUGAGAGAUUUCCCAAGUGUAGUGGAAUGGUGCCUCCGAGACCCAUAUCUGAAAGAUUCAAGGCAGUGACUCUUUGAUGGCGUGAACCACAAGAGAUACCAACCCAGCUACAUAUUGGAUAAGAUAUAGACCAAUUAUUUGUCAGGACACUUCGAUAAUCAACGACACGGGCUUUGAAUGCAAGAAGAGCCGAUUGAUCGGUUGUUAAGUUGCUCAAAGUCGUCAUAGCUAAGCUAGCUAUGGAAUAUUGUAACAACAACAUAGGAACAAAGAAGAAUGAUAAGCGCAUAUUGGUCUUUAUUUAUUUAUUUUUUUUAUAGAUGCAGCAAUCUAAUUGCUAAGUGAAGUUGACACAAGUUUUAAGUGAAGGAAAUUAGCAUAUACUUAUACAAGAGACGUAUGAAUUUGAAAACAAGAAAAUAAAAAAAAUGUACAGGAGAGUGGAGACUUGCAAAUUGUUAUAUUUUAUCAUUGAGCGAGUCGUCCGAGUAAACGCAUAUAGACUUGUAAAUUGUUAUACGCCGCUGUACUCGAACCGUGAAUAAAUGGGCUUAUGGCACUUUACUUACCAAAAAGAAGAAGACGCUCAGCAUUGGCAAGGCUUGUGCAUUCUGUCCAUUUGUUCACAUUAUGCCGAGGCUCAUGGCAACCGCAAUAUGUUCUUUUCCUUUCCUUUAAAAAUAAAAAAAGACGACCAUGACAUGUGGGUUAAUAAUUAUCACUAAACAAAUAAUAAUGCUGAAGGUCAGUGGUAAAUUGGUAAUACAGUUUUAAAAUAAUUGUUAUUAGUUGUGCUUUAAAAAUAAAAUAAAAAAAUAUAGUUAUACCACUAUAAUUUAAUGAAAUAAUCAUGUAAACUCCUGAACUUUUAAACUUUAAUAAUAGAUACCGAGGACCCCCUUCUGGGUACUUUUUUACCAUUUAUUUGGAUAUCAAAUGCUUUUUUUUUUCCCUUAAUUUUCACAGUGGAUUUGAAAUAACAAAUUUACUGCCAUUCCCAUAUCAUCUAAUAAAAUCACUUGCUUCUAUACAUAUUGAUUGUUUUUCCAAAGUUUUAAAUUGAAUUAAAAACAUUCUAAUUAACCUUAAAAAAAAUCAUCCAACCAGAUAUAAAUCUUCUAAUUAACCUAAAGAUAGCUACACCCCCAUAUUAAUUCCAGUUAAAUAAAUCUUCAUUUUUGUCAUGGUUUUGGAUCUCGAGCAAGGUGGAUAUAUCUAACCAGAUCUGCCUCAUUGGCAUUCCGAUAUAUUCUGGAAUUUGAAGGUUAUCAAUUAAUGUGUAAUUUUAAAUUUGUAACAUUUAAUUCUAAUUUGAGGAUUCAAAUAAAUUUAUGUGGAUCUAAAAAUGGACUGAAGAUUGGCAAUAUAACAUUCUUCUUGAUGAAGAUUUUUUUCCUAAUAAGAUCUCCAAUUUUAGACCGGCAAAACUUUGCCUUAUGAAUUAAAGAAAGCAUGAAAAAGGAUUGUUUGCAGGAAAGAAACAUAAAACACUGUAAUAUUUUAAAAAGACAUUAUAUAACCUCCAAAUUCUAUUAUCUUCAAAGAAUUUUAGGGCUUAUUUUUAAAUAAUCUUUUACCACACAUGCAUUUAUGCAAUCAUAUGAUUAUAGAUUCAAUUACUUUUAAAGUAGAAAAAAUUUACUUCUCUUAAAAGUAAAAGCGGGGCAGGCAUUGCAAUUUGCAGCAGUUAAUUCUUGGAUGAAAUUUACUAAAGUAUAGUCUUGUAAAAAAAAUUAGUUUUCUUAAAUUGUAAAUCUCGGUUAUGAUUGGGAGAUUUUGAUCAAAAUUAAUAUGAUAAAUUCGUUGCAAAUGUUUUUCUUGAAGUCUCAUCUUCCAUAAUGUUUGUAAAAUCAAGGUUUUACCAUCUCUGAUUAAAUAUUUACUCUUGAUUUCGACCACGUAAUCCGAACUUGACGAAAGAUUAUGAUCUUGUGUGAUUUUAUGAAUGUAGUCUUAUCUCUUAUAAUUCAGCAAUGAAUUAAUUAAAGCUUGCUAACAAAUUACAAGCUCAAAAAUAUCUUUUACUAAUUUACAAUCUUAUUUCAUUCUUUUUAUAAUAAAAAUUUAAAAAAAUUGUCUUUUAAAUUAAUUUAAUAUAAACACUCAUUGACAACCAAAUAACUAAUUAUUUUUUAUAAAAGCCCUAUUUGUUAAAAUUAUACUGAUAAAAACUCUACUUGAAUAAGUUAUAUUUGAAAAAUUAUAUCCAACAAAACCUUAUUUCUGAUUAUCUUAAUUACUUCCACAACUCCUACAUUUUUUAAACCAUGUGGAUUCCUUCAAUCUCAUAAUCAAAGGUGCUUUAAGCCAUUUUAUUUCUUAAUAUUUUUAAUUAUUAUUGGAAAAGUAGGGUAGCUUAUCAAAAAAGAAAAAGAAAAGCCAAAGUGACGAGUGGCUCUUUUUUAAUUUCAAAGUCAAUGCAAAGUAAAAGUAUCAAAAUACUCAUUUUUUUAAUCCAAAUAAAUCACAAUCAAGGAAGGUUUUGGUAUCCAUCAUUGAAAACUUAGGAGUCUGUAUGACUAUUUAACCAAACUAUAGGGGUAUAGCUGUCAAAAACUUUUAAAAAUAAAUUUUACCAAACAUUCAAAUGAUUUUUUUUUAUAGUUGAUUAUUAAAUUCUUAGUGUUGGAGCAUCUCUAAAAAAUUGUUCAAAUAAAAUUUGACUUUUUAUUUGAAGAGUCAUAUCAAUAUUAAACACUUCAAAAGACACGUUAAUUUAGAUUUUUCAAAUAAGAUUUGGUUCUCACUUUUCAACAUUGUCAAGUGAGUUUCUCCAUCUUCUAUUAAUAUUUUUUUAUUAUUUAUUGAAAAAUAAGUCUAAAAUAAUUAUUAUUUAUGUUUCCUUUCAAAAACAUAAUAGCAAUUCAAUUUGAUAAUGAGAAAGAUUUGAUUAAAAUAAUGUUAACUUAUUCUUAUUUGAUGAGUCUUUUGGAGGGUAUUGUAUUUUUCUAUACACUUAUUUGCCACAUUAGUAAGCAAAUUAAAAUGUGAAGAGUAAAAUUCGAAGAGCCUUUUGGAGAUACUCUUAGACUACUGUAAGAAUAUAAAUUAUUGAAAUGGACAUAAUAUUAAAUAAAAUUUACUUACAUAUUUACAAACAUGUAUAUAUAAUUUUUUUUAUUGUUUGUAUAUAAAAAUUGCUAACUAAAAAAUAUUUAUAUUUUUUCAAUUUUAUUUCUUUUAUUGUUUAUCUCAAGAUAAAUGUAAUAAUAAUAAUCUCUCUAAAUUUAAUUAUUUUUACUCUUUAUUGAAUAAGGAUAAUUUUGAGUUUCUGUAAUAUAUGUGAAGAUAUAUAUAAAAUUGUAUUAAAUAUAAAAUCAUUCUCAAAAUUAAAUUUUGAAAAACUAUUCCUUUCUCACUUUUCAUUAGGCAAAUGGCCACAGAAAUUGUUCUCCCUCAUAUCCAAAUAAACUAAAAACGAGAGAUUUCGUAAGUGUGGAGGGAUGAUGCCUUCGAAACCCAUCACUGAAAGACUCAAGUUUGUGACUCUAUGGUAUGAGCACCACAACAUAUGCCAAUUCGACUGCAUAUUGAGUAAGACAUGGACCAAUUAUUCAAGAGAUUCAUGAGCCUUCGAAGUAAGAAAUAAAGCAAAUUAUGCGGUGGUGGGUCAAUUGACUACGUUUCGUGAUCCACGUGCGAUUGCAACGGUCGGUUCAUUAAGUGAAAUUAAUGACUCGUCCUCUUUAGGUUGGUGCUGGGUCAAUUUUAUCCAAGAGUCAACUUACAGUAAUUUGAGUUAAUUUAUAAGAGUAACUCAUUUUCGUUGAUUACGAGUUGUGAUCGAUGACACGCACGAAAAUAGUCAACUCACAGUUCAUUCACUAUAUAUGGUCUAUGGGUGGAUGAGUCUAACGUAAAUUAAGGGCCGAUGAUGACCCUCGACUUCUAACGACGACCAACGAAGACGACCUUGACUACAUGUAAACACACAAUUCGCUCUCAUACAUUAUGUUUUAAAAUUUCUCCAUUUUCCGGGGCCCUGCGGUCAACCGUACACAGUUUAAUUUGUAUAUACAAGACCUCAUUGUUUCUAACAAGCAUAGAGCCAUAGACUGUUAAGCCAAGAGAUUGGUCAUGCGUGGGGCAUGCAAAGCUAUUAUUGUGGCAAGGACUUUGGGAUGUUAUUGAGUGCGGUUUGUUGACUACGUAUCCACUAGCUUGUUAGCUUAAAAUUAGGUUGAGUAGUGAUUAUUUUAUUUUGAAUAAUCUUUGGCGAUUUUGUUGUCAUUAACUACCGGUUAAUGUUCUAUUUUUUAGGGAUAUUAUCUAGGAAUUAGGAAUAGUUGUUAAUUUCUUUUGUAUUUAAAUUCUUUGAUAGUCAUUAAUUAAAGGAAGCUGAAUCCAAUUAAAAUUAUUGUGGUCUUUUUCUCACCCUAAGAGAAUACUAUCAUUACUAUAUAAUUUACGGCUUUGAUUGGGACCUAUCAUAGACCAUAUUAAUUCAAAUUACUUAAAUCUUCAUUAUUCUCAUGAUUUUGGAUCUCGAGCAGCGUGGAUAUAUCCAACCAGAUCCGUCUCACUAGCAUCCCAAUAUAUUUUAAAAUUGAGUAAUGAGUAUCAAUAAACGUGUAAUUGUAAAUCUAUAACUUUUAAUUUUAAUUUGAAGACUCAAAUGAAUUUAUCCAGCACUAACUCGUUAAAUUAAUAUUAUCAUAAAUUUUAACUUUAAUUAAAUAAUAAAUUUUGUCUGUCCCAAUUUAGGAUUAACGUGGUAAUUAAUAAUUUGAUAAGUUAUUAGAUAAUAAUUUUUUUAAAAAAAUCUUAUUUUUUUAUUGGAUCCAACUGAUAUAUAAACUAAUAAUUAAUUAAUUUUAAAACUAAACUCAUGUUAUGUCAAUCAAAUGUUAUUGCAAAGAAGACUAGCAGUGACGCUUUGAAAGGUACACCAAAGUCCAAAGCCUCUUGCACCUUCUCCUCCAUGACCACCAAUAGAUACUUCCACCAUUUCAACGUCAUGACAUGAUGUAAGUUUCUUUUGUGGAAUUUGUGAAUUGGUGCUGGCAGAAGUUAGUGAUACAUGUAACUAGCCAACCCUUGUCAAGUCCGCUUGACUAGGGGUGGGCACGGUUCGGUUCGGUUCGGUUCGGUUCGGAAUUAAGUAAAACCGAUUUAAAUCGGUUUUUUUAUAAAAAGAACCAAAUAAGAACCGAACUCAAUAAGAACCGAACUCAAACGGUUCUUUUCGGAUCGGUUCGGUUCGGUUCGGUUUUUUCGGUUCUGGGCCUAUUGGGCCUAUUUUGAAUUUUUAAAUUUUUAGCCCAUUGGGCCUCAUAAAUGUAAUUAUUUUUUUCAACAAUUAAUUUAUCCUAAUUUUAUUACAAAUAUUAACAAUAAAUACAAAGUAUUCAAAACACAUUUUAUCAUUAAAAUCUUACUAACUAUUAAUAAGAUACUCCCAAAAUAUGAAAUAUUAAAAUUUCAAAAUACAUAACCAAACUCCAAUAUUCCAUCUAUAUAAACAUAAUCAUAAUGUUAUAAAGAGAAAUAAAAAUAACAACAAUUAGUCAAUUACAACUUACAACACAAAAUUAAAAAAAAAUUACAAACAAACGCCAACAACAUUCUUCGAUCUUCAACAAUAUCAACAUCAACUUUAGGCAUUUUCCAACUCAAUAUUUGGAUCUAUUAAAAAAAAUAAACAAUAAAUAAUUAAAUAAACAAUCUAUAUAAAUAAGAUGCUAGUUUAAAAAAAAUAAAGAAAACUUACUGGUAAGCAACAUCACUCAACUGUUAUUUACUCCUCAGCUACUUGCUGUUGUUCUUGAGAUUGCAUUGGCCUAAAAAAUUCUUCAAGAAAUUGAAACAAUUAUAUUAAAAUAAUUAAUUCUAAUAUACAAAAUGUUAUAAGUGAAAUAAAAAAAAAACAUAAUAAAUUACAAUAUUACCUGUUUCAACUAAUUCAUAGAAUUCAGCUUCUUCCUGACUUGGUUGUAUUGUACACUCGCCUAAUAGAGUUGAGCGAAGCCAAUUUUGAGUGCAUAUUAAUGACUCGACUGUUUUAUGAGUUAAAGAACUCCUAAAAGGAUCAAGAAUGCGCCCUCCUGUGCUAAAUGCUGAUUCAGAAGCCACAGUAGACACCGGAAUUGCCAAAACAUCUUUGGCAAUUUGAGAUAAAAUCGGAUACCGAGGCCCAUUCAAUUUCCACCAAGUCAAAAUAUCAAACUGGGGAUUACUAGCACUCUCACAAGUCUCUGACAAGUACUUUUCAACAUCAUUUUUUCCACUAAUGUCAUCAUUUGAACUUUCUUUCAUCUUUUUAAAUUGUGUAAAAGGAUCAAAUGACUCAACACUACUACUAGCACCAUCAUGAACAGCCCUACAUCUCUCACCUCUAUUUCGAUUACUCUCACCACCAUAGUUUUCAAGAAGCUUCAACAACAACUCUUUAAUAUUAGCUCUCAAUUCAUCAACCUUUCUAAUAUCAUACAAGCUACUAAAACACCAUAUAACAAAGUCAAGUUUGCAGCGAGGAUCAAGCACAUUUGCCACAAUCAACAACAUGUUAACCUUUUCAAAAAAAUGACCCCAAUACUUGACAAAUUUUUCCUCCAUCUUGUAACCCAUUUGAUUUAACAAAAAAUCAUUAGAAUCAACAAGUGACUUCAAAUGAAUGUAAACUUUCCACAUUUCAUUCAAGAAAUUAUUGGAAGUGACUGUUAAAGAGCUGCUGAAUUUUAAAGUCACAUGAUAAAAAAUCGAAAGACACUUGACUAACCUCUUUGCAUUUUCCCAAUCCUUAUCAAUCGGUGGCCCCACCCUCCUUUUUUCACUCUCAUCCUCAUCAAACCAGUUUGUAUAAUGGCCAUCAUCUUCCUUUAGCCUCUCAAAUGCUUUCUCAAAUGCUACCGCUUUUUCUAACAUCAAAUAUGUUGAAUUCCACCGAGUCGGCACGUCUAACACCAUAAGCCCUCCACGUGAGAUUUUCUCCCUAUCAACACAUGUUUUGAACUUUUGUAAUCUUGCUGGAGAUGAUCUAACAUAUUUCACUGCAUUUCGGAUACUAGCUAUUGAUUGACUCACUUGUGACAACCCAUCUUGCACAAUUAAGUUGAUUAUAUGCGCCGAACACCUCACAUGCAUAUAUAAACCAUUCAAGACCAUCGAAUUUCCACUCCAAUUUGCCAACUUCUUCUUCACAUAAGCUAUUGCAAGUGUAUUAGCACUUGCAUUAUCCACUGUAAUUGUGAACAAUUUCUCAAUCCCCCAAUCAAUCAAACAAUUUUCAAUUAACUUCCCAAUUCCAUCUCCUUUGUGAUUAGAAAUAGGAGUGAAGGUGAGAAUCCUCUUGUGCAAAACCCACUCUUCAUCAAUAAAGUGAGCCGUAACUACCAUAAAGUUUGACAUUUGAAUUGAAGUCCAUGUGUCGGUGGUAAUGCAUACUCUCUGUUUAUUUGCACUCAAAAUACUUUUCAACAGCCCCUUUUCAUUUUGAUACAAUUCAAGAAUAUCUCUUGUAAUUGUUCUUCGAGAUGGUACCUCAAAUUUCGGACAACAAGUUUCCAUGAAAUCCAAAAACCCUUCAGCCUCUACAAAUCUAAAAGGUAACUCAUCUUUGAUUAUCAUUUUCACAAGUGCCAUUCUACAAGCCUCUCUAUUAAAUCCUAUGUGUGUAACCUUAGCAGUACCAUCAUCUUUACCUUUACCUUUUUUAAAAACUAAUGUCUGUUGUUUUGCAUCAUUUUCAGCCUUCAUUUUUUUGCGCACUUUACAUCUAUCCAAAUGAGUCGACAAACCACUUGUUCCAGAAUUACUAUGGGCUGCAUAACUUCUUCCGCAAUAAUGACACUUAGCUCUAAGUCCUCCAGGUAGCUUCGAAAAAUGCUUCCACACAAAUGAUCUCAACUCAAUUUUUCUUUUGUUACUACCACUGACCCCUUCUUCACUACUAACUUGUUGCACUUCAUCACUAAUUUGUACUUCACCAACAUUGUCAACCAUUCUAUAAAAUUAGAACUAUUAUAAUGUCAAAAUAAAAUCUAAAUAAGUAAAUAUAGCCACUGUCCAACAUAUAAUCAGCAUCCAUAUUAUAAACAUAAUCAGCAGUUAUAUAUUGUAAAUCAUGCAAUUUAUAUCUACACAGUAAUAGACAUUAAAUCAACCGGAGGAAAAUGAAAUAAAAAAAAUAAAAAAAAAGUUGUUGGACCAGGAGCUACGGGCCUUGUUUCACUAAUUGUUGACACACACCAUUCACAAAAACAGUGUUGAUAAGAGGGUGUUUGUUCGGGAACUCUUGGAAGUUUCACCAAUCCCUUUUAGCUCAUGGCCAUAAACUCUCCUAAUUGUUGCUUUCGUAUAUUUUCAUAUUAAAAAAAAAAAACACCGUAUGUUCAGCUUCAUUUUAAAUUUCAAAUGUAAGAGAAUAACAGUUGAGUGGACAUACGGAUCUGUCGAGCAAAGCAGAAACUGUCGCGCGGUGGCUGGCGAGCGGAGAAGAAGCUGUCGCGCGGUGGCUGGCGAGUAGAGAAGAAGCUGUCGUGCGGUGGCUGGCGAGCAGAGCAAAGCUGUCGCGCGGUGGCCUCAGGCCUGUGGCUGUGAGUUGAAGCUGUCUCACGGUGAAAAGAAGCUGCAGCUUUCGCGGUGAGCAGCGUGAGCAGCGUGAGCAGCGUGUUGCACGGUGACACUAUCGCCGGUGAGCAGCGUCGGCCGUGAUUGCAGUGGAUUGGGGUGGGUGAUUUGGAUUUGGUUUUGAUUUCGAAUCUUUGAUUUUAACUUUAGGGUUUAUUUUGGGGGAAAUAAAGACUUACGAAAUUGUAACACUUACAUAUAUAUACUCCUGAGUCCUGAUUGUGUGUAUGCAAGUUUAUGUUAGUUAUCUUACAUAAUCAGUUAAAAAUUAACACAUGUUUAAUUUGAAUAAAAUUAAAAAAUAAUUCGGUUUUUCGGUUCGGUUUUUCGGUUCAGCUAAGUGAACCGAAUACCGAACCAACAUUUCGGUUUUUUUUACAAACGGUUAUUUCGGUUUUUCUUAAAAAUAAAAACCGUACCGAAUUAGAAAAAACCAUCGGUUCGGUUCGGUUUUUUUAAGACUACGGUUUUUUUGCCCACCCCUACGCUUGACUCUUAAAUUUUUGUCACUUUCACUCCGUUCAAAGGCAUGCGAAAGCUAAUUUUUAAUGAAUUUUGAAUCGAGUGUUAGAUGUUUUGGGCUUAUCAAAACUAGAUUAUAUAUUUAUAUAUAUAGAGGGCGGAUCACCAGCCCUUUAAAACUACAUCUAUUUUUAUACUGAUUUAUAACCAUUAGAUUUAUUACACAUUAACGGUCAAGAUUUUGAGAAUUUAAUAAUAUAAAUACUUAAUAACAACAAUAAUUAAUAUACUUUCUCUCUCUUCAUUAGUUUCCAUUAAAACCUAAUUUCUCUCUCCUAAUAAAUUUUAGAUUCAUCAUAUUUCUCUCUUCAUCAGUUUCAUUAGUCUUUAAUGAAUUUUAGAUUCACGGUUAGAUAUUUUGGGACUUAUCUUUAAUUAAUAUUUUACACGCGUACAUUUAUAUCAUUGUAUAGUUAUAGAUUCAAUUACUUUUAUGAUACAUUUAUUAAUUUGGAAUUGAAAUAGACAAGAAUGGACUGUAAUGUGAAUGGAGAAUCGAAAUUAGAAUAAAUUAUUUAUUUAAACUGUAGAAAUUGAAAUAAGUUGGAUUAUCAUUAAUGUGUUUAUUUUGUCUUGGAAUUAGAAUUAAAAUAAGUUAGAUUGUAACAAAUUACUAAAAACUACUUAAUGAACUAUUGUUAUAAUUAUUAUUUUGUAUUUUAAUUAUUGUGAUUAUUUAUUAAAAAUUAUAAUUGUUAUUAUUACUUAUUGUUAAUAGUAUAUUAAUAUAUUAAUAAAUUAUAAUAAUAUAUUAAAAAUAUACUUGUAUUUACAAGAGAUGACGGAUAAAAUUUCUAAAAUCGUCUUCCUCCCUAAAACUCUGAAUGCCACAGUCCUAAAAAUUAAUAAGAUUUGGGAAUUAUAUGUCUUUUUUAAAAUAUUAAAGGGUGUUUAUUUCCUUAAACAUUGGGGGCUAAAAGUCCUAUUCCCAAAAGAAUACUGUGCCGGCGUUGGAGGCUAGAUUUCUUGUAUUUGUUUUUCUUCUUCCGAUGUUUUCAGGGAUACCCAUUUGGCAGUAUAUAAAAAUCUGUGAUAUCUUCUAUACAUAUACAUAUACAUCGCUGGCUUUAAUCAUUUGCGAACAUAUUGGAGGUAGUAGAUAUAUUUUUAUGAUAUCUCUAAUAAAAUCCAAAGUUUGAUCAAUUACAAAAGAAGUAUGAGUGAUGGGGGGGAAGUGGGGGAUCGGUGUAGUGGGGGUGUGCAGUGCAUGAAUAAAAGGAAAUGAUAGGGGGUGCAAGUUCGUGCUACCGACAUGCUUUAAGAUGGGGACAUAAUAUUUCAAAUUAGAGAUUGUGAGAUCCUUAAUAUUGCUGACUUGUGCUUAAAAUGGAAUUCUUGAUAACUUCAAAUGUUAAAGUUCUUGGUGAAAUUUUGUACUUACUUUUCUUUCAGAUUCUUGUGCCUAUUGCAAAUGGUUCAGAGGAGAUGGAAGCUGUUAUGAUAAUUGAUAUUCUGCGACGAGCUAACGCAAAUGUUGUAGUUGCAUCAGUUGAGGAUAAACUAGAAAUUCUGGCUUCUCGUCGAAUUAAAUUAGUGGCAGAUGUGCUCAUUGAUGAGGCGGCUAAACUUUCGUAUGAUUUAAUUGUCUUGCCAGUGAGUUGGGGUGCUUACUCUUGCUUCAUAGUCUUUACCACAUUAUUGACUUACUAACUACAAUUUAUCCAUGCACAUUGCACAGGGUGGACUUGGUGGUGCUCAAGCAUUUGCGAAGUCAGAUUAAUUGGUGAAUAUGCUAAAGAAGCAAAAGGAAUCAAAUAGACCUUACAGUGCUAUAAGUGCAUCCCCAGCUUUAGUGUUGGAGCCUCAUGGCUUACUCAAGGUACGACCAUUUCUGCUUAAAUUAUUUACUCAGAUUUGGAUCACCUAAUCUGAACUUGAUGAAGGAUUAUGAUGUUGUGUGAUUUUAUGAAUGUGGUCUUAUCUCAUGUAAGUCAGUGAUGAAUUAAUUGGAGUUUGCUGACAAAUUAGAAACUGAAAAAUUGCUGCUGCUUCGUUAGUUACAUUACCCAAACAGUUAAAAUAAACAUCCCAAAUUUUUUGUCCCAAAUGAUAUGGCAUUUAUUGAGUGAUUGUAUUAUCUAACCAACCAAUUGAUGAAUGUCACAUCAUUUGAGAUGGUUUUUUGGGAUAAAGAAUUUGGGAUUUUUACCCGCAAAAAUCCCAAGUACUUCCUGCUCCUGCAAUAUCAUUGCUGUGUAUUUGUUUUCCCCUUAGACAUAUUCAAUUGUGGUUCAGGGUAAAAAAGCUACAGCUUUUCCUGUUAUGUGCAACAAGCUGUCAGAUCAGAGUGAAAUCGAAAACAGGGUUGUGGUUGAUGGCAACGUCAUCACCAGUAGAGGGCCAGGGACUUCUACGGAGUUUGCACUGGCAAUUGUGGAGAAGUUUUUUGGCCGCAACAAGGCACUUGAGCUUGCAAAGAUAAUGCUUUUCACUCGCACCUAACGUUUGUACGGGGACCUGACUACUAUUAAACUAGUGUGUUUAUUUCUGUAUUGCUACUGCUUGUAGAGAGGGGAAAUGGAAACUUGAAUUCAUGUUUGAAUGUGGAUUCACUGUGUGGGUUUGUACAGCAGUUUGGUUUAUAAAUAAAUGAGUUCAAAGAGUCACUUAAAUAUUCGGAAUAAACCUGAGUUUAGUUCUGUUAUCAAUGGUCGGAGUCCAAUUGCGAUCGACUCACUGGGAAUUUUAAUUAUGAACUAAAAAAUUGUUAUGUUAUAUUCCACCUUUCUCAUAAAAUGUUAACUCGAUUUACAGGAUAAGAAGGAAAAGAAAGACGCUAAGAGAGGAGCAGAGACCCAAAAAGAGUUGACCACUUUGUUGGAACAUAAAUCUCUAGAAUAUUGAAAUAAAACACAUACCAUAUCUAGUAUUAAGUAUGUAUAUGCAAGAAGAUACAAAUUUGAAGAUCAGAUUUCUCAUUUCAAUUUAUGUUCUGCUUGGAGCAAUGGCUCUUAUUCCACUAGCACAAACAGGAAAGAGUACGCACGAAGUUAAGAAACACACAUAGCAAAAGUUGCAUUAACUACUUGCAGCAACAUCAUCCAAGAACUUGACUUUUAUCUUCUUGAGCUUCGCUGCAGCAUCUGUCAUAUGCAUUCUCUUGUCAGGUGACUCCAUACAACAAUCCAAAGCCAAAUCCAUGAUGCUUAAUAAACAAUCCAUUUUGGCAGAAAAAGCUUGCUCUUCCCGCACCAAAUUUGCGUCAACAACUUCACUCAAUCCGUGAGGUAAUGACUCCUCUACCCAUCUCUUUAAACUCAUUUCUCCUGUGAACAUUGCAUCAGUGGGCCUCUUUCUCGUGAAAGUUUCCAUCAAUAACACACCAUAGCUGUAGACAUCACAUUUGGCUGAAACAAUUCCUUCUGAUCCAUACUCUGCAUUUUUUAAUUUUAAUUAUGAAACAAAUGAUAAAACAAAUAAUUUUUUGAUAAUUAAGGUAACCCAAACUUUGCUCGUGCUUGAAAAAAGAGUAAAAAUUUUAAUUACAAUUGAAACUUUACCUGGUGCCAUAUAACCAAUUGUAGCCAUUGUCAUGGUUUGUGUCACAGAAUCUUCUCCUUCACCUAAGAGUUUGGAAAUGCCGAAGUCGCUCACAUGUGCCACCAUAUUUUCAUCCCAGAGAAUGUUGGUAGGCUUUAAAUCACAAUGAAUUAUAGGUGCCGACAAAUGACCAUGAUGGAGAUAUUCAAGAGCCGACCCCACAUCUAUCAUUAUAUUCAACCUCUCUAGAAUGUCUAAGAAAUAGUUGUGAGAAUACAACCACUUCUCGAGACUACCAUUCGGCAUGAACUCAAGUACCAAUGCUUUGAAAUCUGGAUUAGAACAACUGCUAAGGAUCUUUAUGAGAUUUCGAUGACGAACAUUCCGCAAAACUUCACAUUCAGAAUCGAAACUCCUAAAUGCUCUCUAUAGCUGCAGAUUGAAAACCUUUAUCGCAACAUCAGUCCCGUCGGAAAUGGUUCCUUUAUAAACUGAUCCAAAGCUACCUUUACCCAGCAAGUUACAUUCAUUAAAUUCAUCAGUUGCUCGUUGAAUGUCUAGGUAGGAUGUUCUUCUCCAUGUUGCAAGAGGUAGGAAAUCUUCGUGAUAUGAUUUUUUUGUACUCCUCUUUCGGCAUCUUAUGUACAUAAUGAUGAUAAUCACUAUAAGUACAGAGGAUACUAUCGGAGGCAAAAUAUAUUUAAGGACAAUUAGAGCAACGUUCUUGGUGCUUUUGCUGUCACCUUGUUUGCAAGGUGGGACUCGGAAUUUAGGUGGACCACAGAGUGCAUAAUUUCCGAAAAAUGAUUCAGCUGACAAGUUUUUAAAAGACCCCUUAACAGGAAUUUCCCCUUCUAGCCUAUUAUGAGACACAUUAAAUUGUUUGAGAUGUGAAAGUGUCUCCAAUGACUUAAGAAUUUUUCCAGAGAGAUUGUUGCCGGAGAGAUCUAAGGAUUCUAAGCUUAUCAAACUACCAACUGAUACAGGAAUAGGUCCUUGAAAUUGAUUACUAGCCAAUGAUAGAGUUUCUAGAUCUACGAGGGCACCGAUGGUUGAUGGAAUAUCACCUGAUACUUGAUUCCUUGAUAAAUCUAAAACUGUCAAGACCUUUAACUUUUGUACAUUGGAAGGGAGAGAAUCAUUUAACGAAUUUGACGACACGUUUAUCUCUAAGAUGUACUCAAGGCUCCACAAGGAUGACGGUAUACUAGAAGUGAGCUUGUUGGAGCCUAAGCGGAGUUCCCUUAGAGAUGUCAAGACUCGCCAAGCAUGGUGGUAUAUGUCCAGAGAGCUUAUUUCCAUUUAACCUUAUUCCGUACAUCAAUUCCAAGUGGCAAAGAUCAUGGGGAAUAGAUCCUUCCAAAUUAUUAUCUUCAAGAUAUAAACCUUGUAGCCGCUUUAGUCUUCCCAUCGUUGGUGAAAUAGUUCCAUUCAAGUCAUUGAAGCCGAGCUCUAAGUCGAUCAGGCCACGUAAAUUACCAAUUUCUUUAGGAAUGCUGCCCCCGAGUUUGCAGUUGUAUGCAAAAAAUUGUCGAAGAGAAGCAGAGAAAUUUCCAAUUACUGGUGGAAGGAUGCCACCCAAUGGAUUAUAAGCUAAGGCUAAAAUUGUUAAAUUUCUGCAAUUAGUCAGAGAAGAGAGAAAACUCCACUGAUCUGCUGAAGAUGAUUCUGUCGUCAAGUUAUUAAAUGCUAAGCUGAGCACGCCGAGACGUCUCAAGUUGCCAAAUGUAUUUGGAAUGUGGCCUGAGAAUGAGUUUAAGCUCAAGUCUAGUCCGAUGAGCUUAGAAGCGUUUGUGAUGGAGUUGGGAAUUGUUCCGAUGAGAUUAUUGUCCGACAAGGUUAAAUACUCUAUGCUCGGAAGCGAGUGGCCAAUCGUUGAUGGUAAGUGGCCUGAGAGUUGAUUGCGAAUUAGAUUAAGGACUCUUAGGGUUGAAAUAUUGAAGAUCGUGGGUGGAAUGAGGCCACUUAAAUUAUUCGUACUAAGAACAAGAGCAUCCAAAUUUUGUAGAUUGCCAAUCUCAGUUGGAAUUUGACCUGUUAUAAAGAUAAACGCCAAAUUGAUGAGUUAUUGAGCUUUUUACUUGACAUAAAUUUUAAUUUCAUAACGCAUGAAAAUCAAAUUUGCCCACAAAAUGUGUGUUAUUAGUUUUAUAAUAUAUUUUUUUUGCGUUUUUUUUGGGGGGGGGGGGGCGGAUUGAUAUUGCUACCUCAUAAUUUUUGUAAAACCCCACCCGCUUUCAGAAAAUUAUUGGAACAAGAUUCUUAAAAAAAUUCAAAUAAAGAAGAAGUUUGGAGAAUUAAUCAAUUAAAUCCAUCUUAAUCUACUUUUUGAAACUUAUAUUCUUUUAUCAUAUAUAAUAACUAAUGUUGAUUUAACAUAAAUUUAAUAUAACUAGUCUACUCUCAUGAGGUAGAAUUACAAAAAUACCUACAAAUUUACUUCAACUUCAACUAAACUAGCAAAAUGUAUUUGUGGGACAUGUGGUGCACUAAAAAUUAUUGAAUUUUAUUUUAGAAAUAUUGUAUUACAAAACAUAAAACAAAAUGCCGAAACUAUAUAUUAGAUACAAUAGUACAUGUUUUUUGGGGUGAUUUGGUCAUUUUAUAUUAUAAGAGUAAAAUAGUCAAAUUAAACUUAUUUUUAAAGCAACCGUAAACGGCCAAAGAUUGUUAAAAGCCCUAAGUCAUAAAAGAAAAACAUUAUAAAAAUAAUUUAUUAAUUGUUCAGACUUAAUUUAUAAUUCUAUAACAUAAUGUGAACUUAUUAUAACUACCUUAUCAAAAUGAGGUGGGUUUGCAAGAAUAAUGAGUGGAAUAUCCCCAACCUAUAAAAUAAAAAGAAUUUUGCAACUAUGCAAAUGCAAAUAUGUAGAACGUACCUUGUAGGUUGUUAUAACCUAGAUUCAGAAUGAAAAGGCUGCUAAAAUUUCCUAUCCCUGAAGGAAUAUUUCCAUCAAUAACGUUGUGCAUUGCGUCGAACACCCCCAGCUUCGAUAAAUUGAGGAGAGAAUUUGGGAUUGGACCCGUGAAACUGUUAUUAUAAAGCCUCAACGUUUGUAAUUUGGAUAAGACACCAAUCCAUGUUGGAAUGCUUCCACUCAAUUUAGUGAAACCGAAUCUAAUGAAUCUGAGUCGGCGUAAUUGCCCCAAUUCAUUAGGCAGAUGGCCAUGAAAAUUAUUAUGAGCAACAUCAAGAGAUACUAAGAACGUGAGAUUUCCCAAGUGUGGGGGAAUGGUACCUCCGAGACCUAUAUCUGAAAGAUUCAAGGCUGUGACUCUUUGAUGGCGUGAACCACAAGAGAUACCAACCCAGCCGCAUAUUGGAUAAGAUAAAGACCAAUUAUUUGUCAGGACACUUCGAUAAUCAACGACACGGGCUUUGAAUGCAAGAAGAGCCGAUUGAUCUGUUGUUAAGUUGCUCAAAGUCGUCAUAGCUAAGCUAGCUAUGGAAUAUUGUAACAACAACAUAGGAACAAAGAAGAAUGAUAAGCACAUAUUGGUCGUUUUUUUUUAUAGAUGCAGCAAUCUAAUUGCUAGGUGAAGUUGAUACAAGUUUUAAGUGAAGGAAACUAGCAUAUACUUAUACAAGAGAUGUAUGAAUUUGAAAACAAGAAAAGAAAAAAAUGUACAGGAGACUGGAGACAUGCAAAUUGGUAUAUUUCAUCAUUGAGCGAGUCGUCCAAGUAAACUCAUAUAGACCUGUAAAUUGUUAUAGGCCGCGGUACUUGAACCGUGAAUAAAGGGCUUAUGGCACUUGACUUACCAAAAAGAAGAAGAUGCUCAACAUUGGCAAGGCCUAUGCAUUCUGUCCAUUUGUUCACGUUUUGCCAAGGCUCAGGGCAACCACAAUAUGUUCUUUUUCUUUCCUCUUAAAACAAAAAACAAAAAAAAAGACGACAUUUACAUUUGGGCUAAUAAUUAUCACUAAACAAUUAAUAAUACUGAGGGUCAGUGGUAAUGUAGCUUUAAAAUAAUUGUUAUUAGUUGUGUCUUAAAAAUAAAGAAAAAAAAUAACUAUACCCAUAUAAUUUAAUAAAAUAAUCAUAUAAAUUCCUAAGCUUUUAACAAUAUACACCAAGACCCCCUACCGUUACUUUUUACCAUUUAUUUGGAUGUCACAUGCUUUUUUUUUUAAUUUUCACAGUGGAUAUCAAAUGCUAAAUUUACUGUUAUUCCCAUAUCAUGUCAUCACUUGCUUCUACACACAUUGAUUGUUUUUCCAAAGUUUCAAAUUGAAUUAAAAACAUUCUAAUUAACCUAAAAAAACUCAUCCAACCAGAUAUAAAUCUUCUAAUUAACCUAAAGAUAGCUACACCCCCAUAUUAAUUCCAAUGAAAUAAAAUUCAUUUUUGUCAUGAUUUUGGAUCUCGAGCAAGGUGGAUAUAUCCAACUAGAUCCGCCCCAUUGGCAUUCCAAUAUAUUAUGUAAUUGGAAGAGUAUGAAUGACUUAAUUUGUAAUUUUAAAUUUGAAAUGUUCAAUUCUAAUUUGAGGAUUCAAAUGAAUUUAUGCGAAUCUAAAAGGGAACGGAAGAUUGGCAUGCAUACACACACACACACACACACACACACACACACACACACACACACACACAUAUAUAUAUACAUAGGGGUAGGCAUGGGUUGGUUUGGUUUGGGUUUUAAGUCAACCCAAAUCAAACCAUAAAAUUUUGGACCCAACCCAAACCAACCUAAAUAUUUUUAACCCAAACCAAACCAACUCAUUUGGGUUUGGUUUGGGUUUGGAUUGAAUUUUAUAAUCAAAAUAUUUUUUUAUUUUGAUAAAUUUAAUUAUAUCAAAAUUAUAAUAAUAAUUAAUUAUUAUUAAUUAUUAAAUUAAUAUUAAAAUAUGAAAAAUAUAUUGUGGAUAAAAAAUUAAAAGAAAGAAUUAAAUUAAACUCCAAUAACAAACUUCCAUGAACAUGACAUAAACAAAUAAAUUAAAAGAAAGAAAAUAAAAUUCGAUGAUCAAUUGAGUCCACUCCUUCAACAAUAAAUAAAUAACCAAAAAAGAAAAAUUAUAAUGUUUGAUCUAAACUCUGUUUUUGUAUUUGAUAAUCAUAAGAAUAAUAUUAAUUCAAAGCCAUCGCCUCCGUUGAUAUAUUUGAUCCAACGGAGCAUGGUCAUAUGAUUAAAUUUAAAUUGCCCAUUUUGGUGCAGUUCAGUUUGUUCCGACUUGAGCUGAACUGAUUCAAUUUAAUAAGAUUAUAAAUCCAACUUGACCGAAUUGAAAUCGGUCUGGUUCUAGAUUGGAGUGGUUCAUAAAUUAUUUUAACUUAAAAAUAUUAAUUCUUUCUAGUUAUCUAGCUCUAAAGUUAGUUUUUUUUUUUUUGCGUCUAAUUCAUUGAAUAGAUUUUUUUUUUAAUUUAUAAACCAAAUCAAAAUUGUCUGUUCAGUUCAUUCGAUUCCUCGAUUUUUUUUGCUGGCAUCUGUUGGUUAGGACCACCUUCAUUUGUUAUAAAUUUAAUAGAAAAUGGACAGUUAAUGGUGCAGGUGAAAAAGGACAUUAUACAAAGGGGAUUAAAAAAAAAAGCAAAGGAUGUUCUUUUUACUUCAGGAUUAAUAGAGAUUCAGGGAUUGUAGUAAUACAUUAGUUUAAAUUAAAUAAAUGAUUACAACCUAGACGAACAUUGGUAGUGUAGAGAAAAAAAAAAACAAUUAGUUAGCUUAACAAUUAGACGAACAUUGAGGUGGAUUGUAGUAAUUCUUGGCCCAUAGGUUAACCACACCCAAACCAUUAUAAAAUGGUUUCAUACAUAAAAACCUAAAUUUAAUUCAUUUACAUGAUUUACCCAACCCAAACCAAAUUAUUUGUUUGGGGUUGGGAUAAACUCAUGGGUUGUGGGGUUUAUACCCAACCCUACACACACACACACACACACAUAUAUAUAUAUAGAGAGAGAGAGAGAGAGGUAAUAUAACAUUCUUCUUGAUGAAGAUUUUUGUGCCAUACGAAUUAAAGAGAGUAUUGUGUCGAUGUUCGAGGCUAGAGCGACAAUUGGUUACAUUGCUUCAGAGGUGUUUAGUAGAAACUUUGGUGAGGCAUCACAUAAUUUAAAUUACUAGAUUUAGAGAGAUAUAUAUAUUUUCCACAUUGGAUUUACAAGCAUUUCGAGCAGUAUAAUGAAUUUAAAUUACUCGGAAUUGUAAACAGCGAGGAGAGUGAAAUUGCUAAGAAGAUGAAUAUUUUGUUGUUUUGUGGUGUACACGGAGUCAUCCAUCGGAUAGGUCGCCCAUGAACAGAGGGAUAGAAAUGUUAUUGCCAAGAAGCAGACUGACUAGCAGUGACACUUUGAAAAGUCCACCGGACAUCUUCUCCUCCAAGACCACCAAUAUAUUCUUCCACCAUUUCAACGUCGUGACGUGAGGAUCAGAAUUGAAUUAUAGGAUGCUUGUAAGUUUCCUUUGUGGAACUUGUGAAUUUGUGAUGGCAAAAGUCAAUGAUGCAUGUAACUAGCUAGCCCGUGUAGACUCCGUUUUACACUUUUUCAAAACCCAAAAGCACGCUAAAUCUUAAUCUUAAAAGAAUUUUUGAUUCAGUGCUGAAUUUUGGGCUUAAGUAAUCUUUUACCACGCAUGCAUUUUUGUCAUUGUGCAGUCAUCGAUUGUUUCUAAAGAUCGUAAUCUUUAAGAAAAAAUUACUUCUCUUGAAAGUGAAAGCAGGGCAGCUAUUGGCGUAUUGCAUUGCAGCUGCUAUGUGUAGUAGUCAAUUCUUGGAAACAACUAGUUUUAUUAAAUUGUAAAUGGUCCCCUUUAUGACUGGGAGAUUUUGAACAAAAUUAAUAUGAUGAAUUCUUUGCAAGUGUUGUUCCUUGAAGUCUCAUCUUUCACAAUGUUUUUGAAAUAAAGAUAUUACCAUCUUUGAUUUAAUAUUUAUUCUUGAUUUGGACCACCUAAUCUGAACUUGAUGAAAGAAUAAAGAUUAUGAUCUUACCUGAUUUUAUUAAUGUGGUCUUAUCUCACGUAAGUCAGUAAUGAAUUAAGGGAAAUUAUCAUUCGUAUACCCUAUAAUUGCUCUGUUAUAAAAAAUACUACAACACUUUGAGGGUGUAUCAAUUGUCCACCCUAAGUUAACAAAAUGUAUAUGUCAUCCACCAAAUCGUUAUUUGUCGUUUAAAUAGGAUGACGCCAGAGGGGUAAUUUUGUCUUUUCAUAUGAUACAAGUGAUAAUUUAAGAGUAUACAAGUGAUAAUAAAAGAAUUUAAAGGUAUACAAGUGAUAAUUUUUCUUUACUUUAAUUUAAGUUUCAAGGGUAAAAUCGUCAAUUCACUAUAAUUCCGUUAACUUUCAAACGGUAGCUAACGGUUUGGUGGUCGGCAGAUAGCUUUUGUUAAUUUAAGGUGGACGAUUGAUAUACCCUCAAAGUGUUGAUGUAUUUUUGAUAAUAGAGCAACUAUAGGAUAUAUGAUUGAUAAUUUCCCAUGAAUUAAUUAAAGUUUAUUGUCAAAUUACAAACACAAAAACUGCUGGUGCUUCAUUAUUCACAAUACCUAAAGUCAGUGCAGAACUUAUUAUAAGUUUUCCAAAAGUUUUACGCUUUCUUUCCCCCAUAUCCCAAGUACUUACUAGAUAUGUCAUGUUUAUACCCAAAGUCAGUGCAGAACUUGCUCGAUAUGUCAUGUUUAUACAAGAGUUUGUUUAUAAAUAAAUGAGUUGAUAACAAGUCAUUUUAAAUAUUUGCAAAAAAAAACGGUGAGUGAAGUUGAACUAAGAAUUUGUUAUAAUACCUUCCUAUACAGUCAUCUGGAAUAAUAAUAUAUCAAAAACAGUAAUAACUCGAUUUACAGGGUGAGAAAGAAAAGAAAGACGCUACGAGGGAAGCAGAGAUUCAAAGACUUACCACUUUGUUGGAGGAACAAUUUCAUAAAUCUCCAGAAUAUUGACAUAAAACACAUAACAUAUCUAGCAUUAAGUAUAUUUAUGUAUGUCCAAAGAUAAAAAUUCGAAGAUUAGAUUUAUCAUUUCAAUUUAUGUUCCGCCCAAAGCAAUGGCUUUUAUUCCACAAGCACAAACAAGAAAGAGUGCGCACAAAGUUAACAAACACACAUAGCAAACAUGACAUUAACUACUUGCAGCAGCAUCAUCCAGAAACUUCACUCUAAUCUGGUGACUCCAUGCAACAAUCCAAUGUCGAAUGCAUGAUGCUUAAUAAACAAAUCAUUUUAGGAGAAAAAACUUGCUCUUCUCUCACCAAGUUUGCAUCGGCAGCAUCACUCAAUGCACAAGGUAAUGACUCCCUUACCCUGUCUCUUAAACUUAUUUCUCCGGUAAACAUUUCAUUUGUGGGGUUCUUUCUGGUGAAAGUUUCCAUCAAUAAAACACCAUAACUAUAGACAUCACCUUUGGCCGAAAUCAUUCCUUCUAAUGCUUACUCUGCAUUUUUUGGUUUCGAUAGAUCAAAUGGAUGUGACAUCAUAAAACAAAUGAUAAACAAAUAGUCUUUUGACAGUCAAGAUGGCCCAAACUUUGACUGUGCUUCGAAAAGAGCGAAAAUUUGAAAUUAUAAUUGAAACCUUACCUGGUGCCAUAUAACCAGUUGUAGGCACUGUCAUGAUUUGGGUCACAGAAUUUUCUUUAUCACCUAAGAGUUCGGAAAUGCCGAACUCACAUGUGCCACCAUAUUUUCAUCCAAGAGAAUGUUGCUAGCUUCAAAUCAGAAUGAAUUACAGGUGCUGAUGAAUGAUCGUGAUGGAGAUAUUCAAGUGCCAGCCGCACAUCUAUCAUUAUAUUCAACCUCUCUAGGAUAUCUAGGAAAUAGUUGUGAGAACACAACCAUUUCUCAAGACUACCAUUGAGCAUGAACUCAAGCAUCAGUACUUUAGAAUCUGGAUUGCAACAGCUGCUAGUGAUCUUUGUGAGAUCUUGAUGACGAACAUUCCACAAUACUUCACAUUCAGAAUCCAAACUCCUAAAGGCUCUCUCUAGCUGCAGAUUGAAAACCUUUAUUACAAUAAUAGUCAUAUCAUAAAGUGUGCCUUUAUAAACAGAUCCGAAGCUCUCCGUACCUAGCAGGAUACAUUCACUAAAUCCAUCAGCUGCUCGUUGAAUAUCAUGAUAGGAUAGUCUUCUCCAUGUUGUCGAAGAGAACAAAUCUUCUUUAUCUGGAGUUCUUGUUUUCCUAUUUUGAAAUAUUAUGAAGAAUCAUAACAAUUGUUAUUAGUGCAUUGGAUAUAAUCGAAGGCAAAGUAUAUUUCAGGACAAGAAGAGUAGCAUUCUUGGAUCCUUUGCUAUUAUCUUCUUUGCAAGGUGGGACUUGAAGGCCUAGUGGACCACAUAGUGCAUAAUUCUCAAAAAACGAUUGAGCUGAAAUGUUUUUAAAAGGUCCUUUGAUAGGAAUUCCCCCUUCUAGCCUAUUGUGAGACACAUUAAGUUGUUUGAGAUAUGAGAGUGCCUCCAUCGACUUUGGAAUUUCUCCAGAGAGAUUGUUGCUAGGGAGAUCCAAAGAUUCCAACCUUAUCAAACUACCAAAUGAUUUAGGGACCAGACCAUAAAAUUGGUUUCUAGCCAAGGACAAAGUUGCUAGAUCUUUGAGGCCACCAAUACUUACUGGUAUAUCACCUGAUAAUUGAUUUCUUGAUAAAUCAACUCUAUUAAGACCUUUAAGUUUUGUAUAUCUGAAGAUAGAUGACCACUUAGAGAAUUUGUUGACAAGUUUACAUACAAGAUGUACUCAGGAUUCCACAAGGAUGAUGGGAUACUAGAAGUGUGCGUGUCGUAGCUAAAAAGAGNNNNNNNNNNNNNNNNNNNNNNNNNNNNNNNNNNNNNNNNNNNNNNNNNNNNNNNNNNNNNNNNNNNNNNNNNNNNNNNNNNNNNNNNNNNNNNNNNNNNGGUUGCGUCAGUUCAGGAUAAACUAGAAAUUCUGGCUUCUCGUCAAGUUAAAUUAGUGGCAGAUAUGCUUAUUGAUGAGGCAGCUAAACUUACGUAUGAUUUGAUUGUCUUGCCAGUAAGUGGGGUUGCUAACUCUUGCGUCAUAGUCUUUACCAAAUUAUUGACUUACUAACUACAAUUUAUCUAUGCACAGGGUGGACUUGGUGGUGCUCAAGCUUUUGCGAAGUCAGAAAAAUUGGUAAAUAUGCUAAAGAAGCAAAAGGAAUCAAAUAGACCUUACGGUGCUAUAUGUGCAUCCCCAGCACUAGUGUUGGAGCCCCAUGGCUUACUCAAGGUAUGACCAUUUCUGCUUAAAUAUUUACUCUUGAUUUGAAUCACCUAAUCUGAACUUGAUAAAACAUUGUGAUCUUGUGUGAUUUUAUGAACGUGGUCUUAUCUCAUGUAAGUCUGUAAUGAAUUUAUUGAAGUUUGCUGACAAAUUACAAACUCAAAAACUGCUGCUGCUUCAUUAGUUACUGUAGAGAUUUACAAGCUUUAUAGAAUCAACUUGAACAACCUCUCCCAAGAUCCCCAGACCAGAAUUCCAAGAUGAACCAAAGAAGACUCGAAAGUUACAAUGAUAGAAAACAACCUAAUAGCAGAUUAAACCAAACAGUAAGCAAUCAAACAGUCUAAAAGAAACUCAAGAACAACUCAAACACAGCAAGUUACGUGGUUCAGUCAAUUCACAUUGACUUACAUCCACGGAGGAACAAAUAGAUCAGCUUUAUUGAUAGAACAAAGUCUCUUUUACAAUCAGAUUUUACAGAGCCCUUCUCAAGGAACAAGAACGCUCUUUUACACAAGCACUCUCUCUCUCUUGAAUCCUCUGAAAUCUUCUCAGUUUGUUAUAUCAGAAUCAGCUCCAGCCUCUGAGUUUAUAACGACCCAGAAACAAUCCCAGCUAGGCACGUGAGCAGCAGAUGACAAUAACGGCUUUAACAGCCUUCACACGUCAUUUAAAAAGUCACGUGCGUUGCUCAUGAUUCUAAUAACCAAAACGAUAGAAAUCUAGGUCGUUUUGUAAGGAUAAUCAAAGGUAGCAAGAAACGCCGAUAACUGUGUCGUUUUGCUUUGUUGUUUGCAGAGCCAAAACUCCAAGCUUCCUGUCGUUUCAUUAACCUUUUUUUGAUUUGUUUCAUUUUGGUCCAACAUAACUCCACCUUGAAGCAAAUCAACCCUGAUCAACUUUCUCCUCAUCCCUCUGUUUCAUCAGAGGCUUUCAACACCAGCCAUGUUCAAGCAAGCUUUGAACUUGGCUGUAGGAACAACUUUAGUUAGUAUAUCUGCUGGAUUAUCAUCUGUGUGAACCUUUACCAUCUUGAUUACUCCUUUGGACACUUCAUUUCUUAUAAAGUGUAGCUUGACAUCAAUAUGCUUGGUUCUUUCAUGAUGAGCUGGAUUUUUACUUAGGUAGAUGGCACUUGAGCUAUCACAGUGGACUUCAACUGUUUUCUGGCUCACCCCCAAUUCUUCAAUCAUCCCUUUGAGCCAUAGAGCUUCUUUGACAGCCUCUGUGGCUGCAGUGUAUUCAGCCUCUGUGGUUGACAGGGCAACCACAUGUUGGAGACUUGCCUUCCAGCUGAUGAUGCAUCCAUUUAGCAUAAACAAGUACCCUGUUAAUGAUCUCCUUCUGUCAUUGUCUCCAGCAAAAUCCGAGUCUACAUAACCCCAUAGACCAUCACAUCUUCCUUCUGAUCUCCCAUACAGCAGUCCAAUUCUGUCAGUGCCACUCAGAUACCUUAGUAUCCAUUUGACUGCUUGCCAAUGCUCUUUCCCAGGUGUUGCCAUAUAUCUGCUGACUAUGCUCAAAGCAUAGGAAAUAUCAGGUCUUGUUAAGACCAUGGCAUACAUCAUACACCCUACAGCAUUGGCAUAUGGGAAUUUUUCCAUUUCACAUCUCUCAUCAUCUGUCUUAGCACAUUGUAAAUUGGAGAGCUUGAAAUGAGAGGCUAGUGGUGUUAUUACAGACUUACAGGUUGACAUACCGAAAGUCUUCACUAUUUUCUUCACAUAGCUCCCUUGUGACAGAAACAUAGUGCCUUCCUUCCUGUUCCUCAUUAUAUCCAUGCCUAAGAUCUUCUUGGCAUGUCCUAAAUCCUUCAUAUCAAAUUCUGAACUCAGCAGCUCUUUCAAUGCUUCAAUCUCAUCUUUUAUCUUACAAGCAAUUAACAUAUCAUCUACAUACAGCAACAAGUAUAUGUAAUGAUGUGUCUCAAGCAGCUUGUAAUAUACACAACAAUCGAAACUGCAUCUUUUGAAUCCAUUUGAUGUAAUGAACUCAUCAAACCUGAGGUACCACUGCCUUGGGGACUGUUUUAAGCCAUACAGUGAUUUCUUAAGUAGACACACAUGUGCUGGUCUCUCUGGAUCCACAUAUCCCUCUGGCUGAACCAUCAGAAUUUCUUCUUGUAAUAUUCCAUGUAGGAAUGCAGUUUUGACAUCGAGUUGAUCAAGUUCCAUGUCAUAAACUGCUGUCAUAGCUAGCAAUACUCUAAUUGAAGUAUGUCUAACUACUGGUGAAAAAACUUCUUUAAAGUCAACCCCUUCCUUUUGAGUGUAGCCUUUAGCCACUAACCUAGCUUUAAAUCUCCUAGGUUCUGAAGCUGUCAGGCCNNNNNNNNNNNNNNNNNNNNNNNNNNNNNNNNNNNNNNNNNNNNNNNNNNNNNNNNNNNNNNNNNNNNNNNNNNNNNNNNNNNNNNNNNNNNNNNNNNNNAAAUUUAUGCUAGGGUGUGAUUGUAUGGUAACCAAUUGUGAGCAACAGAUCCACAUAGUAAUAUAGACUGAAAUUUUGCGUCUUAAUCCAUGAAGAUAUAUGUUUUGGCAAAUAUUGUACAAGCACUGGGGGUUACCUUAAAUAUUCUGGACUUGUCAUUAAUAGAGUUUCUAUUACUUAGUUAUUGAUAUUUCUUUCAAUUUUCUAUUUUACUGAUACCAUAUAUACAAUUUUAGGUGGCAGGACAACUUUCGAUUUCUAUUGAGCCUGAAAACCUGCAUCUCCCAUCACCUCUGUCUACUUUCGGGGAAUACGAGGUUCCUAUGCGCUUACCCAAAGCCAUCCCUCUACCGGAAGGGAAGGUCCAGUGGACUCUCAAUGUUAAAGUCCGCGGCAAAUAAUGCCAAGAUAGAAGUUUAUUAAUAUUUCAAUGAUAAAUAAUGCAUCUCCCAUCACCUCUGUUUGUUUUCCUCGGCUCGGGAUCCAAAUUCCAUUGGAGAACAAUUUUUGAGUUUUUCUUCAUAUAACAUUCUGAAGAUAAUACAGCAGGCAACAUUGUUUGCAACGCUACAGCUAAUUUACAGUAGCAUGAAACAAUCAGAAUUUUGCCUUUUUCGUGUAUAAAAUUUUAUUUUUUUAAUUGUGAUAUUACAGUUUUGCCCAUGAAGCAUUAUGAAGCUUAAUAUUUGGAUAAAUGUUAGGUUUAAUCUAUAAAUUUUAACUUCAGUGUUUAUUUAAUUUUUAUAUUUUGUAAAAUAUCUCAACGAAGCCCUAUUAUCAAAUAUUGACUUGAUCCGUAUAUAUUAACUUCAAUGCUUAUUUAGGUUUUAUAUUUUGAAAAAUACCUAAAGGCAGUCCUAUUAUCAAAUAUGUUGUACUCUUGCUUUUAUUUUUUCUUUGUUUUUAUAAUAAUACUCUGAUAACAAUAUUUUUUUACAUUAAUUUUUUAAUCAAUAAAAAGGUAACUAGCAAAUUAACUGAUAAAUUAAUUUGUUAAUUUUUUUAAUCAAUAAAAGGUUAAUUAAUAAAUUACUUGGUAGCAAAUUAAAAAAUAAAUAUUAGCAUAAAACAAUUGAUAUUUUUCAUUCUCUUACAACAAUUGAUAUUUUUCAUUCUCUUACAACAAUCUUACUAAUUAUUAUUUAUAAAUUAAUUAAUACAAGUAAUUUAAAGUAAUGUUUAAUAUUCUUGCAACAAUCUUACUAAUAAUUUUUUUAUAAAAAAUUAAUUUAUUAAAUUAAUCCUUAAAAGUAAAAUAAUAAUAAUUAAUUUGUAUCUCACUUUUAAGGUUAAUUUUAUAAAUUUAAUUUUUUAAAUUAAUAUCUCCAAAAAUAUAGUUGCAUGAUAUUAUUGCGAAAGUAAAAAAAAUAAAUAUAGGAUUUUAAUAUAAUUGCAACGAUAUUAUUACAAAAGUAAAAAAAAUAAAUAUAGGAUUUUAAUAUAACUGCCAGUAAAAAUAACUUGAAAUAUUUUUUGAGAUAUAAAAAUUAAACCAACACUUAAUUAAAAAUAUAAAGAAUUAAAUAAACAUUUAUCUUCUAACAUUUCAACCCACUGGCUAAUGGUCAUACAAUCGUGGUGUGGUCCGGGAUGCCUGGCCCAGCCCAUCAUGUAAAAAGCCAUGUCACCCGUAUUCUUAGGCUGCUACUGCAUUACCACUUUGCCAGUUGCCACGAAGCUCCCCACAUCACACCACACUGAUGCCAGAAAACUAACUUAAAAAAAUGGUAUUAAUAAGCGUACGCCACGUCACUCCUCACUCUCUUCUUCGUCACUUUCCUCUCACUCAACACUUUCUACCCAAACAAAUUCCUUCUUUGAAAAAUCGCAUUUUCUCCUUCACAACAACAGCUACAAUGUCUUCAACUUCCAAAAAGGUAAUUUUUUUUUUAAAUUUUAUCUUUUGUUUAUUUUCUUUCUGUUGCCUUUUUGUUUCGUUUUUUGAAUUCUCUGUGUCGUUUUUUUCCCCCAAGGUUUUGGUGCCUGUUGCGAACGGGAGUGAGCCGAUUGAGGCCGUGAUAACGAUCGAUGUUUUGAGAAGGUCUGGAGCUGACGUCACGGUUGCGUCUGUGGAGAAACAGCUUCGUGUCGACGCGUGUCAUGGUGUCAAGAUUGUCGCUGAUGCUCUGGUGUCUGACUGCCGCGACGCCGUUUUUGAUCUUAUAGCACUUCCCGUAUGUAUUGCAGCUCACCUCAGCUCAUGCUAAUUUAUGUGAUGUUUGUAUAAUUAUAGAUGAUUACAGCUGAUACUGAAUGUUAAGCUAAAUAAUUCGUUCUUAAGUCAUCUUCAUUUAAUUUUCGAUUGAAAAUGAAAAAAUAAUAAUUUUAAGCAAAGAAAAAUAUAGAAAAUGUUUAUUUUGUUUUAAUUUUAUUUUUUAAUUUUCAGGGAUUUCCUUAUUGUGACUGUUAUCAUUCAUUAUAUGGUCCUAGUUAAAUGUUUCAAAUUGUUGUAGUCAGUGAAAUUCUUUUCCAUAUUUAUUCUGGCAUGUAUAUUUUUCCUUUUCAAUUUCUUUUGUUGCUGAUUCUUUGAUUAUGUUAUAUCCUUUUUUGUUUCCUUUGUAGGGUGGCAUGCCCGGUGCUACCAAUCUGAAGGAAUCUGAAGUAUUAGAAAGCAUUGUGAAGAAGCAGGCCUCAGCUGGGCGUCUUUAUGCUGCUGUCUGUGCUUCACCUGCUGUGGCAUUAGGGUCUUGGGGUCUGUUGAAGGGAUUGAAGGUAAGAGUUAGAUAAGCCUUUUUGAUGUUUUGUGGUCUUUUGGGAAUUGCACUGAUAUUUUUGUUAUAGUUCAGUUUUCUUCUCGCUGAUGAUUGUUAAGUUCUAAUUUAUGUAGUUGUUCAUUUUUCGUAGGCUACUUGUUAUCCGUCAUUUAUGGAGCAAUUAGCUCCUGCUUGUGCAGCAACUGUUGAAUCAAGAGUACAGCAGGAUGGUAUAGUUGUUACGAGUCGUGGACCGGGCACUACCAUGGAGUUUGCCGUUGCACUUGUUGAGCAGUUGUAUGGGAAAGAGAAAGCUGAUGAAGUUUCUGGGCCACUGGUAUUAACUUUUAUAGAUAACGUUGUUUAAAAAAAUUAUGAGUUAUAUAAUUUGUGGAAGCUUCAGAUGCUAAUAUAUUCAAGAAAAUAAGUUCAGGGGAAGAGUAUGACGUUUUGCAUUAGUGAUUCAUUAGAUGAAAUUGUAUACCUGCUGGUCCAUCAUAAGGUGGUGAAAACAAUGUUUGAUUUAAUUAAUGGAAUCCUGAAAUAUGCAUUUGUUGAGCUUCAAUGUCUCCACUGAUAAAAUUCUUUUUAAUGUAAGUUCUUUCUCUUGGUAUUUGUAUUUGAAUUUUCUGUUCCUCAUGCUUUCGUCUUUACUGUCACCUUGUGCCUAGGUAAUGCGUGCAAAUCAUGGAGAUGAAUACACUAUUGCUGAGUUCAAUCCAAUUCAGUGGACAUUUGACAAUUCUCCUCAGGUGAGAUUGGACUGUUAGUUUCUUGUAUUUGUUUUUCUUCUUCCAUGUUUUGAGGGAUACCCAUUUGGCAGUAAAUAAAAAUCUGUGAUAUCUUCUAUACAUGUACAUAUACAUCAUUGACUUCACUCAUUUGUGAACAUAUUGGAGGUAGUAGAUUUAUUGUUAUGAUAUGUCUAAUAAAAUCCAAAGUUCGAUGCAACUACAAAAGAAGUAUGAGCAGUGCUCGACCAGAGAGGAAAAAGAGGUUUUUUCUUUCUUUUUUUUUUUUUGGGGGGGGGGGGGGGGUGGGGGUUGGUUGNNNNNNNNNNNNNNNNNNNNNNNNNNNNNNNNNNNNNNNNNNNNNNNNNNNNNNNNNNNNNNNNNNNNNNNNNNNNNNNNNNNNNNNNNNNNNNNNNNNNNNNNNNNNNNNNNNNNNNNNNNNNNNNNNNNNNNNNNNNNNNNNNNNNNNNNNNNNNNNNNNNNNNNNNNNNNNNNNNNNNNNNNNNNNNNNNNNNNNNNNNNNNNNNNNNNNNNNNNNNNNNNNNNNNNNNNNNNNNNNNNNNNNNNNNNNNNNNNNNNNNNNNNNNNNNNNNNNNNNNNNNNNNNNNNNNNNNNNNNNNNNNNNNNNNNNNNNNNNNNNNNNNNNNNNNNNNNNNNNNNNNNNNNNNNNNNNNNNNNNNNNNNNNNNNNNNNNNNNNNNNNNNNNNNNNNNNNNNNNNNNNNNNNNNNNNNNNNNNNNNNNNNNNNNNNNNNNNNNNNNNNNNNNNNNNNNNNNNNNNNNNNNNNNNNNNNNNNNNNNNNNNNNNNNNNNNNNNNNNNNNNNNNNNNNNNNNNNNNNNNNNNNNNNNNNNNNNNNNNNNNNNNNNNNNNNNNNNNNNNNNNNNNNNNNNNNNNNNNNNNNNNNNNNNNNNNNNNNNNNNNNNNNNNNNNNNNNNNNNNNNNNNNNNNNNNNNNNNNNNNNNNNNNNNNNNNNNNNNNNNNNNNNNNNNNNNNNNNNNNNNNNNNNNNNNNNNNNNNNNNNNNNNNNNNNNNNNNNNNNNNNNNNNNNNNNNNNNNNNNNNNNNNNNNNNNNNNNNNNNNNNNNNNNNNNNNNNNNNNNNNNNNNNNNNNNNNNNNNNNNNNNNNNNNNNNNNNNNNNNNNNNNNNNNNNNNNNNNNNNNNNNNNNNNNNNNNNNNNNNNNNNNNNNNNNNNNNNNNNNNNNNNNNNNNNNNNNNNNNNNNNNNNNNNNNNNNNNNNNNNNNNNNNNNNNNNNNNNNNNNNNNNNNNNNNNNNNNNNNNNNNNNNNNNNNNNNNNNNNNNNNNNNNNNNNNNNNNNNNNNNNNNNNNNNNNNNNNNNNNNNNNNNNNNNNNNNNNNNNNNNNNNNNNNNNNNNNNNNNNNNNNNNNNNNNNNNNNNNNNNNNNNNNNNNNNNNNNNNNNNNNNNNNNNNNNNNNNNNNNNNNNNNNNNNNNNNNNNNNNNNNNNNNNNNNNNNNNNNNNNNNNNNNNNNNNNNNNNNNNNNNNNNNNNNNNNNNNNNNNNNNNNNNNNNNNNNNNNNNNNNNNNNNNNNNNNNNNNNNNNNNNNNNNNNNNNNNNNNNNNNNNNNNNNNNNNNNNNNNNNNNNNNNNNNNNNNNNNNNNNNNNNNNNNNNNNNNNNNNNNNNNNNNNNNNNNNNNNNNNNNNNNNNNNNNNNNNNNNNNNNNNNNNNNNNNNNNNNNNNNNNNNNNNNNNNNNNNNNNNNNNNNNNNNNNNNNNNNNNNNNNNNNNNNNNNNNNNNNNNNNNNNNNNNNNNNNNNNNNNNNNNNNNNNNNNNNNNNNNNNNNNNNNNNNNNNNNNNNNNNNNNNNNNNNNNNNNNNNNNNNNNNNNNNNNNNNNNNNNNNNNNNNNNNNNNNNNNNNNNNNNNNNNNNNNNNNNNNNNNNNNNNNNNNNNNNNNNNNNNNNNNNNNNNNNNNNNNNNNNNNNNNNNNNNNNNNNNNNNNNNNNNNNNNNNNNNNNNNNNNNNNNNNNNNNNNNNNNNNNNNNNNNNNNNNNNNNNNNNNNNNNNNNNNNNNNNNNNNNNNNNNNNNNNNNNNNNNNNNNNNNNNNNNNNNNNNNNNNNNNNNNNNNNNNNNNNNNNNNNNNNNNNNNNNNNNNNNNNNNNNNNNNNNNNNNNNNNNNNNNNNNNNNNNNNNNNNNNNNNNNNNNNNNNNNNNNNNNNNNNNNNNNNNNNNNNNNNNNNNNNNNNNNNNNNNNNNNNNNNNNNNNNNNNNNNNNNNNNNNNNNNNNNNNNNNNNNNNNNNNNNNNNNNNNNNNNNNNNNNNNNNNNNNNNNNNNNNNNNNNNNNNNNNNNNNNNNNNNNNNNNNNNNNNNNNNNNNNNNNNNNNNNNNNNNNNNNNNNNNNNNNNNNNNNNNNNNNNNNNNNNNNNNNNNNNNNNNNNNNNNNNNNNNNNNNNNNNNNNNNNNNNNNNNNNNNNNNNNNNNNNNNNNNNNNNNNNNNNNNNNNNNNNNNNNNNNNNNNNNNNNNNNNNNNNNNNNNNNNNNNNNNNNNNNNNNNNNNNNNNNNNNNNNNNNNNNNNNNNNNNNNNNNNNNNNNNNNNNNNNNNNNNNNNNNNNNNNNNNNNNNNNNNNNNNNNNNNNNNNNNNNNNNNNNNNNNNNNNNNNNNNNNNNNNNNNNNNNNNNNNNNNNNNNNNNNNNNNNNNNNNNNNNNNNNNNNNNNNNNNNNNNNNNNNNNNNNNNNNNNNNNNNNNNNNNNNNNNNNNNNNNNNNNNNNNNNNNNNNNNNNNNNNNNNNNNNNNNNNNNNNNNNNNNNNNNNNNNNNNNNNNNNNNNNNNNNNNNNNNNNNNNNNNNNNNNNNNNNNNNNNNNNNNNNNNNNNNNNNNNNNNNNNNNNNNNNNNNNNNNNNNNNNNNNNNNNNNNNNNNNNNNNNNNNNNNNNNNNNNNNNNNNNNNNNNNNNNNNNNNNNNNNNNNNNNNNNNNNNNNNNNNNNNNNNNNNNNNNNNNNNNNNNNNNNNNNNNNNNNNNNNNNNNNNNNNNNNNNNNNNNNNNNNNNNNNNNNNNNNNNNNNNNNNNNNNNNNNNNNNNNNNNNNNNNNNNNNNNNNNNNNNNNNNNNNNNNNNNNNNNNNNNNNNNNNNNNNNNNNNNNNNNNNNNNNNNNNNNNNNNNNNNNNNNNNNNNNNNNNNNNNNNNNNNNNNNNNNNNNNNNNNNNNNNNNNNNNNNNNNNNNNNNNNNNNNNNNNNNNNNNNNNNNNNNNNNNNNNNNNNNNNNNNNNNNNNNNNNNNNNNNNNNNNNNNNNNNNNNNNNNNNNNNNNNNNNNNNNNNNNNNNNNNNNNNNNNNNNNNNNNNNNNNNNNNNNNNNNNNNNNNNNNNNNNNNNNNNNNNNNNNNNNNNNNNNNNNNNNNNNNNNNNNNNNNNNNNNNNNNNNNNNNNNNNNNNNNNNNNNNNNNNNNNNNNNNNNNNNNNNNNNNNNNNNNNNNNNNNNNNNNNNNNNNNNNNNNNNNNNNNNNNNNNNNNNNNNNNNNNNNNNNNNNNNNNNNNNNNNNNNNNNNNNNNNNNNNNNNNNNNNNNNNNNNNNNNNNNNNNNNNNNNNNNNNNNNNNNNNNNNNNNNNNNNNNNNNNNNNNNNNNNNNNNNNNNNNNNNNNNNNNNNNNNNNNNNNNNNNNNNNNNNNNNNNNNNNNNNNNNNNNNNNNNNNNNNNNNNNNNNNNNNNNNNNNNNNNNNNNNNNNNNNNNNNNNNNNNNNNNNNNNNNNNNNNNNNNNNNNNNNNNNNNNNNNNNNNNNNNNNNNNNNNNNNNNNNNNNNNNNNNNNNNNNNNNNNNNNNNNNNNNNNNNNNNNNNNNNNNNNNNNNNNNNNNNNNNNNNNNNNNNNNNNNNNNNNNNNNNNNNNNNNNNNNNNNNNNNNNNNNNNNNNNNNNNNNNNNNNNNNNNNNNNNNNNNNNNNNNNNNNNNNNNNNNNNNNNNNNNNNNNNNNNNNNNNNNNNNNNNNNNNNNNNNNNNNNNNNNNNNNNNNNNNNNNNNNNNNNNNNNNNNNNNNNNNNNNNNNNNNNNNNNNNNNNNNNNNNNNNNNNNNNNNNNNNNNNNNNNNNNNNNNNNNNNNNNNNNNNNNNNNNNNNNNNNNNNNNNNNNNNNNNNNNNNNNNNNNNNNNNNNNNNNNNNNNNNNNNNNNNNNNNNNNNNNNNNNNNNNNNNNNNNNNNNNNNNNNNNNNNNNNNNNNNNNNNNNNNNNNNNNNNNNNNNNNNNNNNNNNNNNNNNNNNNNNNNNNNNNNNNNNNNNNNNNNNNNNNNNNNNNNNNNNNNNNNNNNNNNNNNNNNNNNNNNNNNNNNNNNNNNNNNNNNNNNNNNNNNNNNNNNNNNNNNNNNNNNNNNNNNNNNNNNNNNNNNNNNNNNNNNNNNNNNNNNNNNNNNNNNNNNNNNNNNNNNNNNNNNNNNNNNNNNNNNNNNNNNNNNNNNNNNNNNNNNNNNNNNNNNNNNNNNNNNNNNNNNNNNNNNNNNNNNNNNNNNNNNNNNNNNNNNNNNNNNNNNNNNNNNNNNNNNNNNNNNNNNNNNNNNNNNNNNNNNNNNNNNNNNNNNNNNNNNNNNNNNNNNNNNNNNNNNNNNNNNNNNNNNNNNNNNNNNNNNNNNNNNNNNNNNNNNNNNNNNNNNNNNNNNNNNNNNNNNNNNNNNNNNNNNNNNNNNNNNNNNNNNNNNNNNNNNNNNNNNNNNNNNNNNNNNNNNNNNNNNNNNNNNNNNNNNNNGGUUCAUUACCAGCUCCAGUGUUGUUUUAUAAAGUGAUGACAAUUCUUCAUUCAUGACUGCUGCCAGUCAGUUUGGUAUGAGCUUUGGAUUGCUUCUUAUACACUUGGGUCUUGUCAUCCAUCUCUCGUGAAGUGGCAAGUGCAUAUGCACUAAGAUCAGCAUAGCCAAAUCUCUUUGGGGGUCUUAUUAUUCUCCUUUCUCUGUCUUUAGCUAGGUGAUAAUCUUCUGUAUGGGUUCUUUGAUGUUCUGAUCUUGUAUCCCUAUUACCAGCAACUUCUUCAUCUGAAUUUGAAGCUUCUCCAGACAUUUUCAUUGCUGGAUGCUCCACCUCAAACUGUAUAAUACCAUCAGUUUUGUUCUGAGGUCCAGCAUUCUCAACAGGUUUCUCCUCAUUGUGUCCCAUCUGCUCAUUGAACACCACAUCUCGGCUGACUAUACAUUUUGGAGGUGAUAAGUCUGUACACCAGAUUUUAUAGCCUUUUACUCCUUCUGGAUAUCCUAUAAACAUCCCCUUUAGAGCUCUUGGUGCUAACUUUCCUUGGUUUGCAUGUGCAUAGGCAGUGCAGCCAAAUACUUUCAGCUUGCUGUAGUUUGCUGGUUUACCACACCAUUUCUCAUAUGGUGUUUUGAAGUCUAAGGCUGAGGAAGGGCUCAAAUUAACCAGCACACAAGCUGUCAGUAGUGUCUCUGCCCAUAGCCCUUUAGGUAGCUCAGAUUGUAUCAUCAUGCAUCUGACCUUCUCCAUCAAAGUCCUGUUCAUUCUUUCAGCCAGGCCAUUCUGUUGUGGUGUUAGUCUCACUGUUCUGUGUCUAGCAAUGCCUUCUUUUGAGCAGAAUUCAUCAAACAUCUUAUUACAGUACUCUAGUCCAUUGUCAGUUCUAAGAACUUUCAGCUUCUUCCCUGUUUGGUUUUCAACAAGUGCUUUCCACUCUUUAAACUUCCCAAACACCUGAUCUUUGGUCCUGAGUACAUACACCCAAACCUUCCUAGAGUAAUCAUCUAUUAUUGACAUAAAAAACCUAUUCCCUCCCAAAGAUGGAACCUGUGAAGGUCCCCACAGAUCUGAAUGCACAUAAUCCAGGAUACUUUUGGUCUUAUGGACAGAUUUCUUAAAGCUAGCUCGUGUGGAUUUCCCUAGGACACAAUCCUCACAAAAGUCUAGUUCCUCAAUCUUGUCGGCUCCCAAAACUCCCUGUUUAUCUAAUUCUUUAAGACCCUUUAGGCUUAUGUGUCCUAACCUCAGAUGCCAAAGUCUGGUGAUAUCAGUAUUAGCCUUCACAGACACACUAGAUUCACCUGUUACUACUUCCCCAUCCAAGACAUAAACCCCAUUCUUCCUUUUACCUUUCAUAAUCAGUGUUGAGCCAUUUAGGAUUUUUAGUUCACCACACUCUAAUUUCAUACUACAUCCAAUCUGAUCAAGCAUCCCUAGAGAGAUUAAAUUUCUCUUAAGGUCUGGAAUAUGCCUGACCUGUUUUAUCAGUCUUACAGUCCCAUCAUGUAGUUUUAGAUGUAUGUUUCCCAUCCCAGUGACCUUACACACUGCAUUGUUUCCCAUCAUUACCCUUCCCCCAUCAUAUUCAUGAUAAUCAGAAAAAUAACUCUUUUCAGGGCUCAUAUGAAAGGUACAGCCAGAAUCGAGGAUCCACUUACCUUUCUGUACUUCAUUAGUUGCCACACACACUCCAGCUGAUUCAUAUCCCUCAUCUUCAACAAUUGCUGCAUCUCCAUUCUGAUCUUUCUUUUUUAGCUUCUUUUCAGGGCAGUCUUUCUUGAAGUGUCCUUCCUUGUGGCACUGGAAGCACUUCAGAUUCUUGUUUUUAUCUUUUCCCUUUCCUUGCUUCUUUUUCUUUCCCACAUUCUUGUCAUUUCUGCAUCUCACAGUCAAACCCUCUCCACUCUCCAUGUUAACUUGCUUUUCUUGUAGACCUCUGGUAUUUAAUGCAGCCUUAACCUCAUCCAGAGACAAGGUCUGUCUGCCAUACAUCAAGGCAUCUACAAAGUUGGAGUAUGACUGUGGUAAUGAGCUUAUUAGAAGUAGAGCUUUACCUUCAUCAUUUAGACCCUCAUCAAUGGUCUCCAAAGUGUCACAUACUCUGUUGAACUCAUCGAUAUGUUCCUCAAGAGAAGAUCCCUCAGCCAUUUUUAAUGAAAACAUCCUCUUCUUGAUAUAGAGCCUAUUUGCCAGUGACUUUGUCAUGUACAGAUUUUCAAGCUUAGUCCAUAGCUCUGCCACUGUUCUCUCCUUAGCCACUUCUCUGAUAACUGAGUCACUCAGACUCAGAAUAAUUGUGCUUCUUGCUUUCUUGUCGAUCUCAGCAGCUAUUUCUGGAGAUUUUGAUGAAGACCCCUCAUACCCUUCUUUCUUGGUUGUUGGUUCUAAUGCUUCUCCCAGGCCUUGUGUUAUUAACAAUGCCUCCAUUUUUACCUUCCACAUAUUAAAGUCAUUCUUCCCAUUAAACUUUUCAAGAUCAACUUUAGGAGCUGUCAUACUUGUAUCUGAUCAAGAAAUCCAGCUCUGAUACCAAUUGUAGAGAUUUACAAGCUUUAUAGAAUCAACUUGAACAACCUCUCCCAAGAUCCCCAGACCAGAAUUCCAAGAUGAACCAAAGAAGACUCGAAAGUUACAAUGAUAGAAAACAACCUAAUAGCAGAUUAAACCAAACAGUAAGCAAUCAAACAGUCUAAAAGAAACUCAAGAACAACUCAAACACAGCAAGUUACGUGGUUCAGUCAAUUCACAUUGACUUACAUCCACGGAGGAACAAAUAGAUCAGCUUUAUUGAUAGAACAAAGUCUCUUUUACAAUCAGAUUUUACAGAGCCCUUCUCAAGGAACAAGAACGCUCUUUUACACAAGCACUCUCUCUCUCUUGAAUCCUCUGAAAUCUUCUCAGUUUGUUAUAUCAGAAUCAGCUCCAGCCUCUGAGUUUAUAACGACCCAGAAACAAUCCCAGCUAGGCACGUGAGCAGCAGAUGACAAUAACGGCUUUAACAGCCUUCACACGUCAUUUAAAAAGUCACGUGCGUUGCUCAUGAUUCUAAUAACCAAAACGAUAGAAAUCUAGGUCGUUUUGUAAGGAUAAUCAAAGGUAGCAAGAAACGCCGAUAACUGUGUCGUUUUGCUUUGUUGUUUGCAGAGCCAAAACUCCAAGCUUCCUGUCGUUUCAUUAACCUUUUUUUGAUUUGUUUCAUUUUGGUCCAACAGUUACAGUACCCAAGGAGUUAUGAUAGACAUCCCAAACUUUUUAACCCAAAUUCCCUCUCAAAUGACAUGGUAAUUAUUAAGUGGUUGGUAAUUUUUUAUAAGAUAUAAGUGAAUUAAUUAUAUUAUUUAAUCAACCAAUUGAUGAAUGUCACACGCCAUUUGAGAUGAAUUUUUGGGAUGUGUAGCAAAACUUUAUGCUGAUUUGUUUUGGCUACAUUCAUGUAAAACCUUUUUCCCCAAUUCCCAAGAACUUCCCGCAAUAUCAUUCCUUUGUAUUUGUUUUCCCCUUUAGACAUGUUUAACUUUGGUUCAGGGUAAAAAAGCUACGGCUUUUCCUGCCAUGUGCAACAAGCUAUCAGAUCAAAGUGAAAUCGAAAACAGGGUUGUGGUUGAUGGCAACCUUGUCACCAGCAGAGGGCCAGGAACUUCCGUGGAGUUUGCACUGGCAAUUGUGGAGAAGUUUUUUGGCCGCAACAAAGCACUUGAGCUUGCAAAGAUAUUGCUUUUCACCCGCACCUAAAAUUUGUACCAGGACCUGACUAAUAUUAAACUAGAGUGUUUAUUUCUGUAUUACUACUGCUUGUAGAGAGGCGAAAUGGAAACUUGAAUUCAUGUUUGAAUAGGGAUUCACUGUGCGGGUUUGUACAAGAGCUUGUUUAUAAAUAAAUGAGUUCAUAAAGAGUCAUUUUAAAUAUUUGGAAUAAACGUGAGUUGCUGUUUAGUUCUGUUUUCAAUGUUCACCGUUCAAUUGUGAUCCAGAGCAAUAUAACUACACUCACUGGGAAUUUUAAUUAUGAACCAAGAACGAAGUUGAACCGAGAAUUUGAUACUUUAUAUAUUCCAGUUACCAUAUUUAAGAAAGAGUAUUGAAAAGACG
This 191084-nucleotide long non-coding RNA is filed under the name Citrus x clementina. RNAcentral describes it as "Citrus clementina (C. clementina) long non-coding RNA (CCLE_LNC004435)". Lineage: Eukaryota; Viridiplantae; Streptophyta; Magnoliopsida; Sapindales; Rutaceae. The record is from RNAcentral.